Molecule: long non-coding RNA, 228452 nt
Filed under: Setaria viridis
Lineage: Eukaryota; Viridiplantae; Streptophyta; Magnoliopsida; Poales; Poaceae
Description: long non-coding RNA (SVIR_LNC002956)
Source: RNAcentral
AGCCUCGAGCAGGGUUGGGCCCUUGUACCAGUCAAGGUUGGUGGACCUCUCAAUCAUGUUGUCACCCUCGAAACCGGAGAUGGGGACGAAGGCAAUCUUGUCAGGGUUGUAACCCACCUUCUUCAGGUAGGAGGAGACUUCCUUAACAAUCUCAUCAUAACGGGCCUUGGAGUACUUGGGAGUGGUGGCGUCCAUCUACGAACAGAUUAUCAAUAAAACAUCAUUAUUAGCUUAACUGAAGAGAUCGCAUGAACAGCAGACAAACUGUAUAUACACAAGAACAGUAUCAAUUAAUGUUAAAUGGUACACAAGAACAGCAGACAACUGUAUAUACAGAAGAACAGCAGUCCAUCUAUAAACAGAAUAGCAACAUAAGAUCAUUAUAGCUUAUAAUGGAAUAGAUCGCAUGAACAGAAAGCAAACACUAUAUACGGAAAAACAUCACAUCAAUCAAAAUUAACUGCUACACUGCACUUCUUUAGGGAAUAAACUUGUUUAAAGUUGCAUCUCAACAGUAAGAAACAAAUAUAUAAAUAGGUAGAUAAUUAUAUAUCACAGGCGUACCCAAGUUAGCUAGUGAUGGCUAUAACAAACAUAAAGCAAGUACAAAUACAGACCUCAUCAGUUACGUCAUCCUAUUACUAAAUCGUAACACAGCACAUUAUUAAGUAACAAACGAAUCAGUUAAAUGAUGCGACACAUGUGCUUGCAUUCUAUAUGCAUUACAAGUAUUCCAAUAGCUUCAGAACAUUACUCAAAACAGUUAAACAAGAAACUUAUACCAAGGUUAUCGGGAAAAAAUCUGCCAGAACAUAUAUCAGAUAAUGCAAUUCCAUGAGGGUAAACUGCUAUCAUCGAACAUAAAUAUAAACAUUCAAUAGAAGCAAUAGGCACUUGUUGCACUUUGUCAAAUUCAGUAUACAACUCACAUACUACUAUACUAGCAUUGUCAUUGAAACCAAUCCACAACACAAUGAAAGAAAUAGGCAGUACAAAUUGAGUGCAAAACAAAUAAAUCUGGACUAUAGACAUGUGUAUUUAAGAGUCUCUCAGAUCAUUAACCAAAGUGAGAUAAGAAUUUCUGUAUUAUACCUUGUUGCAGCAGCAGAUCAUCUGCUUGACUCCAAGAGUGAAAGCAAGGAGAGCAUGCUCACGGGUCUGGCCAUCCUUGGAGAUACCAGCCUCAAAACCACCAGUGGUGGAGUCAAUGAUGAGGACAGCACAGUCAGCCUGGGAGGUACCAGUGAUCAUGUUCUUGAUGAAGUCACGGUGUCCAGGGGCGUCAAUGACGGUACAGUAGUACUUGGUGGUCUCGAACUUCCACAGGGCAAUAUCAAUGGUGAUACCCCUCUCACGCUCAGCCUUGAGCUUGUCAAGCACCCAUGCAUACUUGAAGGACCGCUUGUUCAUCUCUGCAGCUUCCUUCUCGAACCUCUCGAUCACACGCUUGUCGAUACCUCCAAGCUUGUAGAUCAGGUGGCCGGUGGUGGUCGACUUGCCAGAGUCGACGUGGCCAAUGACCACAAUGUUGAUGUGGGACUUCUCCUUACCCAUGGCUGCAGGUGAAGCUUGAACCGCUGCAUCAGAUGAGUCAAUUGUUAGGAACACUAAACAGAGCAAACGAGCAAGUAUCAGCACAGAAUUCGGAAGCCAGUAAUAUAAAAACUUUUACAAGGCAGUAACAAAACAAUUUUACAGACCAGAUCAGAAACUAGAUCAAACAAGGAUGUUGCAACUAUAUAAAAAUAAACUAUACAGCAAGAUACCCAGCAGCAGCCUCUCAAAAAUAAAGGAAUUACAGCAGCUACCUCUAAACAUCCGAUCCACAAGUAUAACUAACAAAUCAACCUACAGUAUCUAAGCACUUAUCCGGAUCCUGAUGAACCCAUCCAUAAGAAUCAAAUUCUCAAAUCAAGGAACACGCAAAACCCACAAGCACUACGGAAUCGGAGAUGCAAGUAUCAACAACCCAGUCAAAACCAGACUACCAAAUCGCUACUCCCGCCAGCAAUUAAAUCCUCGAAUCAAGCGAUUACGCAAAGUCUAGAAACCCUGCGGAAUUGGAUAUGAGUAUCGACAACCCAAUCACUACCAGACUGACAAAUCGCUACUCGCACGAGCAAUUAAAAAUCCUCAAAUCAAGCGAUUACGCAAAAUCACAAACCCUACGGAAUCAGAUACGUGAGUAUCAACAGCUGCCCAAUCACUAGGAGGCGACACAUGAGAACAUCGAUCCCAUCGCAACAGCAUCGAGUAGCACAGAUCGAGAAAGGAGGGGCCGCAAAGAAACAGCACCUGAGGAAGCGAAGGAAACGGCGUCGAGAGGAGGAGGCGGAGGCGCAGGUGACGGCGCGCUGGCGACUCGCCGCUCGCGUGCUCGCCCUCGCGUCGCUCGUGCACUCCCGGUCUGCGGCGGCCGACUGCGUCUGGGGGAUUUGCGGAUGGGAUGGAGCUAGGUUUCAAGGAAGUGCGAUAGGGCACCACGAAUGGGCUAUUUGGGCCAGAAAGUCAUCUGAUGACUGAUGGGCUAAAAAUGAGCAAACACAAGCCUUGUUAAGCUGUUAUUAUUCUAGCAUUUGAGGGUUGAGACUACCAAACACACUCGACCAAAAUUGAGUGCUAUUCGGAUAGAGAUGCAACUUCAGGGAAAAGUAAUAAUCCCCUAACCUCUCCAUUAUUAGGCAGUAUAUUUAGUUUACCAUGUUUGCAUAUGUGUUGGCUUCUGAUUUAAGGUACCAUAAGCUAUUUUGCAAUGCUAUUUGGGAUAAAGUGCAUUUUUCACUAUUCAGACAAUCUAAACAAGAUUGCCUGCAUGUUAAGCAUGUCAAGAUUCAAACUUUGCAAUCUUUGAUCAAUAAUUUAACUAUUAAUUUUUUAUUCACAAUAAAUAUACUCUACAAUGAUCAUUCUACAAUGAUCAUAAGUUUAUAACCAUAAACAAUACUCCCUCCGUUUCAAAAUGCAAGUCAUUUUGGUUUUUCUAGAUACAUAGAUUUUGUUAUGUAUCUAGACAUAAUAUAUAUCUAGGUGUAUAGUAAAAAUAAUGUACGUAGAAAAGCCAAAACGACCUACAAUUUUGGAUGGAGAAAAUAUAAUAUAAAAUAAAUGAGUUCUCAAAGUGUUAUUUUGAAAACUAUACCAAAUCAUACUGUACCUUAUAAACAUAGACGGAGGGAAUAUUGUUAAAACAAGCAAUUAUUUGGCAAGGGGGACGAGCUGUUGGAUAAACCUGAGCAAAUUUAGCCUAGCCCGACCCGUGGCUUUUAUAGGGCUGGCGCCCAUUUUUUUACCCAAAAAAUUGAGUGGACCAAGGCCGGUCUAAUUAUUUUGUUAUUUAUUUUCCAACCGAAAAAAUACCAGGCGGCUCCGCCCGAGCCCGACCCGAAAAGGGUCACAUUUUUUUUGCCCGAAUUAUUUCAGGCUUUUUGCCAAUCCAGCCCGCACUUUGCUCAAUACUAUGUUGGUGUGACAUUCCAAGUAAUUAAGAGCCAAAUCAAGAGAAAUUAAGAAAUAAAUCAAAGAAAAAUCAAAUUGCUAAGUGUUAAACUCAAAGACAAAUCAAAAUUUCUAAAUGUUGAACUCCCUUAGAAUGGGGCUCACUUGGGUAGAAAAUAAAAACAAAUUUUACAUAAGAACUCAAAUUUUGACCAAUAUAAAAGUGGUAGGUUUCUUCAAAUUGAGCAACUUUCAUAAUUGGUACUUUUCUGAUUUUGAGUGGAAGGCGUUCAAAAACUGGGUUGAAGUUCGGCCAAAAUUUAAGUUUGAUUCAAAACCAGUUUGACCGGCGUUCUACCAAAGUUCCCUCGAUUUUAUCUCCAAAUCCGUCAAGUUUUUCACAUGUCAACCUUUAUAGAAGUUGGAGCCUAUAGUUUGAACUCCAACUUUUGUAUUUGGAGUUUUGACCGUGUAGUUCAAUUUUUGAGAGAAAAUGCGCACAGAAGAUCAGCCCUUCGCGCGCCACACGGGAACGCCAUGUGCGCUAGGCACGGUCACCGCGCCGCCCAACCGCCGGCAUCCCAGCGACAGCACAAGCGCCGUAGCUGGCCAACCCGCGCGCAUGCUAUCCUUCCCCCUGCAUGCCAUAUUCUGGCCGGCCAAUCGCCGUUCGUGCGCCAUGCCGCGCACUGGCGCACCGCACGGCCGCCGACCACUCCCGUGCGCCGCCCACUGCUCGUCCACCGCAGCGUCGCCCAAUGCGCAAAGACCCUGCGCUGGACGUUCCACUCCCUCUUCCUCCCCUUUGCCACUAUAAAAAGGGCAGCGCCCAUACUCGCCGGCCGCCUACCCGAAACCCCGUCGCCUGCCAUUGCCGCCGCCCCGUGGAGCCCUCACCUCCGGUCACCACUGCCGCCACCUAAGCACGCCAAGUACCGCCCUGACCCUCACUCCACCUUCCUAGCCCCACUCCCGGCCACCACCGUUGCCGCCCUCGUCGGAGCAGAGAUGGAAGCGGCUAUGCCGCCACUGCCUCGCUGAGUGCCGGCGCCGGUCACCCUCCGCCCCCAAGCCCUACAUCGGACAAGUAUCUGGUGAGCCCCUCAUCACUCUCCGCCCUUAGCCCACGCCCCCACGGCGGCCCCUCACCGGAAGCCCGAGGACCACAUUACGAACUUGAGUUUUGUCCUAGGCUUCUAAGUGUAAAUAUGUAGGGGUCUUGUUGUGAAAGUUUGAAAACUCUAAGGGUCCUGCUGUAAAAAUGAAAACUCAGAUUUGAAUAAAAUGCAUUUAAAUGGCUGCAAACUUGGAAAAUGCCUAGAAAAAUAUAUAAAAAUGAUAAAAAGGUGAAACUUGUUUUUUUAGUUCCUGAGGAUGUGUAGUUUAUUUCAAAAAUGUUCAUGGGCAUGUUACUAUUGCAUAUCUGAUGCUAUAAUUUAUUUUGUUCUAGACCUGUUAAAUGCCUUAUAAAUUAUCUGAUGACCUAAAAAUUGUGAAACCAAUUUUGUUAGCUUCCAUUUAACAUGUAUGUUCCAGAUCUACAACUUGUGUUAGUAGAAUCUAUGGUGCUCAUAUUGUUUUAAAUUUAAAUGCUUGAUUGCUGUCUUAAUAUUGUUAUUUGCAUGAUAAUUAGUGGAAAAUAGAUAAAAAUGCAAAGUAAAUUUUGUUAGAUUCUUGAUGCUCAUGUCUGACUAGUAAAAAUAUUUAUCCUUGUGGAAUAUGCAUUUUUGGUUGCUUAACAAAAUGCAUGUUGUUUAAUCUCCUUAUUAUGGAAUAAAUAGUUCUCAUACUUAUACAAUCCUAAUAAAUUCACAGUAGUCUAUGAUAGUAUUGAAAACCCUCCUGUAAAAUUUGUAUACUUAAAAUGAUGACAGGAAUCUAGUUAUAAAUCAUUCUUGAUAUCUGCAAAAUGACCAUAUUUGAUUUUUAGUAAAUUCGGUGGUUGUCAAAUCCAUCUCAAAUUUUUACAGUAGAUUUCUUGUGUAGGGGGAAAGCUCUUGUAAAUCAUUCAUGUUCAUAUACUAGCAGAUGCUUCCUGAACUUUUAUUCAUGUUAAAAGCUAGUUUAGUUAUGAAUGAUGAUUGCUACUAGGAUUUUAAGCUCACAAGUAAUUAUUUGUGUUCUUUAUCAGUAACAUGAUCACUCCUAAAAAGGUUACUAAACAGUACCAACAUGACACCCACUAUUGUCUUUUGAAUAAUAAGUUUCUAAGAAUUUUAUAUGUGUACACAAUCACCAUCAAAAUAAAUCUAUGUUUUCUUUCUAACCAUGCUUGUUUUGUGAAGAAAAGGAACGGUUAUAAACUUGUCUAGGUGAAUGUGACCAAAAUAAAGAGAAAUGUUAUAAACUUGUCUAGGUGAAUGAAUCUUAUGCAUAUGCAUCCCGGAGCCUAAAGAAGGACACCCUCCCACUGAGCUGAACCUGAUCGAGACGAACCAAGACCCAAACCAAGAUUCGGAAGAGCCCAAGGCUAACUUAGGACAAGAAGGCAAGCCCAAGAGCAUAACCCUGAUUUCUAAAGUUAUACCAUAUUCUUAUUACUUAUGUUUGUGCAUUAAGUUCAUAGGAGUUGUAUUGAAACCUUAGUUGCAUGCUCCUAGUGCCAAUGUUUUGAAUACUAGCAUGUUAGGUCACGUAGUUGCUAUGCUAAAUAGGGACACGGUAAAAGUCAAGUGAUUUCCUAUCACUCGCGAGCUAUAGGAGUUGUCUGUUUACUUAUGUUGGAAUCAUAAGGUUGACGGGCGGGGCUGGGUGCUAUGUUCCUGAAAUGGUUGACGCCCCAUUUGUAUAGAGGAAAAUUGCUAAGGUCAAACCGUGUCGGUGUUCAUGGUCAAGUGUUUGAAUGUACUAAACACAUGCUGAGAGUAUGGGGGAAUCAGUAAGUCUAGUACUUGAUUGAACCGGUGUGGACCUUUUUCCCCGCUCUCUCUGGGACUAGGUUCCCUUGGUGCAUCAUGUGGGUAUAAGUGCAGCCACGGCACGGCGUCGUUUCGAGGACUGGUGGGGCCUUGUAUCCAAGGAAGUGGGCUUUGGACAAGCGUCAUGGAUCGAUGGGAACCGUUGAUAAUAUGUGAACCUGUCAUGGUGCACAUAUGCCGUGUGUUUAGAUCCACCUUGCAAGGUUAAGAAAUUCGAUUCGAAUCGUCUGCUUCUCACAGUUUGGGACUACUUGAUCACUAUGCUGCAUUGAGUAAGAAGAUGAACAAUGAUGAUGCUUAAUAUUGAUGCUUGACGCUUGUUCUACCAUGUUUGCUUAGAAUAGGUGCUUAUCUAGAAUGGUUAAUCAACUAGAACUUGAUGCUAAAACUUGAAAGUAAGGAUCCACUUUAGAAGCUUUUGGCAAAAACAAACCCCUCAGCCAAAAAGCCUUGCAUGUAUAGGAGUUGGUGGAUUAGAUGCCACCUGACGGCUAAGUCUUGCGGAGUAUUAGUAUACUCAACCUUGUUGUGGCUAUGUUUUCAGGUAAUGAUGUUGAUGAUGUGGUUGCUAGUGUGACUUGGCCGUACCAACUCCCUCCGGGAUGAACGGUUGAGUGGGACCCGUCCUCGGUGGGCGAGGAUUGUGGUGAGUGAUGUCAUGGAUGGGUUCACCAUGAUACUAUGUACUGUCGUUAGACUAUCGUUUCACCAUGAUACCAUUUGAACUCUGAACUACUUUAUGAUUUGAACUCGGUUUGUAAUAAAUAAUUUGAGACGUCUGUAAUGUUACAUUUGGAUUGUUGUAAUCUCUGGGCCCAUCUUCGUACAAGUACUAUGUGCUUGUUUUGAUUGGAAAUACAUGGUUGUAUUAGGUGAAACCCGAUAGACUACCAUUUUUAUCCGAUUAAAGUGUCUGUUCGUAUUUGAGGUGAUAUUUAGUACACUUUAGCCGGGUUAAUUUGGGUGGUUCUGCCACAGCCGGAUUGGAGUAGGGCCUAUCUCUAUUUUUCUAUGUGCAUAUAGAAGGCAUGUCAUUAACUGCCAAAAUUAAUCCUUGUUAUUUUUAGAAGAAUGUUGGAUUUUUUUUUGGGAGGGGGGGUUUAAAAUUUUAAUUGGGAACCUUGAAACUUACCAUCAAGAGUGUGCGCCUCUUCAGUCUUCAGGUGGUAUCGUGUUUCCAUGAGUAGGAAGAAUUCGGAGUCUUUUGCAAUUUACUCUUUUCAGAUUGUAACUUGAUAAGAAGUUGGGACUGAAAAGAAUAACAGCUAGGUGGUAUUCACUGUUCAGACUACCUUUUCCGCAUGUAGAGUAUGUUUCAAUUAUUCUUCUAUCAUUUUGCUGUUGCAUAUGGACAUGUUUCAUACUACCUUCUAUUAGACUAAUAAUUAUGAGUUUCACAAAUAACAAUUUUAAAUUCACCAAUUCCAUCCACUUAAAAGUUGGGACCUAGAAAAUAAAAAAAUAUAAAAAACAUUUUAAUUUCCAUUGGAAUAGAAAAGGUGUCAUGCUCAUCCUAAAUAAGGCAGAACCAAGUGCACGUAUAACCUAAGCCAAUAUCACCCUACCACCCUCGCAGGUUAGAUAUAGGGGGUGUUUGGGAGAGGGGUGCUAAACUUUAGCAUCCCCACUUUAGUCCAUUUUAGUCACUUAUGCUCCCAAACAGGUGAGCUAAAACUGGUGGACUAAAUUUUAGGCCCCCACUAAUCCCUUAGUCACUUGGGGUAGCACAUGUAUUAGUUGAUGACUAUGUUUCAUAAGUCAUUGACAUGGAGAUGCUGAACUAAUAAUGUGGGCACAUGUGGAGACAUGUGCUAGGACUGACCCAACACGAGAAGUAGUUCUCUCUUUAAACAACAUAUACGCUUUGUCCUUAGACCUGAGAUUGUCGCAUGUAUUCAAGAUGUGGAUCGACCUACUUAGGGGCUAUCAAACGCUACGCCGUAACAGGGUAGUUAUAAAGAUAGCUUUCGGGUUUAUCAAGAAGCAUGCUAUGAGACAUGGUCAAUCAAGAUGGGAUUUGCCCCUCUCUGAUUGAGAGUGAUAUCUCUGGGCCCCUCGAGUGAUCGGAUCUGAAAAUGCAUGGCCAUGCUACGUACGGUUAAGAGUUAACCUACAAAGGGAUUCCGAAUCACAGGAUCGAGAAAGAGCGGUCGGCUUGAAGCUAGACCAAAUAUCGUGAGGCAAAGGGAAUAACAUGUAUAUUAUGUUGUGAUGGUUCGUCUGAUAUGAUCUUCGUGUGCGUAUAGGAGUUGGCACGUCUUGCUAGAGGCCGCUACCGACUAUUGGGCCGAGUAGGAGUACUCGGGCCAUGUCUAUACGUAUCCGAACCCAUAGGGUCACACACUUAAGGGUCUGGAAGCCCAAUUCGGAUGUGAUCCGAGUUGGAUUAGGUUUAGAAGUACUAAUGGGCCUCGGACUCAGAGGCCCGUUAGGAACCUCUAUAAAUAGAGGGGUGGGGGCGCCCUAGGGUUUACACCUUUUUGGCGAAACACAUCUGCUGCGCCUUCCACGCCCUCGCCUGUUGCAAAUCGCGGAUCUAGCAGUCCGGCUUGCGACGCUUCCUCCCUGCACGUGUGGAUACCUUGGAGGUGUUGCGCCUUCAGCACUUGGACAAGCCGCCGACGAGCCACGACGAGCCGCUGACGAGCCGCGGCACGAGAGAGAUCUUGCUGCACGUGGACGAGCUGCUGAGGAGCUACUGGACGUCGACGUGAUCGACUACGUACGACUAUGCUGAUCCACUUCGGUGCAUCGACGCGAAUCUACAUCUUCCGCACCAGUAGGGCGUCGAGUGGUAAUCCCGUGAUCCUUAUACGGCAGUUUUCCUGGUUUACGCGGUAGAAAAUUUUGUUUUGCGCUAGUGUAGCCUACCUCGUAUCUCUACAAUGGUAUCAGAGCCGUAGCUGCUUUGUUUUGGAUUUGGGAUGUGGGCAUAUGGAGAUAUGCGAGUUUUCAGUUUGAUCUAUGUCCAAGUUUCGUGUUCUUGCUGCAAUGGUAGUGUAACGACAUACUCCUACCAGUCGGUUUCCGCCAUCGGAGUUAAGUGAUACAUGUAAUUCCAGUUGCAGUGAGCGAAGAUCAAUGUGAUUGGUCGAAUCGAAAUCCAGGUUCAUACGCCAGGUGCAUGAUAUGUGCAGGUCGGAAUUUUUGCCGUGUGCGUAUGCUUCGGUAAAUCAGCCGUAACUUUUCGGUACGAUCUCGGAUUGGGGCGAAUUUUAUAUGAAAAUUGAUCUACAGAAAAAGUUACACAUGAAAUUCAACCGCUUCGCCAUUUUCGGCGAAAUUAGAUUUCCCAAAUUUGGCUUGGAAUAUGGAGUUUCGGGCAUCCGAAGUUUGGACCGUUAGGACACUUAACUCUGUUUUGCAGUAUGUAUGUAUGUAUCUUGUGAUCAGUAUGGCCCCUUUGUGUAUGUGAUGCAUGUGUGUAACUCAUUCGUGACCUGCGUGUCGCGCGUACGGCAACACGACAGGAGCCAUAUGUGUUGUCACCUUAAUAUAUUUAAUGGUCCGCGUACUAAUCUGUGAUGAUCCAAGCAACUAUGUAAUCUUCAUUACUAGCUUCCUUACUAGCUAUUAGGCGUAAUAGCAUGUUCUAGUUCUUGGAGGACUCAUCACCAGGAGGAUGGCGCACAUGGAACAUGGAGAUGGAGAUCACCAUGGUGAACAGGUUCUAUGGAGAUGGAGAUCACCAUAUGAAAACGGGCCAUACUGUGUCACAACUGUGUGAAUGCUAUUCUGUUUAUGUUUUACUUUCUGCAUGCUGUGAUGUUAGAAGUAGAACGAUCCCUCACAAAGUUUAAGUAAGUAUGCCCUCCCAACUAAAACUUGCACCGUCCCAUGUCUUGUACAAUUAGUGGUGGGUCUAUGAAAAUAGGGUGCCACUAGUUUUCCUUGAUUAGACGGGUUUGUGUCGGCACUUACACGCAUAAGGGUUGGUUUGCUUAACAAGGUUAACUUAACGGUUAAGGAUCUUGGGGCAUAAAGGUUGGGCGUCGAGAUAUGGAGAUGUCACCCAACAACAGGAGUCAUAUGUGAUAUGAUUAGCAAAAGUUGCGUACCGAUCUACCUUGUUUUGCUAGCGGUGAUGCUAAAGCUCACUAGUAGACUUGUUAGUUGUGGAUCCUGAAUCACUAAGUAUCAAUAGAGGGAUAUUGAUUUUAGUGGGAGUAGAUUCUGUUAAAAUAGUUUAAUGUAAUUUGCUCUAUCAUGGAUACGUUUGUCUUAGUGUAUUUUGCAUUACUUUUGUUGUAGAUUAAAUGACACCUAGCAACACCACACCGUUUGCUUUGCGUUCGGUCCUUGAGAAGGACAAGUUGAAUGGAACAAACUACUCGGAUUGGAUCCAUAACCUGAGAAUUGUUCUCAGGGCCGAUAAAAAGGAAGAUGUUCUAGACACCCCACUACCACCAGUACCUGCUAAUGAUGCAUCUGCUGCCGUUAAGGCUGCUUACAAGAAGGCAUUCGAUGCUAAUUUUGAGGUAAGCUGCCUUAUGAUUGCUUGCAUGGAACCCGAGCUGCAGAUGCAGUUCGAAACAAAUCAUGAGGCACACGAUAUGAUUGUGGCGCUCAAGGACAUGUUCCAGACACAGGCUAGGACUGAAAGGUUCAAUGUGUCCAAAGCCUUUCUGGAGUGCAAGCUAGCAGAAGACGCAGCAGUAGGACCACAUGUAAUCAAGAUGGUUGGUUACACUCAGCGAUUGGAGAAACUGGGCUUCCCAAUGGGCAAAGAGUUGGCCACUGACUUCAUUCUUUUAUCUCUUCCGCCUAGCUAUGGGAACUUCAUCUCGAACUACCAUAUGCAUGGGACGGAGAAGGAUCUGAAUGAACUGCUUGGUAUGCUCAAGACAGCAGAGGUAGACAUUAAGAAAAGCGCUAGUACCAGCCAUGUGAUGGCUGUACAGAACAAGCCUACCUUCAAGAAGAAGGGCAAUUCUUGGAAGAAGAAGGGUAAGGUUGGAGUGUCCAAGCCAAACCUAGCGCCCAAGGCUAAAGCUGGACCUGCUCUAGAUAAAGAGUGCUUUUAUUAUCACGAACCUGGUCACUGGAAGAGAAACUGCAAGUAGUACCUAGCUUCAUUGAAGAAUGGCGGAAGUAAGAGUACUUCUACCUCAGGUACGCUUGUUGUUAAUGUUAUAGACAACAUUUUUCUCGCUGAUACAAUUAUUAAUUCUUGGGUAUUUGAUACCAGAUCGGUUGCUCAUAUUUGCAAUUCGAUGCAGGGAAUGAUAAGAAGUAGAAGCGUGGAAAGAGGAGAAGUUGAUUUCCGUGUGGGCAAUAAUGCAAGAGUUGCUGCGUUGACCGUCGGGACGAUGCAACUCCACCUCCCGUCAGGAUUUAUUAUGGAGUUGAAUAAUUGUUAUUUCGUUCCUAGUUUAAGUCGAAACAUUUUGUCUCCUUCAUGCUUGAUGAACGAUGGUUAUUCAUUUGCGAGUGAAAACAACGGUUGUAUGAUCUCUAAGAAUGAUAUGUUUAUGGCUUUUGCACCCAUUGUGAAUGGAUUAUUUGUUUUACAUCUUGAUGGUUCACCUGUCUGUAACGUAAGUGCUAAAAGGCCUCGGCCUAAUGAUUUGAGUCCUACCUACUUGUGGCAUUGUCGUUUGGGUCAUAUAAGUGAAAAACGCAUGAAGAAGCUCCAUUCUGAUGGACUUCUAACUUCGUUUGAUUUUUCAAUCAUACGAGACAUGUGAGGCUUGCUAGGCAAGAUGACCAAGACGCCUUUCACAGGAUUUCCUGAAAGAGCAGUAGACUUGUUGGAACUCGUACAUAGUGAUGUAUGCGGACCAAUGAGCACGACGGCUAGAGGAGGAUUCCAAUACUUCAUAACUUUCACUGAUGAUUUUAGUAGAUAUGGCUAUGUCUACUUGAUGAGGCACAAGUCUGAAACCUUUGAAAAGUUCAAGGAAUUUCAUAAUGAAGUUGAAAAUCAGGGUGACAAGAAAAUUAAGGCCUUACGAUCUGAUCGUGGAGGCGAGUAUUUGAGCCACGAGUUUAGCAAUCAUCUAAAGAGUUGCGAAAUUGUUCCACAACUUACGCCGCCUGGAACACCUCAGAGAAAUGGUGUAUCCGAGCGACGUAAUCGAACUUUGUUAGACAUGGUUCGAUCAAUGAUGAGCCAGUCGGACCUACCGUUGUUAUUUUGGGGAUACGCUCUAGAAAUAGCAGCUUUCACACUUAAUAGGGUACCAUCUAAAUCCGUAGUUAAGACACCAUAUGAGAUGUGGACUGGAAAGGUUCCCAGUUUGUCUUUUCUAAAGAUUUGGGGAUGUGAAGUGUUUGUCAAGCGACUUCAGUCGGACAAGAUCACACCCAAGUCGGAUAAGUGCAUUUUCAUGAGAUAUCCAAAGGAAACUUUGGGAUAUUAUUUCUACAACCGGUCAGAGGGCAAAGUGUUUGUCGCUCGAAACGGGGUUUUCCUAGAGAAAUAGUUUCUCAAAGGAGAAAAGAGUGGAAAGACAUAGCAUCUUGAAGAAGUUCAAGAUGAGCCAAUCGGGCAAGAAUCAAUGAGUGAUGCUAACAUAGCAGAACAAGUUGAGAUACCCAUGGCAAGAGAAGCACCGCCACAACCACGAAGGUCGGCAAGGCUCCGCGAAAUGCGGGAAAUAUUAUUGUUGGACAAUGAUAAGCCUGCGACAUAUGCAGAAGCAAUGAUGGACCCAGACUCUGAAAAAUGGCAGAGUGCCAUGCAAUCCGAAAUAGAGUCCAUGGGAGACAAUCAAGUUUGGAACUUGGUUGACCCAUCUGAUGGUGUUAAAGCCAUAGAGUGCAAAUGGAUCUAUAAGAAGAAAAAGGACAUGGAUGGAAAUGUUCACAUCUAUAAAGCACGACUUGUCGCAAAAGGUUUUCGACAAGUUCAAGGAGUUGACUACGACAAGACUUUCUCGCCCGUAGUGAUGCUUAAGUCCAUUCGGAUUAUUCUAGCUAUAGCUGCAUAUUUCGAUUAUGAGAUAUGGGAGAUGGAUGUCAAGAAAGCUUUCCUGAAUGGAAACCUAGCUGAGGACGUGUAUAUGAUACAGCCUGAGGGUUUUGUCGAUCCGAAAAAUGCUAGAAAGGUAUGCAAACUUCAAAGAUCCAUUUAUGAAUUGAAGCAAGCAUCUAGGAGUUGGAACAUUCGUUUUGAUGAAGUGGUCAAAGGGUUUGACUUCACCAAGAACGAAGAAGAGUCUUGUGUUUACAAGAAGGUUAGUGGGAGCUCUGUAGUAUUUCUAAUCUUAUAUGUGGAUGAUAUAUUGCUGAUUGGAAAUAACAUUCCUAUGCUUGAGUCCGUAAAGACUUCACUGAAAAAUAGUUUUUCGAUGAAGGACUUAGGGGAAGCGGCAUAUAUUCUGGGCAUUAAGAUCUAUAGAGAUAGAUCGAGAAGGCUUAUAGGAUUAAGCCAAGAUACUUACAUUGACAAAGUGUUGAAGCGGUUCAGCAUGGAAAAGGCAAAGAAAGGGUUCUUGCCUAUGUCACAUGGCAUACAUCUCAGCAAGACUCAGUGUCCUUCGAUUGCUGAUGAGCGGGAUCGCAUGAGUAGAGUGCCAUAUGCCUCGGCUAUUGGAUCUAUCAUGUAUGCAAUGAUAAGUACUCGCCCAGAUGUUUCAUAUGCGCUAAGUAUGACAAGCAGACACCAGUUUGAUCCAAGUGAGAGUCACUGGAUAGCGGUGAAAAAUAUUCUUAAGUACUUGAGAAGGACUAAAGAUAUGUUCCUCGUCUAUGGAGGUAAGGAGGAGCUCGUUGUAACAGGUUACACCGAUGCUAGUUUCCAAACCGACAGAGAUGAUUCAAAGUCACAAUUAGGAUUUGUGUUCACGCUAAAUGGUGGUGCUGUUAGUUGGAAGAGUUCCAAGCAGGAGACGGUGGCCGAUUCUACGACAGAAGCCGAGUACAUCGCGGCUUCGGAAGCCGCGAAGGAGGGUGUUUGGAUAAGGAAUUGCCUCAUUGAGCUUGGUGUGUUCCCGAAUGCGUCCAGCCCAUUGAAUCUCUACUGUGAUAACAAUGGGGCAAUUGCGCAAGCAAAGGAGCCAAGGAACCACCAGAAGAACAAACACGUAAUGCGGCGAUUUCAUCUCAUUCGAGACUUCGUUAACCGGGAUGAGAUCAAGAUAUGCAAAAUACACACGGAUCUGAACAUUUCUGAUCCGUUGACAAAACCACUCCCGCAGGCUAAGCAUGAUGCGCAUGUAAGAGCUAUGGGUAUUAGGUACCUUCUAGAUUGACUCUAGUGCAAGUGGAAGACUGUUGGAGUAUGCCCUAGAGGCAAUCAUAGAGAUGAUGAUAUUCCAUUUGUAUCCAUGAUUUAUAUUGUGUUCCUUGAAUAUCCAUUAAAGGCUACUUGAAUUGAUUUGCAAUUAUGUGAAUUGUGUGUGAAACUCUUUACUUGUAUGGUUAUUCUAAAGUUGUCCCUAGUCGGAGUUCAUGAGAGGACACACAUGAAUAUUAGACUAGCACAUGUAUUAGUUGAUGACUAUGUUUCACAAGUCAUUGACAUGGAGAUGCUGAACUAAUAAUGUGGGCACAUGUGGAGACAUGUGCUAGGACUGACCCAACACGAGAAGUAGUUCUCUCUUUAAACAACAUAUACGCUUUGUCCUUAGACCUGAGAUUGUCGCAUGUAUUCAAGAUGUGGAUCGACCUACUUAGGGGCUAUCAAACACUACGCCAUAACAGGGUAGUUAUAAAGAUAGCUUUCGGGUUUGUCAAGAAGGAUGCUAUGAGACAUGGUCAAUCAAGAUGGGAUUUGCCCCUCUCUGAUUGAGAGUGAUAUCUCUAGGCCCCUCGAGUGAUCGGAUCUGAAAAUGUAUGGCCAUACUACGUACGGUUAAGAGUUAACCUACAAAGGGAUUCCGAAUCACAGGAUCGAGAAAGAGCGGUCGGCUUGAAGCUAGACCAAAUAUCGUGAGGCAAAGGGAAUAGCAUGUAUAUUAUGUUGUGAUGGUUCGUCUGAUAUGAUCUUCGUGUGCGUAUAGGAGUUGGAUUAGGUUUAGAAGUACUAAUGGGUCUCGAACCCAGAGGCCCGUUAGGAACCUCUAUAAAUAGAGGGGUGGGGGCGCCCUAGGGUUUACACCUUUUUGGCGAAACACAUCUGCUGCGCCUUCCACGCCCUCGCCUUUUGCAACUCAUGGAUCUAGCAGUCCGGCUUGCGACGCUUCCUCCCUGCAUGUGUGGAUACCUUGGAGGUGUUGCGCCUGCAGCACUUGGACGAGCCGCCGACGAGCCACGACGAGCCGUCGACGAGCCGACGACGAGCCGCGGCACGAGGGAGAUCUUGCUGCACGUGGACGAGCUGCUGAGGAGCUACUGGACGUCGACGUGAUCGACUACGUACGACUACGCUGAUCCACUUCGCUGCAUCGACGCGAAUCUACAUCUUCCGCACCAGUAGCGCGUCGAGUGGUAAUCUCGUGAUCCUUAUAUGGCAGCUUUCCUGGUUUACGCGGUAGAAAAUUUUAUUUUGCGCUAGUGUAGCCUACCUCGUAUCCCUACACGCCUCACCCGCCGCCUCCGCCUCGCCGCCGCCUCCGCCCCGCCGCCGCCCGCCGCCUCUGCCUCGCCGCCACCGCUGCCGCCACCUCCGGCCGGCCCCGCCCGCCCCCGCGGCCUCCGCCCCACCCUCGGAGAUCCGCCUGUAGUCCCACCGCACGGCUUCGGCGAUGGCCUGCGCGCGGCCGCCGGCGAGGGCCUGGGCCCUGCGGAGCUUGGCGCGAAGGGCGGCAGCCGCGGCCGUUAGCGGCGUCGCGGACUGCGAGAGCAUCCAUGGUGCGACGAGAGGAACAGGUGGUGCUCCUGCGUAUGAGAGGGUUCAGGGUCUUGAUGAAGGCCAUGGCCGUACAUCCUCCAGCCCCGGGCGCGGGGAGCCUUCGCCGCCGCUGCCGCUCGAGUACUACGGCCCGAGGGCAGCUGCCGCCGCGGCACCGUCCGAGUAUAUGGUCGCCUCCGUGUACUCCACGCCGUGCAUCACCUCGCCGCCGUCGCGGCACUGGCCGGCGUCCUGGAGGGGCAACUAUGCAGGGGUAAAAGGGUCAUUUGGCAUAGCAUGUGCUAAACUUUAGCACCCCUCCCAAACACCCCCAAAGGCUAAAGUUUAGCACUCUUUUUGAGAGGGCUAAAAUUUAGUUCAGGACUAAAUUUUAGCACCCUCCUCCCAAACAGGGUCAUAUACAAAGUGUUACAAAGCGUUAACUAGCUAGUAGCCCCUGGACAAGGACAACGCUGGGGUCAAACACUCACACACUGAUACACUGCAAUAUUUUACUCGUACAAAUCAAAAUGAGCGCUGAAAUUCGAAACGUAAUAGCCACACAACUGCCAAUAAUACUUCAACAUCUACUUAACCAAUGAAUUAGAUGACAACUUCAGUGGCUGCGACAGAUUUCGGGUACAUACACUGCUUGCCGCAAUAGCAAAUGCUUAGAGGGUGUUUGGGAUAGGGGUGCUAAACUUUAGCACCCUCACUUUAGUCCAUUUUAGUCACUUGUGCUCCCAAACAGGUGAGCUAAAACUGGUGGACUAAAUUUUAACCCCCACUAAUCCUUUAGUCACUUGGGGUAGCUAAAAUGGACUAAAUGGACUAAAAAGUGGUCCCCCGGACCACUUUCCCCCUACCCCCCUCCCCUCUCUCUCCUCCCCUCAGUCUCUCUCUCUCCUCGCCUCCUUCGCCCGAACCGCCGCCUCCAACUCGCCGGGCCGCCUCCGCCUCGCCGCCAUCCUUCUCCGUCCGGCCGCCGCCUCCGCCUCCGCCUUGCCGCCGCCGCCUCCGUCUCCGGCCGGCCCCGCCGUCGCUGCCCACCCCCGCGGCCUCGCCUCGCCGGCCCUCGCGCCGGCCCCGCCCGCCCAUGCGGCCUCGCCUCGCUGGCCACUGCGGCGUCGCCGGACCUAUCGCUGCACAUCAGCCUGCCGAGCAGCGCGCCCGGGGCCGGGCCGUCCGGCGGGCGCGCCGCGGUAGGGGGAGCAGGCGGAGUAGGAGUAGGAGGCGCGGGGGGAGACCCGUGGUGGAGGCUAAACGGGUCCACGGUGUCGACGGAGCUGUUGCCGCCGGCUGAGCAGGACCAUGCGGGCGCGCGCCCUCUGGCGGCAUCGCCCGUCGGCGACGGCCGCGCCCUCCGUGGCCACCACGUCGGCGGGCGCGGCGCUGAUGCCCACUAUGCCGAUGCUGCAGCCGCUUGACGGCGGGGGCGGGCUAGCCGGCGGAGGAGGGGGCGCAUCGUUGGCGAACAGGGCCGGAAUCCGGGGAAUACCUGUCCGCCGUGCUGCUGCUCGCUGCCGUGCGGCACUGGCUGGCGACGAAGGGGCUGAGAAGGAGCGGGUGGCGAUCCGAAGGGGCAGCUAUACAGGGGUAAAAGGGUCAUUUGGCACAGCAGGUGCUAAACUUUAGCCUCCCUCCCAAACACCCCCAAGGCUAAAACCCCCAAAGGCUAAGUUUAGCGCUCUUUUUGAGAGGACUAAAAUUUAGUUCAGGACUAAAUUUUAGCACCUUCCUCCCAAACAGGACCUUAAUUGAACAGUGCAGACGACCAUGCCAAUAACAAACUAGGGCAGCAUUUAUUAAAGGAGGACAAUCAGAUAUACAUGGAUUUGAACCUCUGAACAAAUUACCAAGCAAAUUCAAUCAGCAGAUGGGACAAAGAGGAAACUUAAUGACACCCAAGCGCUUGCAUUGAACAAUUGCCAACAGACACAUCAAUCUCAGGUAUCGCCGAGUCCGAAUAUUAAAACUGCAUGUAAACGUCACAACCGAGUAACAGACCGAGGGCACAUUGCCAGCAGAGAUAUCACGAGACAACAGCAAUGACCGGGGACAAAACUAAUAUGUGAUAGUGAAAGUUAUCUAGGUAUCGCAAAAGCAGACACAGGAUUAACCACCAGGCGCAUCAUUUCUUCUUGGCGGCAGCCUUGGUAACCUUGGCGCCGGUCGGGUCCUUCUUCUCCACGCUCUUGAUGACUCCCACAGCAACUGUCUGUCUCAUGUCACGGACAGCGAAGCGACCAAGAGGAGGGUACUCAGAGAAGGUCUCCACCACCAUGGGCUUCGUGGGAAUCAUCUUCACCAUACCAGCAUCACCGUUCUUCAGGAACUUGGGCUCCUUCUCAAGCUCCUUACCGGAUCGCCUGUCGAUCUUGGUAAUGAGCUCAGCAAACUUGACAGCUAUGUGGGAGGUGUGGCAGUCCAGCACUGGGGCGUAGCCGUUGCCGAUCUGCCCAGGGUGGUUCAUGAUGAUGACCUGGGAGGUGAAGCUGGCAGCCUCCUUGGCAGGGUCAUCCUUGGAGUUGGAGGCCACGAACCCACGCUUGAGAUCCUUGACAGCAACGUUCUUCACGUUGAAGCCAACGUUGUCACCAGGAAGGGCCUCCUGGAGAGCCUCGUGGUGCAUCUCAACAGACUUCACCUCAGUAGUCAGGCCAGUUGGACCAAAGGUGACAACCAUACCAGGCUUGAUGAUACCGGUCUCAACACGGCCAACAGGGACGGUUCCAAUACCACCAAUCUUGUACACAUCCUGAAGGGGGAGACGCAGGGGCUUGUCCGAAGGCCUCUUGGGCUCGUUGAUCUGGUCAAGAGCCUCGAGCAGGGUUGGGCCCUUGUACCAGUCAAGGUUGGUGGACCUCUCAAUCAUGUUGUCACCCUCGAAACCGGAGAUGGGGACGAAGGCAAUCUUGUCAGGGUUGUAACCCACCUUCUUCAGGUAGGAGGAGACUUCCUUAACAAUCUCAUCAUAACGGGCCUUGGAGUACUUGGGAGUGGUGGCGUCCAUCUACGAACAGAUUAUCAAUAAAACAUCAUUAUUAGCUUAACUGAAGAGAUCGCAUGAACAGCAGACAAACUGUAUAUACACAAGAACAGUAUCAAUUAAUGUUAAAUGGCACACGGCACUAGUUUAGGGAAUAAAGUUGUAGCUAAAUUCUAACAAAGCACAUUAUUACUAAAUACUAACAAAGCACAUUAAUUAACAAUACCAAUCAUAGGAAGAUGGUUAAAUAACACAACUUGUGUUCUCAUUCUGUAUGCUACAUUUCAAACUUCAUAAAACUACUCAAAGCAGUUGAGAGAGAAACUUAAAACAAAAUUACAGAAAAAACAUUUCUGCACAUAUAUCAGAAAAUGCAAUUCAAUGAAGGUGAACUGCUACUAUCAAACAUAAAUAUGUAGGAAACAGCUGGUUCAAAAAUAGGCACUUAAUGCACUGACAAAUUCAAUACCAAACUUGCAUACCCCAUCACUAGCAAUGCUUUUGGAACGGAAGGAGUACAAUUUAGUGCAAAUGAAUAAAAAUGGACUACUGGCAUGUGUAAUUAAGGGCAUUUCAGAUCAUGAACCAUAAUGAGAUAGGGAUUUCUGGAAUUAUACCUUGUUGCAGCAGCAAAUCAUCUGUUUCACUCCAAGAGUGAAAGCAAGGAGAGCAUGCUCACGGGUCUGGCCAUCCUUGGAGAUACCAGCCUCAAAACCACCAGUGGUGGAGUCAAUGAUGAGGACAGCACAGUCAGCCUGGGAGGUACCAGUGAUCAUGUUCUUGAUGAAGUCACGGUGUCCAGGGGCAUCAAUGACUGUGCAGUAGUACUUGGUGGUCUCGAACUUCCACAGGGCAAUAUCAAUGGUGAUACCCCUCUCACGCUCAGCCUUGAGCUUGUCAAGCACCCACGCGUACUUGAAGGACCUCUUGUUCAUCUCAGCGGCCUCCUUCUCGAACCUCUCGAUCACACGCUUGUCGAUACCUCCAAGCUUGUAGAUCAGGUGGCCUGUGGUGGUUGACUUGCCAGAGUCGACAUGGCCAAUGACCACGAUGUUGAUGUGGGACUUCUCCUUACCCAUGGCUGCAGGUGAAGCUUAAACCGCUGCAUGAGAGCAAACGAGCAAGUAUUAGCACAGAAUUUGGAAGCCACUAAUAUAAACACUUUUACAAGACAGUAACAAAACAAUUUUACAGACCUGAUCUGAAACUAGAUCAAAAAAGGACGUUGCGACUAAAUAAACAUAAACUAUACAGCCCGAUACAUAGCAGCAGCCUCUCAAAAAUAACGGAAUUACAGUAGCUACAUCUAAACAUCCGAUCCACAAGUACAACUAACAAAUCAACCUACAGUUUCUAAUUAAUUAUCCAGAUCCAGAUGAAUCCAUCCAUAAAAAUCAAAUCCUCGAAUCAAGCGAACACACGAAACCCACAAACCCUACGGAAUCGGAGAUGCGAGUAUCAACAACCCAAACACUACCAGACUGCCAAAUCGACAACCCAAUCACUACCGGGCAGCCAAAUCGACAACCCAAUCACUACCGGACUGCCAAAUCCACAACGCAAUCACUACCGGACUGCCAAAUCGCUAUUGGCCCGAGGAGGCAACCCUGGACAACAUCGAUCCCGUGGAGACAGCAUCGAGGAGCACAGAUCGAGUAACGCAGAAGAAACGGCACCUGAGGAAGCGAAGGAGGGGGCGUCGGGAGGAUGAGGAGGCGGAGGCGCAGGUGACGGCGCGUCGGCGACUCGCCGCUCGUGCACUCCCGGUCUGCGGCGGCUGACUGCGUCUGGGGUAUUUGCGGUCCGACGGGAUGGAGCUAGGUUUUAACUUAAGGAAGUGCGAUAGGGCACCACGAAUGGGCUAUUUGGGCCAGAAAGUCAUCCGAUGGGCCAAAAAUGAGCAAACACGGCGUAUUAUCGCUGGAAUUUCUUUUGGAAAUAAUAUGUGUAGUUUUUUUUGGUCAAAAAACGCGAUGAGAUUGUGAGCGUCCGUGGCUUCUCAGAAAUCCGACUAUGGUUUGGUGGUACCCAAAGUGUUGAUUGUACACUCCAAACUUAUUCUGAAGUUCAAUUAUAACUUUUACACUAACUGUUCUAUAUUGAUCGUGCCCCUCCUAAUGGAUUGGUGAGCUUGGUAACUUGUUUACUCGCACCUCGCUAUGAUUUAUAUUCUCAUGCUCCAGCAUCAAUACCUCUAUAUAUAAUACCUCUAUAUAUAAAAGCUGCUGGAAUCAGCGUACUAUUAUCCUAAACGCUAAACGGUCACUUUAGUGUUGAGAUGGUUUAUACAGUGUUUCAAUGUUGAGAUGGUUUAUACAGUGUUUAAAUGGAAUUGAGCGGUCUAAUUAGUUUUGCACUUUAUCACUAAAUUAUACAUAAUCAUGCUCAUAAAAUAGUAAGUAUUCUAAUCUAGAAAGUAUAUAUAUUUAUGCAUAUAAAAUACUAAGUGCAUGUAUUCAUAUUUAUCUAUGAAAAAACUUAAGUAUAUAUUUUUAUGGAAGUAAGAAUUGAAGUUCACCUGAACAGUGUAUUAAAUAGCUAUUUAGCCUGUAUAAUGGCAUUUAAUUUCAUUCUGUUUAGGCCGUUUAGCGUGUUUAAUUCUGUUUUUUUAACCGUUUAAACUCAUUUCUGUUUAAUGAACCGUUUAUAGUCUAAACUAAAUACUUGGCCUUCGUCCAUUGUUUAGACGCCGUUUAAACGGCUAUUUAGGCCGUUCAGAUUUCGAACACUGCCUCCUGUGCUAUACUACAGCGUAACAGCAGAGCUUUUCUGGUGGUGAGCACCGUACGCCUGUGCUGCCAUGGCUACUGCGCCGUGAGUGCUGAAAAAAACUGUUCCAACAGCUGUUCUUUUUUUCUUUUUGAGCUUUGUUACGAUGCUUUGCAUUAAAAAAAAUUAAAUAGAUUUAAACAUAAUUAAAAGGAUAUCAUAGUAAUUUCUCACUAUUUUUGAUUCUUGGUCCUACCAAAUUGAUACCUCUUGGUAUUUCUCUUUAGAUAUUUCAUGGUAUUUUCUUUGUUUCCACCAUUCGAUUUCGCUGGAUGUACGGCUCUUAUUUUUUAAGCACUCUAAAAAAUUCUCUUUUUUUAAAGAUUAAAAUGCAUCAAUGGUCCACAACUGUGGUACAUCAACUCCAAAGUGCACUUCUAGUUCCGUAAAUUUUUAAGUUGUUCACCGCAUAGCGGUGACACGUCAUGCUGAUUGUGCAUCUCCUACCUCGAUUCAGUUCGAUUUCUUUGAAAAUCGUUCCAAUCUCAAACACCAAAUCCCGUUCCUGCUCCUGCUCCCUCCCCGUUCCUGCAGCCCGCCGCAUGGGAGGGGCUCACCGGAGGCAAAGAAACCCUCGCACGCUCCAGCUCCCUCGCUGGGAGGAGCUGGUCGUGGACACGAACAUGCCUGCGUAUGGAUGACCUGGAGCACCGUGAGAUGAAGAUGACGGCGAGGCUGCUGAACCGCGUAUCCGCCGAAGCUCAUCUCGCCCACAUGUUUGACUAAAUGCGCCAGCCAAAGAUCAUGAGAAGCGACGAAGAGGAAGAGAGAUGAGAGAGGAAAUGUAAGGUCAAUGUGCCUGUCAGCACUAGGGCUUAAUGUGGAGGGGUAUAGACCUACGAUAAACGAUUUAAAAAGUUUAUGGAUCCAGAAAUAUACUUUCAGAGUUCUUGAUGGAUCUCCGGUGCAUUUUACUCUUUUUAAAACUAUUUGCUGAUGUACUCAUUUUCACUUCUAUAUAGCUUUAUAAUAACACUAGCAGAAAUGCUCGUGCGUUGCUACGGGUCCUUACUUGCUCUCACGUUAUUAUUCGCUUGUUUCUAAUAUGUUGGCUUCACUUCAUAAUAUGUUGGUGGGUUGUCCCUAAUAGUCCUCUCUUUGCAAGUAUAGUAGUAGAAGACAGGUGGUUUGAUGCCAUCUGUUUAUUACGUGGGACUCACGCAUGGUGUCGGUGUCAAGAAUCACGGUUCAAGACUCCGGCAAGUAAAUUUGUUUUCUAUGCGCGUAAGGCUCGGAUGGUUGCACGAGAGGACACGAGAUUUAUACUGGUUCGGGCAGGAAUAGCCCUACAUCUAGUGUGGGAGGCUGCUCGUGUUACUCGUACCAAGUUUGUAGUAGGGGUUACAAACGGGCGAGAGAGGGAAGCUGGUCCCAAGUCUCUGUGGGUGUUUUCCGUCUGGUGGUUCGGUUGGUUCGUACUUGGGUGAAUUCGGGGUUUGGUCUCUCUGGAUCCUUUUCCCUUGGGCCCCCUGGUCUCCUUUUAUAGUGUAAGGAGGAUACAGGGGUUACAAAUGAGCCGGACGUAAGGAAAGUAAAAAGGUAGAAAGGUAAUAAGGAAGUCGCGUGCGCCGCUGGACGUCGCGUGCCCGUUGACGCGCUCCGCCUUCAUUGCGGGGGUGCUCGACCUCCUGAUUGGGCACCGCGCGCUCGUCCGGCAGCCGAGGCUGCUCCGGGACCCUGGCGAGGGCUCCGGCUGUAGCUGCGGCGCGUGGUGGGGGAGUGUGCUGCCUCCCUUCGCCGCCGUCGUCGUUGGACCCCGCAGAGUGCACGUCGGCCAUGAAGCACUCACGCGAGGGGUGGUGGCUCCCGUUGUUGGAACCAGCGUCGGAGGCCGUUUCCAUUACGCCCACGAACUCGUUGUUUGCGGGUGGCACGAUCAUGGAUCGUGCCAGGAGACGACCGUAAGUCAUCGCGGCGUUGCGUAGGCCAAAGGGCCGCUCCUCCGAAGGAGGCCUUGUGGUGCGCGCCUGGCCGCUCACCACUGUUCUGGCGGCGGAGCCGGAGGUGACGGGGUGAGCGGGCAGGACGAGGAGAGGAAUCAUCUCGAUUCCCUCUCCCGUGGUGAGGAAGUCCAGGCUCCCGAAGCGGAUGUGGGAGCCGGGAGCAAAGCCGAUGUCGUGGUUGGCCAUCCAAAGUUGGUGAUGAUCGUCGUACGCGCAAAGGCCCCCUACCUGGUGCGCCAACUGUCGGUGUCAAGAAUCACGGGUCAAGACUCCGGCAAGUAAAUUUGUUUUCUAUGCGCGUAAGGCUCGGAUGGUUGCACGAGAGGACACGAGAUUUAUACUGGUUCGGGCAGGAAUAGCCCUACGUCUAGUGUGAGAGGCUAUUCGUGUUACUCGUGCCAAGUUUGUAGUAGGGGUUACAAACGGGCGAGAGAGGGAAGCUGGUCCUAAGUCUCUGUGGGUGUUUUUCGUCUGGUGGUUCGGUUGGUUCGUACUUGGGUGAAUUCGAGGUUCGGUCUCUCUGGAUCCUUUUCCCUCGGGCCCCCUGGUCUCCUUUUAUAAUGCAAGGAGGAUACAGGGGUUACAAAUGAGCCGGGCGUAAGGAAAGUAAAAAGGUAGAAAGGUAAGAAGGAAGGGAAAGCAGAGGGAGACAGGCCGAGCCACCGGGGUUGCUGCCUUCCCUUCUGAUUUCUGCGUCCUGUCAGCAUGGCCACCGAGGAGGGGUGGUUGCCAUUGGGUCCCAUCGAUGACCCAACGGUCGGCCACUGUAGCCGAGCAUGCGAGACGUGCGUGGCGACCGACCACUGUAGCCAUGCGAGUUGACGAUGAUACUGGCCACUGUAGCCAUGCACGUUGCGGGCGAUGCUGACCACUGUAGCCACGCGUGCUGGCCGGGGGCGUGACCGAUGUGCCCUUCUUGCCAGGCCGAGCGGGAAACCGAGCGGUGCGCCCUCCUCCGUCAGGUACCAUGGGCGAUGAAUGCCCUAUGAUGGACGUUACAGUGGGGGGUUAGGACGGUGCAGUCGUGGCAGCAGUGCAGUCAUAUCAGCAGCGCACUGCCCAACAUUUUGGCGGGUCACGUCAAGGAGUGCGGGCGUCUCUCCGUGUGUCAGAGCCGUAUUCCGGACAUGCACGUCCCAUCUGCAUUUAUGGCAAGAUCGGUGAGGACCCACGAUAUCUGCAUCGUCAUCUGUAGGUCCGCGCAUGUCCUCGGUCGAGGUGAAGCUUUGACCUGUGGGGCCGAAUGCGUCCGACCCAGCGUCCAGGGGUCGGGUGAGAUGGAGCCUUACGGUGAGGGGUCGGGUGAGGCGGAACCUUGUGGCAAGGGAUGUGGAGCGGUCCUCGGGUGGUCGGGUGCGUCCGACCCUAGGGCAAUGGGUCGGGCGAGGCGAAACGGAAUAUUCCCUGAUCGUGCCAAGUCGGCGGAGGUGGGCCCGGACCCUUACGACCGUCAAAUAAGGAGAAUAACAAAGUCAUUAAUAUUUUCCCUCGACAGUAGCCCCCGAGCCUUUGGUGGAGCAGGAAUGCUCCUCCAGAGGCUAUGUUCAUCGUUUGUCAGGGAUUCUUUGUGUAACCUGCAACCUGCAUUUGAUCAGGGAGGAAAAGUUUCGCUCGUUCGGUCUAGCCGGGGAGUUUUUGGGUAGGCCGGGUGUUCCGAGGAUAGCUCGGCUCGUGAAGAUUCCCUAUCGUUCCGACGACCACUCCUACCCCAAAACUCCAAAUUGUGACCACACGCGUGGUCGUUGGUUACGAUGCCAGCCCCCGAGCCCCCGCACGUUGCAGGAGACCGAUCGAGAGGUUGGAUUGACUUUUGAUCGUUACCCCUCAAGCGUCCGUUCGUUGGGACGGAGGGGGUGAGCCGUGCCACGUUAUCCUCGUUGGACGAACCGUGGUGCUCGUUGAGCUGCGAACGGGUCAGUUCGGGUAGAGUCCCGAUCCCCGUUCUGGGGGUCCGGCUCGGGCAAAGCUGGUGGCGUACUCCAGAUUCCGGAUGGCCAGUUCAUAUAGUUCCUGGAUCCGUUCGAUAGGAUCCGGGGGCUCGUUGCCUUUCUUCGGGGAAAAACCAUGAACUUAAACGCCAGUUCGGACUCGAACGUGAGGUCGGGACGCCCUUGGCUUUCGCUCGCCUGGGUGGUAGCCGCUAGCGGAACCGUCCCUUCUCACCCCUUGCUCGAGAGUGUCCUGGGGCGACUGUCAAACCCUGCGGUGGCUAGCCUUCUAACCCUAGACCGUAAUGGGUUGUAGGAGCGUUUUCAGCUCUGUAUCCCUUUUUUUACCUAUUGGUGGGUCGUACGUGGAGGAAGUCGUGUGCGUGCAUCCUCUGGGAGGUGAAGUGGCAGAAAACACCGAGCCCGCGAAACGAGGAGGGGAGACGUUCCCUGCAGUUGGAAGAGAUUGUGUGCACGGUUUUCGAAAAAAGCGGAGGUGACAAGUGUACCUAGCGUCGCAAUAACUACGAUCAGAUUGCCCUUUCGCUUCCCGUGCCCCCCUAUAAAAUGAGAGAGCUUACCUCGCUGGCUCCACUCCCUGUUCGUCUUCAGCCUUUUUCGCCUCCUUGUCCACUUUUCGUCCUUUUUCGAGCCAGAGCAGUCACCUUUCCAUCGCCACCGUCGAGCCUUCCCCUUCCUCGGCGAUGGAUUUGUGGUCUCGGUCAACCUUCAACACCGCACGCGCGACCGACCUUGUGAAGAAGGGCCUUCUUCACAAUAGGACUGCUGAGAACGAGUGGUGGUAUCCCGGGAAUGAGGCUGUCCCGCAACUGGAGGACGGGUACAUCGUCUCCUUCGCACACUUCCACAAGAGGGGGUUCGCGGUUCCCCCGAGUCGCUUCUUCCGGGGGCUGCUGUACUACUACGGCAUCGAGCUGCAGCACCUCAACCCUAACGGAAUCCAGCACAUCGCAGCGUUCGUCGCGCUGUGCGAGGGAUACCUGGGGAUUGAGCCCAACUUCGCCCUCUGGAAGUAUUUCUUCGCGGUCACUCUUCAUCAGAGGACCGAGAAGAGAGGAGACCAGACACGGACGAUUCCGGUGCCGAUGGGGUGUGCUGACAUCCACCUCCGCGGGCACCGGUCCAAGGACUAUAUGUCGAUGAAGACCUUGUCGUCCCACAAGGGGUGGCAUCAGCAAUGGUUCUAUGUGAAGAACCGUCCCGAUGUCCCCAUGCCGGAGUUCACCGGCCGUGUCAUCGUGGAGGCGCUGGGAACGUGGAUGUAUGGCCCUGUUGAGAAGGAGAAGAAGAGUAUUUGAGGUCUCCUCGAAGCCAUCGUCCGUCUGAAGGAGGAGGGCCUAACCGGGGCUGGAGUUGUUGGGGCGUACCACACCCGGAGGGUGGUGCCGUUGAUGCUGCGGGCCCGCUCGCUCGACGAGAUGGUUCCCGGCGCGGCAACCGAUGGCACCGUCCUCGCGAUGGGGGCGAUUGCUGACGCUGAGAUCGAGCAGCGCGUCCGGGAGGCGUUGGACGAUAGGGAUGUCGUGUUCCCGGUGCCGGGGCACCCUUUGAUGCGCCCGGACGAGGGCUACGUCCCGCUGGUGAGAAAUUUGCACUCUCGUUCUUCUUUCCUGCAUUUCCUAGUUUGCUGUUCUGACGCGGAGUCUUUGAAUCUACAGGGUAACUUAAACCACAUUGUAGCCUCUCGUCCACCGGUGUCAGAGGACGUGGUGCAGAGGCAGCGGAACCACCUCCUUACCGAAGCACAGAAGAAGAGGAAAGACAAGGAGACGGUGAGAAAGAAGAAGAAAGCUGCGGUGGAGUUCCGAAGGCUGCGGAGGGACGCAGUCGUGAUGGACGACGACAACGAUGAUGACGAUGAGGAUGAUGAAGAUGAGACCGAGGAGGAGGAGGAGGAAGGUUAUGUCCUGGCCUUCGUGCCGGGUGUGCUCAUCAUCCGGGACCACCCUCUCAACCGGCCGCGGGGGGCCGGUCGAGCGGACCGCCCGCCCAGGGCCCGACCCCGCGGGGCUCGAAGGCCGCACCCCAGGGGUCGGCGAGGGGCGCGCGUCAUGAGUCGACGGGACUGACCUCCAACCCUCUGCCUGCGUCGCACGAGUAGAGGGGUAGCGGCAAGCGACCACUAUCGGAUGUCCGGGGGUCGGCGUUGAGCUCGGGGUCGAAGCACUCCUGUCGCCCUUGUACUGUGGAAAGGUGAGUGGAAAGUUCCCGCGUACCUUAUCCUUUUUUGUUGUUGAGCCGAUUCUUGCAUUUGAUGAAGUCGUCGUUGUUCUGCAGUGCUGCUCCGUGUGGCUUCAACCCGCCGCUGGCGCCGAAGAAGGCACUCCGGCUGCUUCUGCAGGGCCAGCCGUGACCCCGCUGGGAGCGAGCGGCGGUGUCGUCGGUGAGGCUGUGGCGCCCCACACGGAGGCGGUGUCCAAGGUGGCGGCUGAAGAGAGGGUGCCGCAAUCGGGCGCAGCGCGAGCGCCGACCUCCGCCUCGUCUUCUGCCCCCAUAGCCGACCCAGUGGGAUAGGAUGCUGCCCCUGGGGUUCCUCUGCACAAUGAGGUUAUAGACCUUGAGGUGGAGGAAGAGCUGGCGGGGGAGGUGCCCGUGCCUGAGGUGCCGAUCGUGGAGACAGCGGCGGCGGCGGUGGAGAUGGCGGCGGCGCCUAUCCCGGCGGCGGCGGUGGAGACGGUGGCACCUGUUCCGGGAGUGGCGGUGGAGACGGUGGCGCCCGCUCUGGGGGGACUGUCGGCGUUGGUCGUCGAGUUGUUGGCACCGGUCGGGGAGUCUUCCAACGCCCUUGUCCAGGUUGGAUGCGACCCCAACGCGGGGGGGGGGGGGGGGGGGGGGCGACUGUGCGCUAGUUGGAGAACCGCAGAGGCCCCUCUUUGUCCCGGACGAUGUCGAGGAGUUGGAGAGCUGGUCGGACGUGCAGGGCGGGCUUGCAAACGUCCGUGCCGCCCUGUCCUCCGCGAUGGGGAAGUUGGAUGGCGUCGUCGCUUCCGCUGGUCAGGUAUCGUGUUCUCUUUGGUGGUUAUCUUUUUCCUUUCUCUGUCCUUCUUUCUUCAAACGAUUUCUGAGCGCAAAUUGUUUUGCAGGCCCUUCAAGACUGCAGCCGGGGGAAGCCUGAGUUCCUCCGGCAUGAGCGGGGGGUCUGGGAACGCCUCUCUAGGGAGGCGCGGUGGAGCGGGGAGCUGGCCGGGCGGCUCGCCACCGCACACCAGAACGCCGCUGCCCUGGAAGCGCGGGAGAAGGAGGCACGGGAAGGUGCGCAGAGGGUGGAGGACAAGCUCUGGGUCGUCGCCGAGAAGGCCUGUCGUGACGCCGAGGAGUUCGCCCGAUUGAAGAAGGAGCAUGAAGUUCUUCAGAAGACCGUCGAAUGCAUCUGGCACGAGCGGCACACCGCUCGGCAGGAGCGUGAUGCGGCCAGCCGAGAUCGCGACCUCGAGGCAGACUGGAAGGCUGAGGCCGAGAAGAUGGUGGCCGACCUGAGCGAGGAUGUCAGUAGGCUCCAGUCGCAGGUGCAGGGUCUUUAGACUGCUGUAUCCCAAGGAGUCGAUCGGGAACGUCUGCUGCGACCCCAAUCCGAUGGUAAGGACUUCGUUGUCCUCUUUUCUUCACUUGCAGCAUUGCGCUGGUUUCUGAUUUUGUGGGCUUUUUUUGACAGGCCUUGAGAGCGACCUUGCUCAGUUGAGGGACACCGCCAAUGCGGAGCGCACCGAGCACGCCAACCUGUAGGACGCCGUUGCAUCGUCUGCGAAGACCUUGGGGUGGUCCAAGAGGAGGGGACGAGCUCGCUGGCGGCUCGUGUCCUCGGGACGUACCAGCGGGUGCGCAAAAUUGCCCGUGAAGCACUCCACAUUGGCGUGAGGCGGGCCUUCGGCGUCUUUGGAUCCCACUACGACCGCCUCAACUUCAACUCGAUGAGCGGGGGGUACGCCUCCGGCUAUACCGAGGCUGAGCUGGAUGAGAUUGACGCGUCGGUGCUUGCUCCUGCGGAGGCCUUGGCGCAGCUCUUGGAGGAGGAAGCCGUCCCACUAGAGCACCCGUGAUGAGAGUUAGCUGUAUCGGGCAAAGAUGCCUAAAAAUAUGUAAAGAAUUAAGUAACUCUGAACUUGCCUUUGUGAUGGCCACAGAGGCCUUUCUAUUUAUGCAAUUUUUUCGUUUUUGAUCCUGUUUCUAUUUUUUGGGUUUGGAAAGUUCAGAGUGCGAGUCGGGUGCAUCAGGAAGCGCUGAUGAGCAAAGGCACCGUAGUUGCUGGGGCGUGGGUUUCUCAUAGUCCGAUCGGUCUUGCCCGAGCGUCGUUCGCGCACUCCUCUCUUUUCAGGCUCAAACGUUUAGGAAGAGGGUUGGUUUGGAAAAAAUGAUGUUUUGAGAGGACGCCAAGUGUCUUGGGCCGGAGCCCUUGAUAGGCCCCGAGGGAUAUGCGACCCUGGGGCAGAGCCAGGGUCGGAUAUCCCUAAGCUUGGAACGAAACUUUAGCGAAAGCAACUCAAAACACCCCUUUUUUCACAAACAAAAAUGGUGGAGGCAUGUACAUAGCUUAGAAAUGACAGCUAAGGGUAAAAGCGAACGAGCAAAGAAGUCCAGCUGGUCGGGCAGAGCCUUGGCUGCUGUGCAUCGGGGGCACGCCAGCCGUCGAACCGCGGGCGGCUAGGAGUGCCGGCGAGGCUGUCGUGCUAGGCAGGGGGCUGGCCGCGUAGGGCAGCCGGCUAGCAGCAGGCUGUCCAUGCCAGGCGUCAUGGCUUCGAGGGUCACACGGGGCCAUGCGGGCAAUGCUCCUGCUGCAUUGGCCGGCGAGGCGUCGGGUGCCGCACAUGGCUAUGUGGGAGCUCCUAGGGAGAUGCUGGGGGGACCUGCAGAGAGAAGGGGCCAUGACGGGCCUAUGGGAGUAUGGACGACACUAGUGAGAAGAUCGAAGAUAUCAAAGGCUGCAGGGGCUGGCGGCGUGGCCCAAUCGGCAAAAGGAAACGCUGACUCGUCAAAAACAAUGUGAUGAGAGAUGAUGAUCUUGUUGGAGAGGAGGUCUAAGGCAAUAGUAUCCUUUAUGAUGAGCUGAGUAUAUGAGAAAGAUGCAUAGAGAGGAGCACAUAGCAGGAUUGUGUGCGGCAGUGGCGGAUAGGUUGGGGUAACAAGUGCCACCAAAGACACGUAGGUGCUCAUAGGAAGGUGUAGUGCCAAAAAGAGCAUAGUGCAGCAUGGAACUGCAGUGUCUUGGUAGGCAGAUUGUUGAGCAGAUAAGUGGCUGUGUGCAAAGCCUCAACCCAGUAGGGUGGCGGGAUGAUGGACUAAAAUAAGAGCGAGCCAAUAAUAUUGUUGGUGGAACGAAUAAUACGCUCAGCUUUACCAUUCUAGGACAAGGUGUAUGGGCAUGUCUGCGCAGGUGGGGGCCGCGGGAGAGGAAGAACGUGCGGGCGCAAGAGUUGUUGAACUCAUGGCCAUUGUUGCACUAGACUGCCUUGAUGUGCAUGCCGAACUGAGUGGUCAUAUACGAAAAGAAGUGAGCCAAAGUAGGAUAUGUGUCAGAUUUAAGCUGCAGUGGGAACGUCCAAAGGUAAUGGGUGCAAUCGUCGAGAAUGACCAAAUAGUACUUGUACCCUGAGACGCUUACAAUAGGUGAUGUCCUUAAAUCACAAUGAAUAAGAUCAAAGGCACUAGAGAUGCAUGUGACGAUGACGGAUGAAACAGGAGACGAAUAUGUCAACCUAACUGUCACGCGUGGCAAAUAGAAGAGCUGGCUUCUUUAUUACAUGACGGCAAAACUGAAGUGAGCUUGGAUAAAGCUUUGUGACCGGGGUGACUGAGGAGCCGGUGCUAAAGGAACGGUGAAGCACCAACGGUGGGGGCAGCGGUGGCUGGGAAGCGAAGUGGGUAUAGCGGUUCGGAGCUAUUGCACUUGACGAGAACGUUCCGUGUCUGGAGAUCCUUCACAGAGCAUCCAACGGGGUCAAAUUCAACGGAGCAGUUGUUGUCAGUGGUAAACUGGAGAACAGAAAUAAGGUUCUUAAUAAGACUUGGCGAAACAAGGACAUUAUUAAGGUGUAAAGAACCAGGGAGAUGUGCUGCACCAGUGGAAGUAAUGCGAAGCAAGGAACCGUUGCCGACAACAAUUGAUGAAGGAAAAGGGUACCGCGGUAAAGAAGAAUGUGAAAGAAUGCCUGAAUCAGAAGUUAUGUGGGAGGUAGCACAUGAAUCGAAGUACCACUCGUGGCCUUGAGGUUGGUUCAAUGUCAUGGUGCUGAACGUCGACGUGAGGCACUGUUGAUCCCAAGAUGGAGAGGCGGCCAUCGGGUUGUACCCCCCAACUGGGGACAUCCACUGUCCAAGAGUGGCGUAGGGUUAUUGGAGUUGUGCCUGCGCCUGCUGGAGCUGCUGAACAUAGGCGACGUUGGGAGCCAACUUGGGUGGGCUGCUGGGCUAGUGUGGCCUGCUGCACCAGGUGGGCUUGCUGAGGAUUGCUGGCCUCACCUGGCGAGAAGGGCACCGAGGAAGCGCGUGGGCCAAGCCACAUGUGAAUGGCCUCGGUCCAUGGGUUCUGGGUGGUGGGCCAAGCAGUGUCGCCUGCGCUGCCUGGGGCCUUACCGCUGUCAUUGCCGAAGCCGUUGCAACCCUGGCCGCCGCUCUUGCUACGACGGUUCUUGGUUGGCUUGGAGCCGCCCCCGGCACCGGUGCCCCUGCUGUUGGGGGUGGCUGCUGGGUGACGUGGCGUGGUUGUCUGGAGGACGACGAGGACCCACUGGCAGCACCGCUGGUGGUGGCGAUGAGGGUAGAGGACAGCACAGUGGACCGGUGGGACACGUGAGCUCCUCCAUGAGCAGGUCCGCGUGCACAUCUAGGAAGCUGGGGAAGGGUAUGCCGCGAUGGAGAUGCAAGUCGAUGGUGGUGAAGCGCUUGUUGAGGCCACGGAUGACAUUUAGAAUGAGGGUGCGAUCCCUCACGUCCUCGCCAAGAUCCCGAAGAGCAUCUGCCAUGGACUUGAAGUGCUGGCAAUAAUUUGCAAUGGAAAGGUCACCUUGCUCGAAGGUCCAGAACUUGGCGUCGAGGUAGAGGGCGCGCAUCUUGCGAUUGCCAAGAAACUGAGUUUCAACAGCAACCCAGGCAUCGCGUGACGUCGCGCCGUCGGACAUGACUGUCUCGACGAGGUCAUUGGAGAUGGAGCCGUAGAUCCAAGACUUGACCAUGCAGUCCAUGCGGGUCCAGUCUGAGGGGCCAGUGUUGGCGUUGUCGUUGAGGACGUGGUGCUCGAGGGAGAACGUCAAGAGGAAUUACUCCCGCCAGCGCAUGUAGUUGUCGAAAGCGAUGUCCAACAUGAUGGGGAUGAGGCUCUGGAUGCUCUACACGGUGACGGCUUGAGCGUGGAGGUUGGGGACGCCGGAGGCCUCAUGGAGUCAUUGAUAGGGCAACGCUCAUGGUCGGAGAUGGCGGACUUGGCGUUGUGGUCGUCUCAGGUGGGGAAGGCAGCGACGGCGGCGGCGUGAGCAUGCGCCUCAUGCACGCGAUUGGCGGCGGCGGCGCGCUCCAGAGCAAAGUCCGCCGCCUGCUUCUCCGCUUGUUGCGCGCGAGCAAGGGCCGCGUCAUGCCCUACUUGAGUGACACGCUCUUGCUCCUCGUGCUGGGCGUCAACGUCCACGGCCGCGUGUUGCUUCUCAGCGGCGGUGGAGGUGGGAGGGGUGAGGGGAGGAGUCUCGGCCAUAGGUGGAUGCGUAGCCGCGAGGCCGCGCUAAGGCAGCGGAAGGGUUGGAAUUGGGUGGAAGAUCCGGACUUGUGAUACCAUGAAAGCGAGUAUAGCUAUGGAAAGAUUAGAUUGAUUUAGAGAGUCAAAGCUCAUGUACAUAUACACGCAAGGAGGUCCUAGGGUUUGGUUUAUAGCAUCAACACCAAUCAGAGGAUAUUCUUAUCUAACCUAAACCAUCCAUCCAUCUAACUUAGGAUGGGGCUGGCGCACGGCCAAGGAGGCCUGUGUGGCUACUACCCAGGGCCCAGAGGGCUGGCCAUAUAUGCCCAUGCUAACAAUUAGCAUAGACAUAAAGGAAAAGUUGCUUUUACUACCCCAAUUCACUUUGUCCAUUUGACCAUUUUUACAAAAUUUCGAUUUGUUUUAUCGCUUUAGUUAUUUUGGAUGGAUCAAUUUCAUCUCCAAAUGAUAUGUCUAUUUUUUCCACCCUGUAUAAGUUAGGUUUUAAGUUAAAUAUUGUGGGAUGAUGAUUGGUAUCAUAACCUAUGUUAGAAAAAUACUCUGCCAACCUUUUUAGAUUACUUUCCUUGCAUUUUCAUAUCUAAGGGUUACAGUAGUAUAAGAUUCUCUCAAGUAUGAAAAUAAUCACAAAAAGAAUUUCUAAUAUGUUUAUGUAGGAUAGGGUAUAGUACGGUGUCAACCACCACACCACAAAAUUUGGAUCCAAACACUUCUAGGAGAAACAAAAUACAAAUUCUACUAGGGGAUUAAACUGUCCAAUUUGAAUAGCCCUAGGCAAAGUUUUCCAAAUGGGCCAGGCCCAUUGGGCGGCCCGAGGCCCGACACUAAAAAGCUCGGCACGAGCACGGGCCCGGCACGAUGAUAGUGCUGGGCCUGGGCCGCAUCCUCGGCAUGUUGGGCCAGCAUGGGCACGACAUGAUUAUUGGGCCGGCCCAAUGCUGGCCCGACACCCCAGCGUCUCCUUGCCUCCCAACCGUUGGAUGAGCAUACGCUCCCCUGUUAACCGUUGGAUCGCACUGUUGAGAGCUCAGUAUAUAAUAGAGAAAAAACCUAACUCUCUAUCCUCCUACCCUCCUCCACUCCUCCAACAGCAGCCGCUGCUCCUCCUAGCUCCCUCCCUCUCUCGUCUCUCCCGUGAUACGCCUGGAGGGCGCCCACCGCCGCCGGGAGGUGCUGCGGCCGAGACGCGCCUGCCCCACCCAGCAUCACCGGACCGCCGGGGGCCACCGCGCGGCCUGGAGGCGAGCCUGCCCUCCUCCUCCGCCGAACUGCCAGGGACCGCCGUGACGGUCUGGAGGCGCGGGUGCCACCGCCGGACGGGGGCCGCCGCACGGCCGGAGCCACCGCUGGACGGGGGCCGUCGCCCGGGGUCGCCGGGGGGGGGGGGGGGGGGGCGCUGGAGGCGCGCCGCGCGCCUGCUGUCGCCGAGGGCCGCCUGGAGGGGCCACCGCUGAGGCCGCCGCCCCUCCCGCCACCGUCGGACCGCCGGUGGCUGCCGCGCGGCGAGAGCCACCGCCGGACGGGGGCCGUCGCCUGGGGCCGCCACGGGGGGCCGCUGGAGGCGCGCCGCGCGCCUGCUGUCGUUAGGGGCCACCUGGAGGGCGCCCGCCGCCGCGGGGGCCACCGUCGAGGCCGUCGCGGGGGGUCGCUCGCUGGCCGCCACCGCUGCUAGUGCCUGGCCCGGCACUAGCACGGCAAGGCCCGUCGUGCCAGCGGGCUGGCCCGACCCGAUAAAAAGGCCGUCGGGCCGGACCUGGGCCGCCUCCUCGACACGCAGUGCCAGCCUGGCCCGGCACGAAAACCCUUCGGGCCUAUUUAGUGCCGGGCCCAUUAGUGCCGAGCCACACCGGGCUAGUGCCGGGCUAGGGCCGGGCGGCCCAUUUGGAAAACUAUAGCCCUAGGGAGCUAGAUGAUUUAGUAUUUUAUUUAACGGGAUGUUUGUGUCCCCUGCUAGCGCACGACAACUUGUCAAGGGUAGUGAAAUGGAUCUUCAGCAAAUGUAAAUAGUUACUUUGUCAACUAUGAUGAAGUUGAGAAGUAUAGUUCAACAUCCUAUUCGAAUGUAUAUGCACAUGUAUAUACAACAUGUUUGCUCAGGUUACAACAUGCAUCAUCUUUUUCUUCAUGCAGGUUAUGAUGCGUCCUAUGUUUGGUGCAUUUGGAAAGGCUGGAAGUUCCAACUCGAUUGCAUUUGUGAGCAAGGUAGAUCAACUGCACCUGUUCUAAUAUAUUAUGGAUGAACAACAUUGUUUGGUUCUAUCUCAAUCAAGAAAAAUGACAUUCUUGACUUUUCAUAAUAAAUACAAUGUGGCUUCAAUCGUUAAACUACUAUUUUCUAUUUGUAAAAACUAUGUGAGUAUUUUUUGUGAUAAUUUUUUCCAUAGCAGUUCUAUAUUUCUGAUCCAAAUAGCUUCAGCCAUAUGUUUAGUAAAGAACCAAUCUGACUGCACAAACUACUGAGGAAACAUGGCUACAGAAAAUAUCUUGCACAUCAAGAAAAAGAAAAAAAGCUUGAAUCUUGUUGUCUGCUCUUGCCAAUUUACAAUGGCUGACAGAUCAAUUUCUCAAUCUUUAGGUUGCUAUAAAGAAGCUGGAGUUGCAACAGAGUAAUUGGAAAAAAGGGUGGAAGCUGUUAGUGGUGUUCGAUGUUUGACAAAGCUCGACAUGAAGCUCAAUGACGCGCUUCCAAAAAUAGAAGUUGACCCUGAGACCUACACAGUUACUGCUGAUGGUGCUGAUGGAGAGGUUUUGGCAUGCCACCCACAGUACCACUGUCUGGAAAUUACUUCCUAUUCUAGAAAACCACUGCAUCAGCAAUUUACUUUUUCAACAAGGUGCAUUAGGGCUCUCCCAAUGUUCUCAGAAACCCCGUUCCUAAAAUGCUGAGGAAGACCCAGUGUCGCAUGCACGACCCGGUUUCGCUCGUAAUCCAAUGAACAGGAAGUAGCUCCGAGGCGCGUGCCAAACCCGCCGGACGCCGGGCAUUGCUCGCCGGCUCGCCGCAAGAUCCAGACAAUAUGCUGCUGCCCUCCUGCGUCCCGCGACGUCCGCGCUCGAGCUCCCCGCGGAGUGGAGUCCGCCGCUCGAGCUCUCCGUCCCCCGCGCCUCCGAUCUCUCUGCUCCGAGAGCUACAGUGUCUACAACCUCAUCCCUGAGCCUUACCGCACCCUCGGCGUUGUCGCCCACCAGCUCGCUCCCCAUGGCCGCUAGCUCCCAAGCGCUGCGCUCCCCCUCCGCCCGCUCGGCACCGCUGCCGCCGUCUGCGCGAGCCUAGCAGCAGCCGCCAGCACGCGCGCUUCAAGCAGCUGCCGGCAGGCCCGGCCGCCGCGAGCCGUGCGCCCGUGCCGUCACCCGUGGCCUCGCCUCCCGCGCCCACGACCCCGCCAUUGCUGGCUUGCCGUCGCUCGCCGGCUCAACGCACGCUCUGCAAGACUGCAGGUGCUGAUUCAGAGAAGAUGGACGAGCUGCUAUUUGCAUCUCGAAUAUAAAAGGGAACGCUUGCCCUGCAUAUGAUUCCUCGGUGAUUUGAUUUGGGGAAAAGACAAGAGGUGAUGCUCGUGGGGGUGGAUUUAUCUUGGAUUUUGUCAGAUGAAAAUCCGAUUCGCCAGCGGCCGCUGCAGCCCUCUUGGAUUUUAAUGCAUUAAGACUGGCGACGAUUGCAGUUCAUUUUCUCCAACGCUAGCGCAUACAUCGACUUUUUGUGUAAUGUGCGGGUUUAUCAUAGAUGGAAAAGAGGGAUCGAUGUUUUUUAGCCAGGGCUAACGAGGACAGGAGUGCUUGUAAGAUUAAAUAAUCAAAACCCAAAAGACAUGAGAGCAUGCAUUUCAUGACGUCUAUGAGGACGGAGCAAACGAAAGGCCAUUGGGAUUACCGUUCGGGGUCAAGUGAAGGAACAAGGGAGCCCUGAAAGCACUGAAAGUGUUGUCAGUGUGGGGGAAACCAAAGUAUGAACCGUUACUACUAGUCUUUCAGGCAGGACGUACGCAACAAAAUAGAACCAACUCAAACGAUAUCGUAAAUGCGAGACAUGAUAAACAUAAUCAGCCUCACGGGUCACGGCACACUAGUCUGAGCCUUUGAGAUGGGGCUCCUCUGUCUCAAGAGGCAUUGCUAUAAAAAAUUGCUGUAGCAGGGGAAUGGGAAUGCUGUAGCAGCCCACCCAUCAGCCUUCGGCACAUCACCAUACUUAAACCUCCUUAAUAAAUAUUUAAACAUUGUGCAUGCAGUAGCAGUUCUUAAUUUUAUCAAUUGCCUCUUCUGGGACGACCAUCUUUAUGUCCAUUUUAGUCCAAUUAAGGUGUGAUAUACCCUCCUAAACUUUAGUACCUGUCACAUUAGAUGUUUGGAUACUAAUUAGGAGUAUUAAAUAUAGUCUAAUUACAAAACUAAUUGCACAGACGGAGUCUAAUUCGCGAGACGAAUCUAUUAAGCCUAAUUAGUCAAUGAUUUGACAACAUGGUGCUACAGUAACCAUUUGCUAAUGAUGGAGAUUCGUCUCGCGAAUUAGUAUAGGAGUUCUGCAGUUAGUUUUAUAAUUAGCUCAUGUUUAUUCCUCCUAAUUAGCAUCCGAACAUCUGAUGUGACCCUCCUAAAGUUUAGGAGCUUGUAUCCAAACACCCCUAACUCUCAAACCAAUUACCAAUGUGCUGUCUUUAGUAUACGGUGUGGCACCUUUAAAAUGUGGAAAUUAAACAAAGUCGACUAAGUUAAAGGUAAAAAUAAUAGCCACUAUUUGUGCAAUAUUUGCUGAUAGAUGUUAGCAAACUUUCCAUCUAAUGCGUUCCGUGAGUCAUGUGACACUAGAGCACUCGAGGAUGAUGGUUCAGUCCUCAAGAACUUCACACACUUAAUGCGCAUUAGAUCAGAAUGUUGACAGUGAUCACUGAUCAGCACUGUUUGGUGUAACUAUGGGGCGUUUUCUUCCGGUGACUUAUUUUUAGCACGUGUCACAUCGAAUGUUUAGAUACUAAUUAGGAGUAUUAAACGUAGACUAUUUACAAAACUCAUUACAUAAGUGGAGGCUAAACGGCGAGACGAAUCUAUUAAGCCUAAUUAAUCCAUCAUUAGCAAAUGUUUACUGUAGCAACACAUUGUCAAAUCUUGGACUAAUUAGGCUUAAUAGAUUCGUCUCGCCGUUUAGCCUCGACUUAUGUAAUGGGUUUUGUAAAUAGUCUACGUUUAAUACUCCUAAUUAGUAUCUAAACAUUCGAUGUGACGGGUGCUAAAAAUAAGUCAGCGGAAGAAAACGGGGCUAUGACUUCGCAAAAGAAAAAUCUUCCUUUCAAAGAUUCCAAACUACAUACAGCAACAUUAAAAAAAAUAACGGCAUGAUCUUUUGUACAUUCGCAUAGCUUGCAAACAAUGGUCUAUCUAUUAAUGCCAUUGUCCAAUACUUGUUCAUGUACAUCUGAAUUCACAUUGCAAUUAAUCAUUCUAUUUAUCAAACAGCAAUUACUUAGGUCGUACACAUACAGAUGCAUACUAUAGCCUAGACCUAAUAUGCUGCAAUGCUAACUUUGCCAAGUCCUUCCUUAAAAUCUUACCCGCUGCAUUUUUUGGUAUUGUAUUCACAAAGAAGACAUGGUGUAUUUGCUUAUAGUGCACAACCUGCGCAAUGAGUGAUAACGAUUAGGUCCCCUGCUACACAUUACUGAUUAUAAAAUUGCUGUAUUGAGGCAUAUACCUGUUUGGCGACAAAUUCUUUGAUUUGUGCUUCAUAUAAGUUACUUCCUGAGCUUCUAACGAUGAAUGCUACCGGCAACUCCCCAGCCUGAUCAUCAGGGUAUCUGUAUGAACAACAAUCAGCUUGCCCUUUUCAGUUUUCACUGGAGUGUCAUACAGAGCAGAUUUAUGAUUUAUCUCAUGUUCUGGUGUGUAUACUUACGGCACAACUGCAGCUUCAUCAAUAUUUGGGUGUGUCUGAAGCAGGCUUUCUAGUUCUGCUGGAGGAACCUGCAUUAAAAAAAUGCCGUCAGGAGAGAAGCCAAGUGGACACUGCAAGUCCGUAACAGAGGGACUGCUAGGACAUGAGAUUGUUGAUUAGAAUAAUCUAAAACGUUAGUGGUUACCUGGUAGCCUUUGUACUUAAUUAACUCUUUCAGCCGAUCAACAACAAAAACGAAUCCAUCUUUGUCAAUAUAACAAAGAUCUCCUGUUCUCAACCAACCUUCACUAUCCAAGAUCUUAGAUGUGGAAUCCUUAUCACCAGCAUAACCUAUGCUAGUGCUCAAAAGAGAAAAAGUGCCAUUAGAGUAUUAUAUCCAAUAUAAGGGAUAGAAAUAAUAUAUCAAGAACAGGCACCUUAUUACGCACUGAUGAAAUUAUGAAAAUUGAUUUGAAUCAUAUAGUUGAAAUUGGCUGACAGCAUCCAUCAAGAGUUAAAGACACCAUAUAAAAAUGCCAACACACAAAAUUUCUUAUGAAAUGUUCGCAUAUUCUGUUGCAUGUGUCCUAAUUUUCUAAAUAACUGCAAGGGUUGGUAGCAUCUUUGGUGGCUUAAAGAACAUUCAUGAACAAAUAGACUGUUUAAAACUAUAAAUGCUGAAAUCCUUUGUCAGUUAUCCAAAACUUGAAUCUUUUUCUAGGAUAUUAACUAGUCUGAACAUAUGUGAGUUUCACAAAAAUGGCACAUGGUGCAAACAUAUCCUAAUACGCUGUGUAUCCAACUGUCCAUUCAAACUACAGCUACAAGAGCAGGGUGUUAUUAAUGCAGAACUAUUGCACAUAUGAGCAAAAUGUAUUGUAGCAUAUUGUUUUCUUAAAUGACAGCUAUGGACCUACCUUUCAUCACAAAAGGCCCUCGAACCCAAAGCUCCCCUGGCAUACCAGGAGGCAGGGCAAGCCCUGUUUCAGGAUGAACAAUCUUCACUUCAGCGCCCCAUAAAAGACGACCCACGGACCCAAUUUCUCCACUUUCUUCCUCUCCAGCAGCACGGCAAAAACCAGCUGUAGUCUCCGUAAGACCAUACCCCUUUUGCAGUUAAGAAAAACAAUUACAAUCCACAGCUCAUUGAUAAAUCUAAUUGACCCAUUGAGCACCAUAGGCAUAGUUGGGGUUUAUCAGUAACGUAAUUCCAAGAGAUUGAACUAUAUGAGUUAUCAAAGACAAUUGCACGGCACCUGAAUAAUUGUAUAAGUACGAACUAGUGCACAUAAUUUCUGAACAAUAACUACUAAAGUAAAAAUUGAAAGGCAUGAACUUGCAGCAGCAAAACCAACCUGCUGAAGGCGGACGUCAGGGAAUUUGUGGAAGAAGCGCCGAAAGAGCUCAGUCGCCAUUGGCGCGCCACCACAGUUCACGGCCUGCAGCGUGGCCGCGCGGGCAAUCAAUGUCUCGUCCUCUUCGGCGGCCCGCACAAUCGCCAGUAGCGUCGGUGGCGCCAGCGCGAGCCGCGUCGCCCCAAAUCUCCCUACCGCAGCCAGCACCUCCCUGGCGUCGAAUCUCCUCGCCGUGUGCAACACCAGUGUGUUCGCCGACGGCGCCACCCUGAAGCAGAACGUGAAACCGUAUAUAUGGAAGAUGGGCAAAGCGAGCAUCAGCACCUCUGCAGUCGCCGGCCCCCGCGUGGCGUUAGAGGCCAUGAGGUUGCGGUGCGUCAGCACGACCGCCUUGGCGCGCCCGGUGGUGCCGGAGGAGUACAGUAUCGCCGCCGGGUCCGAUUGGUGGAUCACCACAUCUGUCCCGUCGGCCGUGCCAUCCUCGUCGUGGGGUUUGUGGAGGAAGGAGAGAAAUCUUGCGGAGUCGAGGAGCACGGUGUUGAGGCCGGGAGGGAGCUUGCCUGUGGUGGCCUUGACGGCGAAGGCGACGGAGGGACCGGAGAGCGCGACGAGGCCGGAGAUCUCGUCGGCGGUGAGGGCCGGAUUGGCUGGGGACACGAUGGCGCCGACGGCCAUGAGUGCGUAGUAGAGCACGGGGAUGUGGAGGCCGGGGAGCGCGAGGACAAAGGCGACGUCGCCGCGGGAGACGCCCAGGCGGGCACGGAGCGCGGCGGCGAGCGCACGGACCUGGGAGAGGAAGGCGGGGAAGGGGACGACCUCGCCGGUUGCGGCGUCGACGAGGGCUGGGCGGGAGGGGAGCGUGGCGGGGAGCAGGGAGAACGUGAAGGACGGGAAGGAGAGCGGGAGGUCCGGCGGCGGCAGCAGGAGCGGCGGGCGGAGGCUGUGGAAGGUCUUGGUGGCGGCGCAGUAGCCGCUGCGGGGGUCAACGUCGGCCGGAGGCGGCGGCAUGGUUGGUUCGCCGAUUGGUGCGACGGCGAGUUGGGCACACCUAUGGAGGGCAGGGCCGGAAUGCCGGCUGCGCCGCCAUGGCGAGGUUGAAGUUGGAUUAAUGUGAACACUGAGUUGGACUGCUGAGGACUGAGGUUGCUGGCUAGUCGCUAGCGUGUUACGUCACUAGACAAUCAUACAGCAAUUCAAUCGAGCAUUAUAUCGACACGUGAUUACUGAUUACUUGCCUAAUUACAACGGUAGAUGCGCAGGCGGUAGAUACGGUGGUGAAUGAUGCUCCUGCGGCCAGCCGCCAGCGGAGUACAGUGACGUUGAGGAGGGGGACGACGACAGCACGCGACGGUGCAUGAACAUAUCACGUCUCAUAUUGAUUUUUUCCGAUAAAAGAAUUUUCAAAACAAUGUAUUUACAUAGCUAUAGAUCAAUCUCUCAGCCUCUCCACAGUUAGUAUGCACACCACAAUUUUUUUUUUUCUAAACGAAGUAGGAACACUAAUAGCUACUUCCUCCGUUACAAAAUGUUGGUUAUUCGCAUACAUGUUACUAUGCAUCUAAAUAUAGAGUUAUGUCUACAUGCAUAGCAAAAUCUAUGAAUCCAGAAAAAUUAAAAUAACCGACAUUUUAAAACGGAUGGGGGUAUCAAUUAUAUUAUAGACUAGGUUGUGAUCCAUGUGCAUUUUUUUAUAGUAGAUGCAAAAUGGUAGAUAUAAUAGUCAUUCCCAUCAGAUGGUCAAUUGGGUAAUAGGAGGAUCGACUGUAGAGGUGAUUCAGUAACGACGGAUCAAAGGUGAGUAAUCAUGAUGGCAUAGAGCGGUUCCACAUCCGACGAAAUGAUCGAUCAGAUAUGAGACCAGAGGACAUGAUGGCAGGUAAAAUUUCACUAAAAAGGUCCAAAAGAGGACUGGAGGAAAAACAUUUACUCGUGCGGAGAUAAAAAAAAUAGUCUAGUUAACAAGAGGCAAUUUGUUAUAGAGGUGAAGGCUUAUCAUACAACUUUUUUCAUGUGCGGAUCAGGGGAGAGGGAUAACCUUGAGCGUUGCUCAAAUGAAGUGGAGAGUACUCACUUAACUUAUCCUUUCUACCCUGUAAUUUAUUUUACACCCCGUUUGGAUGUAGAUAUUGAAGCCUGAAAUUCUGAAUUGGUAUUGACUUCAUCCAAUUCAGCUGUUUGGGUGGUCUAGGAAUUGGCAUUGGAACUCUCUCCAAUACCGAACAUUAUUCAACCUACUCUAUCUCUCAUGCUCACGUUUCCGACCCCUCCCCCCUUAUUCGUCUACCUCAGGCAACACCUGCUCUCUUCCUCCCUUCUGGCCUCCGUUCCCGUCUUCCACUCCUCCGCCGCCACACCGGUCUCCUCCUCCGCUCCCUUCUUGGCCUCCGCCGCCGCGCCGCUCUCCUCCUUCGCUCCCUCACCGAGCUAUGUGCCGCUCUCCCCCAGCCGUCUAGCCGCUUGCCGCUCCCUUCUUGCCCUCCGCCGCCGUGCUGCUCUCCACCUCCGCUCCCUUACUAAGCUGCAUGCCGCCCUUCCCCCGUUGUCGACCCGCUUGCCGCUCCCUUCUUCCCCUCCGCCUCCACGCCGCUCUCUCCUCCUCCCCUCCCUCUCCGAGCUGCCUGCUGCUCUCCUCCUCCCCUACGCCAUCAAACCGCUCAGUCCUUCCUCCCCUAGUCGAGCCUCACACUGUUCUCCUCCCCUCCUCCAAUGCGCCGUCCGCUGCCCUCCUCGCUGCUGAGUCGAGCGCCAUUCUCUAUGCGUGCGAGAUGAAUGCUACUCUACAGUGGUUGUCAUACAUACAUCUAUAGGCCCAUUAGAAGGUUUGGACAGCUCCAAAUAUGAAGCUGGACACCGAGACGCAUCUGACAUGGAAACCAUGGCACAUGACGACAUAGUCUACAUACAAAGACAGGAACUAGUCAAGAUUAAGAAAGUACUUGCUGUAAUAAGAGUAGGACUCCCCUAGUCAUAUGUGACUAGUAUUCUUGUAACCAUCCUACCUGUAACCUUGCCUCCGUGUAUAUAAGGUAAGGCAGGGAGCCUCUCUAAGACAAUUCAAUACAACCAAUGCAUUACAACACAUAGGAGUAGGGUGUUACGCCAUUCAGCGGCUCGAACCUAUCUAGAUUGUGUGUCAGCGUUUACUUUCGUGUUCCUAAUCUCGACGAGCCCCACCAACCAAAACACUACCUUGGACACACCCCUUGGUAGGUUGUCGAGUCUAAACACCGACAGCUGGCGUGCCAUGUAGGGGAUCUCGCCAAGAAUCCACUAGCAAACUCGAUGGCACAAGUCAUCAUCAAGCCCACCGUCGUGUUCAAAGAAGGCGUGACGUUCAUCUUCGGCUCUUGGGUUUGCAUUGCAGACGGCACCGAAAGUUUCCACCGCCACAUUGCGCUAGCCCCGGAGAAGAAGCACUCAACCAUGAAGCUCCAGUGCGAAGCUUCGGAAGAUCUCAUCGAGAAUUUCGGUAAAUUUUCAAUUUCUGACCUAGUUAGGGGCUGGGGGACGAGUCCGAGUACAACUCGACUUCUUCUUCCAGUCGGAUUGACUCGCACGAGCCACUACAGUAGCCAUCAUGUGAGUCGGUCUACUUCCAAACUUGAUUCGCGUUCAAACUCCAUAACGCGGCCACUGUCUAUCGGAUGGCCAUGUGCAGAUUGCAAUCCGAUAUGGAUGAGAUCGAGGACAUCGACUACUACUUGGAUCUGGAUGAGGAGACUCCUUUAUCUGGUCUGCAGUAGAGCUUGGUAAUCACAUCAACUCCACAAGGCAGAUUCAUCUACUAGCCCAACAUGAAGCCACCCGCUCUUUUCAGGAAUGACGACUCGUGCCUCACCACCUACCUCGACACUAUCCCGUACUAAGAGGGAACUCCUCUAUCGCCCAUACUAGAAGAAGGCUGCUCCACGGAGGUCAUCACCUCUAGCUUGGGAAGCUUCUUACCAGGACGUGAAGUAUUUGCCAUGAUCACUAGGCAAGAUGACGAAGCAGAAGUCACAGAGAGAAACCCAAGGUGUGAACUCCACCCAGAUGGCGGAUUAGAAGAUGAAAAGAUAAUGCACAAAGAACUCGAUGGAGAGCGAAGAACGCUGCGAGAUCAGAGUGUCAUCGCCGCCUCGUGGAGGCACUGCCAAUCUAGAAUCUGGGCAACACCUUUGCCACAGUCCAAACUCGCCACCACCGUACUCCUCUGGCUACCAUCGCGUUCAUAAAUCUGAUCACCCGCGCAAUGCCCAGAACAAGUACACUUGAUAGUUGAUAGUUGGCAGGUCUGGCAGAGCUCACGUACGAACAAAUCGACUGCCAGAAUCUCAUACAGUCAGUACAUCGCUCAGGAUCCGUACAAAGUCAACAUGGCAGUAGUCACAGAGGCCCACCACCCAGACCAAGCUAGAUCAACAACGAUCCUCCACUGGGAGGAGUUGGUGGCGCUAGACCAAGUCAAGUCGGAGCAGCCGGUGAUUCCAGACCAAGUCAAGUGGGAGCUGCGGCAAGCCAGACAGGUCCCUCUGGAGGUUGUGGCCACCUGGUGCUGUACCAGAGCCCGAACGCCUAGUGGGAGACCUCCACAGCAAGAUAAACGCUAGCCGCGACACUCGUACCAUCAUUGAGGCUCAAUGUUGCGAGCGCGAGCAAGAAGCCGAUAACCUGGAGGAUGACGUUGACGGUUUUCUCGCCUUCUCCAGACACGUGAGAAGGACAAUUCUACAUGAGAAGUUAAAAUCCCCGUGUAUCACCAAGCAUGACGGCAAGCAAGACCCGGUGCAAUAGCUCUGAUGCUACUCGCUGUCAAUUCAGUCUACUGGACGAAACAAUGACACCAAAGUUUUCUACUUCCCCAUCUGCAUGGAGGCAGCACCACUCACAUGGCUGAAAUCACUCAAAAAGAACUCUAUCAACUUAUGGGAUGACCUCAAGACGGCGUUUACCAGUAACUAUGCAGGGGCAAUGCAGCGUCCUAGCAACAGGUUUGUAUUGUCCCAGACCAAACAACAAGAAUGCGAGACCCUAUGGAGCUACGUACGAUGUUUCUUCGACAAAAGGCCACAAUUGUGGAUGUCACAGAGAACGACAACAUCGACUUCUUCCAGAACGGCCUCAUCGUUCGCUGGAUGUUCCAAGACUUCGGCAGAAGACACCCAGUGAUGUCAAAUCUCUCAAGAUUAUGGUAAUGGAAGGAUGAAGAAGACAGGAAGACCAAAAGGUUUGAGUCCAACCACAACAAAGGCCAAAGCAACAACAAUCAGAAUAGCAAUGGCCAGUGCAACGACAAGAAUCGCAAUGAUCGCCCCAAUAACGAUAAUCGAAAUAAUUACUCAGGAAGUCAAAACCUCAAGCGCAAGCCAGACAACACAAUUGCAUCAAUACAUUGCUCUUCCAAGAAUAGUGGUGGCAAGGACUCAGGCAGGCCUUCGUUCAACAAACUCCUGCAGAAGGGACUGUUUUAGCUUACGCAGAGCCAUGAAGGACGCGUCGAAACCAUCUGGCGCCAAAGACAAAGGCAAGGUCAAAGAAAAUGAAGAUGAUGGGGACAACGACAAGUUCCAGAAUCCAUCCAACACAGUCUACGUCAUCUUCGGCGGAACCCUGGGCACUGCCACCAAAUGGUCCUAGAAGCUAACCCUCCGGGAGAUCAUGUCCAUUGAACCCGUGGCGCCUACGUUCCUCUAGUGGCCGGAGGUGCCAGUUAUCUUCUCCAGGGUGGAUCAAUGGACUAGUUUCUCAGACCCAGGACAUUAUCCUCUCGUCUUGGAUCCGGUGGUCGCAGGCUCUAGAGCCAAAUAUUGUUCAACUUUUAAAUUAAACUUUUAAAUAUUGUUAGGAUACUUAAAUUAUCAUAUAUUGGUUAAUAUCAUCUUUGAUCACUAAUGUUCAAUAAGUCUAGGCUCGUGAGCCAAACGAGCUGGCUCGAACUUUCAAACGAUCGAGCCAAACUCGAUUUUUAGCUCGUCAACUUUAACGACCCAAGCCGAUCUAGCUCGUUAUCAAACAAGCCAUAACGAGCCGAGAUGGCUCGUGAGCCACCACUACUCUAGACUCACCAAAGUACUCAUUAACGACGGUAGCGGCCUCAAUGUCCUAUUCGCCAAGACGCUGAAGAAGAUGCCUUGAUGUCACCGACAUGCUUACCACCAUGAACUUUCCAUUCUACAAGAUUGUCCCAGGCAACGUGGCUGUACCCCUUGGACAUGUCGUUUUGCCAGUUACCUUCAGACCAAAGAACACUAUCGGACAGAGUACAUAUGGUUCAAGGUGGCGGAUUUCGAAACAUCGUACUACGCCAUCCUGAGAAGACUAGCAUUGGCCAAGUUCAUGGCCAUCCUACAUUAUGUGUACUUAGUACUCAAGAUGCUAGGACCUAAGGGAGUACUUUCCCUGCGCGAAGACCUAAAGAGAUCAUACGACUGCGACACGGAAGCCGUGGAGCUAGCAACAACUACUCAAGUGCCAAACUCGAUGAUGCGAGUCUUCACCAUGUCCAAGAAGCUGUCCCCUUCAGAAUUUGAGAUACUAGAGAAGAAGUCGGGGGCAACCAAGGUCAAGCCGGCAAACGAAGUCGACGUCGAAGCCAUUGACCUUGAGACUGGUGAUAGCUCCAAGAUAGCCCUGAUUGGCACAAGGCUGGAUCCUAAAUAGGAAGACACACUCGUCAGUUUCCUCCGGGUCAACCGAGACAUCUUCGUGUGGAAACCAGUAGACAUGCCGGGGGUGCCUAGGGAGUUGAUCGAGCACUCACUAAACAUGAACCCAAAAGCUACACCGAAGAGACAAUGCCUACGUUGAUUCGCCCAAGGUUGAAGGGAAGCCAUCAAAGUAGAGCUGGCCAAACUAUUCGCAUCAGGCUUCAUAAAAGAAGUCUUCCAUCCAGAGUGGCUCUCCAAUCCCGUCCUGGUGCGAAAGAAGAACAACAAUGUAUGGAGGAUGUGCAUCGACUACACAGACCUCAACUAGCAUUGUCCAAAGGACCCUUUCGGGCUCUUGAGGAUUGACCAAGUGUGCCCUACUCUGCUUCCUCGAUUGUUACUCGGGGUAUCACUAGAUAGCUCUCAAGGAAGAAGACCAGAUCAAGACCGUGUUCAUCACCCCAUACGGAGCUUUUUGCUACACAACAAUGCCGUUCGGGUUGAACAACGCAGGCGCCACAUAUCAACGGGCCAUCCAGUUGUGCUUCAAGAAACAGCUACACCGCAACGUCAAGGCAUAUGUGGAUGACAUGGUCGUAAAGACUAGAAAUUUCGAUGUCCUGAUCGCAGACCUAGAAGAAACCUUCACUAGCCUGCGAGAAUUUUGGUGGAAGCUAAACCCGACAAAGUGCAUCUUUGGUGUGCCGUCUAGGAAGCUACUCAGUUUCAUCAUCAGCCACUGAGGAAUAGAGGUGAAUCCAGAGAAUAUCUCCUCUAUCACCAACAUGCACGCUCCAUCAAGCAUCAAAGACAUUCAGAAGCUGACUGGAUGUAUGGCGGUGCUUAACAUAUUCAUCUCAAGACUUGGAGAAUGGGGCCUACCCUUCUUCAAACUUCUCAAGAGGCAAGACAAGUUUUAGUGUACCAAGGAGACAGACAAAGACUUGCAACAAUUGAAGGAAUUCCUGUCAAACCCACUAGUUCUCACUGCUCUAACUCCCAAUUAGGAUCUGCUAUGUUACAUCGCCAUGACUACUCACAUCGUCAGCACGACGAUCGUGGUCAAAAGAGCAUAACCAGGCCCUAUAUUCAAGGUACAAUGGCUCAUCUACUUCGCUAGAGAGGUGUUAUCUGACUCCAAGACCAGAUAUUUGCCAGUCUAAAAGCUGCUAUACGCAAUACUUAUCACCUCACGAAAGCAACGACACUACUUCCAUGAGUACCAGAUCUCCUUCGUCAUGGAUUUCCCUCUCGGAGAAAUUCUCCACAGUCGGGAUACCACAUGUAGAAUCUCUAAGUGGGUGGUAGAACUUUGUUGACAGCAGUUAGCACGCCAAUUUGUGAACCGCAAGCGCAUGGAUCAUUUAUAGCUCUUCCCUCAUAGUACUCCCCCAAGGUUUAUCAAUACGUGGAACAAGUAGAUUUGCACUCUUAACUAGGUAUUAAUCUAAGUAACCAAAAUCACUUGGUGUAUGAGAUUGAUAUGACUAAUCUAAGAAGUCUAGAUCAAAGAAGGUAGAGAAAGUAAAGGUAUGCACAAGAUAGAUAAAAUGCUUUUCCUAGGGAUCUAGGAUCACUUGCAGAUGCAAUCACCAAGAGUUAACAAAACAUAUCUAAAUGUUAUCAUGAGUGGAUGUGAACCAAGCCCUACACUUUCCCUCCGGCAUACUAGUCACUACACAGGGGUACUCUCUAUCGAACAAAGAACACGACAAGAUGAUUGUUCUAGGAAAGCAAAGAUGCAACCCAAAGUAGUGCUGGCCAGCCAUUCAUGAAAGUACAUCAUCAAGAUAUGAAAGAUAAUAGAUUGAUCUCACAAAGAGGUUGCGCGAUUACAAAUCAAGAUCUUACCCCAUGAUCUUACACAUGUUGACAAAUUUUAGGGUAAAGGAUGCCCUAUAGAUCAACUGGACCAAAGAUGAUGAUGAACGAGGGCAGGAAAGACCCAGGCCGAUCAGCCUGAGCACUUCUAAGCUGAUCGGCUUAGGGGUUUUUCGCCUCCCCUAGUGCUCCUCUUCGUGUGGCCUACUCUGGAUCCAAUCUUUUCUCCGUUUUUCCUACUUGUGGCGGCGGUGGAUGGUGCUUUCGUGGUGAUCUCCUCUCCUUGUUUGUCUCUCCCUUCCUUCAUCCAAUGGGGUUGUAUUUAUAGUCCCUUGUAGGUGGUGGCUCUGGGUCAAUGUCGGUGAAAAAAUCCUAGAGGAUGUCAUGGACGUCACGCUAAAGAAACUGGGGCACGAUCGGCCCAGAGGGUACCAGGACAAUCGGCUUGGGCCCUUUCUGGCCAUCCUAGUCCUCUCCUUCCUUGUGCUGGCUCCCCUCGAUGACCCAUGUCCAAAUAUUCAUUUAGCUCCUUGUGAAAACCCCCUUGAUUAUGUCACAUUUUCGCCAAAACACAACAUGCUCCAAAAUAUAACAUAUAACAAGUCUGUAGUUCCAGGCUUUCGAGAGCACAACCGUCUGAACAGCCCAGAGAGGCUGCGAAGAUAGGCUCUAGUUAAAGAAAUCCCGGAGAGUCUACUUGUCUAUGAAGUAUGACUACCCAGAUGCCCUGAGUACUUGCACUUUGCAAAAAGAGGUCACAUCCUAAAUGUACUCUACACCAUGUAUCUGUGGAGGCUCAUAUGAGUAGCCUUGUGCGCAGACACUCACGACAACUGUACGAGCAGUUAUCAGGGUAGUUCGGGAGAUACACUAAACAAAAAACACACAAGUUGAUAGUAAUAAAAUUUGCAACAAGACUUCAAAUAAUUUACAUUUUCAUUCAUAUCAUGUUUGUAUUACAAUGAUCUAAUGUCUGCUUUUUUACCUACAACUACUCAAGGUCUAUUUGACUAGCUAUCUCCUUGGUGAUUGGAGCCACCUCUUGCAGGUACUGCUGAAACUGCUCAUCAGAACAGUCUUAUGCUAUCCCCUAUGCAACUGGAGCCAGGUCCGCCUGCAAGUAGAAAGACUUCACAAUCGGUAGCAACUGCUUCGAGACCGACUCUGCCAUCUUUUGGAUGUAGCUGAUAAUCUUGGCGGGCACCUCCUUGAGUAUUUCCAACAAAGGGCGAGGCUCCACACCUUCGGCUUGGGGCUCCACCAUAUUGGCUAUGGGCUGAGCAGCUUCAGUUAGCUCCUUCAAAGCAAGCUUGGUGGCUUCUAGCUCAGCCUCGUGCUCUUGGAGGGUCUUCAUGGCGUUCACCAAGUUGACUUCUCCGUCGGUUAGCAUUUUUCGCUCCUUCUCUAGGCGGUGCUCAAGGUUCUCGUACAGAGCGGAUAAUUUAUCAUGUUGCUCGGUCACUCUGUAGUACAAGUUCUGCCAAUUAGUGGCUCGGCCUUGGAGAUCUUGUUUUAUCUUCUCGAGCGCUGCAAGAACAACACAAGAAACAAUUUAGUAUCAUCAAGAGCAAUCAGUACUCAAAGACAAGAUAGGGAAGACAAGUUACAUUUCAACUGAUGCUUCAAAACCUUGUUGCGCUUCCGAAGGCAAUCCUUCUCCUCCGCGGCUUGCUAGACAAUGUUGUGCUACUCGGUGGCUUGGUCGUCGUACUUCAUAAGCAGCCGGGAGGAGUACUCCCGCUCCUUAGUCAGCUCGCGCUCAAGUGCCUCAGCUCGCAUUAUGGUGUCUUCAUAGUCCUAGACCAUCUCUGACUUUCGGCAGGAGCGUUUGAUCAGAUCCUACAAAAUCGAGCAAGUACUCAUGUAAGGAACAAGUACUAAUUUCAAGUUGCGAACAACGCAGAAGGAAGCUUACCGCCAUAUAUUUGCCUACACGGUGAUACAUCUCCAUCAUCGCGGCCUCCCUCUGUAUGGUGAGCAGCGGGUUAGUGAUGAGUUGGAUGUCUUCCAAGUUCACUCCCUCAGCAACCCAUGGUUCCUCGUGCUCUUCGGAGAUUGUUGCACCAAGCGGAACGAGGGUGUGGCUAGUCGAUGGACCCACUUCGGGAGGCGGGAUGGAGGCCAACACUUGCAUGACUCCAGCUACUUCAGCCUCUACCUCUAGCUCGGAGGGUACAAGGUUAGCUACAGCGCUAGAGGUAGUCGCCAUCACCGCUUCGGUCUCUAUCUCCGCCUCAGGAGCUAGAAAAGUAGCCACGACACCGAAGGUAGUCGCCGCUAUGGCUUCAGCUACUGGCAGCUCGGGGGCUAGCACUAAAGUGUAAUUUAGUGAAAAAAUCACAUCAUGCAUUAGUGUGGCAACAAGGGAUACAACACCUGGAGUUAUUUUCAGCGCAGGCCACUCCUCCAGCGGCAGACUUGUAGGCGCUGGGAAGAGGUCUUGAGCCGAGUGGCUACUGCCAUCGGUUGUAGACUUCAGGCUGGGCCCUCCAAUUUCCAUGUUGGCGGAUUUCCUAAAAAAGACAAGUGUCAGAAGAAAUACUACAAGGAAAUAUCAAAUUACAAUUAGUACUCGAACGAAGUACAGAUACUCACUUUGAAGAUCUCUUUAUUUUCAAAGAGGGCUCCCCCACCAAGUGCAUGGGCUUGAUAGUCGGUGACAACUUCUUUGGCACGGCUUGUUGGAUCACAGUUUGAUCUUCACCAGCCUUGGUCACUGUCUCCAUCUCUUGGGUUGUUUGUGCGAUGACGGGGUUGACAAUAGCAACGGGAGGUUCUUCAUCAUCCCAAUCUCAAUGACCUCCUCGAUCGCUAGCAGCUGCUGUUGCACGACUUCUGUAGCCAUCCUCUCCGUCUCAGUUACCUUCCCGACUACCUGCAAUCCACCAAUAUCAUAUUGAGUAGACAUGACGGUAAGGAAUUCACCUACUAGUAUUUCAUCCUUAGGAUCUUGUCCUUCUUCGAAGGUGAUUACCAGAGGAGGCACGUCCUCGGUGUUGAGAGGCUUCUUCACCACACCUUCACGGCAACAGUGCACCUCUUCUUUGGUGGCAGCACCAGACUGGCCUCCAGAUCAUCCUGAGCUGCAUGGUUGGAUGACCUGGAGGAAGACCUAGCCUUGUCUGACGGCCGGGCCUUGAUCACAAAAUCUCUAGCAGCCUCAGAAUCAGAGCUGUUGAAGGAAGAGAAUCCCUCUGAUUCCUCCUCCUCGACUGCCCCCUAUACACUCACAACUGUGUCUACACACGGGAGUGGCGUUAGAGCAGAAGAAAUGUACUUCUUCCUGUAUGCGAAGACAAGUCAGAACAUCAAUAGAUACAAAAAUUAGUACUCGGGGGCUGUGGCCACAGGUACUUACACUACUUAGCGGAUUGGUGGUGUAGUACUCCCACACGAUUGUUGGGAUCUUGCUCACAUGCUUGAAUAAGCACCUCAAUCGCGCCAUGACUUCAUCCACGGAGAGGUCAUCUGGUGAUAUCCGCGAUGGAUCAUUGAGGCCGGACUAGUCGUACCCCCAUGUACACCACAAUUGUAGGAGUUGGAUCGGCCUCUUCAUAAAACUGAAAGAUACUCCUACUCCUGUCAGUCCUUGCUGCUUGAGUAUGGCUAUCUUCUCUAGGAGCUCAGGUAGAUGUAAGCUAUCUCCAUGGGUGGGCUCGUCCAACCACCUGUUAUUCUAGAUAGGGCGGUGGCCUGUCAUCUUGGGGGGCUUGGGCUUGUGGUUGCCGAUAUAGCACCACCUCUCCUUCCAGCCAGAAUGCGAGUCAAUUAACUCAUAAUCCAAAUAUAAGCCCUUAACUUUCUUCCUCAUUUGAAUCCCAUCCCCGCCGACUACUUCUAUAUGCUCCAUCUUGGACUGGGGCUUUACUCUGAAGAUCUUGUGGAAUAGCUGAAAAUGCGACUAAAUCCCUAGAAAGGAUUCGCAAAGAUGAACAAAAAUUGCAAUAUGCAAAAUAGAGUUGGGGUUGAGGUGAACAAAUUCCAGCUUGUAGUAUUCCAAGAUCUUGCGAAAGAAAUCCGAAGUGGGCAAAGCCAAGCUGUGUUCAAUGAAAUGGGUAAAGAUUACCGUUCAUCGGCAUAUGUCUCCAUUGGCCAGGGGUUGCUGUAAGCAGCUCUCCAGUUUAUGAUGUCUUAGCCUUGGAGAAGAUUGGCUGCCACCAGUACCUUGAUGUCUGCCUCCUUCAGCACGGACUUCUUCCAGGCGCAUGCAGGCACUGGCAGGGCUGUCUGGUCAGUCUUGCCAUAUUUGGGAGCUGGCAGCUGGAUCUCCUUCUUCUUCAAUGACUUCUUCUUCUCGCCUUCUGCUGCCUUGCCUGUAGUCGCCUUCUUCCCCAUUCGUGCUGCCACGAGGGUCUUCUUGUGCAGGCGCUUGGGGGCUAAGCAGUGGGGGAUGGUGGCGCUCGAGGUCAAGGAUCGGGUAGCGGCGGCGCUAGAGCAACAGUGUGGAAGAUAAAAGAGUAGACGACACAGGUAUAAUGGAAGGGAAGUUUUCCUCCAUUAUUUAUAACCACAAACACCCAAAGAUUUCGCACCAGCUGCAGUUUCCAAUAUUUUCGGAAGAGUGAGGUUACUGUUGGUGAAUGGUCACGUUGACCAGUGGUUGACCCUUAUACCCCAAACUAGUCGUGCAACAGCUCGACGGCUGUGUGCCAUGUGCCCAUUGGCUAAAACGUUUUUUCUUUAGGUUUUUAAGGAAAAAGAGAUGCAAAAUUACAGAUUGACCCUCAGCUUGAUUCUUCAAUUCAACAUAAGGCUCGGGGGCUACUCCAUAAGGACUGCGACUUUCGUCGCACUUCCAUACAAAAUUCAAGAUUGAAGAUUCAAGAUCAAGUUAAAUGAGGCUUGAGCACAUUCUAGCUGCAUGGCAGUGCAUGAGUACAUUUGAAGACUCAAUCCGAUGAAGUACUUGAAGAGCACCAAAACUAGUCAGAGAAGCCUACAAAAGUACUCGAAACUGCUGCAUUUGACUAAAAUGUAUUCGGGGGCUUGUCGUACAUACAUCUAUGAGCCCACCAGAAGGUUUGGAUAGUCCUAGAUACGGGGCUCGACAUCGAUAUGUGUCAGGCAUGGAGACUAUGGUGCAGGACGGCGUGGUCUACGUGGCAAGACAAGAACUAGUCGAGGAUUAGGAAACUACCCAUAGCAAAUAGAGUAGGACUCACUAGUCAAAUCUGACUAGUAUUCUUGUAAGCAACCGACCUGUAACCCUACCCCCGGCAAUAUAAGGCAAGGCAGGGACCCCCUCCAAGGCAGUUCAAUCCAAUUCAAUACAACCAACGUACAGGACGUAGGGUAUUACGCAAUCUAGCGGCCUGAACCUUUCUAAAUCAUGUGUUCGAGUUCACCUUCGAGUUUUCCUGAUCUUGGCGAGCCCCAUGCACUAAACACUACCUCGGGCACCCCCUCGGUAGGUUGCCGGGUCUAUAUACUGACACUUUCCAUCUUUGAUGUCACGAGCGUUUUCAGUAACAUAUGCUCGAGGGCUGCGAGGUGGGAGGCGGCGGUGCUAGUGUUCGAAGGUCAAACAGUGGUGGUGGCGCUAGCGCAAGAACGUAAAAGAUGGACAGACGAAUAGCAAAGGUGAGACGGAAAGGAUAACUUCCUCCGAUAUUUAUAACAGUGGCACAGUAGCAACUACGCAAAAGAAGGGAUUUUGAUUUAAAGGUUCCCCAGGAUUCAGGACACCUUUAAUUUAGGAAGAGAUAAAAUCUCCUUCCAAAGAUGGUCAUGUUGACCAAAGGUUGACCCUUAUACCCACCAAACUAGUCAGCUAAAGGCUCGGGGGCUGUGUGCCACGUGUCCAUUGACCAAAAGUUUUUUCUCCUGAUUUUAAGGGGAAAGUGAUGCAAAUUACAGACUAACCCUUAGCCUGAUUCUUCACUUCAACCUAAGGCUCGGGGGCUACUCCAUAUGGAAGUGCGACGAGGAAAGCCUCGCACUUCCAUAUAAAAUUCAAGGUUGAAAGAUAUGAGACUGAGUUAAAUGAGGCUUGAGCAGAUUCUAGCUACAUACCAGUUUUUGGGUACCUUUGAAAAUUAGUCGGUGAAGUUUACAAAAGUACUUGGAACUGCUGCAUUUUGACUAAAGAGUAUUCAGGGGCUUGUCAUGCAUGCAUCUAUGGGCCACCAGAAUGUCUGGACAGUCUUAAAUAUGAGGCUGGACACUAAGAUGCAUCUGACAUGGAGACCAUAGCGCAGGACAACGUAGUCUACUUGGAAAGACAUGAACUAGUUGAGGAUUACGAAAGUACUCGUUGUAAUAAGAGUAGAACUCCUCUAGUCAUAUUCGACUGGUAUUCUUGUAACCAACUGACUUGUAACCCUACCCUUGACAAUAUAAGGUGAGGCAGGGACCCCCUCCACAGCAAUUCAAUUCUACAAACACACAGGAAGUAGGGUAUUAUGCUAUUCAGCGGCGCGAACCUGUAUAAAUCUUAUGUCUAUGUUUACCUUCGAGUUCCUAAUAUCGAUGAGCCCCACUAACCAAAACACUACCUCGGCCACCCCCUCGGUUGGUUACCAAGUCUAAAUACCGACACCAUCCUUUCUAAUCCUCGGUUCCCUCUUGGUCUCUCCCAGAUCAUACCAAUCAUAGUGGAAUAAUACAACAAUUCGAUUUGUGCCACGGCCUAAUGAGUUAUACCGCAGCUCAAUAAUUUCUUUUAGGCAACCAUAAAACUCAAAUGGCUCACUGUUAUGAAAGCCUGCGGACAUAAUCCCACUGUUCUAUGUCUUCCGAUUUUUCUCUUGGCAUGUGUGUGGUAUCGGACGCCGCGAACAAGACAUGCUGAAUAUUUUCUUCCUGGCUUGUUUGGUAAAGCUGAUAAUGCAUAUAGGUCCUCAAAGACCUCUCCUUCAGGCAUCUUUUCAAUCUAUAUAACAAAACCAUAGUUUUAUAUAUAAUUUUAUAUAUAGGUCGUCACCAGCUAAUAUAAGUUUAUUUUGAAAAAGAAAAAAACUUACAUGCGAUUUAAACCAUCAGGCAAAUUCUUUCUGAAUUCUACAUUCAAUAACCUGGUUCGACACACCUUCCACUUAUAACUAAUCCAUGUAUAUCCUGCAAAAGCACAUCCAUCUGAAAAUUAGACCAAAAUAAUUGCAGUACAAUCAUUGCAUGAUGGAUUACGUACCUGAUAUAUGGCUCAACCUCUUCGCAAUUGUUUAGCACGUACCAAACCAGCUUGUCGUAAUCCGAAUCAAGGAACGAAGUCUUUGCUGCUUCAAGUACAACAACAUUGUGCUAGAAACAAGAUAAAUCACCUUCUCGUAACAAAUCAACAUUCUCUUUGUUCCUGCCCUCCUGAUUGAAUCAUGUGUCAACAUCAUCAUCCGCAAAGUACCUUAAGCAAAAUGUUAAGGACUCAUUAGCAACAUAUGAAGGACUCACUAGCCAUGUUUCUCACGAAAUGCUUCAAUGUGCAUAGCCUUCUUUCGAUGGGAUACAUCCAUCCAUAUUGUACUGGGCCUCUUAGGAUUGCUUCCUCAGGCAAAUGGACAGCCAAGUGCACCAUAACAUCAAAGAAGGCAUGAGGGGAAAUUUUCUCAAGCUUGCACAAAAUUAUCGGGAUAUCUAUUUUCAGUUUCUUCAAAACAUCCAACUUUAGAGUUUUGCAACAUAGUUGUCGAAAGAAGUUUUCUAAUUCCGAAACAGCUGAGUAUGUCUCUUUAUCCAUUAAACCUCGAGGGAAGCAGGCAAAAUCCUUUGGAAUAGGAUAUGACAAUCAUGACUUUUCAGUCUUUGGAGUUUGCAUCCAUCAACGACAAUACAUCUAGAUAAGUUAGAAGCAUAUCCAUCUAGGAACUUUACCUGACUUAUAAAAUCACAUAACACCUUAUGUUUCUUUUUACCCAUUGUAUAUGGAGCUUCUGGCAUUUUGCAUGACUCUCCUUCCAUGGUAUUCAGCAUGUGUAGAUGUGGUCUAAUGCGCAUCUCUUCCAAAUCAAGCCUAGCAUUGAUCAUGUCCUUUGUCUUCCCAACAAUUUUAAGCAAUGUUCCAAUAAGGUUUUCGCACAUGUUUUCCACAAUGUGCAUGACAUCAAGAUUAUGUGGCAGCUUCAAGAUUUUCCGAUACAAGUCAAACAAACAAACCCUUUGGCUCCAACACUAUCCAGGUUCCCGCUUCCUUUUCUGACCUUAAGGAGGCUUUCCUGGUUUAACAUCUUUAACCUUCUCCAGUUGCUGCUGAAGCUCCUCAGUAGUAAAUUGCUCUGGCUUCUCUCGGUUUUCAGUAUUACCAUCAAACUCUACUUUCUUUCUUUUCCAUGGAUGGUCAGUUGGAAGGAAACAACAAUGGCCAAUAUAACAUAUCUUGUUCUUCAAUCUCCUUGAGUAAGGAUCCUUGUCACAAUGCACACAGGCAUAAGAACCUUUCGUGAGUCGCGCCGCCAAUGUGCUCAGUGCUGAAUAAUCAUGUAUGCACCAAAUAACCGUAGCAUGUAGUUUAAAGAAUUGAUGACUACAAGCAUCGUAUGCAUCGACACCCUUCCAAACAUCCAACAACUCAUCUACGAGUGGUUGCAAGAAGACAUCAAAAUCUUUUGAUGGAGAACUUUGCCCAGGGAUCAAUAAUGCCAUCGUUUGCAAGGCCAAGUCUAAUGUUCCUAGCAUCUUUUGCAAAUUCUAACCAAUUAUUAUCGAAGUCUUUCCAUGCCUCACCAUCAGCUGUAUGGCUAAGCUCAUUGUCCAUCGGUUUUCACUUCAACUUGUGCCAUUGUGCAUCUUUUGUGGUUUUUGAUGAAAGAAACAUCCUCUUCAAUGUUGAAACUAAGAAAAUGCUUCAAUACCUUCUGAGGAACACGCUUCUUGUUGUCUGCAUCUUUCCAUCUUGAAUUUGCUUCACAACACACUACGCACAGAUCAUGUUUCUCUAGCGUCUUGUAAAACAAUACACAAUUAUUCUUGCAAACAUGGAUAGAUUCAUAGCCGAGUCCCAUGGCACGCAUGUACUUCAUUGCAUCAUCAUAAGAUGUCAGAACACAUGCUUCUAGGAAAGCAAUGGAUAACACCUUCAGAAUCACAUUGAAUGCGACAUUACUGAUCCGAUAGAAAGACUUGAUAGGAAGUAACUCACAACAAAUGUAAAUUGUGUAUAUUUUGAUCCCGGUGACACCUUACGAUUUAAAUGUUCCUUUAUCCAUGCUAACAUUUUCCCUUCAAGCUUUUUAGCAUGGCACAUGUCGGCUAUCAUUUCAAGAAGUCCAUCUUCAGUGCCUUCAUCCUCCUCCAUACCCAAUAUGUGUUCGUUUUCCUGAACCAUUUUAUGAUCACCAUCUUCCUGCAGAACUGCAUUAUCCACAACCCCCUUAUCUGGCAGAAUUGCAAUUUCCUCAACCCCAUCAUCCUGCAAAAUUGUAUUUUCCUGAACCCCAUUAGUUUGCAGAUUUGCAUUUUCCUAAACCCUAUCCUCGAAUAUUUCUCCAUGAUGGAUCCACCUAGUGUAGGUGCUUACCAUCCCAGUCAUAAGUAAGUGCAGGUCACCACUUCUAUAGUACAUCUAGACUAAUUCAGGCAUCCACGACAAGGGCAUAGUAUUUGUUCAUCGUUAGAGUAUCUACUCUUAACAAAUUCCAUGAAAUCAUUGACCCAUUUUGAUGAGGACAUCACCUUCUUGGUUAUAACCACAUUGGCAACUUUUGAUUCAAAGGUGAAGCAAUUCUUUAUUAUGAUUGUAUUUGAUACAUUUGAUGAAUUGAUGCUGCACCAUGAUGCAUGUUCAUUGUCAUUUUCAGAAAUCCAUACGUGGAUCAAAAAGAGUGUUAAACACACAUGGACGACAUGGAGGACUAAAGAAGUUGAUUGGGGGCCAAGUUCAAGUAUUCCCAACGUCCUCCACGAGGCCACCACGUCACUUUUGGCCUAAGGAAAGAAAGAUCAAAUCCAACAUGUUUCGGGGCUUGAUUCGGACGGUAGCACUACGCCAACUUGUGAUGGCUGCCACGACUUCAUCUGGACUCUGUUUUGGACGUUGAAGUACUUCAUGGAAUUCUUAUGAAGUCUAUUUUCAUAUGGAUCCAGACUCAUGUCCAUAUCUGUUCUAAGGCAGCCAUGAUGAUCAAAUUACUACUGAGAGAUUUUUCUAUCCAAGGUGUUGUGUCGCCUUAUUUUGGCCCAAUGGGCUGUGUAUCAAGUUGGGUCCAUUAGGGACACGUCUUAGGGUUGGAGCAUGACCCCAACACCCUUGUGCUCGUCCUCCCACAUUUCUUAUACCCCUUAGCCACCACCAGAAACACUCGGGUUUUGUUUAGAUGUAAGUUUAGCCAUUGCUACUUCCUUGUAUACGCGUGUGUCGACUAAGCCAUCAGUUCUACUCAAUUCAGACCCCAACUUUGUGAUUUCAGAUUGGUUUUUAUCUUCAUAUUUGCAAUUGAGUUGCUUGUUCUACUUGUUCUUGCUUGUUCCUCAAUUGCUUGUGGGAAUUAGCCUAGUGGUUUGGUUGAUCGUGCUCCACAAGAUCGUGACGACCAUUGGAGGUGGUGUAUCGGUUGCUAAGGCGCAACAUCCAUAGAUGGUUGUAGUCGGGCUGUGAACAUUGUCUCCAUCCCCAAAUCAAGUUAUCCCCUUUCUCUCAUCGAAAGAUUGGGAUUCAACCCCCACGGGUUCAUAUCAGUUGGUAAUCAGAGCAAGGUUGAUUGGUGAAAGACUUCCAAUUCCUUGUUGCGUUUAAUCUCCUAUAGUCCGAAAAAGCCAAAAAAAAAAUUAGUAGAUUAGUUCUCCAUAAUCCUAAAAACCCUUUGAGCUUGAUACUAUUACUGCUUAGUUAGGGCUUAUUGAACUAAUGGUUGCAUCAUCGUUUCAAGUUGCUAGUCUUAGCGUCUAGUCGUUUAGAUUUUCGACUUCUAGUCACGUUUGUGUCACCAUCGCAUAUUUCAGUUUAUUUGCUUCUCUCCACGAAUCAGAGUGGAUUUCCAAAUUCCUUUGUUUUGUUUACCACCAUUACCCUAACCACGUCCUUGGAGGUUUCAUCCACGUCCAUACUUCCAUCAACAAAAAUAAAAUCCAACAAGUUCAAAAUAGAAUUCAAUUCGGAGUCCUGUUUUAUCCUGAAAAGAAAAGCACCAUAUUUCCUUUGUUAGGAGUCUGAAUAGGGAGUUUAAAUACAAUCUAGAAACCUUAAAUUGUGCUCUUUCCAAUGGAUAUGAUCUUGGUCCCAAAUUCAUUUUAAGCUAUUCGUAAUCGUGCAUGUGCUGGUUUUGCAAAACAGCCACUAGUUUGACUUUGCUGCUAAAUCACCCUUCCUAAGGAAACAUUUAGUUAAUGUGACUAGCUUGUUAUCUCUUGUUGCAAAAUUUGAUUGCUGUCGAAUUUAGUAGCCCAGCAGUCCUCCAGGGGGUUACCCAAGUGGUUGAUUUGUAGGCAGAGAGGAUUGUGAAACUAAGAACUCAAAGGUGAUCAUGAGAACACGAAGGUUUAGACAGGUUGAGCCUCCGGAGAGUAAUACCCUACAUCCUAUUUUUGGUGGAUUGUAUUGCUUUGCGCUGGUGCGUGGAAUAGUUUGAUGGGAUUGGAUGCCCUCGGGAGGAGCCCUUGGCCGCUUUAUAUAGGUUGAUGACCUAGGGUUACAAGUCGGUUUGAAUCUUAUCCUAGUCGGUUGUUACAUGGAAUAUAAUCUGAGUCGGAUUACAACAAGUAUAUCACAAUAUCCAAGCUGAUUUGAAUCGCUCGACCUUCUUGACUUGCGCUCCAAGUAUCUUCACAUCCCUUACCCACAUGUUCUGGUUGGGUGGGCCCACUUGUCAGGACUGGCCAAUAUCCUAGUCGGUGGGGACCCAUGGGUUACCCAUAUCCCUCAAGCCCCCGAGUGAUGUGUAGGCGAACAGGAACCUGAGGACAUCGCAACAAAGCUUGGAAUGUGGUUGGCUAAAGCUGUGAUGGUGUCAUAGUGAUGGAGAGGCUGCACAGUGCUCAAAAAAGAAGAAAAUCUUUGAUCUUGUAGUCUUCUCCUUGAGAAAACACCAUGGAUGCACGUCUAGUGAGAUCCCGCAUCCAACCCCCAAACCUGGGAGCCGGCUAAGCCGCGGAAGCGUGCCAAGUCACCUCCCGCAUCCAGCCCCCGAGCCUAGGAGGUUAGCUUUGUGGCAGGAGGCAUGCCGAGUUGUGCGUGGUGCCCAGCCCCCGAGCCUAAGAGCCGAACGAGCCGUAGAAGCACGCCAAGUUGUCUCCCGCACCCACCCUGCGAACCUGGGAGGUCGGUCGGAUGGCAGAAGGCAUGCCGAGUUGUUUGUAGUUCCCGGGCCCCGAGCUUGGGAGCCGGCGGAGCAUCUCCUGCGCCCAGCCCUCGAGCUUAGGAGCCGGAAGCGUGCCAUGUCACCUCCCACCCCGAGCCUGAGAGGUCGGCUGAGCGACAGCAGGCACACCGACCUGAAUACGGUGCUCAGCCCCCCAGCGUGAGGACUAGUGGAGCCAAGGAGACACGCCAACCAAAAUAAAGCGCCCAACCCCCGAGCCUGGGAGCCGGUCGAGUCAUGGAAGUACGCCAAAUCGCCUCCUGCCCCGAGCCAGAAGGUCGGCCGGGCAACGGGAGGCACCUCGAACCGUCUAUGGCACCCAACCCCCGAGCCUGGGAACCAACCGAGCUAUGGAAGCAUGCUGAGUCGCCUGCCACACCUGGCCCCCAAGACUGGGAGCCAGCCAAGCCAUGGAAGCACAUUGAGUCACCUCCCCCCCGAGCCAGAUAGGUCGGCCGGGCAAUGGGAGACAUGCCGAGUAGUUUCAGAGCUGUAAAAGGACAAUACAAAUAUUUUGUAGUAUAAUGUAGAGUAUUUAAUAAUUGAAUAACUCGGAAGUUUAAUCGGCGUAAAAUUAAACUCUUUCGCAUCCUGCUCUUGUAGGCCAGGUAAUUUCCCUGAGUAAUUAGCCCGUCACGUUUAAGCACCUAACCCUGCCGGGGUGUUGCCGAGCGAACUCGAGCGUGCUUAGUAGGAAGUGACACAUGAGGGUCAGCCUUCACAGAUUAAGGUGUGUGCUACCCGAGUACUUUAGCAACCGUUAAGAGGGACGGACAAGCCGCAAAACAGUCGGAACUAUGCGGAAAAGCACUAGCAUGAGCUGGGCACCCGUGGGGUGUAGCCCCCGACCGCCCAUGUAGUGGACGGACCAAGUUGUAUAGGCAGAGUCAUAGAGACAUAGAGGAGCUGAGGCGGUCGGCGAAUGUCGGGCAUACACCCCAGGCCCACGAGUAGACCUUGGACGGCCCACUCAGGGACGUACUCGGACACGAUCACAACAAGGAUAGGCGUAUCCUACUCGGACUAGUCAAGUAUGUUUAUGGAAAACUACUUGGGCCUUACCGAGUAGAACUCUGUAAUAGUACUCGACUAGGACUCAAGAUUUGUAACCCUGCCCUCCCGUGUAUAUAAGGGCAGGCAGGGACCCCCUCAACAACAACUCCAGUUCAUCAAUACAAACCAACACACAGGACGUAGGGUAUUACGCGAUCUAGCGGCCCGAACCUGUCUAAAUCGUGUUCCUUGCGUCACUAUUGAUUCCUUGAUUCUCAACGAUCCUUACCGCACAAAAGACCUCCUAGGGUACCCCCUAGGCGGGUUGCCGGUCUAAAACACCGACAGCUGGCGCGCCAGGUAGGGGAACUCGUCGAGUUUCUCAGCGCGAACUCAAUGGCAAAGGUCAUCAUCAGGCCCGUUUUCUUCAUCGAAGCCGGUGCCACCUUCGUUUUCGGAUCCUGGCUUUGCGUCGCCGAUGGCUCGGGUUCAUUCCGGCGCCAGAUCAUCGACGCUCAGGAGAAGGAACCAGAAGAUCUGAUUGGAAAAAACCAAGAUUUCAAAAUCGACGAGUUUGAUUUCGACUACGCGUCGGAUUCGACUUCGCCUCGGACUAGUCGGUCCCAGCCAGUGUCCAAGUCGGUUUUGACUUCAAAGCGGUUCCCGCACGGACUCCGCAAUGCAACCAAAGUUCACCAAGGCUUUCUUACUCAAACCCGAUUUGAACUCGGGCAUGACGAAGAUGUCGACUCGGACUCUUCUUAUUCGCCAAAGAUACCAUUAUCUGGUCCAGCCCAAGGAUUGGUAGUAACUUCAACAUCACAAGGUAGAUUCGUCCACUGGCCAGGAUUGCGACCAUCUCUUCUUGACCGCGACUACGACUCAUGCCUUGUCGCCCAUGUAGACAAUCUCCCAUAUCAAGAAGGCGUUCCACUCACUUCCAACCGCGAGGAAAGCUCCGGAAGCUACUACCCGAACAGGGAGAUACUUGUUAUUACUCAGAAUAACAACCCAGGUACUAGCUAGAACAGAAUCCCCAGGCGAUUAGCACAACUCGACAAUAUCUCUGAAGAUGAGUCUACAGCUGACGCCCCUCACAAUGAAACUUUCGAGCAAAGAAACCAAAGAAGGACGCGCAAUGCUACUCGAGCUGAGCGACGACAGUCGAUGGCUACAAAUAUUCCCAUUACAAAUCUUGAAAGGGCCUUCAACGCAGUUCAGGCUCAGGAGCACAAUACUCCACUCGCGGCUAUCGCUUCAAUCAACCUCUUAACAACGUUGAUGCCUCAGGAUAGGGAUAACGAAGCCACAGCUCAACUCGUGCAGCGCGGCAACGGACUAAUCGCACAACUCGCGGAGCAAGCUUACAAGUUACUCGAUAAAGAAUCACCGAUUCCAUCUGUUCCUUGCAUCACAGCUCACCAAGAAGGUAGCAGGGGAGCUGCAGAUAACAACAAUGCCCCAAAAAAUGGCAAUGAAGUUAACCAACCUUGGCAGCACAGCCAAGGUCCAAGCAAGCACAAAUCCCCAGCUCGCCAUAAGGAUGUUGGCGAGGUCAGCUGCACCAACUCGGUUAGAAGCAUCCGCCCUACUCGGAAGAACCACGAAGUGUCCAACUUCAGUGAUCUGCGAGAAAUUCUCAAUAGUCGGCGCGAGCGAUAAGCCGACAACUACAACCAUUUUCCUGCUUUCACAAACCAGGUAAUAAAAACAAAAUUACCCGAGAAGUUCAAGCCAACCGGAAUCACCAAGUAUGAUGGCAAACAAGACCCAAUUCAAUGGCUUCGAUGCUACUCGCUAGCCGUCCAAGCAGCCGGGGGCAACAACGACACCAAAGUUAUCCACUUUCCCAUAUGCAUGGAACCGCACCACUGACCUGGCUUGAGUCACUCGAACCCAAGUCCAUUGACUUCUGGGCAGACUUGACAAAGGCUUUCACCAACAACUUCGCCGGCUCCAUGGCUAGACCAGGCAACAAGAUUGACUUAAGUCAAAUUAAGCAAAAAGAAGGCGAGACCCUACGCGACUAUCUGCGACGGUUUCUCGAAAAGAAGGCUACCAUAGUUGACAUCUCCAAAACAGACGUCAUCGAGUGCUUCCAGAAUGGACUCUACGAUCGACGAACAUACCAAGACUUCGGUCGCCGACGACCAGCUGAUGUCAAAGAACUCAAAGUCAUGGUGCAGUAGUGGGCAGAUGAAGAAGAAAAAGAGCGAGAAUGGUUCGGCUCCCACCGUAACCGUGGACACGACAACAACCACAACAAUGACCAAGAAAGAACUCGACAUAAUGAUACUCGAAACAACUAUUCGAGUAAUCACAAUCGCAAAAGGAAGCCCGACAACAGUGUUGCUGCCAUGACCAACUCCGGGAAAAAGGGACCCCGUAGAAACGAUGAAGGGCCAACCUUCACUGAACUACUCAAAAAGCAGUGCCCAUGGCACCCGACUAGCAAGCACUCGGCAAUAGACUACUACAGCAUGCGCCGAGUCAUGCAAGACUUACCCGCACCACCGCCUCCUAAAGAGUACACCAAGAAAAAAGAUAAGAGCAAGAACAAAGUCCACAACGACGAAGAUGAAGAAGGCGACUUCCAGACCACCUCAAAAACUGUCAACGUCAUCUUCGACGGUAUCCCAGGCACUGCAUCCAAGCGAGCCAACAAACUUGUACUCAGGGAGAUCAUGGCCAUCGAACCAACGGGUCCAACACCGUUAAAAUGGUCAGAAGUUCCCAUUUCUUUCAGCAGAAAAGAUCAAUGGACUAAGUUCUCAGAACCAGGCUUUUUCCCACUAGUCCUAGAUCUAGUUGUGGCAGGCUCAAAAUUAACCAAAGUACUCAUCGACGGCGGAAGCGAACUCAACGUUAUUUUCGCCAUGACAUUGAGGAAGAUGUGCCUCGACAUUACUGAAAUGCUCACUCCAACAUAUUCACCUUUCUACGGCAUCGUGCCUGGAAAUGCGGCUAUACCACUAGGACAAGUUGUCCUUCCAGUUACCUUCGGAACUAAGGAACAUUACCGUACUGAGUACAUCAGAUUCGAAGUUGCCGACUUUGAGACAUCCUACCAUGCCAUACUCGGAAGGCCAGCACUCGCCAUGUUCAUGGCCAUACCACACUAUGUUUACCUGGUACUCAAAAUGCCAGGCCCCAAGGGAGAACUCACGCUGCGAGGAGAUCUACGGCGAUCCUAUGAAUGCGACACUAAAGCCGUGGAAAUUGCUGCGACUACUCAAGCACCUAGUCACAUGCAACAAGUCUUCACAGCUUCAAAGAAGCUCCAUCCAACCGAACUAGAGAUCCCGGAAAACAAGUCGGGGUCCACAAAGGUGAAACCCACCAGUGAGCAAGACUUCAAAUCACUUGACCUCCAGACGGGUGACCCUUCCAAAAUAGCCCUGAUCGGAACAGGGCUAGAUCCUAAAUAGGAAUUCGUGCUCGUCAGCUUCCUUCGGGCUAACCACGAUAUCUACGCUUGGAAACCGGCUGACAUGCUAGGUGUGCCCAAGGAGCUGAUUGAGCAUUCUCUCAAUGUCGAUCCAAAGCUACUCCAAAACGACAACGACUAUGCCAGUUCGCUCAAGACAGAUGAGAAGCAAUCAAAAAAGAGUUAGCCAAGCUACUCGUGGCAGGGUUCAUCAAAGAAGCCUUUCAUCCUGGCUGGCUCGCCUAUCCCGUGCUCGUUCGUAAGAAAAACAACGAGUGGAGAAUGUGUGUUGACUACACCGACCUCAACAAACACUGCCCAAAAGACCCUUUCGGGCUACCCAAGAUCGAUCAAGUGGUCGACUCCACUGCUGGGUGCGCUUUACUAUGCUUUCUCGACUGUUACUCUGGUUAUCAUCAGAUAAGCCUCAAAGAGGAGGAUCAAGCCAAAACAGCGUUCAUCACGCCUUUCAGAGCUUUCUGCUACAAGACAAUGUCCUUCGGACUAAAAAAUGCAGGGGCAACUUAUCAAAGGGCCAUACAGAUGUGCUUCGAAAAGCAACUUCACCGCAAUGUUGAAGCUUAUGUCGACGACGUAGUCAUCAAAACAAGAAACCGGGAGGAACUCAUUGUUGACUUGGAGGAAACUUUCUCUAGUCUACGCGCUUUCCGAUGGAAACUCAAUCCUACUAAGUGCAUCUUUGGAGUACCUUCCGGCAAAGUACUCAGGUUCAUCAUUAGCCAUCGCGGCAUUGAGGCCAACCUAGAAAAAAUAUCUGCCAUCACAAACAUGUAGGCACUAGCUAGCAUUAAGGAUGUGCAGAAACUCACAGGCAGCAUGGCCGCUCUCAACCGGUUCAUCUCGAGACUUGGAGAACGGGGACUACCCUUCUUCAAGCUUCUCAAACACCAGGACAAGUUCAAAUGGACGAAAGAGGCAGAUGAGGCACUAACACAACUCAAAGACUUUCUGUCAAAGCCUCCUGUACUCACCGCUCCUUCUCCGAAUGAAGACUUGCUCCUAUACAUCUCAGCUACUACUCAUGUCGUCAGCACGACAAUAGUAGUCGAACGGUCUGAACCGGGCCACGCUUACAAGGUCCAACGACCUGCUACUUCGUCAGCGAAGUACUCUAGGACUCCAAAACUCGGUAUUCACCGAUACAAAAACUCUUAUACGCAAUUUUGCUCACCUCCCGGAAACUACACCAUUACGUCCAAGAGCACAACAUCAUAGUCAUCUCCGACUUCCCGUUCGACGAAAUUCUCCACAACAGAGAUGCCACGGGUAGAAUCUCCAAAUGGGCAGUUGAACUCGGAGCUCUCACCUUGGACUUCAAGCCAAGGACAGCUAUCAAAUCCCAAGCUUUGGUCGACUUCGUAGCUGAAUGGACUGAAAAUCAAGUGCCAACACCAGCCGAACGACCAGAACACUGGGUAAUGUACUUUGACGGAUCCCUCAAACUUGAAGGGGCCGGCGCAGGCGUAUUGCUCAUCUCCCCCAGGGGAGACCAGCUCAAGUACGUACUGCAGAUAUUCUGGGAAGCAUCUAAUAAUGAAGCUGAGUACGAAGCACUACUUCACGUCUUUCGCCUUGCAAUCUCCCUCGGCAUCAAACGACUACUGGUGUACGGCGACUCUCUAGUCGUUAUAAACCAGGUCAAUGACGAGUGGAACCGGAACAAGGACAACAUGGACGCUUACUGCAAAGAAGUCCGUAAACUGGAAAACAAGUUCUCAGGCUUCGAAUUUCAUCACAUCAUCUGCGACAACAACGCUGCCGCCAACGUCUUAUCCAAAAUGGGCUCAACUCGUGCAGAAGUUCCAGCAGGAAUUUUCGUACACGAACUGCGCAAGCUGUCCAUAUCCAAACAAAUCACCACACCAGCAGUCCCCACUGCUGACGUCUCUCAUGAAGUCAUGAUGAUAGAAGUCGACUAGAGGACACCCUUCAUUGGCUACAUCAAAGAUCACCAGCUACCUUCCGACAAAAAUAAAGCUGAGCAAAUCUCCCGGCGAGUAAAAAAUUACGUUUUAGUCGGAGACAAGCUCUACAGGAAAGGUGCAUCAUCUGGAGUACUCAUGAAGUGCGUUACCAGAGAAGACGACCAAGAAAUCCUAGAGGAAAUUCACAGAGGAAUCUGUGGCAACCACGCCUCCUUGAGGACACUAGUUGGCAAGGCUUUCAGGGCAGGCUUCUACUGGCCAAUGGCUCUGGCUAACGCUAAACAACUAGUUCAGAAAUGCAAAGGUUGUCAAUUCUUCACAAAACAGCAACAUGUACUGGCCUACAAGCUAGUCACAAUACCUCCAACAUGGCCGUUUGCCUGCUGGGGGCUCGACAUGAUAGGGCCGUUACCAACUGCGCCAGGAGGAUUCAACCGAGUAUUCGUGGCAAUCGACAAAUUCACCAAGUGGAUCGAGGUCAAACUCGUCACUUGCCCCAAGGCAGACCGGGUCCUCGACAUCUUGGAUGAAAUCGUACACCGCUACGGUUUUCCCAACAGGAUUAUCACAGACCUCGGGUCAAACUUCAAUAAUCACGACUAUUGGGAAUAUAGCGAGAAUAGCGGCAUCGACGUUCGCUAUGUCUCGGUCGCUCAUCCGCGAGCCAAUGGACAAGUCGAGCGUGCUAAUGGCAUGAUACUCGACGCCCUGAAGAAAAGACUACAUGUAGUUGGCAACACCAAAGGUGGAAAAUGGCUCAAAGAGUUACCCAACGCUUUGUGGGGCCUACGUACCCAACCGUGCAAGACUACUGGGCUAUCGCCCUAUUUCCUCGUAUAUGGCUCGGAAGCCAUCCUACCCGCUGACAUCAUGUGGCAAUCACCAUCUAUUGAACAACACGACGAAGAAAUGGCAACAGAAACAAUGCGAACAGAUAUAGAGAGUCUAGAAGAAACAAGAUGCGCAGCCCUAGUGCAAUCUGCCAGAUACCUUGACGGUUUAAGGCGUUACCACGACCGCAACGUCAAGGAAAGAUCUUUCAACUUGGGUGAUAUGGUCCUUCAGCGUAUCCAAGACACAUCAGGGUUACAUAAACUCAAUUCACCAUGGGAAGGUCCUUACAUCGUAUCAAAGGUUACGGGACCUGGAUCUUACAGACUCCAAGAGCUCUCAGGAGAACAAGUACCAAACUCUUGGAAUAUAGAACAUCUCUGUCGCUAUUACCCAUAGCAGCAUCCGAAUAAUCGCUUCAAGGCAAUAACUCAUGAUGACUACUCGGGCUAACUGCCCGACUACCGACUUCAAGACACCUCAGCUUUGACAAGAGUUAUCAACUCAACAAGGAUCACUGCCCUGGUACAAAAUUUCCGUAAGGUAUUUCUUUACUGAAUCGAAGAUACAUCAGGUUACAUACAAGUACAAGUACUCGGAAUACACAUAGACUAGAAGCAACUGCCUACUGGCGGGCUGCAUUUAAGCCUCAGGCUUUUACUAUAUCACAAGGCCACUCAGGUCUGCCGACUACAAGGGGAAGGGCCCACACGCAAGGAAGCUGCGCAAAACGCAGCCAUAUCCAGGUCCUCUACCCAAGGCAAUGCCAGGAACUCCAGCAUUGCCACUACCUUGACAGUAGCAAUGAUGAAUCUGGCACAACAUGCCUAGAGGGAACCAAGGCUGCUCUUUUGCUAGCCUUGCGGAGCCAAUCCACUCUAUGGCCACACCUCCACCUCUCAGAGAGUGGGAUAAAUACCGCGGCACUCAUCACCCAUCACCCACGAGUUCUCAGAGAGUCGGUCGAGGCGGAGUUUCCCCCCUCGGGGUCAGGCGAAGCGGAGCUUCCACCCUCAAAGGGGUCGGGUGCACCCGACCCCAGGACUCAGGGUCGGGCGAGGCGGAGCUCCUCCCCCAAAGGGUUAGGCUUAGCCGACCCCAGGACUCAGGGUCGAGCGAGGCGGAGCUCCCCUCCAAGGGUCGAGCUCAGCCGACCCCGGGAUUUUGGGUCGGACAACAUAGAGUAAACCUACUGUUCGCAAGAUAAUUUCUUCAAGCAACAAGAAAGCGGGCAAACAUUCAUUAGGCAAAAUAUUGCUCAAAGUACUCGACACAAAUACAAGAGUACAUGCAAAGCUCAAGGCUCUUCCAGAGAGACAAACUCCAACAUCUUCGACGCAAUAGGCUCCGCCUCCUCGUGGUACUGCGCAUAUGCUUCUUCUGUGCAAUUGCGAGCCACGCCGUCACCAGCCGCCGCCAAGUCUGCCCUCGGGUAGUAGGACUUCAUGACUACAAGGACCUGUUUGCAAACAGUUUUGCAGAGUCCCGCCACUUUACUUGGGGCAGCCUUCAAUCGCUCAACUAGUGAUUGCGGCCCUGCGCCUUCUUCCACGGGGGCUAUGGCAUUCACCAAGUCUUCAGAUGCUACAGUUAGCUUCUGGAGUUUGCCUCGAAGUCUUCCCAUGGUCUAGGCAUGAUCUCUGCAUGCCACCAUGGCCAUGGCAAGCAUCACGCCAUUCUGCAUUUUUCGAUCCUGCUGAUGCUCGCAAGCAGCCUGUGCUUCUGUCAGUGUGGCCCGAAGAUGUUCAGCUUCAUCCGCCACUCGUUCGUGCGCAUUUCUCCAAUCGAGAACUUGGAUCCUUGCAGCUGCCUCUUGCUUCUUGAGCUCUACAAGACAAAACAAGAUCAACCACAGCCGACUACAAUCGGACAUACUCGGAGUAUGCAAAAUACUUACCGUGAUACUUCUUGUUCAGUGACUUGUAGCGGCUCUCCAGUUUUUGCUAUAGGACCGCGUGAUCCGUACGUUCCAUAGCAAAAGACUUCGCUCCAACCUCAUGAACCCUCAGAGCUUCUGUCAGUCGGGCACACUCUUGCUCCAGUUGAUGACUUCGUUCCUGAAAAGGUUCGAGUAUGCAAGGUACUAUGGUGAGUUAAAAAGCCUCACAACUACUCAGUCCAGGUGAUAAUUCAAUAGAAAUUCACCUGGAAGCUCCGAAAAACAUUGAUGGCCUUCUGGAACUCCAAGUCAGAUGGCAGGCUGAUCACCGGUCUUUGAGUACUCUCCAAAAGAUGAGGAGCUGUACCCAAAAUAGCAUCUACAACAUUUAUCAUCAGUCAAUUGCUUGCUACAACUACAAUAACAAGACUACAGAAACAUACCUGGAGCAGUCGCCUCUUUGGCCUUUUCAACACCUACUACGGCCAGCAAUCCACCGGUGGAUGUUGAUAAGGCAACACUUCCUGCACCCGAUGCAGCGGCGGGACCUCCACCGAACGGAUGACGUCUUGAAGCAUCGACAUACUAGCUCCAAGAUGACCGGCAUCAACUUUGGGUACCUCCUCAACAAUUAAAUCCUCCAAAGGAGCAGAUAAUGUAGUCGGGGGAUCCGACCCUACCCCUGUCUCCACAGGGAUAGUCUCCUCCGCAUCCCUGCAUCGAGAAAAGUCAUUAUACGACUUCAAGACAACUUAAAGAUAUACACCGGCUAAGAAAACUCACCGAGUCGAGCAUGGCGGAAAUCGUACAUGUUUCUUCUCGACAACAGGUGCUCGAGUAGUUGGCGCCACAGGAACAGCCGCCGGCGCCGUCUUCUCGCCAAGACCUGUAAAGUGAAAAGUCAAGACUACAAUUCAACUAAGACAAACAAAACCGGGGCAGAACACUUACCACUGGCGAUCACACUGGAUAGCAAAGAACCAGUAACGAGUACUGGUGACACUUCCUUUGCAACACCCGUUGAUCCAGCGGGCAACCCCAAGACUGCCUGGUCAGUAACGGGCGGCAUGGCAGCUAACGGAGCCGGUGCGGAUAGCUCGGGGGCUACUCCAACUUUUGUUGAUGGCACCUUCUCUGGCACCAUGUCAACAGAUACAUUACCGACGUCCGGGUCGGCUACGACUACUUCUCCAGAAGCAACCUCAUCAUCACCAAGGGCCGUGUUGACAGCCUUUAUGAACAAGACGAAUUAGCCAUUGCAAGUUCAAAAUUAUCAGCUACAUAUAUGUACAUGAUUACACACCUUGGUACCCCGAGACUUCUCAGGGGUUGAAGCAGACUUAGCCGCAGACAUCUUGCGGACUACUCUGCACUUCUUGGCAGGAGGAGAGGGUUCGUCCUCUGACUCCUCGGCAACAGUUUCUGAUUCUUCUUCCGACUGCGCCAAAUAGCCGGCAACAACUCGGGACUAUAGAAAACAAGUCGAUAUUAACAACAAAUAUCACACAAGUGAAAAAGUACAAGUCAAGUGCAAAGACAUACCACUUCUGGCUCAUACCAGGCGUCAUACUGACGAAGGGCCACAAGGAUUAUUGGUACUCCUUGAUAGUUCCUGAAGAACUUGGCCAGCAGUGCCUCUACAUCAUCAUCGGAUAUAUCCUCAUCGGACAUACGUGAUGGAUCCUUAAGACCUGCGUACUCACUUCCCGAGUGAGCACGUUGUUGAAGUGGCUGGACCCUUCUCUUCAGAAAGCUGGCCACCACAUUGAUUCGAGUCAGACCGAGUGCCUUCAACUCGGUAAUCUGCUACAUCAAGUGAUCGAGCUCGGGGCUAUCUUCGGGUUCGCUCACCCAGUUCUCUGCGUGCUUGGGGGCGUGACCAGUCACCACAGGCAAGUGAGGAUUAUGGUUCCCAAUGUAGAACCACCUUUUCUUCCACUCACCAUGGGAGUCAGUUAAGCUGUACUCAAUGAAUGCGCCCGAGUUCCUGAGUUGGAACCCGACGCCUCCAAAGACUUCGGUUCUAUGGACACUUGGCUGUGGCUUACAACGGAACAGUUUCCUAAACAACUCGAGACUUGGAGGAACUCCCAAAUACACUUCGUAGAGGUGUACAAAUAUUGACUUAUGCAGUACACCAUUGGGGUUCAAAUGCACAAAUUGAAGCUUAUAGUAGUCGAGAAUACCUCUGAAGAAGUCGGAGGUGGGCACUGCCAACCCCCUCUCCACAAAGUGCGCGAGCAUCACGGUCUCGCCUGGAUGUUCUCAAAUUGCCACGCAUUUGGAAAUGCGGGGCGCCACUCACGAAUCUCCUUCGGCUGUAGAAGCUUUGCAUCGACUAAUGCUUGCACGGCUUCCUCCUUCAUCACUGAAUGUUGCCACGUCGCUCCAGGCGGUGGCAGCGCAUUCUGGUUCGUCGACCCCACCUUCGGCGUUGGCAGCACUAGCUCUUUCCCCUUCUUGGAUCUUGCCUUGCCCGUCGCCGGAGCCUUGCCCUAGAUCUUCUCGGGUUUCUUGCCCAUCUUCUUGGUGCGCAUUCGACGGACUCAACCUCAAGCUAGAACGACAUUCUCACUUGGAUCUCUCUCAAAGUGCGGCAAUGGCGGCAGCGGCACUAGCAGCGGUGCAAAGGUGGAGCAGGACGACGGAGGAGGCAGAUAAUCAGAUAUGAUUACCGUGCGGCAUAAAAACAACCGAAAGGGGGCCUUCCAGUUUUAUUCCCGCCAGCCCCGGUUUCCACGCGUCGAUUAUGCAACGAACGGAUUCUAACAGAUUAAUUGCAGAUUAAUCACCUUAAACACUCAAUGACUACUCUUUUCAACGGACUGCUGACCACUUCAACGAUAGAGAUCGCCUAAGUGCUCGGGGGCUGCAGGUACCGUACCCGUUGGUCGAUUUUUUAUUUUUCAAAGACUGCCGAGGGUAAAACAAACAAAAGACUGGUUUGACCCUAAGCCUGACUCUUCGACUCAACCUAAGGCUCAGGGGCUACUCCAUAUGGAGUGCGAUUGACAUCGCACUACCAUAUAAAAUCUUGGAACAGAAGCAACUCGAAGGAACAAAAAGAUUACCUUCCAGCCACGCGACAGUACUUGAGCACUUCGGUCUGCAAACUCUAUGACUAGCUACUCGGAUAGUGCCUGCAGUGCCCAAGACUGUGGCGCACGACUACAAAGUACUCGAGGGCUUGUCAGGCAUACACCCCAGGCCCACGAGUAGACCUUGGACGGCCCACUCAGGGACGUACUCGGACACGAUUAGAACAAGGAUAGGCGUAUCCUACUCGGACUAGUCAAGUAUGUUUAUGGAAAACUACUCGGGCCUUACCGAGUAGAACUCUGUAAUAGUACCCGACUAGGACUCAAGACUUGUAACCCUACCCUCCCGUGUAUAUAAGGGUAGGCAGGGACCCCCCUCAACAACAACUCCAGUUCAUCAAUACAAACCAACACACAGGACUUAGGGUCUUACGCGAUCUAGCGGCCCGAACCUGUCUAAAUCGUGUUCCUUGCGUCACCAUUGAUUCCUUGAUUCUCGACGAUCCUUACCACACAAAAGACCUUCUAGGGUACCCCCUAGGCGGGUUGCCGGUCUAAAACACCGACAACGAAAGUCAUGGAGACAUGGAGGAGCCGAGGCGUAUGUAGGUAUACGAAAGCUGUAAAAUAUUUAAUUGUAAAUAACACUUACUUGAUUCGUGGUCGAGUCGGAGAACCCGCAUGUCGUCUUCACGUUUAGGCUUAGAAGCCCCCUAGCGUCAUCUUGAUCGUCGCGGUCGGCGGACAGUUCUUGAUGAAGCAAACUCAUCGGUGUUGGGGAUAGAUCCCCAGUACCCGCAAGGAAAGAAGAAAAUGGACUCCUACUAGGAUUCCUCUGUAAUCCUACUUGGACUCAUGCCACAUAAUCCUACUAAAACUCCUCCUUAUAACUGACUAGUUAUCCCACCCCCUGGAGUAUAUAAAGGAGGGCAGGGGUACCUAGAUCAGCGGAGACAAUAGAGGACCAAAUCCUCAUAUCUCGACACCCAAGCGCAAUGCGCAAUAUACAACACCCCAAAUAGGACGUAGGGUAUUACGCAACUUAGGUGGCCUGAACCUGUAAAAAUCCAUGUCUAGUGUCCUUACUUUUACCUUCAAGUUCUAGGUCCGACGAUCCCCCACCAACCAAUCUACUACCUCGGGUACCCCCUCGGUAGGUUUCGGUAUAAAACACCAACAUCUGACGUGCCAGGUAGGGGAGAUCAUUGAGAUCAUUGGGUGAGAUUGAAGGAUCUCAUCUUCAAAAUCAAUCUACUCGACGAGAAACAAAUUGCCAAGUUCCAAUUUGAAGCAAAUCGCUGAGUUGACAAACAACCAAGUCAUCGGCUGUGUCCUAUGCGGGUGCGGGAAUCAAAAAAAUUCUGCGAUGGCGUUGGUGGAGACCGACAAUACGUUGAUCUUAUGAGCAGAUCGAGGCACUCUAUUCUAAAGCAGAGUCGAAGUUUCAGCCUAAGGUCAAGUUCGGAUCAGAAUUGAAUCGAAAUCAUCAAGCAGCAGCUUAGAAGAAAAAGUUAGAAGUCAAAUCCAAUUGGUCGACCUAAAAAAAGAAGAAGAAGCUGUGAUGAUGCACGCGUAUGUCAGAUCAGAAAAUUUCAAAGGCUAAAGGAAAAGGAGCCAAAAGAGCAAUUUAAUAGACCUUUGCAGGAUGCACAUGGAAGAGUACCAAGAAAGAUGUAAAAAACAGCUACGUACAACCAAAGACUCCAGCGAAGACCUCCGAUUGUCCGGCUGCAUUGACUCGCCAAUGACCACUUAGAGUACUCAUCUCGACUAAAAACUAGUUGAGGGUGGGUUCCAUUUGGUCAACAACUAGUUGGAAUCGACUCCGACUAGUUGGCAUCAUCAAAAUCGAUUACAUGCACGACGUGGUUGCUUUCUUUGAUUGACUAAAUCAGCAACUCAUCUUGUUCACAUCAAAUCCCAAGCGGAGUCGAAGAAGGCUGAUUAGUUAUCGCACCUAGAUGACACAUUCUGCGGAAUUGAUCAGAGUGGUGGGCGUCUCGUGUCUUGGAGUACAAGGUGGAGCCCAAUCGGAAUCACACUCUUCAACACAAAGUUGUACUUGGCUUCGUUCAAAACCAAAAGUUGCGCCACCGAAAGAAAAUUGGCUACCGUCUCUAGGCUCUCUCAGAGGCAAUGAAGAAAAUUUAUUGACCUGCCGCGGCUCAAGAUCAAGACAAGGAUGCCAUCCAAGUACUUCCUAGAAAAACAAAAUCUUGGAGCAUUGUGCUACACGCACAACAAAGAAACUACCAAAGAGAUUCGAAGACCUUCGCUUGACACACACAGAAGAUGUACGCGGGUAGUAUUAUAGCAACAUCCGGCUGCAUCAACUACCUCGACCAGUCGUCUCAACUAGGAAACUAGUCCAGGAUGCUCUACUUCAACUACUCAUCUCGACUAGAAAACUAGUAGAGGAUGGACUACUUCGAAUACUCAUCUCGACUAGAAAUCUAGUCGAGGGCGGAUUCCACAUGACCAACAACUUGUCGGAAUCGACUCCAACUAGUCUGUUGUGGCGGAACCGCCCAAAUUAACCUGACUAAAAUGCACUUAAGUCGCCUGACACGUGAUCAUGCACUUUAAGCAAGUCAACUUGGUCAUCCGUCGGAUUUCAUCUGAUAAACCACUUAGAAUUGAGAAGCAUUGCUCACACGAAGGUGAGUGGGUACAGAGAUUACAACAUUCCUAUCACAUUAACAUAGUUUAACAUUUUAUUACAUCAGAGUUUUUGAAAUUCAGAUAGAGUUGUAAGGUUGUAAACAACAAAGAAGUAAAACAUGUGAAAGCUAAAUGUCGAUACACGAUAUCAUGAUGAAGCUGAUAAUACUCUGCAAUUGCCCACUACUAAUGCUAGCCUCGUACAAAUUUUAGUGCAACUUCCUAAUGAGUAUGCCUUGCCACAAACAGAACACUUUUCUCAUAAUGAUAAGCUUGUAUACCACAAACACAACUCUAGCAUGAACAUGUUAAAUCUGUUUUGAAUGAUGUACAUGUCGUUUCUACACAUGUUCAUUGCCUUGUGAAACUCCUAUCCUAUUUUAACACACUAGGUUAUAUUGAAUUUGAAAUUUUUUGUAAUCUAAAUUGUCUGAAAGAGAAACUUAAAUUUGAUUCUGGUUUGCCAAAUUUUAAUCAUUGCUUGCUUCAUGCAAUUGGCAAAUAUGACAACAAAGGAGAAUAUUUGGUGCAUAAAGUUUAUAUUUUCUCUAAUCUAAAAUCUUCUUUUGGGCUACAAUACCAUGAUCAAAUAGUGGGUUGCACUAAUACUAAUAAUGUCUUGCAAAAUCUUUCUAGUUUUUCCCUUAUGCAAUAGGGUAAGCCCAAAGAAGGGGAGCAUUGCUGGUUGUGGCCGUGCAGCAUAGCCGUCACUCCGUGUUCCAACAUCAAAGCAAGCACCUUUGAAUGCCAUUGGAGCAAGUCGAGGAUGACUUGCAGCCAAGAAGGGCAUAAUGAUGAGGACAUCACUUGCUCGGAUACAACCACAUUGGUAACUUUUGGUUCAAAGGUGAAACAAUUAUUUAUCAUGAUUGUAUUUGAUACAUUUGAUGAAUUGAUGCUACACCAUAAUGCGUGUUCAUUGUCAUUUUUAGAAAUACAUACGUGGAUCAAAAAGAGUGUUAAACACACAUGGAAGGCAUGGAGGACCAAAGAAGUUGAUUGGGGGCUAAGUCCAAGUAUUCCCAAUGUCCUCCAUGAGGCCACCACGUCACUUUUAGCCUAAGGAAAGAAAGAGAUCAAAUCCAACAUGUUUCGGGGCUGGAUUCGGACUUCAGCACUGCACCAACUCAUAUCCAUAUUCGGACUUCAUCUAGACUCCGUUUUGGACGUUCAAGUAUUUCAUGGAAUCCUUAUGAAGUCUAUUUUCAUAUGGAUCCAGACUCAUAUCCAUAUCUAUUCUAAGGAGGCUGCGACAAUCAAAUUAGUACCAGGGGAUUCUUGUGUCCAAGGUGCUAUGUCACCUUAUUAUAGCCUAAUGGGCCGUGUAUCAAGUUUGGUCCAUUAGGGACAGAUCCUAGGGUUGGAGCAUGAAUCCAACACCCUUGUGGACAUCCUCCCGCAUUUCUUAUAACCCUUAGCCGCCACUAGGAACACUCGAGUUUUGUUUAAAUGUAUGUUUAGCCAUUGCUACUUCUUUAUAGACGCGUGUGUUGAUUAGACCAUCCGUUCUACUCGGUUCAGAACUUUGCAAUUUCAGAUUGGUUUUUAUCUCUAUAUUUGCAAUUGAGUUUCUUAUUCUGCUUGUUCUUGCUCAUUUCUCGAUUGCUUGCAGGAAUUACCCUAAUGGUUUGGUUAUCAUGCUCCACAAGAUCAUGGUGACCAUUGGAGAUAGUGUAUCGGUUGCUAAGGUGAAGCAUCCUUGAAUGGUUGUAGUCAGGCUAUGAAUGUCAUCUCCAUCCCCAAAUCGAGUUAACUGCCUUCUCUCAUCAGAAGAUUGGGACUCAACCCCCACGGGUUCAUAUCACAUUUCUCAUGCUUGAGGGUAAAUAGUUGACAACCCGGUAUCCAACGUUUAUCCAUCUGGGAAAUUUUGGCAAAUUCAACUCAAAGUUACUGACCAGAUUGAAAGACCUCAAUGCGAAAUGAAAUUUUGGCAAAUUGAACUCAAAAUUAUUGACCAGAUUGACGCCCCGGAGCAGGAAGCACCAGAUUUGUGCUGCCAUAGGACUAAGCCACCGCGGGGAGGUGCAUAUCUCAGCUGAAGUGCUCCAUCCUGGCCGCCUUCUCUCUGUUCUUCUUUUUUCUCUAUCGCGGGAGCGCAGCAGCGGGUAAACUAUUUUUUAGCUGUACCAUGGGCUUUUCUGCUACCAACUACCACACUCAUCUGAAACUUACCUUAUAUGUGGGAUCCGGUUGCGGUAAAGACUUCUUAUUUGAUCGGUAAUAGGUUCGACCCACGGGAGGAGCACAUUUUCCAUUUCAUUUUACCAUCCUAUUUAUCAACUUAAACUUACAUGUAGGACCCUUGUUGGUUUAUGAUGUUUUCGCGGAGCUUAUAUCAUCACAAAACCACCUUGUAACAGCAAGUGAUGAUUUAUUUUUAGCUAUAGUGACAACUUUUAUGACGUUCCGUAACUUUGUCACUAAAUUUUCUUGGAUGUGAAACUUUAUGACGUUUUCAGCCAGAAACGUCAUAGAUCUAUGAUGAGAACAAAUAUGUCAUAAAUUUUUUGUCAUAGAUCAACAUAUUUCUUGUAGUGAUCAGCGGGUCUUGGUAACUACACAUGGCAGCCUUGUUGGACCCUCUGUCAUCACAUGUGGACCAAUGGGUCCAACUACUACUUGUGACCCAUCGGUGCUAUGAUGGGUAGCAGUUGUCAUGAAUACGAGAUGUUGAUGGGGCACGGUUUCGUGAUGAUAUGAGUUGUUUUAUAAUGUUGGUUUUACUUUCAUCAUAAUUUCAUGACGAUAUGGCUGAUCUAUGAUGAACCUUAGAUUUUCGUUGUAGAUAUGGUCUAUUCAAUGACAAAGUUCUAGAACAUCACACGAAAAAUAUCAUUAAUGCUGCUAUUUCUACUAAUGUUCGGGAAACAAUGAAUGUGACUGAUAGGGCGGUAGUCCUUUGGUGCCUGUGCAUCCAUUUCAUGGGGAUGAGUGUGAGUAGGUCUUUGUUAAUGCACUAGAGUCCGCAUCGAUCAAUUAUGUAGAAAGCAUUGACUGUGCAGGAGGAAUAGAAUUGGGUAUAAUGGUUGGAUUGAUUAUUUGUAUUGAUGCCUCAGCUGGUGUAUAUACAAGACAGAGACUUAGGGGGCAAGGCUCCCUCGGAUACAUAUGGCAAUCUACGAUACGUAUAUCUACAACUAUCAAAUAUACUCUAACAUCCCCGCAGUCACAAUGGGAACACCGCAGACGGUGACACUAGAGAAGAAGCCGAAGGCAAAAGCCGAUGCACUGACAUCCCCCCGCAGUUAUAAUGUUAGCGUGGUGCGGAUGCUAUGAUUGGAGAGAAAACUGGUGAGUAACUCAAGCAGAUGAUAGCCCUUUGUGCCGAUGUCGAGGUAGUAGCUGAGAUGAGGGUGAAUAGCAAUGGUCGAGGAUACUGGACGUGUAAGGUAGAGGGCACCGACCAUGUGUCAACAUCUAAGGGACCAGUAGAGAAGGCCUCCACGAUGGUUGUGGGGGUAGAAUGGCAUGGGGUAGAAGGUGUCGACGUAGUCUGUAAUUGCUGGAGUAGACGAACGAGGUGGAGGUGAGACAAAGACUCUGGCAACAAGGUGGUGCUGGACGAAGCGACGAGGUAGACCCGGACGAUCUGGCGCAAGGCCUGAUGAUCCGGAUGACGUGGUGGCAGAACUUGAAGGAGACAAUGAAGAACUCGAAUAGCUUGAAGAAGACCAUACACGCGAUGCACACAAUGACACAGUCAUAGACAAUCACAGAUGCUGUCAAGGAGGUCGACAUGGAUGUGGUCUAGGACAUAGUUAACGGUGAUGAAGAUGCAACGACGAGGAGGACUAGGGAGGGCGGCGCUGCUGACCAAAGAGGCGAGGCAACUGCAACCCUUCGUGUUAGUGGAGGUGCACGCGUACUCAGGACAAGUGUCCCAAAUCCGCACGUGCCACGACCAUGCACUGAUCGGCUGAUUAGACCAAGGGCACAUGAACAAGAUGACGGAUGACGAUGCCACACAGAUCGGAGUGGUGGCAGCGAUGUCGGGGAUGACGGCGUGGAGACCGUGUGGCGGAGGGGCCUGGUGGUGUUCCGGGAUGGGCCCCUCACGCACCACACGCCAGCUCGGGCCACACGGGUGUCGAAGAAGAAGGCCGAUGAUGAUGUCGAAGAAGAAGUGUGCUGGGUCGACGGGCGGUGGGCGACACAACUCGAUCAGAGAUCGAGAAAAAAAAUAGCAGCAGCAACAACAGAACAGCCUCCUGUGUAUAGAUGUGUGUACCCCUAGCAAAAGAAGAUAGAAAAAGGAGGCCCGACGGUGGAGGCAGCCUGCUGCCUACCACGGGUGCGUGCAGCCGAUCGGCAGCCUGACAGCCAAACAGAGAACGGCCCAACGCAACCCUGGCUUCCCGGUGGCAGCAUCGACAGGGCCGAAAUGUCCACAACUGCUGCUUAAGGAUGCUAGAACAAUGACGAGGGCAGCAAACUUGGAUCCGCCACAGGAAAGGAGGGCGCUGCCCCCGACGAAGAUCAAUCUCCCCGGGGGUGCCCACGAUGCGGAAGCGAACGACAACUAGGGCUUGUUGUCGAGGAUUGAAACCCUAACUCAUGAUACUAUGUAGGAGGAAUAGAAUUUGAUGUGGACAUGACUCAUAUGGAUACACACAUGAUAAGAAGACAUUUGGGGAGAGACAUGGAUGAUGAGGAGAUGACAUGCUUAAAUACGACCAUUCAUGAUAAAGAUAAGGUGAGCUCGUUCCUAUGUUUUAUUUUUAGUUAUUUUGAGAAUAGAUUGCUAUCUAAAAAAUAUUAUUAUAAUUAGGAACCAUGGAGUGGACCAUAAAGUACUUGAAGAGAGGCAUGGAGGCAGAGAGGACUAGCAAGGGACGUCCAAGCCAAGUUGGAGGCCAAGUUCGAGUCCAUCUCGGAGUCCAGGAGCAGUCCACCUUACAAUUGAUGCCCAUAUCACAUACGGAGUCCGUUUUGGACAUUCUACAUAUGUUUGGAAAGCUGAGAAGAUACACUUUCCAAUGGCACUAGUCUCAUGUUAAAAUUCCAUAGGAGUCAACGGGAAUCGUCAAAAUAAAGGAAUGUACAGAAUCUGCUUGGGUGUUGCAUCACCUUUUGUCAGGCCUUUGGCCUUGUAAAUUUGCUUGGGACCGAGGCCCAAGUUGUUGUGCGCCCCAAUGAGGAGGACAAUGGCCCAAGGAUGUCCUAGGUCAUCCUCCCCCUUGGCCUCCACCUCUUUGAUGUAUAAAACUCAGUAGCCGCCGCGCUAGACACUUGGGUUUUGCUUAGAUUAAUCUUUCUUUGAACAGUUUCAUCAUUUAUCGGUUUGUGAGACCCUAACUCAUGUGCUUCAUACUAUUAGCAAUAUUCAGAUUGCAUCUACCUUGUCCUUACUUGUGUUCUUCAAUUCGCAUGUAGGGAUUAGCCUUCAUGGCGAGGUCAAUCGGGCUGCGCACGGUUGAUAACCAGAGGAGAAGUUGUGCUUUGAUUGCAGGGUUUGGAUCUUGCUAAUCAGAAGCCGGAUCGAUUGUGUUGCUACUCCACCAAAUCGAGAGUUAUCCUUACUUGACGGAAGAUCGAACACCCUAGUUCCCAACAAGUGGUAAUCAGAGACUCAGGUAUUACUGUCAGGUUUACCCUAGUUAGUUUGUGCCAUUGUCCUAAAACUCCAGAAAAUUGCCGCACAAAAAUAUUUGUUCAUGGUGUUUCCGCUGUCCUAUAAGCCUUGCAAUUUUUCUUUUCAGAUUGUUUUUCUGAAUUUUAGUUCCUCGCCGUGUCAUCGUGUUGGUCAUGUCUAAAUCUGUCUUGGUCUAUCAAGUAUGGCUUACUUGUGUUGCUUGCCUAGUAUAUUAAAAUCUCGUAGAUCUUAUUCAACGUCGGAAAGAAACCCUUUCUGUAUUAAACGUCGAUUAUUUGUUCAAUGUAGUCGGUGUUGAGGAUGUAUCUCCUAAGGAACACAAGAGGGUGAUAGAAAGGACAUGAUAUUCUAAAAUAUCGGACUCAAAGAAACAAGAGAAGGUAUUUAAGAUUAUGGAAUCUUGAAAGAAGAGGGACAUUACAACGUGGCUUAUAAAUUAUCUAUGCUAUAGAAAUUGUUCUCAUGUUUUUGGUGUUACUGUAGGUGUUGUGUUAAAUUCACCCCCUAUCGGAACCACGGAGUCUACAUUAACACAGUUGAAUUCGGGUCCAAGGACUAGGGCAUCUGUUUAAGGUUGGUUCUACUUACAAAAUUGCAUUUCUUGCAAUCAUGGCAAAAAGGUCACUUUAUGUAGUAAUUUUAAUACAAUACUUUGCUUCAUCCCAACAUUGGACGUUCAAACACAGGUGGGCAGCAUUAAUAAUGCUCAUGGUGAUAGACCACCUAGCUUAGACAUAUGGGAACCGGAUGAUCCAAUGCAUGGUACAUAAUUAACAUGUUAGAACAUUUGAGUUAAUGUGUAACUAAUGCAGUACAUUUUCAAAUUCACCAGAGAAUGAUUUAGACCAAAUGGAUCCAGGAUGAGGAUGGACCGGGCAUCAUGGAGGAUGAUGAAGCAAGGGUGUUUUACCAUAGGGGUAAGUUUUAUAGUUAACUGCAUCAAGAGUAAUUCCUCUUUGUAUGUAAUCUGAUCCAAAAUUUAUUAUCUCAUGCAGAUGUUGUAUAUGAGUACUAUAGAGAACCUAGGCUCAUUCCAACGGGUCCUAGCUGUCACACCCUGAAAUUUUUGAAUUUCAGGAUGUGAUUAAAAAGAAUAAAUAAACAAUUGUUUUCCCAUAAUUUUAAAAUUUUCCCAACAUUUAUUUUUCUUCACAGGAAAUUUAAUAUAGAAAAAUAAUUGUGUUUUUUCUAAAUCAAAUAAGGUUGUUCUGUGUGUUGCAUUCAUACCGAUGCAUCUUGGUGUUUCAUGAGUGUAAAAGUUUCAAAAAUACAUUUAGACGAUGUCCAGACCCUUCUGAGAAUUUUCCAUCUUUUUCUGGAAUUUAUUCUCAUUUCCUAGAGCUAAAUCCAAUUUUUGGAAGGUUCUAGAUUCCUUUUCACGAGCUCCAAGUAUUUUAUUUGGACUCCUCGUGUCCCAAUCUAUCUCUAGGAAUUUUCCUGGAAAUUUUAGGAUUUUCAGAGUAUCUUUCGUGGCUUAAAUAAAUUAUUUAGAUUUUGUGGAUUUUUAUUUACACGGGAAACGAAUUCUAAAAAAAACCUUCUCUAUCCUAUCGGACCGAGUCCGUGGGCUCGACCCGCUCCGGCCCACUAAGCCCCUCAGGCGCUGCUGCCGCCGCCACCUUGGCGUGCGCGCCUAUUUAAUGCACCACCCUCAUCCCUCACGCCCCUGCUGCUCGCGUGCGCUGCGCCGCACCACUACCGCCCAGGCCCAGCCAUCACCCUUGUGCUGUCGGCCAUCGUCCCUACGCCGCGAGCCUCUGCCUCCCAGCCACCGCUGCCACGCCGGCGCGUCGCCACCACCGAGCGCUGCCUUCUGCGUGCCUCCCGCGCCUGCGCGCCUCGCCACCGCCUACGCCGCUGCCCGUCGCUCGCGCCCUGCACGCCCUGCACGCCCGGUCCACCCCGCCCACACGCCGCUGCUAGCUACGCGCCGCACUACGCCCCCGCCUCGUGCCCUCGCCCCUAGCCUCGUCACACCGCCACCACCUGCCCUUGGCUUGGCCCCGGCCGGCCGAGCAGAUAAGGCCGGCCGGAGGUUGAAGAAGAAGACCCCCAGUUUUGCAAAUGGAUCCCCAAAAAAAUUUGUAAUUAGUUAUCCUUUUCCUUGUGCGUUUUGCUGGAAACCCCCUAAUACUUUUAGAUCCUUGCGACCAAGUCCUACCCAGAGUUUUUAUAGAUUUAAGCCUAGGCUUUGACCUAAUCACGAGCACUAUUCCAUGUGUCUUUUGAAUCUUCCUUGCUAGCCCCUGAAGUCUAUAGUUAAUCACAUCUAGGUUCUUCCAAUCUUGUUUAGCUCGUAGAAUCUGUUUAACCUCAUUCUUGUCGCAUUAGAUUUAUAUCAACUUAAAUUAUGCAUUAGAAGCAGCGUUGAUCAUAUUCUCUAUUUGUAUUUUAUUCAAAACAUUAAUAUGAAUAAGUACUUAUAUACUUGCUUUUCUAACUAAAAUCUAAUUACAGUUCAACCUCAUAUUUUCAUAACUAAUGUAAAUUUGGUUAAUGCUUAUUUAAACAACUCUUCUAACUAAAAGCUAAUUAGAAAUAUACCUCGGCUUUUCAUCAAUUAAACUCAACUUGAUUAAUGUGUAUUUAAUUUAUUUUAUGAAUAAAAACUACGAGUUUUCAUAAUUAAAUGUUAAUUUGGCCAAUAUAUACGUAAAUGUGUUUUUGAAUUAUAAUUUGGUUAGUUCAACACGAGUCAUAAAGUUAUGCGCUUAGAUGUUCCCACAUAUGAUAUCUUUUCCAAAUUAAAUGUUUAAAGUGGUAUAAACUAUGCAUGAACAUUUGUAACUAAAAUUUGACACGUGUUGUGCCUUUCCAACCUUAGUUUCUGUUGACGCCAGAUUUUGACACGUGUGUAAUCGGCGUCAGGGGAGGAAGAAAUCAGAAGGAGCGGCGAGACACAGGGGUGGCGGUUGGGAAUCGGCCGAUUGGUGCUACAGUCAUGGAUCGGCCGAUUGACCUUUGGGGUUCCGCCUCGCCCGACCCCUAAGGCUUAGGAUCAGAUGCGCCCGACCCUCCGAGGGAGGAUCUCUGCCUCGCCCGACCUUAGGUCCCAGGAUCGGAGUAGUCAGAGCCCCCGACAUGUGGGUCCUAAUUGGCUAUCCCUUGCCAAUAAAGUGAAUAGAAAUCGGCCGAUUAGGAGGUUGGAGCGAUUGGGCCGGUGUGGGCCUGAAGAGGAUUAUGAAGAUGAAGAGGGAAUCAGCCCAUGAAGAGCGUGAUAAUCGACCCAGUACGAGUCGUACUUGUAAAUAUUCGUUUUCUGUUUAAAAUUAGAGAUAGAGUUCUAAUCGGAUAAGAAGUCAUUUGUAACAGGCUAUAAAUAGCCACCCUUGUAGAUCUGUAAUCAUCAUCAACUCAAUACAACAAACUACUAUUUCCUCGUACUUACUUUCAAGCCGGUGACUUCACCAAUACUUUUCUCCUUUUUCACGAGUUCAUACGGGUUGGCGGGGCUGCAUCAACCUGACCUCCGGCCGAUCUUGUAAGUUCCGCUUAUCGAAUAAUUUCUAAGCUUUAACUUCGGGCGCAUCGCUGUCGUUUCGUUUAGAUUUAUUCACCAGUUAUCGAUAUUUACUAGAAUUUUAGGUUUUACCUGUUGUUCUAGUUUUAUCACUGGUUAUCCAGCUAGGAAUCGGCAAUUUCGGCUUUUCUUGUACUUCGUUUAAUCUAUUCAUUUUACGCAUAGCCGAUUAGAUCUGUUCCUAGUGUUGCUACUGUAGCGUUGUUUAGAUUAUCUUAGCGUUUUUCUUUAUCAACAUUGCUUGGCAAUCGGCCACAUUGUAGCCGAUUUCCUUAUUACAGCAAAUCGGCCGAUUCGCUGAUAAGCUUUCUCGAGAUCGGAACCUUAGCCGAUCGCAACCUCUGGGAUCUGACACGUUUCUCUCCUUGCCAAUCAACAGGUCAGAUUGGCUGGCACACCGCGCGAACCGCACCAGGGAGAUCACCCGAACAGGAGCUAAGCAGAUUCUCCCGGGUCGUGUGUCCGACGCUGGGAAUUCGAUCAGCCGAUUUUUAGCGCCAACACACUUUUGGCACGCUCAGUAGGACCAAUACAACCGCCACUAUGUCGAAAGCUGCCGAAGUCUCGGAAGACAACGUCAUCGAAGUGACAGAAGCAGACCUCAGGGACGACCAGAGGGAAGAAUUGGAGAAGCAGACGGCAUACUACCGGAAGACAUGUCUGCAAUCCUUCAGUCAUACCAGGAGCGGAGAAACUGUCAAAAGGACUCCGUUUCCAACUCCCUGCCAAAUCACAAUCACCGAGGACUCGGACAAGAUGUUUGAGAUGGUUCAACAAUCUGUCUAUCAAGCUUUCAUUGAUCAAUCCCCGGUGAUUUCUAAUACGGUAUACAAUGCCGUCAUCAGCUCCUUGGCUAGCGGCGUAUCCCAAGGGUACCAGGGGCCGGCAUAUGCUCCACCAAUCACGGCCCCGACCAGGAGUUAUUCAAGUGCACCUUAUUCGGCUUCUCAGCCGAUCCAAAUUCCAAUUGGAGGUCCUAGCGCUUCCUCAUCAUCGAUCCCUCUGGGGUCUAGCGGCGCGCAAUAUCUCCAGCCGCGCCCCGUUCAGUUGUCCUCCGCGCAGUUUCCUCCUUUGAAUUCAGCGCCUUGGGGGGCACCAUCAGUGACGGCCGUCCAGGAUCAACCGGCCAGCUAUGGAAGUCCUCAACUCCAGGCAUCUUUCCAAGCGGCCGUUAGGCCAACCAUGCCACAGUAUCAGCCUGUCACGCCGGAGAUGAGCAGGGGGGCAGAAACAACAGAAGUACUUCGGGGCGUUGCGCCACUCGUGCUAUAUGACGAAGCCGUCAACUCAUUCAAACAUCCAACCCCGAUUACGCAGCUGGCUAUGACACAUCAGGCGCCGCACGCUUUCACUCAUCACCCAGUCAUCCCGCCGCCAGUGUACCAGCACGUGCCGGUUCCCCAACCGAUAGUCCACCAGCAACAACCAGACUGGACGGCGCGCAUAGCAGAGGUGAUUCAAGAGCAAUUCGGUUUAAAACCGAAGGUGCAGACCUACACAUACAAGACACCAUACCCGCCUACAUAUGACUCACUACCGUUUCCCCAUCGGUAUAAAGUUCCCGAUUUCACUAAGUUUUCGGGGCUGGACGACACCUCAACUGUGGAACACGUGAACAGAUUUAUCAUCCAAUGCGGGGAAGCAGCAGCUCAGGAUGCUCUACGGGUGCGCCUUUUCUCAUCAUCCCUGUCUGGGUCAGCCUUUCAGUGGUUCACUACAUUACCUCCCAACUCGAUAAUCACGUGGGCUGAUCUGGAAAGGCAGUUUCACAAAUACUUCUACGCUGGGAUACAUGAGAUGAAGCUGUCCAAUUUAACCAGCCUCAGGCAGAGAAGCGACGAGCCGAUAUCCUCAUAUGUGCAGAGGUUCAGGGAGAUCAGGAACAAGUGCUACUCCCUGGCCCUGACCGAUGCACAAUUGGCCGAUAUAGCCUUCCAGGGUCUCUUACCUCACAUCAAAGAAAAAUACGCUUCGCAGGAGUUUGAGAGCUUAAGCCAAAUCGUCCACCGACUGUCUGGUCAAGAAGUACGCCCUUUUGAUCCACGGAGGAACUUCCAGAAGAAGGUGGCAUACUUAGAAGAGGUUGAAACCGAAGAAGACACAGAGAUCGGCCUUGCGGAAUGGAUUAAAGGGAAAAAACUGAUAUCGUGUCCGUUCGGAAAGAAGGAGCCGGAAACGUUCGGAUUCGACACAUCAAAGGCCGAUAAAAUCUUCGACCUUCUCCUCCAGGAAGGACAGAUCAAGCUAUCACCGUACCACACGAUUCCGUUUGCCGAACAGCUGAAGAAGAUGAAAUAUUGCAAGUGGCAUAACGCCACCUCCCAUGAUACAAAUGAAUGCAAAAUCUUCCGGCAGCAGAUACAGUCGGCCAUCGAGCAAGGCAGACUCAAAUUUGAAGUUCCAACGAAGCCAGCCAAGCCGAUGAAGAUUGAUCAGCACCCCUUCCCCACCAACAUGGUUGAUACAGGGAGGAAUUCGCUCCAAACCAAGGUACUAACAUCCGAAUCGGCUAAACAAAGCGGCGCCGUGGACCCCAGGAGUCAAGCAACACCCGAAGACGUCAAGGGGAAACGGCGGAUGAAGGAUGAUGAUGACGGAUUGGGAGAACCACGCAGGCCCAUUACUUCCCAAUUUCUGCUCAAUAAAUAUCAACAGCAACAUGAACGCUCAAGAUCCCGGGAAGAGGCGAUGCGGCGACAUGAAGAUCACUGGCGAUGCCCGUUCUUCAUCCACUGUUGGGAAAGCAACCUCAGGUUGCCAUCGGCCGAUAAUUGCCCUGAGUGCAACGGCCCGUAUCGUAACAAUCGGCCGUUCAGAAGGUCUCGCUCUAGAGAUGGCAGACCAGAGCCGAUCAGCAGGAGCUGGCGCGACCAAGAAGACCGGCGCCCUCCAGUGCGUGAUCGGCUGGGGGGCAGAAGUGACCGAUAUGACCGGUCGGAAGGCAGGCGCGAACGGAACGAUAGGCUGGGGGGCAGAUUUGAUCGACAUGACCAGCCAGAAAACAAGGUUAGCAUUCACGGUCGACUUGAAGAGAUGGCCGAUGCUCGGGUAUCAGACGAGAAUCCUUUAGGACGCGAACCAGAAUGGGAACGCGCCAGGCCACAGACCAAACCAGUGAACCCCAGGUGGUGCCCUGAUGGAUUGACCAAGUCUCAAAAAAGAAGAAUCCAGCGUCUCCGCCAGUGGGAACAGCAGGAAGAAGAGCAACGGCAUACGACAGAUGAGAAAAACGGCAGGUCUCAGGUCUGGCGCCCCAAAAGAGGCGACAAGGGGAGACGACGAAUCGGCAGCCGACAUCGGCAUGGUUUUCAUAUUGCCGAUGGAGUUCAUGACUCCUACCGACCGACAGAACAUGUCGGCAAUAGAAGAGCAGAUGGCACAAUUGGCUUUGGAGCCAAUGACAGCCACGUUCGAGAAGCCCGAAGAUGACAAUCGACAACACCUGAAGGCAUUGUCCUUAAAGGGCAUGUCAACGGUCGACCCAUCACAAGACUACUAGUAGACGGAGGAGCUGCAGUUAACAUCAUGCCGUACGCCAUGUUCCGGAAGCUAGGGAAGAGCGAUGACGACCUGACCAGGACAGAUAUGAUGCUCAAGGACUUCGAAGGCAACGUGUCCCCCGCUCGCGGGGCACUCUGCGUCGACCUCACCAUCGGCAGUAAGACCCUUCCUACUACUUUCUUUAUUAUUAAUGGCAAAGGGUCCUACAACAUGCUACUCGGCCGAGACUGGAUACAUGCAAAUUGCUUCAUCCCAUCUACGAUGCACCAAUGCCUCGUGCAAUGGGUCGGUGACAAUAUCGAGGUGGUCACCACUGAUUCCGCAUACAGCGUCGCGGCGGCCGACACGCAGCAGUGGAGCUGCGAGAACGUCAAGUGCAUAUCCUUGGAGAAUAUGGGACACUGAUUUCUUGAAGGUGUCCGAUUUUGGCCUACAGCCGAUCCGAGCAGUCGGUUCCGAAGACUCGGACUAAAUGGAUCAGUUCGCCCGAGAAGAUGGGAAGCUGGGACACGGGUUCAUGUCGGCCGAUUCAUUAGAAAUGAUAGACUUAGGCGAUGCCACCAAACCAAGGCCGACAUAUAUUAGUGCAAAUUUGGAUCCGGAAUACAAAUGUAAAUUGACAAAUUUAUUAAGAGAAUUUAAGGAUUGCUUUGCUUGGGAAUACCAUGAGAUGCCCGGAUUAGACCGAUCUAUUGUCGAACAUCAGUUACCCAUAAAGCUGGGGUAUCGGCCGUAUCAACAGCCUGCACGGUGGUGUAAUCCUAAAAUCCUACCAGAUAUAAAGGUUGAAAUAACGUGGCUAAUUGAAGCAAAAUUUAUUCGGCAAUGCCGUUAUGCCGAAUGGAUCUCCAACAUUGUACCAGUAUACAAGAAGAACGGAAAGCUACGCGUAUGCGUCGAUUUCAGAAACCUCAAUCAGGCCACACCAAUGGACGGAUACCCUAUGCCGACGGCUGAUGUGCUGAUAGACGCCGCCGCGGGACACAAGGUUAUUAGUUUCAUGGAUGGAAACGUUGGAUACAAUCAGAUACUAAUGGCCGAAGAGGACAUAUCCAAAACGGCCUUCAGAUGCCCAGGUCACCUUGGUUUAUUCGAGUGGGUGGUAAUGACUUUCGGUUUGAAGAACACCGGCGCUACAUAUUAGCAAGCCAUGAAUUACAUAUUUCACAAACUUAUCGGCAUACUGGUAGAAAUUUACAUCGACGAUGUCUUAGUCAAAUCAAAAGGACACCAGGAGCAUCUGGCCGAUUUGCGACAGGUACUGGAAUGCACGAAGAAACAUGGGCUGAAGAUGAACCCGAAUAAGUGUGCCUUCGGUGUAUCCGCCGGACAAUUCUUAGGAUUCAUGGUUCAUGAGCGGGGAAUAGAAAUCAACUGGAAGACCAUAGCGGCCAUCAAUAAGGUCGUGGCCCCGCAGAAUAAAACUGAGUUGCAAUCUCUAAUCGGCAAGGUGAAUUUCAUCAGAAGAUUCAUAUCUAAUCUGUCUGGGCGUAUCCAAGCCUUCACACCAUUGCUAAAGUUGAAGCCCGACCAAGAGUUCAUAUGGGGAGAAGAGCAAUGCAAGGCAUUAGAAGAUAUCAAGCAGUACUUGGUCUCACCACCAGUAUUGGUCCCACCUCAAACUAGUAAGCCGUUUAAACUAUAUUUAUUUGCCGAUGAACGAGCUAUCGGGUCGGCUCUGGUCCAGGAAUUCGAGGGAAAGGAACGGGUAAUAUAUUAUGUCAGUAGAAGACUUCUGGACGCCGAAACAAGGUAUCCUCCAGUAGAGCGGCUAUGCCUAUGCCUUUACUUCUCAUGCACCAAACUCAGUCACUAUUUGCUAUCGGCAGAGUGUGUAGUCGUAUGCAAAGAUGACGUGGUAAAAUACAUGCUGUCAUUGCCGAUUUUGUAGGGACGAAUCGGAAAGUGGAUCUUAGCUUUAUCGGAAUUCGAUCUUCAAUAUGAAUCGGCAAAGGCCGUCAAGGGUCAGGUCAUGGCCGAUUUCGUUGCCCAGCUGCGGACCAGAGGCUACCUUCGUGGAACCAGUACCUUGGACCUUAUACUUUGAUGGAUCAUCAUGUGGGGCCGGAUCAGGAAUCGGCAUCGUCCUCAUAUCGCCUCGGGGGGCAAGCUAUGAUUUCUCUCUGCCGAUAGAAGCAUCCACCACUAACAAUCAAGCAGAGUACCGAGCUGUGUUGAAGGGGUUACAAUUAUUAAGGGAAGUCAAGGCUGAUGCUGUCGAAAUUUUUGGGGAUUCCAUGCUUAUCGUGGACCAAUUGACAGGGAGGUCCGAAUGCAAGGACGAUGUGUUAAGGAUUUAUUACGAGGAUUGCUUGCGGCUUCUGAAAGAAUUCAAGUCCGCGGUUAUUGAGCACAUCCCAAGGAAUCACAACGAGGAUGCCAACAAGCUCGCCCAACAUGCAUCUGGGUAUCGGCCGAUUCAAGGCGCCAUGGCUCUAGAACUCGCGGCCGAUGACUGGCGAAAAGAGAUCGCCGAUUACCUGAAAGAUCCAUCUAAGAAAGUGGAUCGGCGGAUACGAUUUCAUGCUACAAAAUAUGUGUUACUAGAAGAUGACUUGUUCUACCGAACAAUUGAUGGUGUCCUACUCAAGUGUCUAGGAAUAGAGGAGGCAAAGACUCUGAUGGGAGAAAUCCACGAAGGAGUGUGUGGAGCCCACCAGUCGGCACAUAAGAUGAAAUGGAUGAUUAGGAAUAAUGGGUACCACUGGUCGACGAUCCUCGAAGAUUGCUUCAAAUAUUAUAAAGGAUGCCAGGAUUGUCAGAAAUAUGGGAAUGUCCAACAUGCGCCCGCAUCGGCCAUGAAUCCCAUUAUCAAACCAUGGCCGUUCAGAGGUUGGGGAAUAGACCUCAUCGGGCAAAUUUAUCCUCCGUCAAGCAAAGGGCACAAGUUCAUUCUGGUAGCCACAGAUUAUUUCACCAAAUGGGUGGAGGCGAUUCCGCUAAAGGCCGUAACAUCGGCCGCUAUGGUUGACUUUGUAAGGGACCAUAUCGUCUACCGUUUUGGCAUUCCCCAGAUUAUCACGAUCGAUCAAGGAACGAUGUUUACAUCAGGAGAAUUCGAAGAGUUCAUGACCGAUAUGGGAAUCAAAUUGUUAAACUCCUCUCCGUACUAUGCCUAAGCUAAUGGUCAGGCCGAAUCUUCCAACAAAGGGAUAAUUAAGUUAAUCAAGAGGAAGAUAGAACAACAGCUGAAAAAGUGGCAUUUAUGUCUGACCGAAGCCCUAUGGGCAUACAGGAUGGCUUGCCAUGGGGCCACCAAGAUGUCCCCUUAUCAGUUGGUGUACGGUCACGAGGCGGUACUGCCAUGGGAAUUGAGGACAGGGUCGAGACGCACUUCGCUCCAAGAUCAGUUGGCAGCCGAUGACUACUUCUCACUCAUGAAAAGGGAACUUGACGACUUGGCUGGCCAACGAUUGAGAGCUUUGGUCAGUAUUGAAGAAAACAAGAAGAAAGUGGCCAGAUGGUAUGAUAAGAAGGUCAAAGUCAAGCAGUUCUCUCCAGGAGACCUGGUAUGGAAGUUAGUGCUGCCAAUCGGGUCAAAAGAUCCUAAAUUCGGUAAAUGGUCCCCUACGUGGGAAGGGCCGUAUAAAAUCGGCCGAUGUGCUCCAGGAAACGCUUAUAUUCUGGAAACGAUCGAAGCAGAAGAGUUUACUAGGGCUUUGAACGGAAGGUACUUGAACCUAGUAUAUGGGUCGGGGCAUAAGUUUCAACCAUGAUGAACAAACACACCGCCGAUACAAGAAGAAUCGCCUAAAGAUAAAACAUAAUCAUCCAAAUCAGCCGAUUUAUUAUUCGGUACGGACGAUGGGUUACACGGCCGACGCGGUACAAGUUGCCCUUAGAACAAAAAAUAAUUAACCACGCCUCUUCUUAAGUUCUCUCUUAACCCGACCUAGUUCUAUUAGAAGACGGAUGUGCCGUUCCUCUAUAUCUUUCAUCGCGGCUUCCGCUUCAACUUGACGGGGAAGAGGAUGACUCCGGUCCAUUGCCGGACGAGAUGUUCCUGCCGCUGCAUCUUCAAGAGCGAUUUGACGAGGAAGCGUGUGACUCCUGUCGGCUUGAGGUCGCCUGUUGUCGUUGCCAUCAAGGAAGUCCCAGAUCCGUUGGACAUCGGCAGGAACGUGCUCCUUGAGUUCUUCACGAUGAACCCUGAUUAGAUCCUUGUCUUCUUGUGACAAUGGUUCGUCGGAGUACACGAGUCCGAUGGCUCGUUCGAGUUCAGGACUAAGGCGCCGCGGCUGGGAAAAGCAACAAUGUAUAGUCGCCGAAGAUGUGAUUCUUUUCAAAUGAAUUAAACUGAGAAAGAGGGCGAUGACAAAUCUCUUACCUGAUUAACAGAGGAAAAGGAAGAGGAUGAAAAAGACAUGACUGCAAAGCGCGCCGACGGAAACGAGUCAGGGAAGAGAAAGUCGAAUUAAACGGGUGCUCUCAAAAAUGGGACCGAGGCUGGUAUUUAUAAGUGAAGAAGGCGUGGAUGUUUGGUAAGACGCGUCCCGUCAGAAGUAAAAAGGGUAAUAAAUAAGGGGGUGCCGCGAAGGACGGUCAAAGGAGGCAUUAAUGUUCGCACAAGACUACCAGUGUUUUUACAGGUCGCCCAGAAGGGCGUUGAUAGCCGCAAUCGCUCGACGCCGGAUCUGAUCGGCCGAGUCCAGGACCCGUUGGUCAUCCUCCGCCGAUCCCGGGACUUCUGACAUGUGGCGGUGGAGUUUAAGAGCUUCGUGAGCCAGAUGCUGCCUAUCCCGCUUCAGAUCGGCGAUGACGGAAGGAAGUUCCUGAAGCCUCUUCUCUUCGACGGCUAUUUCUUUGGUCACUUGCUCCAUCUCCUUGGCAAGCUCUGCUCUUCGGCGUUUCAGGCGAUCUAUCGUGCCGACGAUUCCAGGGUGAGAAUCUUCCAGAAAGUGAAUCCGUUGAUGCACCUCUUAAGCUUGACGCUUGUACAGAUCUUCUUCUUCACGAGUCUUGGUCAGUUUGGCGCGAUCGGCCAUGUGACGCAGAGCCCUGAAGACCGGAAUCCGCAUUGACUCAAUAUACGCAGCCGGUGCCAAGGCUUCUUCCACCUCUUCUGGUACUCGCCCGCUGAUGUCACCAAAGAGCUGCCGAAUUGGCGAGGCAUCUUCUACCAAUCGGCCGAUAUCCUCUUGAAGAAGGGAUCGUAUGCUUUCAAGUUUGGCACGGACGUCAUCAGGAAUGGAGCUCAAAGUGACCUGACGGGAGGCGACUUCCUCGUCAUCGGAGAGAGCGACCGCGAACGAGAAAAGGCUGUUAUUGGGGGUGUCCUGUUCCUGGAAAAUAGUAAAUGAAAAAGAAAACAAGUCAGCCGAUGGUGGUAGCAAAUCAGCCAAUUAAGGGUGGGAGAUCUCUUACCUCCUAAAAACGGAUUUCUUCCAGCUGCGUUUGCGAGGCUGUCACCCUCGACUCUGGGACUGGUGCCAUUGGCUCGUCGGAAGAGGAAGAUUCAACAACAAUUGGCACUCUGCUCGGGCCAGCUUCUUGAAGGAUGACCAAUGGCUGAUUAGGCAAGGCGCUUAGCGCGCCGGUGACCUGUGUCAAAUUUAAUAAGAGCAUCAUCCAAAUACUAGAAGAACGGGUUGAAGAAUGGUAUACCUCAGCAGAAGGAAGCGCUGGCGUUUCAUCGACCGCUUGGGCUGCUGCCGAUGGCUGGGGGUCCACAAGGGUAAUCUGUGCAGUCUAAUAUAAGAGGAGUCAGUAUGGAGAUAGCGAUCGGGAAGAUCGGACAACAAGUUUACCUGCAUGGCCUCCACCAGUAAUGACGCAGUGGCUGCUCCGGCUUCCGUGGCAACUUGAAUGUCUACUUCUUCAGCAGUCGGAAGGGGCGGCGCGGCCGAAAUUUCUGCCGAUGUAAUCAUAGGAGGAUCGGCCGAUUCUAUACGAGCACGUACUCGGCGACUGGUCUUCUUAACAACCUUCUUCUGCGGCUGUUUCGCUCGACCGGCAAUAACGUCUACGGAAGGGGCAUGAUAGCUGAUAAGGGGGAAGGUGGUAUAUGGAUAACGGUCCUCUAUCGGCCGACCACUCCGGCUGCAUUUUGGGGGAACGCGGUUUUCAGACUGAGUCAACAGCGAGAGUUAGUAUAUAUGUUUAACAACAUUAAGAGGGAAUGAAAAUUGGCCAGGGAAAAGAAGAAUACCUCAGCAUUCGGAUCGAUGUUGGUUGGAUCCAGGAGGUUGCAGUAAGUCGAUGCAGAAGUACAGAACAGGUACUGUUUCCAUUCGGCCUACCAUAGCUUGAAUGGCUGAACGGCGAAAGGUGCUACUAUCCACUCAUUCAGGUCAAUGGUACUGGAGUCUGGGAUCCGAUCUCGCAGCCGAUUAUAGUCAAGGCCCUUGGUGAGUUCAUCUCUAAACUUUGCCCGGCCGGUGAAAUAUGCCUGAAUCGGCAAUUGACCCAUGCCGAAUUGCCGUGCUGCAACGGAGGGGUUGUAGAACUCAUACGUAGGAGCAUCCUUCCCCGAGAAGAAGUUGGCCGGUAAGAUUCCCGGUUUAAUUAAUUCGUCUGUGAGGUCUUCAUCGAAUCGGCUAGUGGUCGAGUCAAAGCAAGAAGGGAGCUCAAAGAUUUGGGUCAUCCCUCUGAUAAGGGAACCAGCUGGUUGCGUCUUCACUGAAGCCAUUAUAAAAACACCGGAAGUAUUCGGCCACCUUGGUAGCGGAAUACGAGCAACCGGAAAAGGCCGAUGCCGCUUCGCCGAAAGAUGUACAUCGAUGUCGGACAGUGGGGUUCUCUGCCAAUUCAAUGUUGGGGAAUGUCAUGUGCUCCACUCGCUGCUGAGAAAUCUUGCUCAUGUACAGGUUAAGCCAUAAGUUGAUAAACCACCAGGGCCCACCGGGGUUUCCAAUCGGCUCCCCUUGGAAUAAUUUAACACCGAUUUGGUGAAGCAUGUGAUAGGCUGCCCCCAGUAGGUGCUUUCCAAGGGGAACGGAGGCCCCUGUCGAUAAUGCCUCGGCCAGAGCUUGAGUGUUGGUGGACGAACCAGCUGCCCUCCCACAGAAGAAAUGUUUCUCUAGCCAUAUCAUCAGAAAAGCCGUGUGCUCUCUAUUCUCGACUGAUCCGGCCCUUUUGUUGCAUCUGAUGAACCCCUUCCAUCCGUUGAUUCCCUUUGUGUCUAACCGAUGAGAGGUUGUGGCCAAAAGAUGAAAAGGGGUGUCCGGAGAGGAAGUGUCAAGGCCGGUCAACAAGACCACAUCGGCCAAGGUGGGAGUCAUGGGUCCGUGUCCAAAAAGGAAUGCAUUGAGAGCAUCGGACCAGAAGUAGGAGGCUGCUAUUACUAAUGGUUCAUUUCUUUCCAUUUGGGACAAAGAUAGAUCGAUGCAUUGGCCAAUUUUACGCUCUUCCCAUUGGACCCUCUUGGAAGCGGCUAUCCACUGGUACCAUUCCCUCCAGCCGGGGGUUUCAUUCGGCCAUGACCUGAAGGUACCUGACCAAUGAUCUAGGUCCAUAGCUGAUUGCUUAAAAGGGAUUCUAUGGGUUUCCAAAUUGAUUAAGUCGGUUGGAUCUGGGUUUCCCAUGGGACCAAGGCAAAUAAGGUCGGGAGUCUCUAUAAGGCGAAUGGUAAUCUGAUGCCUAACCGCCUAAAGAAGGAAAAAAGGGGUGCUGAAGUAAGAAUAGAUCUAAAGGAAAUACAUUACUGAUAAGGAAAGUUUCGGUAAUGACCUCCGGGAUGAAGUUCAUCGUAGUUGGCGGAGGCGUCAGUGGAGCUGCAGAUGAUGAAGCCGCCAACGGGAUUUCGGUUGAAGCCCCAGCUCCCGCCGAUAAAGGUUCUUCUCUCGUCGAUGGAGCCGCUGCCGUCGCCACUGGAACUUCUGCCGGCGGGGCCAUCUCCGGAGCUUCGAGCGUUGGUGAAGUGCCUGAAGGUGCCGCCAUUGGGGAAGUAGAGAGAAAUGAGGAUGGAAGGAGAUGCUGGGGAAAAAGUUGGAAGCUGAUGAAGACGCCGGAGGAAGAAGAAGGCCUGUACGCUAAAAGAAGGAAGACGUGAGCUCGUAGGGGGAGUACGGGCGAGCUGAUAUUUAAAGGUGGUCUGAGAAGGGGUAAAAGUGGAAUUUUUACCGCGCCGGCGUUUUGAUUUUUUCGGGAGGAGUGGUUGUCAUGGGCGCCCGUUUCGAAAAGAUUGCAAUCAUCAGGCUGGAGACCGCGAAACGGAAGGAUAUUUUCAAUGCGUUUGUUUCGGAAGGGAAGUUGAAAAGAAUUUCAGAGUAAAGACUAUGUUUUACUCCGAAACUGGGGGGCAUGUGUUGACGCCAGAUUUUGACACGUGUGUAAUCGGCGUCAGGGGAGGAAGAAAUCAGAAGGAGCGGCGAGACACAGGGGUGGCGGUUGGGAAUCGGCCGAUUGGUGCUACAGUCAUGGAUCGGCCGAUUGACCUUUGGAGUUCCGCCUCGCCCGACCCCUGAGGCUUGCGAUCGGAUGCGCCCGACCCUCUGAGGGAGGAUCUCCACCUCACCCGACCUUAGGUCCCAGGAUCGGAGUAGUCAGAGCCCCCGACAUGUGGGUCCUAUCGGCUGUCCCUUGCCGAUAAAGUGAAUAGAAAUCGGCCGAUUAGGAGGCUGGAGCGAUUGGGCCGGUGUGGGCCUGAAGAGGAUUAUGAAGAUGAAGAGGGAAUCAGCCCAUGAAGAGCGCGAUAAUCGACCCAGUACAAGUCGUACUUGUAAAUAUUCGUUUUCUGUUUAAAAUUAGAGAUAGAGUUCUAAUCGGAUAAGAAGUCAUUUGUAACAGGCUAUAUGUGGCGGAUCCACUUCGGAUUUGCUUGAUUAAACAUGAUUAAGCCGCCUGAUAUGCGACACUCAUGCCUUAACCAAGUAAACAUGAAGUGCCGUCGGAUUUCAUCCGAUUUAACCACUUGAACAGGAUCGAAUAGCAAACCCACAUGAAGGUGAGCGGUUCCAGAGAAUACAACAAGUCCCCUGAGUUACCAGAUUAACCAUUUAGUUUGGCCAUAAAACAACAUCAGAGUUUACAAGGUUCAGAAGAAAAACAACAGAAGGUACAACAACGAGCGGAAGCUACUUCGUCGGGGUCGGACAUCCCUAGUGAGGCCAACCGGGAGAUCAGUGAUCCCUCUCCUCGCCGUCCGAGGAGGGAUCCCAUUCAACCGUCCAACCCAGAGGGAGUUGGGGCGGCCAAGUGCCAGCAGAGGAAGGCUCAAAGGCAGCAACUUCAUCUGAAAAAGAAGAGCCACAACAAGGCUGAGCUACUAAGCUCAACAAGACUUAACCGACAGGGAGUACGCUACUCCACCACUUCUAGACAUGCAAGGCCUUUUGGCUGAGGGGUUUGUUUGCCAAAAGCGCUAGGUGUAUCCCUACUUUCAAGUUUUAGCUCCGGUUUUGAGUUCAUUAUCCGGUCUAAAUUUGCAACCUAUUCUAAGCAACCAUAGAACCAACCAAAAGGUAUAUAUAUAUCAUCAUCAAGACCAUGUCAUCAUUAGAUUCCUUUAUUACUCAGGGUGACAUAGCGAUCAAGCAAUCUCAAACUGUGAGAGACAGACGAAUCAAUUUGAGUUUCUUAACCAUGCAUGGCGAACCUAAUCUCAUGACAUCCGCGCACCACAAGGGUUGCUUCCUGUGUCGGUCGUCCCCAUCAAUUCCAAGGCGCGUGUCAGGUCCAAACUUCCCUUGGCAUGCAAUGCUCCACAGUCCCGGCCUCUACCGUACUGUGACCGCACUUGCACCCACAUGAUGCACCAUGGGAACCUCGUUCCAGGGACAGCAGGGGUAUAAGCCACGCCCUAGUUCAAUCAGGUACUAGGCUUCCCCAUCCCAUACUAGGUAUGAGAUUAGUACUUUCAAACACUUGAUCACGAACACCACCAGUGUCGGGCCUUAGCAAGUUUCAUAGACAGACGGGGCGAUCAGCCAACCACCAAAGAGUUACCCAAAACCCUGCCCCGUCCAUCGUCCUUAUAGUUGUAACAGAAGAGGAAUCAACCAACUCCUACAACUCGCGAGUGACGGGAAAUCACUCGGCUUUUACCGUUUCCUAUUUAAGCAAAGCAUCUACUCGGUCCAACAGCUAGUGAUCAGAUCAAGGGAUCUAAGUCAUGCAUCUAUGGUUCCAAACAACUCCUAUACGUAAAUGCACAAGCAUGUUAAAGAAGGCAUGCGCAAGUUUGGUAAAACACAGGGGAUUCAUGCAUUCGGGGCUUGCCUUCGAACAAGGAGGAGGGAAACUGCUCUUCUGCUUGGGCGGCUUCGGCUUCUGGAGGCAGGAGCUCGGCUACACCUUCGUCUUCUAGCGCCGGGUGCAGCUCGUAGAAGCUGUCGGCGAGACGCAGCUCUACACGAAUGCAAUGCAUUGGUUAGCAUUUAGACGGUUAUUUCAACAGCAACACUUGCAAGUUUGAGCCUAGAAACUUGCGGCAAGUUACAGGAGGGUGGGGGUUCGCUUGAGUUGGUGGAGAUCAAGAUAUAAGGGUCGGAUGGGAAGGAACUUAUGAUUAGACCCUUAAUCUAGAGGAAUAGAUGUGCUAGGGGUCCUCGGACUUAACGCUGAAAAGUCCCCAAGUUUUACACAUACACCCUCGGUUCAAAGAAAAAGAUACAGCCGAGCCCUCGGGCGAGGCGGAGAAAGGUCGGCGGAACAGACAGGGUCGGGCGAGACGGAACCGGGGUCGGGCGGAUAGGAGGGGUCGGACGAGGUGAACAAAGGGUCGGUAGCUUACCUUCGUCUUACAGAUGAGGCUUGGGGUCGGAAAAGAACAGGCUUGGGCGGAAAGACUAAGGCUUGGGACAGCGGCGAGGAUGUCCGGUGGUACUCCGGCGGCGGCGGUGCUUCUUGUGGACCACAAGCAAGCUCUUGUGCAGCACGGGGAGCAGUGGCUGGUGGAUUGGGGAAAGUGGUGUUUGAGCGGAGAGGAGAGUUCCUCAGACUUAGGCGGUGGCGCUGUGAGCACGAACAGGGAGCAAGCGGGAGGGCAGCGAUGGCGAAGGGGAACUCCGACGGGGCUCCGGCAUUCCCUUUUAUAGCUGCGCGGAAAAGAGAAGGGGGAAGCGGCGCGAAAGCCGGGGAAAAAGUGAUGGAGUGUGCUGCCGGGGCGGCGAUUGAGCGAUGAGGACGGUGGAGCAGGACUUCGGGGAUGACACCAGCGGUCAUUGGGCACCGAUGACAGGGCGGCGCAGGCGCGGGUUUGCCGGUGGUUGAGAUUUGGCGGAGGCGGGCGUCGUUGUGCGGUGGAUCUGAUGGAAGUGACCGGGGAAAUAGCGCUAGAAACGAGGGUGCACAGGUGAGAAGACAGGCGGCUGCGGUCGCGCGGGCAAGCGCGGAGCAACAGAUUGUCGGGGCGGAGCUCUGACAGGGCGGGAAAAGGAGCUGUCGCUGCCGGGGUCUGGGUUGGCGGAGGAGGAAUCGUCGCGUAGCGAGGACCGGUGCGGCGCGACUGGGGAGGGGCGACAGAAAAGACAGGCGGCAUCGGGCUCUGCAGCCGGGAUCUGGCGAUGUGAUGAUGGGCGCGGGCGGCGAGGUGCUGCAGAAAGGGUAGCAGAGGAGCUUCCGCUGCGAUUGGGGAAGGGGGCGCGAGAAUCCAUCCGGUCGUGGCCGGUGACGAGGCGGAGCGGCGGGCGUCGGAGGAGUUGAGCCACGCGGCUAGGGAACUCUGAAGCGGGCAUGCAACUCGAGUGCGCCUGUCGCGGGAGAUCUGGGAGAAAGAUCUCGUGGGUCCACCGGUCAGUCUCGGUGGUCCACAGCUCAGAUUGAAGGGAGGCGUUGGGGGAGGACUUAGAAAGAUCCGGCGGUCGGUUGGGGGUCGGCGGGGUCGGAACUGGGGGAAAACGGCGAGGGGUCGGAUCAUAGGGGGUCGGGACCGAGCUGGAGGUGGAGCACUUAGACUUGGUAAACUGAGACAGGGGAUCAGGGACUCAGAUUAAGAUUAACGCGAAGGAUUUUUAACCGAGGUCGUUACACUAUAAAUAGCCACCCCUGUAGAUCUGUAAUCAUUAUCAACUCAAUACAACAAACUACUAUUUCCUCGUACUUACUUUCAAGCCGGCGACUUCACCAAUACUUUUCUCCUUUUUCACGAGUUCAUACGGGUUGGCGGGGCUGCAUCAACCUGACCUCCGGCCGAUCUUGUAAGUUCCGCUUAUCGAAUAAUUUCUAAGCUUUAACUUCGGGCGCAUCGCUGUCGUUUCGUUUAGAUUUAUUCACCAGUUAUCGAUAUUUACUAGAAUUUUAGGUUUUACCUGUUGUUCUAGUUUUAUCACUAGUUAUCCAGCUAGGAAUCGGCAAUUUUGGCUUUUCUUGUACUUCGUUUAAUCUAUUCAUUUUACGCAUAGCCGAUUAGAUCUGUUCCUAGUGUUGCUACUGCGUUGUUUAGAUUAUCUUAGCAUUUUUCUUUAUCAACGUUGCUUGGCAAUCGGCCACAUUGUAGCCGAUUUCCUUAUUAUAGCAAAUCAGUCAAUUCGCUGAUAAGCUUUCUUGAGAUCGGAACCUUAGCCGAUCGCAACCUCUGGGAUCUGACACAUUUCUCUCCUUGCCAAUCAACAGGUCAGAUUGGCUGGCACGCCGCGCGAACCGCACCAGGGCGAUCACCCGAACAGGAGCUAAGCAGAUUCUCCCGGGUCGUGUGUCCGACGCUGGGAAUUCGAUCAGCUGAUUUCUAGCGCCAACAGUUUCGUUUUCAGUGUUUCAUGCGUCCUCCGAUCCUAGAAUCGAUCCCUAUCCUUUAGUACGUUGUUUUAAAUUUUUUCUUUGAUUGGUGUAUUGUUCUUAGUUGUACUUGUUUGUUUGCUUUGUAUGUUUGUGCCGGUGAUUGAUUCGAGUAGAAGGAUUGCUAUUCGAAAGCUUUGAAGAUUAAGAGUUUCCAGAGAGCAAGAACUGAAGAACAGUAAGAGUAACUUUUCAUUGGAGAAAGGCAAGUGUACCUAACCAUCCUUCUACCUAAGCUUUCUUUAUAAUACCAUGACAAUGUUAAUUGGAACGUGGAGAACCACCCAGGAAAAUAGUGCAACCACAAGAACUAUAUGGCUCUGGUCUUGGCUAAUUAAUUAGAGAUUCUAGUCUGGGGUUAUCUUACCAAAAGGGCAACAGGGGAGGCAUUGAUGGGGUAUAACCCGAUCCUCUUGGUAAGUGAGCUUUGCAAAGACACUAUGCCUACUAGGGAGGUUUAUGCUCUGCUUCGACCUGAAACUUUAGUGGGUUACCACUUACUAGUGAAUCUUUGUAAAGGCUUGGAACGUCCCUAUGCAGUCACACCUCGGUAGUGUGAUCAGUGCCUGAUCAGCACAGCAUGGUUGGGUCUAAAGUUCUUCUGAACUUUUACACGACUUGUGGUGAAAGUGUACAACCUUUGCUGAGUGUAAAACUGAUAUACCAGUUGUGCUCACGGUCAAGAGCGGCUUGGACCCUCACAUGAUUAAUUAAACUUGAAGAUGGACUUAAAUUGUUAUUCUAGUUAUUUCUUGUGGCCUUGCUGAGUACCAACCAUAAGUGUACUCACCUUUGCUUACUACUGCUCGGAAGAGGAAGGUGUGUGAAGUUUUUUAAAGAUGAUAAUGAGUUAUAGGCGUACGCAGCCCCAGUCGAUUUCCUGUGAAGUUUGGAGCCUCCGUUUCCAGGAUUAAUCUGUAUAUUUCUGAUAGACUCGUAAGUCUUUAUUUAUAUUUCUUUACGUGAUACUGUUGCUGUUAAUCACUAAUGAUGUCACUAUAUGUAUGAAACUUGAUCCUGCCAUACAUAUAGGUAGCACUUGGUUUUGUUUCAAAACUGGUGUGACACUGACCCAUAUGAUGGAGUGUACAAUAACCUUCCUAAGAAGCACCACGUGUUGAAGAAGGCCAAAAAUUGUGAGUUCUGCAAUGCGAAGAUGUUCCCCGGUGAAGGGCCUUCUUUCUACUGCAGGAAUAGGAAGGUGCACAUAUAUAUCCCAGAAGUUCCCUCUGAGCUACAUUAGUUAUUUACAAGUAAAAUAGACAAGGAUGCAAGGUAUUUCAGAAAGCACAUACAGUACUUCAACUCACGUUUCUCUUUCACUAGCUUUGGGGUUUCCAUUGAUCGACGUAUCGCGUCCGCAAGAGGUACUGGGUGUGUAUACCUUUAAGGAACAUGUCCAGAUUUACCAUAAGCUAGAUCCACUUGUGCCGGGUGGGAAAGGGCUACGCCAUAUGCAGCUCUACAUUUAUGACACGGAUGAUAGUGCUGCUCAUCGUGUUAAGAGGUCCCCUAAUCUUGAUGAGAACCUGAUCCGCUUGAUCCGUGGUAUUUUAUGGGACAAUCCGUAUGUCCAAAUGUUCACAAGCUUAGGUACUCUUGCAGAUAUUCAAGAGUACACAAUUGAGUUGAAUACCAAGACUUCUAUUGAUCAGAGGAGGUAUAAUGUACUUGAAAGGGAUCAGAUUGCGGCUAUCUGGGUUGAUGGCAAUGACUCUCAGCAUAGGUUCUCACGGAGCAUAGUGAUAUAUGGGAAAACAGAUGAUCCACACUAUAUUAGGGCGUACCAUGGCUGUUAUAACCCAUUGGAAUAUCCUUUGUUUUUUCCUAGUGGUGAGAUUGGCUGGGAGGACAAGAUGAUAGAGUUUCGAUCCACCACCAUCAAAGCCGAAGUGGAAGUAUACAAAACGUAAGAGGAAAGGUAUGCACAUUUAACAUUUGUUUCUUACUUUGUCCAUAGAUUCAUUGCUCCCACUAUAUGAAAUUUCAUGAAAUAUGUUAUAAUACAGAUGGAACUAAAGUCGAUGUGGGUGAUCGAUCAAACAACAACCACUGUGUUGUUAGAGGACGUAAAAAAAGAGUUGUUCAUGGUAUGCAACAUUUUUCAUGUGCUUUCAUACACACUUCACUUGUUGUGUUUGUAAACAUUUUUUUUGUUUCAUAGAUCUGCCUAUUGAUGAAGCAAAUGACACUGCAUAUGGUGACUUCAUGAAUGAGGAAGGUGUUGGUGUUUAGACCCGGCAACCUACCGAGGGGGUACCCGAGGUAGUGUUUUAUGCAUGGGGCUCGCUGAGAUCAGGAACUCGAAGGUGAACUCGAACACACAAUUUAGAUAGGUUCGGGCUGCUAAUGUCGUGUAAUACCCUAUGUCCUAUGUGUUGGUUGUAUUGUAUUGGGUUGAACUUGUUUGGAGGGGGUCCCAACCUCGCCUUAUAUUGCCGGAGGCAGGAUUACAGGUCGGUUGUUUACACGAAUACUAGUCGGAUUCGACUAGAGAGUCCUACUUUAAUCGCUACGAGUAGUUUCCUAAUCCUCGACUAGUUCUUGUCUUCCACGUAGACCAUGCCGUCUUGUACCAUAGUCUCCAUGUAUGACACGUCUCAGUGUACAACCCCGUAUCUAGGACUAUCCAAACCUUCUGGUGGGCCCAUAGAUGUAUGGACGACAAACCCCGAGUACUUUUUAGUCAAAUGUAGCAGUCCUGAGUACUUGUGUAGGCGUCUCCGACUAGUUUGUCGUGCCCUUUUGAGCACUCUAUCGGAUUGAGUCUUUAAACAUACUCAAGUACCGCCAUUCAGCUAGAAUGUGCUCAAGCCUCAUUUAACUUGUAAUUCUAUAUGGAAGUGCGAUGAAAAUCGCACUCCAUAUGGAGUAGCCCCCGAGCCUUAGGUUGUAUCUAAUAUGAAAGUGCGACGAAAAUUGCACUUCAUAUGGAGUAGCCCCUGAGCCUUAGGUUGAAUCCAAGAAUCAAUAUGAGGGUCAAUCUUGUAAUUUCACAUCUCUUUCUUCCUUAAAACCCAAAUAAAAUUUUUUUUAGCCGAUGGGCACGUGGCACACAGUCCCCGAGCCGUUACAUGACUAGUUUGGGUAUAAGGGUCAACCACUAGUCAACAUGACCGUUUGCCAACAGUAACCUUAUCUCCUCCCAAAAAAAUUGGAAACUAUCAAGUGAUAAAUUGAGGUGUUUGAAAACGGAAUAUUCCUAUUAAUCUCGCCCCUGUUUAACUGUGUUGCGGUUAUAAAUAACGGAGGAAAUCAUCCCUUCUGUAUCACCCAAGCCACUGCUCCUUCAUCUUCCACACUGUAGCCCUAGCGCUGCCACUGCCCGAUCUUUGAGCUCGAGCGCCACCGUCCCCCACCGCUUAGCCCCCGAGCACAUGCGCAAGAAGACCCUUGUGGCAACACAAAUAGGGAAGAAGGUGACAUCCAGCAAGGUGCCAGAGAGCAAGAAGAGGAAGGCUAAGAAGAAGAAGGAGAUCCAGUUCCUGGCUCCAAAGUAUGGCAAGAUUGAUCGAACAGCUCCGCCAAAUCAAGCAUGCACCUGGAAGAAAUCCGUGCUGAAGGAGAUGGAUAUCCAGGCAUAUGUAGAUGCCAAUCUUCUCCAAGACCAAGACUUCAUCAACUGGAGGGCUGCAUUUGGCAACCCUUGGCCAAUGGAGAGCUACACUCAUGAGACGGUAAUCUUCACACAUUUUAUUGAGCAUGGUUUGGCUUUGCCCACAUCGGACUUCUUUCGCGGACUUCUGAAUUAUUACAAGCUGGAGUUAGUCCAUCUCAACCCCAACUCCAUUAUGCAUGUAGCCAUUUUUGUGCAUUUGUUGGAACCUUUUCUCGGAAUCCAGCCGCACUUCUAGCUCUUCCGGAAGUUUUUCACAGUCAAGCCCUAGCCCAGGAUGGAUCACACUGAAGUAGUCCCGCGGGGGGGGGGGGGGGGGGGGGGGGUAGGCAUUCAACAAUGGGAGAAGGUCAAAGGCUUGUAUGUGGAUUACGAGCUAAUUGACUCCCACUCUAGCUGGAAUGAGAGGUGGUGUUACAUUGGAAAUCAUGAGCCCCGACUACCCAAGGUGACAGGCCACCGCCCAAUUUGGAAUAAUCGGUUGUUAGACAAGCCGACCCAUGGAGACAGCCUUUAGCUACCCGAGCUUCUGGAGAAGAUCACCGUACUCAAGUUGCAAGGGCUGAUUGGAGUCGGGGUAGCCUUCAGUUUUAUGAGGAGGCGAUUCCAACCCCUUCAACUGCGAUGCACCUGGGGAUACGACUACUCGGGCCCCAAUGAUCCAUCCCGAAUGACGUCAGAUGACUUGUCCGUGGAUGAGGUUAUGGUGUUAUUGAGGCGCCUAUUCAAUCAUGCAAGAGCGAUCCCGAUGAUCGUGUCAGAGCACUGCGCCGCCAACCCACCAAACAGUGUAACUACCCAUGGCCUUAGCCCCUGAGUACUAAUUUUGUACUUGUUGAUUUUCUGACUUAUCUUCUUUUGCAUGAAGAAGUUCACUUGUUCUGCUCCACUCCUCCUCCACCCAAAUCGGAUGGCUCUGAUGCUGCUCCGUGAGUACACACGAACGCCGAUGUACAGAAGAUAGUCGAGGCGGAAGAGGAGUCGAAAGGUUUCUCCUCCUUUAGCAGCUCAAAUUCAGAGGCCACUGAGGACUUUGUGAUCAAAGCCCGACCGUCGGAGAAGGUUGGAUCUUCAUCUGGACAUCCAAGCGUGAAGCCGAGGAUGACCUAGAGGCCAAACUAGCACCGCCACUGAAGAAGAGGCACACUGUCGCCAUCAAGCGUGUGGCGAAGAAGCCACCUAUGGCUGAUGAAGUCCCUCCUCCGGUAAUCACAUACGAAGAAGGACAAGGUCCUGAGGAUCAAGUACUCAUAAGUAGUUUCCUUACUGCCAUGUCUACUGGGUAUGACAUUGGAGGAUUGCAGGUAGUCAAGGAGGAGACAGAGGUGGAAAAGACGACUACCGAAGUCGUGCAACAGGAGCUGCCAGUGAUUAAGGAGGUCAUCAAGCUUGAUGAGGAGGAGGAGCCUCCUAUCGCUAGUGCCAACCCUGUCAGCGCGCAAACUACUCAGGAAGUGAAGACGGCGGCCAAGGCUGGCGAGGAUCAAGCUGCGAUCCAACAAGCCGCACCGAAGAACCCGUCGCCCACAACCAAGCCCACGCGCCUAGUGGGAGAGCCCUUCUUGAAGAUAAGGCGGUCCACAAAGUACUUAGAGUGUUACUCAAGUACUGAUUAUGACUUGAUAUUGCCUUGCAGUGUGUCUUGACACUUGCCGUUUGCACGAAAUCCGCCAGCGUGGACAUUGGAAGCCCGAGCCUGAAGUCUGCAACUAAUGGCAGCGGCUGCGCAGCCCAAGAUCUCAUCCCAGAGCCUUCAAUUCCGCCAUUAGAGCAGCAACGUGCGCCAGAAGUAGCUCCAGGUGUUGUUGAUGGGUUAUGAGGUAGGCUACACUAGCGCAAAACAAAAUUUUCUAUCGCAUAAACUAGGAAAACUGCCGUAUAUGGAUCACGGGAUUACCACUAGACGCAUAGAUACGGAAGUUGAUGAAGCGCGUCGGGGCAGUAUAGUCGAUCACACAUCACCGCAGUGUAGUCGAACACGUCCACGUCUAUCAGCUCCUUAGUAGCUCGUCCACGUGUAGCUGCGUCCUCCUCGCGCGACGGCUCGUCAAGCUCCUCGUUGGCUCGUCAAGCUCUCGUGCGGUGGCUUGUCCAAGUGCUACAGAUGCAACACUUCCAAGGUAUCCACACGUGCGGGGAGGAAGCGUCACAAGCCGAGCUGCUAGGUCCGCGAGUGCAACAGGGCAAAGGUGUGGGAGGCAUGGCUACUGCUCAUGCAAAAAGGGAUUAAACCCUAAGCCGCCCCCACCCCUCAAUAUAUAUAGGGGUCCCUAACGGGCCUCUAGGUCUGAGGCCCAUUAGUACUCCUAAACCUGGUCCAAUUCAGAUCAAAUCCUCAUUAAGCUUCCAGCCCCUUAAGUGUGUGACCCUAUAGGUUUGUAUACAUAUAGAAAUGGCGCGAGUACUCCUAGCGGCCUCUAGCAAGACGUGCCAACUCCUAUACGCACACGAAGAUCAUAUCAGACGAACCAUCACAACAUCACGUACAUGCUAUUCCCUUUGCCUCACGAUAUUUGGUCUACCUCCAAGCCGACCACUCUUUCUCGAUGUUGUGAUUCGAAAUCCCUUUCUAGGUUAACACUAAACCUCACGUAGCAUGGCCAUGCAUUUCCGGACCCGAUCACUCGAGGGGCCCAGACAUAUCUCUCUCAAGAGAGGGGUAAAUUCCAUCUUGACUGACCAUGCCUCACUGCAUGCUUCUUGACAAACCUGAAAACUACCUUUAUAACUACCCAGUUACGGUGUAGCGUUUGAUAGCCUCUAAGUAAGUCGAUCCACAUCUUGAGUACAUGCGACAAUCUCAGGUCUAAGGACAAAGCGUACACGUUGUGUAAAGAGAGAACUAUGUAACUCGCAUUGGGUCAGUCCUAGCACAUGUCUCUACACGUGCCCACAUUAUUAGUUUGACAUCUCCAUGUCCAUGACUUGUGAAACAUAGUCAUCAACUAAUACAUGUGCUAGUCUAAUAUUCAUGUGUGUCCUCACAUGAACUCCAACUAGGGACAACUUUUAGAAUAACCAUACAAGUAAAGAGUUUCACACACAAUUCACAUAAAACAUGGAUACAAUGGAUAUUCAAGGAACACAAUAUAAAACAUGGAUACAAUGGAAUAUCAUCAUCUCUAUGAUUGCCUCUAGGCCAUACCUCCAACAGUCUCCCACUUGCACUAGAGUCAAUCUAGAAGAUAUCUAAUACCCAUAGCUCUUAUAUGCGCAUCAUGCUUAGACUGCAGUAGAGGCUUUGUCACAGGAUUAGAAAUAUUUAAAUCUGUGUGUAUUUUGCAUAUCUUGAUCUCGCCUCGGUUAACGAAGUCUCGAAUGAGAUGAAAUCACCGUAUUACAUGUUUGUUCUUCUGGUGAUUCCUUGGCUCCUUUGCCUGCACAAUAGCCCCAUUGUUAUCACAGUAGAGAUUCAAUGGGCUAGACGCAUUCAGGAACACACCAAGCUCAAUAAGGAAAUUCCUUAUCCAAACACCCUCCUUCGUGGCUUCUAAAGCCGUGAUGUACUCGGCUUCUGUCAUAGAAUCAGCCACCAUCUCCUGCUUAGAACUCUUCCAGGUAACAGCACUACUGUUCAGCGUAAACACAAGUCCUGAUUGUGAUUUUGAAUCUUUGUCUGUUUGGAAACUAGCAUCGGUGUAACCUGUUACAACGAGCUCCUCCUCACCUCCAUAGACGAGGAACAUAUCUUUAGUCCUUCUGAAGUACUUAAGAAUAUUUUUCAUCGCCGUCUAGUGACUCUCACUCAGAUCAGACUGGUGUUUGCUUGUCAUACUUAGCGCAUAUGAAACAUCUGGGCGAGUACUUAUCAUUGCAUACAUGAUAGAUCCGAUAGCUGAAGCAUAUGACAUUCUAUUCAUGCGAUCCCGCUCAUCAGUGGUCGAAGGACACUGAGUCUUGCUAAGGUGUAUGUCAUGUGACAUAGGCAAGAACCCUUUCUUCGCCUCUUCCAUGCUAAACCAUUUCAACACUUUUUCAAUGUAAGUAUCUUGGCUUAAUCCUAUAAGCCUUUUCGAUCUAUCUCUAUAGAUUUUGAUGCCCAGAAUAUAUGCUGCUUCCCCUAAGUCCUUCAUCGAAAAACUAUUUUUCAGUGAAGUCUUUACGAACUCAAGCAUAGGAAUGUUGUUUCCAAUCAAUAAUAUGUCAUCCACAUAUAAUAUUAGAAAUACUACAAAGCUCCCACUAACCUUCUUGUAAAUACAAGCAUGUUCUUCGUUCUUAAUGAAGCCAAACCCUUUGGCCACUUCAUCAAAAUGAAUGUUCCAACUCCUAGAUGCUUGCUUCAACCCAUAAAUGGAUUUCUGAAGUUUACGCACCUUUCUAGCAUUAUUUGGAUCGACAAAACCCUCAGGCUACAUGAUAUACAUGUCCUCAGUUAGAUUUCCAUUCAGGAAGGUUGUCUUGACAUCCAUCUGCCAUAUUUCAUAAUCGAAAUAUGCAGCUAUAGCUAGAGUAAUCCAAAUAGAUUUAAGCACCACUACGGGUGAGAAGGUCUCGUCGUAGUCAACUCCUUGAACUUGUCGAAAACCUUUUGCGAAAGGCGACACCAGAAAGGGAAGGCAAGAAAAUACACGCGCAGCCCACCUCACCUCUGCCACCCAUUCCUAAUCCAAUCGAUCCCCACCUCUCCACUGCCGUCUCGCCGGCGCCGCUGCCCCGUAACUGCUUGAUCUCCGCCGCAAACCCGCCUCCCGCACUAGCACUACCUGGCCGACCCGCCGGCCCACCGGUGAUCUCCAACAGUUGUAUCCCUUGUCGCUGCGCUUAUGCAUGAUGUUAUUGCAUCACUUAAUGUCGUUGUAGUGCCAGCCCCCCUGCUAGUUGCUGAACCCAUUGCGGCGAUUACUUAUGUAGUGGUGGCUACGUUUGUAGCCCCCGAGCCGGAGGAAGUCACCGAAGUCGUGGUGGCGACUACUUCUGGAGCCGUGGCUACCCUUGUAGCCCCCGAGCCAGAAGUAGAGGUUGAAGCUGCUGCGGCUCUUCAAGUGUUGGCUGCCACCCCGCCGUCAGAGGCGAGACCAUCUACUAGCCGCGGUAUGGCCUCCCUCUUGUCGUCGGAAGCUGGUCCCUCAACUAGCCAAGCUCUAGUUCCUCUUGGUGCGCUAGUCACCGAAGAGCACGAGGAACCUUGGAUAGCUAAGGGGGUGAACCUGGAGGAUAUCCAGCCCCUUGCUAACCCUCUAACCACCAUAGAGAUGGAGGCCACAAUCAUGGAGAUGCACCGCCGUGUAGGCGAAUACAUAGUGGUAAGUUUCUCUUCUUUGUUUAUCUUCAACUUGAAAUUGGUACUCGUUCCUUAUACUAGUACUUGCUCUGUUUUGCAGAAAUUGAUCGAACGCUCCCAUCGGAAGUCAGAGAUGAUCCAAGGCUAGGAAGACAUGAUAAUGCGAGCUCAAGCACUCAAGCGCGAGCUUGCCAAUGAGCGACAAUACUCCUCCUGGCUACUCAUGAAGUACGACAGGUAGGCCACCAAGUACAACAACCUCGUCCAGAAAGCCGCAGAAGAGAAGGACCAUCUUCGGAAGUGCAACAAAACAUUGAAGCAUCAGUUGGAAGGUAACUUGUCAUCUCCCGCUGGUCUUUGAGUACUAAUUUGCACUUGAUGAUUCUAAGUUGCUCUUUAUGUUGUUCUUGCAGGGCUCAAGAAGGAAAAGGAAGAUCUCCAAGGUCUGGUGACUGACUGGCAGAAUAGGGAAAUCAAUCUGGUGAAUGCCAUGAGGAGCAUCCAGGAACUCAAGGCUGAGUUGGCAUCCACCAAACUUGUUCUGAAGGAGCUAACAAAAGCCGCUCAGCCCAUUGCUGACAUCGUGGAGCCCUCGCAGAAGGUGUAGAGCCCCGGCCUUUGGCGGAGGUACUCAAGGAGGUGCCUGCAAUGAUCACCGGCUACAUCCAAAAGAUGGCGGAGUCAGUCUCGAAGCAAUUGUUGGCAAUGGUGAAGUCCUUCUACUCGCAAGCUGACUUGACUCCAGUUGCGGAGGGGAUUGCACAAGACUACUCUGAUGAGCAAUUUCAACAAUAUCUGCAAGAGAUGGCUCCUAUCGCCAAAGAAGAAGCUAGUCAAAUAGACCUUGAGUAGAUGCAUGUAAAGACAUGAAGUCAUUGUAAUAUAAACAUGAUUCGAAUGAAAUAUAAUUAUUUGAAGUCUUGUCACAAAUUUUAUUGCUGUCGACAUGUAUGCAUUCUUUGAUUUAGUGCAUCUCCUGAACACCCUGAUAUUUGUUCCUACGGUAGUCAUGAGUAUCUGUGCACAAGGCUACACUUGUGAGCCUCUUAAGAUACACGGUGAAGAGUACUUCUAGGAUGCGACCCUUUUCUGCGGAGUGCAAGUACUCGUGUAUUUGGGUACUCAGACUCUUUAGACGAGUAGACUCUUUAGGACUUCAUCAGCUGGAACCUAUCUUUGCAACCUCUCUGGGUUGUUCGGAUGUUGUGCUCCUGAAGAUCGGGAACUACCGACUUGUUAUUACAAGCUGCUACUAGGUAGAUUUGUCUAUAUAAGAACUCAGGUAGUAUAAUAACUUCCCAAAUUACUGAUGGCUUCUUUUCGGGAGGCCGUCGAUGGACAGACUUGUCCAAGGAGCUGACUAGCUCAUGAAAUUUUGUGUGUAGGCUUGUCUGUGCAAGUCGCUACUGGAAAUUUCAUUCGACGAGUUGACUAACUCAAAAAUAUCUUUGUGCAGACAUGUGAAUACAAGCCGCGAGUCUGGGUGAUGGUACCCAGGGAGCUGAAUAGCUAUGCGAGCUUGCUUUUGGAAGUCGCGAUCAGGUAGAAAUAGGUAGUCAUUUUAUGACAAAAAUAAAUUUGCUUUAUUAAAUUGUAAUUGUACACUGAGGCCGAUCGCCAAUUUACAUGAAUAUGUAAACUAUGGGUAGAAUCGACACAAGUGCUUGAUGUUCCAUGAGUUGUCAACUUCAUCGCCAGAGAGAGUUUGUAGCCUAUAUUAUCCAAGUCCAGUGACCUUGGAAAUGAUGAAAGGACCCUCCCAAGGUGAAUUGACCAACCGCCUGCCGCCACCCGGCCCCUCCGCCUCUGCCUCCGCUCGGCCCCACCGUCGUUGCUGUGUGAGAUGGGGAAUCUGUGAGAGAGAGAGAGAGAGAGAGGAGAAAGAGAUAGAGGAGGAGAGGAAGCACUAUGUUAUAGAGAGGGGAGAAAGAGAUGGUAUGGGAGGAUAAGAGAGAGAGGAGGGAGCGGCCGGUGCAGGAUAAGGCGCGAAUGGAGGCUUUAGUACCGGGUGGAUCUCUCACCCAGUACUAAAGGGGGACCUUUAAGUACCGGGUGGAGCUCCCACUCGGUACUAAAGUGCCUUUGGGGGAUCCCAAAUUUGAGCCCAGUACUAAUGCUAGUACCGGGUCCAAAUGUGGCAAAACGACCCAAAUUUGACACGCAAACGUACACUUUAAUCAAGCUAACUCGGUAGUCUGUCGGGUUAUACCCGAUAAACCACUUAACUCUGGAUCGAAUUAAGCAAGCUCACACGAAGUUGAUGGUUACAGAGAUUACAACAUUCCACCAAUAUUUAACAUAAGUUUGAAUUCAUUAUUACAAUAUAAGUUAGAAAUUAAAACAAAAUUGCAGAGUGUUCAAGCAGCGGAAAAGUUUAAGCGGAAGCUACAUCAUCGAUACAAAAUAUCACUUCGAAGCCAACCAUGAUAUCAACAACCGCGAUUCUCGCCGUCCGAGGAUGGGUUCCACUCGACUGUCCAACCCGAACACAGCUGGGGUGGCCAAGUUACACAAGCAGCAAACUCCUUAACAUCUAAGUUACCUGAAAGUAAAGCCACAAGCAAGGCUGAGUAUACUAAUACUCAACAAGACUUACCCAUCAGGUGGUAACUACUCCACUGACUCCUAGUCAUGCAAGGCUCUUUGGCUGAGGAGUUUGUUUUGCCAAAAGCAGCUAAAGUAGAUCCUUACUUUCAAGUUUUAGCAUCAGGUUCUAGUUGAUUAUCUAGUCUAGGUAAGCACCUAUUCUAAGCAAGCAUGUGACCAAGCAAUUUAAUUCAAGCAUCAAUAUUAUUCAUCUACAAUUGUUCCUCUUCUUACUCAAUGAAGAAGUGCAGUCAAGUAGUCUCAAACUGUGAGAGGCAGAUGAUUCGAAUCGAGUUUUUAAACCUUGCAAGGUGGACCUAACCCCACGACAUCCGUGUACCACACCGGGUCCACUUCAUUUGUCAGCCAUCCCCAUCAAUCCCCAGCUACGUGUCGAGCCUACUUCCCUUGGAUCCAAUGCCGCACGGUCCCGAAUGACGCCGUAUCGUGACUGCACUUGUACCCACAUGACGCGCUAGGGGAACUAAGUUCUAGAGACAGUAGGAUGGUCCACUCACGUCCCAGUUCAAUCAGGUAUUAGGCUUUCCCAUCCCAUACUAGGUAUGAGAUUAGUACUUUCAAAUACUUGACCACUGUUCUAACACAGCUCGACCUGAGCAGUUUUCCACUAGAUAGAUGGGACAAUCCACCAAUCACCAAAAUAGUUCAAAUAGCCUAGCCCCACCCCUCGUCCUUAUGGUUGCAUCAUAAGCAAAGAAACAACUCCUAUAACUCGCGAGUGAUAGGAAAUCACUUGACUUUUACCGAGUCCUAUUUAGCAUAGCAACUACUCGGCCUAUCAUGCAAGUAUUCAACCAUAGGUACCUAACAUCAUGCAACUAAGUUUUCAAUCAACUCCUAUGAACUUAAUGCACAAACAAAAGAACAUAGAUAUUGCAUAAUUUUACAAAGCUGGGUUAUGUUCCGGGGCUUGCCUUUUUGUCCUAAAUUUAAAUUAGCCUUGGGCUCUUCCGAACAUGGUUCGGGCCUUGAUUUGCCUCGAUUAAGUCCAGCUUAGCGGAGGGUGUCCUUCUUCACGUUCCGAGCUAAGCUCGUACGUUCCGUCAGUGAGCUUAGCUUCUACACGAGAUGCAAUGCAAUAAUUCAAUAUUUCUGCCAUUUUGUGGUCUGAAAGGUAUUUCAUAUAUUAUUACAACGCAUAGCGAACUCAAGACCCAAACUACUCAGACAAGCACCUUUGUUACUUUUCUUCACGGACAAAAAGUGUCUUUGUGAUUUAGACAUUUAGACCGGGUUGAUGAUGACUGUGUACACAUAUAUGUAUAACAUGUUCAUUAAACUUUAGAUUGAAGAGUUAUCCUAUUUUUGAAUGUUUUUCUGUACCUCUUCCAGAAAUACCAUUUUACCCUUACUAUUCCUUAAUUUGUUUUUAUUCAAUUCUUCAUCGAUUAACUUCCAAAAUUCAUUCCAGUUGCAUAUGAUUAGCUAUGGGUUUGAAACUUUUACAGUGACUUCUUCAUAUCAUCACUGAGUUGUUGUAAAAAUUUGGGGUGCAUUGGGUUACUACAAAAAUCAUUAAAAUCAAUUCAUUAUCCUAAGGUAGAAAGCACUUAACCAUUUUUAACUCAAAAUCUACAGUAGUCCGUGGCUGAAAUUUUAACAGUGUGUUACACAGGUGCAACAGAGUCUUUGGUAAUUCUUCCAUGAUUUUUGGUGAAGGACAUCUAUUUUCCAUAUUUUUUUAUGAUUUAACUUUGCAUAAAAAGAAAGACAUGUUCCAUUUUGGUUUCACUCAGUGAAAAAUAUUUUUCUUAACAAGUAUGUUUCACAAGUGAUCUAUCCCAAGUGCAUUCAUAUUUUUCUCUGACCUAUUCUAUUUACUAGCCAAAAAGAAAUAUUCUACACUAGUUUUCAAAGGUAAAACUCAAACAGUGACAUCAUCAUCUAAACUAGAGUCCUAAUCAUUUUUCUAGGCACCAGCUCUCUGAAACAAAGCUAACAGAAGUGGUUUUGCUAUUUUACCAUUUUUGUGUGAUUUACUAAGCAUCUAAAAGCUUAAACACUAAAUAAAAUCUAGUGCUAAAUACAGAUCAGCAACAUGCAUAUGAGUAUUUUUAAAUGAAACUAUACAUCACCAGGAAACUAGUGAAACAAGAAUCACAUUUUCCCAUUUUUCUACAGUUUUCUAUGCCUUUUCAAAGUUCUUAGCUUUUAGAUCUAGGAAAAUAAACAAAACCGAGCUCAACUUACAAUCUAGCCCCCAAGUCUAUGGUUUAAUCGCGCAAAGGUCCCUGGAUUCUUCCCCAUAACCCCCUAUCUAUUCUCCUUCUUCUCCACACAACUCCUCACGCACCCAAAAUAGAAACAACACAGCACAGAUGCACGGGCUCUUGGCCGGCCACGGCAGGGAGGGAAAGAUGGCGCGGCUUAGGGGAGGGAUAGCGGCGGGGAAACGGCGCCCUAGGCCAGGGGUUCUCACCAGCGGGGUCACAGCGACGAGGAAGAGGCGGCGCCCUAGAGCUUCACGGACAGAAGGUGGCGCGGAAGGAAGCUCGCCGUGGAGGGGGCUGUCCGGUGAGGGAGGGCGGCCGGGAAGGAGCAAAAUGGAUGCGGGACGUCGAGAAGAAGGCGUGGCCGCGAGGAAUCGACUGGAGACCUUCCCACGGUGAUAGAUUUGGCCGGCAAAAAUUGGGGAUUUUUGAAGCUGGUACUGGCAAUGGUGAUGGGAGGAGGAAGGGAACCAGCUGCUCGCUUAAAUAGGAGGGGAGGAGCGCGAGGAUAAGAACGGCGUGGUGACAUAGCACGGGGCGCGAGGAUUGGCGGGGUGGUGAGCUCCGGUGAGCCUUGGCGGUGUGGCACGCAUGGUGUGUGCGCGUGCGUGCGGGGAGCAAGGCCACUGGCCAACGAAGAUGGUGUGCAGGGGGGAUUUGAGCUCGCACGGUGAUUGGCGAGGCGCCGGACCGAGUUGUCCUAUCCACGGUGGCGAUAGGGCGAAGCGCAUCGGCGGAUGAACAUUGGCGACGUGUCACGGCACGACGAGCGCUCGUGGCGAGCGCGCUCUGGGCGUCGUGGUGGAACACGAUUCUUACGGGACUUGGCAGAUUUUCUAUUUGGGGCUGAUUUGAUAGCUUUAGCUGACUUUGGCCAAGUUUUUGAAUGAGUUCAGCUGGGAUUUUGGCCUAGGCCCCAUGGGUGAAGUUGUAGUACAUACUUAGGACUCAAACUUUUGUAAAAGGUUUAGCUCGAGUUUACCUUCAAUUUUGAGAGAAAUCUUCAUGCCAAGUUGAGGACUUUCACUGUUUUAGACUCAGAACUUUCUGUGCUGUAUUUGAAUUUAAUGCUGAGUUUUAGCCUAGAAUUUGAACAGGUUCUAGGGUGAAUUAGUCCAGGCUUAAAUUGACAACUUUGUUCUCUGAGGUGUAUUCCACAACCUUUAUAAAAGCUUCAACCUUAACCCAGGUCUAAAAUUUUGAAAUAACCGAGCUCAAACUACCCCAAUCAGCUAUGUUCUCCAGAACUUGGUGAUUUUGAAAAUGUGUUUGAAUUGCUAAUGAAAUUAAAUCUAGUUUUUCAACCUCUUCCUCUCCAAACCAUCAAAAGUGCAAAUAAGCAAAGUUGUUUGUUUUGCAAGGUUCUACAACUCUAUAUUGGCAAAAAUUUAAGUUGUUAUAUAAAAUUUUAAAUUUUUAAAUUGCCUCCAAAUUGAGCUUUUUAAGGGCAUUUUAGUCCUUUUAAGUGCUAGAUUAGUUUCUUUACUUAAGCUUGGGCAAAGUUAAACAAAGCUAGGGUUGUUACACAAAAUUUGACCGGAACUAAGGGAGUGGACGAAAGGUACAUUCCCUGUUAGUGGGAGUCCAUGCAUGCAAUGCAAGCAGACAAUGCAGCGUUGCAAAGAGAUGGAUGGACGGGAUUACCUGCCUAUAGAUGGAGUGGGAGAGGGCAGCUGGGGGCACACCGCACGCCUAGGAUGCUUGCUCCUCGUCGUUCCUGUGCGGCUGCUAGCUAGGGGUAGAGUGACGUCAUGCCAAUGACGCCGAUUACGAUCUCCUCCACAUGGGCGUGAUGACGAAGAUGAUCACAAAUUCACAUCUGCCUAGGCAACAAUGUGGAGAGAAACGGAUGUGCAUCUAUGGCGGGGCAAUGCUGCAGCCUAGCAAGCAGGAUUGAUCACGCCAGGAGGCGAACUGGUCAACGUCGAUGCAUAGGUCAAGGGAUGACCUGUCGUUUCUCUAUCUUUUGCCAACAUGCAAGCAUGCGUGAGAAUCAUCACAAUUAGGGCGGCAGAAGUGUAUAAGCAACGAGCAUGAAUCUGUACCUUGUUACCGUACUUGCGGUCACACGACGACAUUGGUCUUGCUUCGUUGUCGAGUGGUGCUGGCGGCGCUCGCGGCGAUGGCUAUAUGCGAGGCAGCCUGUUGCACAAGCGACAAGGAAACACGAUCCCAGGGACAAACGACGGAGGGUAGCGACAGGACGGUGGAAAAGGAGCAAGAUGCAGCAUUUUCCCGAGGCUAGCCGGGUGGGAGGGAUGCGAUAGGAGUAGGCUGCAGAUAGGUUCUUGAAGUCGUGAUCGAUUGAUCGAUUUUUCAUCGUGAGAAGAGGAAAGUGAGUGAGAUUCUAGUGCGGGAGUAUAGUGCGCGUGAAAGGAAAGGCGACUGCGAGAGGAUGAAGACCUUCCAAAACCGAGGACGUCAAUCACGGCAGGUGCGCGAUGCGGGUACCAUAGGCGGGUAAGCGCAUAUGCGUGGUGAGAAAAAACACUAAGAAUCGGCAGAAACAUUUUAGAAUCAUCAGUUUUCAUCUAUCUCCCUUCUAUCUACCCCCUCCUCCACCUGCACGGUGGACCCUCUGUGAGGGAUAUGGGUGGAUAAUUAUUGGUGAGAAUUACUUUCAAUUUCGUCGCUCUUUAUAGUACAGAUUGAUCUUACUCAAGAAUAAAAAACUAUGCUAGCUUUGCUGCAUGAUGUCGAUGAUUGUUGAUAAGUAAUCUUUAUACGAGGGACUACGAUUGUUGAUAAGUAAUCUUUCCGUAUGCUUUCUGCAAGAUAUCGGUUCUUGCAGGUGGUUGCAUUUUGCGGUUUGUAAUUAUACACUGCUGGGGAAAGCGUCAUCAGUACCGAUUCGUAACCCCUUUAGUACCGAUUACACAAUCGGUAUUGCUAGUUCGGUACUAAAGGGGGGCCCUUAGUACCGGUUGAAAUAACCAGUACUAAAGGGGGUUCUUUAACCAACCGGUACUAAAUUGGCUGCCACGUCGUGCGUGACCGAGGCCAAUUUUACUACCGGUUGGUCUCCCCAACCGGUACUAAUUUAUUUUUUUUCUGUUUCUUUUCUCAUUUACUUUUCUAUUUUUUAUUCUAUAUUAGUAUUUCGUAUUUGUUUCCUUUACGUAUACUAGUUCUAAUACACUAAUAUAUAUAAAGUUGUAUUUAUGUAUAAUAUUACAUUUGAGAUAAUACUAUAUAUAUAUGUAUAGACAUAAUGUGCAUACAGAUAUAUGAAUAAUAUUACAUUGCAUCAACUUUCCAAGUUCAACAUUUCCAUCAACUAUUUGAACCCAAGUCCUAACAAUGAUGCAGAAGAAAUCCACUGAGUUGUUCUUGAAUUGCCCUGGUUUUUUCUGAUUCGAGGAGUACUGCCAUCAUAUCUCUCAUCUAUAUCAUUGGCAAAGGUUGUUAUAGUAGAUUAAUAGGUCUGCACAAUUCGAACUAAUUUAUUGUUAAGAAUUCUAUCUACGUACUAUGAUUUCGUGGUUGGUCACACGUUUCGAACCUACAAAGCCAUGGAUGAACUCACAUACGUGGUAUCCGCAUAAUUUAUUCCCCGGAUCCUGUCUCAAACACUAUAUAUAUGGCAAAAAAAGUUAUGAAAUAUUUGUUGUGAUCAAGGAAGUGUCACGAGAUGUGAAAAUUCAACACAUCCAAGAAUUCAGGCUUUAAAUCAAGUUCCUCCUUGAAUUCACCCACGUGAUGUUGACGAAAUCGAGCCCAUGCUUUGUUCAGAAUGUCUAUGAGGUUUUUGUAUUGAUCUCUUGGUUUCCUCGAAGACCGCGCGAUCAACCACGACAAUAAGGAGUAUCCAGUGGAAGUUGUACAUAUAUGCAUAGCUAAAGCUAGUUAGUUUGGCUAGCUAGUCCUAUGUUUAACUGCUAGUUCAAAGAAAAAAGAGAUGGGAAACACGCUUACUUGAAGUUGUACGGUAGAAGUAUGUACUUCUUGUAAUGUUGGUUAUCGAGGCACUUAUAUAUGUUCUUCGAGGUUUGAUUUGGUCUAUCUCUUAGAGUUGACUAGUUUAUAAUAUUCAGGUCCAUGAAGCCUAUGUCAUAGUAUCCUUUCCUCCAACAAGUUUGAAUCUCCAUCUUGCAUGAUACAAAAUCGAAUAAGAGUUAAGACAUGGCACAAUGACUAGAGCGACGAUUUUGAAGUUAGAGCAAAUUAAAGACUUACAGAACCCAGAAACUGAUGAGUGACUUGUCAAGUACGUCUUGGUUGUAAAGGUAAUAGAGUUCCUCUAGCGGCACAAAUAUUGCUAAAAGUUUAGAUAGAAAUACACAAAUUUAAAUUUUAGACCCAAACAACAUGAGAAGCCAAACCAUCCAUUGAAUACUAUCUAGGAGGACUUUAAGCAUCCUUGGGCGGCGAAGAUAAAGGUUUCGUUGACCCAGCCUCAUCAUGUGGUUUAUUUGUGUGUCCUGCAACGGCAGUACUAAGUGGACCUGAAACACACGGGAUUGGUGGUGAAGCAUAACGACUACCAAAAGGAGGUUUCUGACCUGCCGCAACAGCAUCUUCGUGACAUCUUUGGAAAUAACGAAGCAUGUCUUUCUCCCACGUGCUCAUUUUCUUCGGAUUAUCAUGAGAGCCAACUAUGAUUUUUCCCUUGCCGCGAGAGGAACGAUGAUCGCUCCCACCAUCGCCACUACCUACAGUAGCAGAAGCCAUCUCUGUGUACCACAAUUUAUUUAGCUCAUAUUUGUAAAUGACUAAACUAUGACCAAAUUCUAUAUUUUCCCCAUAAUUUACAUAGCUCAAAUAUAACAUAUAAAUGAAAAUUUUCUCCAUUGAAGCUUAUUCUAAAAAUGACUAAUUAUGUACCUCUAUUUCAUCUUAUUAUUUCUAUGUACCAUAAUUUAUCUAGCUCACAUUUGCCAUAAUUUAUUUAGCUUAUAUUUGAAAAGUGCUAAAUUAUAAAAUUAUUUCUCUAACCUCAUAUCAAUUUCUUUGACUAAUACCAAACAUAGCAUCCAAAAAAUUGUAGCUUAUUCUAAAAAUCACAAAUAUGACAUCUAAAUAACACAUGUAUAUAAAUAAAAAAUUCUCCAUUGUACCUUAUUCUAAAAAUCACAAAUUAAUCUAGCUCUAAAUCAUAAAAUUUAGUAUACUAACCAUGUAUCAAGGGAGGAUGAAGUUUCUAACUUUUAGAAUACAUAAACGAGUGAAAUCCCCACAAAAUGGUCUUCAAUCUGGCAGCACCUCCCCUGUGGCGCCAUGAAUAGGAUGAAGCCCGAGCUAUGGUGAAUGGCUUGGGCAGGAGGAAGAAGAAGACGGAUUUAUAGGAGGGAAGUUAGUACCGGGUGGAGGCUUCACCCGCUACUAACGGUUGCAUAUUAGUACCAGGUGGAGCCUCCACCCGGUACUAAAGGCUCGGUGGUAUAUUAGUACCGGAUGGAGGCUCCAACCGGUAUUAGUACCGGUUGGAGUCCCCAACCGGUACUAAAGCGGGUCUUGAGGGGCUAGGGAACUAACCUCUUGACCUGAGGUUAGAAAAAAAAUUGGAUUGCUAGGGAGUUAGCAAGGGUAUCUCUCAAAUCUCGAAUGUUUUCAUGACCUUGGUUCUAGAGCAAUAGCGAGGUGAGGAUGACACCCGCAUAAAAGUUUUUUUCCUAUUUUUCUUUGAGUAAUUACAGUAUGCAUAUCAAGUUUAAGAAAAAAAAUUGGAUUGCUGCAUCCAUCUUGUUUCUUUUUUUUUUGCUGUAGAUGCUGCACUUGUGAAUCCCGUUGGACAAAUAGGUUGGUAGGUUUUUUUUGUUAAUUCCAGUGCCACAUAUUUUUUAUUAUAGUUGCAGGGACACUGAUCUUGGCCAUUUGUUCUUAGAGACGUACAUGUAGUUGCCAUUGGGGUGAUUGUCAUUGAUGUUAGCUCUCUCUGGUUUUCGCAAGAUGUAUUUCAUGAGCUUCCUAAGAGGUAGAAUAGAAUCUAUCUUUUCUUCAAAUCAUAAUCUAGAGACCAUGUGUAGUCGUGGAUUUGUAGCAUUUGCAGUUUCGAAUAAUUGUAUCUGUUAAAACCUGCAAUUCAGCUCAAAUGUUCAGGUGUUGAUCAUAAUUUAUUAGCUCAUAUACUGAUGAUGUGCUAAAGCAAGCUUUGGGCUUAUGCAGUAAGUAUUUAGACAGGGAGCAGGUUCGACAUGAAGUACUUGUGAUGCAUUUAUAUCUGACUACAGAAGAAUGUUUUGUUGUUUUUAUGGCAAAUAGAGGAGACUGGACAGCCGUGCGAAUAUUGCCUUGGCUUCAGCUUAAGAACGGCUGAAAGCCAGCUAUGAUUUUUGCUGGAGCUCGAGCCCAUGGUUCAUGUUUGCAAUGGCAAGUUUCGCGUUUGGGUCUCACACACUAUGCUAUGAAGACCUUUCUGUUGUACUUGCUGCAUAACGUGGUGUGUCAAAACUCAGGUCCUAUUUGUUUGAGCUUUGGCUUAUCUGAAAUUUGCUCCUGAAGGGUAGCUUUUUGAAAGCUAGCUUCUCCAAAAAGCUGGGGUUGUUUGGCAAGCUAGGUUUUUUGGAGAUAUUUGUUCUGUGGGUCUGCAUGUCAACCUUCUCUCUUGUCUGGCCAAAGCUCCUCUACGCCUCCGCCUUCCCUGCGCUCCUCCGUGCAUGCAGGGAGCCGUGGCCUGGAGCUUGCCCUGCCUUUGGCCCCUCCCCCGCGCUACUCCACACCGGCCGGAAGCCGCCGCCUGGAGCUCGCCCACCCCCAGGUCUGAGGAAGGGCACCGCACGGCAGCGGCAAGGCGGUGGUUAGCGAGGCUGAUGAGGAGGCCAUGUGCCAUCGGCGAUUCGGGGCCCUAAAUGGAGUCGCCUGCAGGGCUGAAGAGGGGGGCAGUGGUGGCGGUCCGGGGACGGCGAUGUGGGCGCUGGCGGGGAUGAGGGGGGGCAACAGUGGCGGUCCGGGGCUGGCGAUAUGGGCGCUAGCGGGGAUGAGGAGGGGGGCACCGACGGCGGUCUAGGGAAGGCGACGUGGGCGCCAGCGGGGAUGAGGAGGUAGGCCAUGGUGGUAGUCUGGCGAUGGAUGAUAGAGACCGGGGACGGGAGAUGGAGGUCAGGAAAGAAAGAAAAAUAACGGUUCGAUAACUUAAGCGGUGGCAGGUGGGUAAUUUUGAGCAAGUUGGCGUAGGAAGCUGUGGAAAGCUCACAUUUCAUUGCUUCUUAGCUUCCCGUGUAUUUGUACCUUUCGGGGGGCUUUUUGCUCUUCAGAAGCUAGUCCAAGAAGCUAGCUGUUUGUUUGGACUUUCAGCUUUUGAGGUUGAGAAGCUGGUAGGAAGUUUGGUAGGAUCGUUUGGGGCCUAGACAUCUACAACAUCUGCAAGCUGGGACAUGUACUCAUUGACAUUGAGGACAAUGAAACAGAGAUUCAAGGACCUGUUUGGCUUCGAGUGGAUCAACAUCUCUUUUCUACAAAUUGUUUGGAUUCCCAUUAUUAAGCAUCCAUGAGUUUCUCCUUUUCUUUGGAUGAAUUGAGUUGUGGAAGGAGAAAUACACUCAAGUGAAAGGAAUUACAAACAAACUAUCUUUUACAUUGGAUCAGGGAUGAAUAUUUUGCCAUCCUUAACAAAAUUUGUUAGCUUUUCUAAUUUAUUCAUUAUCGUAGGUUGGGUGUGUAUAUGAGCAAAUAGCACGUGCGUGCCGCGCGGCAUUGUUACUAGUAUAAUUUAAUGAAUUAUUAAUGCAUACAUAUGGUUGUUACCAUAUGUUAAUAGCAAAGAUAAAGUUAGCACUAGGGUUGUUCUCAAGUACCCACGCCACUCGAACCUGUUACAUGUGUACGCUGCCAUCCGUUCGUAAUUACUUGGAUACUCAGCCAGGAGCCCAACAUGGGCCUCGAGCUAUGCCAACAGGAGGAUAAGUUUGUUCCAGUAGUAUUUUUAGCACUAUACUACGUACAGCCAUUAAUUAUGUACCGGAGAAAGUAAUACGUGUCAAAAUCCUUGGACUUUGCGAGUCCUUUUUAUUCCACGAAUGGCUUUGUUGAAUCCUAGCCUAUAAAACCAAGUUUUUAAAAAUUUACGACACUAGCACUGCUAGCGUUGGGACGUCUGGUCCAGGACACUAACGUCGGACGCGCGCGUAGCCGUCUGAUCAGGUGCAGCGGAUGGCUGCAGCACCGCUGUAAAAUCCAGCUAAAAAAAUCCCGCUGAAACACUAUUCUAUGUUGCAUCAAACAUCCUGCUAUCCAUCGCCAGCCUUGAGCGAUGCCUUCCAAUUUGUUGCUCACCAAAUUGCAGAAACAUGUCGUAUAUCCUUCUCAAGUCUCGCUAGAUUGCAACACCAGAAAAUUUCUAUGAUAGAACCAUGAAACACGACAAGAUGGAAUAUGGCGUGCAACAUAUAGAUUCAAAACAAAAACAGAUGAAACAUUAUGUAAUGACUGCCGCAACAGUCAAGAAAAACAAGUGAAACAUUCCAAAUGAGCUAUUGCAACAUCUAAAAAAUCAAGAAAAAGAAACUGUAAAUUAGAAAAGGCUGAAAUAAAGUGGUUGGAACAUUUCAAUCACCGAUUCCCACAUUUGAAAUGACUAGAUGAAACAUAAAAAAAUCAGUUGCAAAAGUUGAAGAUGAAAACAUUUGCCUUUCUCCAGGUUUCACCCUCCAAGCAUGAGUCCAACCAUGACCAGAGUAACAAGACCAUGUUCUCCAACAAUUUUUUUUCUGAACAAACGGGCACGAGAGUGUGCCUAUUUCAUUGAUAGAGCAGAAGUUUACAGGAAAAAUAAAAACAAAAGGAAAGCACGGCGUGCCAUGUGAAAAGGUAAGGACUACUCUCGUCGGUGAGCUCUCAUGUCUGUUGAAAACGUGCAUGUUCCGUUCUUUCCAAAUCUCCCACAUGAUGAGUAGAGUCAGACUUCUAAGAGCCUUACGCGGUGAAUCCGGUGUCGUAGUUAUGUUUGUCCACCAUUCCAUUGUGUUGGCUGAGGACUACCAUGCAUUUGGCCUAAGGUUUGGCUGCGCUGUCCAUAUUGCCGUUAGAUCCCAGAUUCUCUUGGUGUAUCUGCACUCAGCUAAGAUGUGGUGGCUAGUCUCCAUGGUCCAUCUGCAGAGGGUGCAAGUGGCGUUGUGCGGCCAUCCGUGUUUGGCCAGUCUGUCCGCAGACCAUAUGCGGUUUUGUGUAAUUAGCCACAUGAAGAAUUUACAUUUUGGUGGCGCCCAAGUUUUCGAGAUGGAGUGGAUAUUCAGUGUUUCGGUGCAGCCCAGGAACUAUGCUUUAUAUGUCGAUGCGGUUGUAUACAUUCCUGAUUUGGCUAGUUUCCAGCUGAUAGUGUCCUCGUUUCGUGGCUGUAGCUCCGUUUGUCUUACCAUGUUCCAUAGCAGGGCGAAUGAGGCUAAAUGUGAGUUAUUGAUAUUACCAUUGAUGUUGAGAUCUCAAAUCAAGUUAUUGUUAUUGAUGGCAUCGUGAACCGUCCUGUUCUUUUUCCUUGAAAUGGCAAAGAGUAGCGGUGCAAUGUCUUUUGGUCGCUGGCCCUGCAACCAGCUAGAGUUCCAGAAGCUGGUCUUUUUGCCAUCGCCGAGGGUGAUGACCAUGCAAGCAGCAAAUAGUUGCCUAUCUGUCUCGUCACAUGGGGUUUCCGUAUUGAACCAGGGUUUGUCCGGUGAUGUCCACUCAUGCCAUAGCCUAAGGCGGAGAGGUCUGGCGAACUUCUCUAGGUUUGGUAUGCCGUGUCCCCCAUGUUGUUUCGGGAGGCAGCUUCUUGUCCAAUUAACUUUGCAUUUUCCACAUGUUAGCUGUUGGUCACCCACCCAGAGGAAUCUUUUAUGGAUUUUGUCUAAAUCUUUGAGCACCUCAUUAUUCGCUUUGAGAGCCAUUAGGAAGUAAACCGACUGUGAAGAGAGGACCAAUUUGAUGAGGUUAACUCUGCCUGCAUGGGUUAGGUUUUGUCCGCUCCAAGCUAAGAGUUUACCUACCACUUUAUCUAUAAAAGGUUGGAAUUCAAUCCUUCUCAGGCGCUUUGUUGACAAUGGGAGACCAAGGUAGCGCAUUGGGAAUAUCAAUCUCGUUACCGGUAGAUCAUUGAGUAGUAGAUCAAGGUCGAUGUUUCGGCAGCUUAUGGGUGCAAUCUGUGUCUUUUGCAAGUUCGUGUGUAGGCCAGUGGCUUCUCUGAAGUGUUGAAGGAUCUUCGCAAUGUUGGAGAUGUUUUUUCGUGUCAGCUUUAUGAAGAUGGCGGCGGCGUCAGCAUAUAGAGAUGCUCUAAAUCUUGCCGCUCUUCCUCCUAAUUUGGUGAGGAGCCCCCUGUUGGUUGCUUGAGCAAUUAGGUGUUGUAGAGGGUCAAUGGCUAGGACGAAUAGUAGAGGUGAUAGCGGAUCCCCUGUUUGAGGCCUCUACCGUGCUGUAUCGGUGGCAACGGUGAGCUGUUGAGCAGUACUUUUGAAGUUGAAGUGGCUAGGAGGGACAUGAUCAAUUGGCUCCAUCGAGUUGGGAAGCCUCUGUGGUGCAUAAGGGAGAUGAGGUAGUCCCAACGAACUGAGUCGAAGGCUUCGAAGAUGUCUAAUUUCAUUAGUAGAGCCAGCGUCGCCUUUCGAUGAAAACGGCGAGCGAUAUUUUGUACGUAUAGGAAGUUAUCAUGAAUACUUCUGCCUUUGAUGAAGGCACUCUAGCAAGGCAAGAUGAUAGCAUGCAUGUGUGCGGCAAGCCAUAGCGCUAGCACUUUAGUGAUGAUCUUUGCAAACGCAUGGAUAAGGCUGAUUGGCUGGUACUCCAGAAUGCUUUCUGCCCUUCUUUUUUGGAAUUAGAAUGAUGUUUGCCUUAUUGAGGAGAUUUAGGUCAUUGCUACGGAUGUUGUAGAAAGCAUUGAUUGUUGUCAUUAUGUCUCCUUUAACGAUGGUCCAGCAUGUCUUGAAGAAGAGCCCUGUGAAACCAUCCGGGCCUGGUGCUCGAUCGUGCGGAAGUUGUUUAAUGGCAUGCAGGAUCUCAUUUUUGACAAACAAGCAGUCUAAGUCAGAUAGGUCCACUGCAAUGUGAUCUAGGUUGUCCCACCGCAGAUCUCAUGUGCGUUGCUCUGGGGUCGUCAUUAUGUCAGAGAAGUGGUCGUGAACGAUGUCUUGCUUGUCUUGGUGGGAGAGAGCCCAGCCCGUGUCUAUUUGCAGCCGUUGUAUGUUCUUCCUUUUAGGCGCAUUGACUUUAAGGUAGAAGUAUCAUGUAUUCGCAUCUCCCGCAUGUAGGUUUUUGAUACAUGAUGAUUGUUGUUUCCUUGCUCUUUCAGCCUAGAAUGUGUUUAUUGAGUUUUGCUCUCAGAGCAAAUUUUGCAUCUGAAAGGGAUCUUAAGUCUUGCGCAGUGUCGAGGUGUAGGAUCACCACUUGUGCCAUCUGUAUUUUUAGUUUUGCAUCCGAGAUGAUGGAAUUGCUCCACUUCCUAAGCGCCAUGGUUGUUGAGUGCAACUUGUGGCCUAAGCGAUGGAAGGGUUCUGUAUGAUGCGUGGGUAGGCUCCAUGCUUGUUGCACAGUCUCUUGGAAGCAUGGUAAUUUAGUCCAAAAGUUCUCAAAUUUGAAAGGGCGUGGCCUCCGUGGUCUUGAGAGUCUUGCUAGUAGAAGCGGGCAGUGAUCGGAGUGGGAGGAGGAAAGGGUGUGCAGCAUGUGAUCAUCGAAAGCAAUGUCUCAGGCUUCAUUGCAGAAGAAGCGGUCUAGGCGUGAAAGCGUUGGCUGACGCCUUUCACUGCUCCACGUAUAUUUUCAAUUUUGAAGGUGUAUUUCUUUUAGGCCACAGAAAGCUAGGGUACUUCGGAAGCGACGCAUUAGUUGGAGGUUCAAUCUUCUGUUAUUCUUGUCCUGUGCUUUGCAAAUGAGGUUAAAGUCACCAAUGAUCAGCCAUUUUGUGUUGGUGUCGAGUUUCAUGUUUCACAUAUGUUGUAGAAAGGCCAUUUUCAGUUCUGUCCUCGUUGGUCUGUAUACUGUUGUUCAUUUGAACUUGGAGCUGCAUUGUUUGGCCAAUACUGUUGUAGUAAUUGAAAAACGCACAAUCUGAAUACCUUUUAGGUCAAUAAAAUUAGCAUCCCAAAGAAUAAGGAUUCCCCCCUUGGUGCCUUGCUUGUAAGUGAAGUUGGUCAGGUGGUAGCCGCCUAGGAAGGAAGUGAGGGCCACGUCAAUUUGAUUCAGCUUAGUUUCUUGUAGGCAAGCUAUAUGGCAUGGCAUCGCUUUGAGCAUUUCAUGAACGACCAGGCAUCUCGCAAGAGCGUUAAGACCUCGCACGUUCCAGCUGAUAGUGUCGAACCUGCCUAUAUGCAUUUAUAAAGGUGUAGAGCGCUGCAGGGAAUCAUGUAGCCUUCCUAGUAGGCAGAGCUGGAGGUGGCUGGAAGUGCCAUGUAAACUAGUAGGUGAGGUGUGCCGACGGCAAUGCGUGUGCUGGGAUAUCUAGAAACGGCGCUUGUGGUUAAUGUUCGAUGCGCAGAUAGGUGCAUUGCCCAAAGGUCGAAGCCAGCAAGGCGUAGUCGAUGUCGCGUACAGUAAACCCGAAGGUCAAAGCCAGCAGGGCUGGUCCAGCUCCUAGCUCGAAGGUCACAGCCAGCAGGGCGUGGAGCACUAAAUGAAAAGCAGUAUGAGGAAAGUCUGGGAUACAUGGAGAGAGUUCUUCUCCAACGGUGCUGAGGUACCGAAGCUAUCAUUCUUGAGAGAGGGCACGCUCAUUCUUGAUGUCAUCAAUGGCCUAUCCAGCAUGCUGUAGGAUUGCGUCGUUCACCCUUUUCACUCCUUCAUCAUCCAGAUCAAAUAAGGACAACAUUGCUGCAAUAAUGUGGUCCGGUAGCGGCCACUGUGUGAGUUGAUGUAGUCCUGCAAUAUCUCCUCAAUUGGCUAGAGCUCAUUGUCUGAGACACCCAGUUUGUGCCACAAGUUGCGCUGGGCGCGCUCCAGAACUCGCACAACUAGCCUCUUUGCCAGUCGCACGCUUCUACAAACUGAAGACAUGUCGCAGGUGCUGAAGAAUCACCGGAGCCAGCGCGGUGAAGAGGUUGUCAACGGUUGAAUCCACCUGGACGUGCGCAGGAGCUGCCGCAGCCAGGCCCUGCCUGGAAGACCGCUCCAUGGCUGUCUGUUCGCCAGCAGCCCGCGUGCGGGCCUGAGGCGGCUAACAGCACCGCCGCCUGGAUGGGCCCAGGAGCUGCCAUGUCCGGUCCCUGCCUAGGGGACCGUUCCAUGCCCGUCUAUCCAUCAGCACCCUGCGUUCGGGCUUGAGGCGGCGGGGUGGCUGAUGGCACCGUGGCCAUCUCUACAGCGACAAUGGCCGACCCUCCGAUGCAACAUCCAGACCAUCUACCGGGGCACACAGGCCAUGCAGCUGCAACUUGUCCAGCACGAGCUCAACAUCGCGCAUUGUCAACGUCCCUUGUAGCGCCGCAUGGAGCCUAGAGAAGACACACUGGAGAGGCACCAGCUGCUCCAUGGAUGCGGACUAGGCUUGGAUCCCUCUGAGCGGGGCAGGCUGUCGGCGAGCCCAAUUCGAUCCGCUAGAGAGCAGGCCUUGGAGAUGUAUGCAUCUGCCUUGUACGUUUGGAGUUCCUGUUGCAUCAUUGAGUGCAUAGGUGAGGCCAGUGUGAGCGUAGCAAGUUCGCGCACCUGGGAUUCAACCAUAGCCUGAAUGCUGCUCUUGAUCGCGAUGGCUUAGGCAUUGAAGAGUGCCUGUACUUGUGCGUUCACCAUGCUUUUGAGGUCGUCCAGGUGCGGCAAGGUAGGAGCAAAGGCAGCCAAGCUUGCCUCAAAGGGCACCAGUUUCAGCGCUGCGGUGGCAGGGAGGGGGCAAGAAGCAGUCCUUCGCUGACCCCCUCUGAACUCGGCCUCCCAACACUUGGGUGAUCGUGUACGGUCGCGGCGCAAGACGACAUGGUCGAGGCUAUUGCGAGCCUUGCUAUUUCUUUCGUUGCCUCAUCCCAAAUGAUCAUAUCUGCCAUCAUCAUCGUCAUCCUCGCUCCGACAAGGCCAGCGGAAAAUCUUGUCAUAGCAUGAGCCAUUGCCUCCCUGCCUGAGAUCCCGGUUGCGCCGGUUGUUGUCUUCGCGCUUGCCGUUCCUGUCUUGCUCACCGCGGCCAUGCUCUCAGUUGCCACGGCCUUGGUCACGAUCUUCUUCCUCAUGUUGCUCCGGUUCCCAUGGCGGCCGGGGUAGCCGUGCGGAGAACUUAGAGCGCGCAUCGGAGGGAACGCUGUCUGGUACCAUGUAGCGCAAGGCAUAACCCCAGCGCACAUGAUUGAAGCUAGAGGGGUUGUUGAUGGCGCCGUCUAGAUCGUAUGCUGCCGCCGUGUAGUCCUCCAAAAUGCCCAGGUGCAAGAAGACUUCAUAGCGAACUCUCUGUUGCCAGCAGUCCGGCUACGAUGUGGUGAUGGUGACCGAAGAUGACUUGUUUGCAGGCCGAUGAGUGAAGAUCAGCCACACUUGUUUGGGGACUUUGCUUGGAUUCGCCAUCCAAGCCCAGAGGUCGAUGUGCCUGGUGUUAGUUGGCUGGACGAGAUCCGUGUUGAUGUACUGGAGGGCACAUCGCGUGCCAAUGAUCCUCUCGACGAUGUCCGGCAUGCAUGCGUGAAUCGGGAUGCCGUCGAGGUAGAGUCGCACCCAGAAGAAGAUGCGCAGGCCGAGCGUGUGGCUUAGGCUGCGCCAUGGCCACAGGCAAAUGUCGAUGCUGCGGCCCUGGAAACGCUCGCGGCUGCGAGCUGCUGCACACUGCUCGGUGUUGAUGAAGUGGAUGAGGAAGGGUUCCGACUGGUGGAAGGUGACAACAACCUCGCCCGUUGAAGCCAUAGCCUAUCCCUUAGGAGCUCCUCAAUCUCACAGGCGCCAACCCCGCACGGGAGGUGCAAGGCCCAGGGGACCAGAGCUGUCCCCUCCCAUUCCCUAGCAUCCUGCUCCAGGUCAAACGAAUUAGGCACAAUGAUGGUCUCCUCAUCGGGGCGGGUGUUCGGGUCUCCAAUCGCCAUCUGGUGAGCUACCCUCGACGGCGGCAGUGGGGGUGGCGGCGGUGGCGGUGGCGGUGGAUGUAGCGUCCGCGGUGGCAGAUAUGGAAGUGGAGCUUGUGGCGAUGAAGAUGGCCGGGGUGGCAGUGGAGCUUGUGGCGAAAGAGGUGAUGGUGGAGGAUGUUGUUGAGCGGUGACUGAGGACGAAUGGCGGUGAGCUGGCUGGCGGCGGAGAUCAGGUGAUGUAGGUGGUGGUGGAGGAUGUGGGCGUGCAGAGGCCGAGGGUGAAAGGCGUUGAGGCGGCCGACGGCACGGACCAGUGGCGGGUGGGCACGGCUUCCUACAGAACUUUUCCCGAUGGCUCGAGCAGUGGCAACAAAAGCAGCGCAUCGAGUCUCUGCAGGAUGCCGCCCGGUGGUCUCUAGCCAAGCAGUUGAAGCACCUUCCAGCAGUGGCGAGGUGGAAGGCCUGGAGCGUUGUGGUUGUUGUGCGCCUUGACUCCUCACUGCGCAGGCGGUCAUGUCCAGCGUCACGUCGGGUCGGACUGGGCGGCGUGCGCCAUGUUGAAUGUCGCCUGCGCCUCCUGGCUGGCAUCCACUCCUGGGUCGCUGAGGCGGGACGGCGAGGAGAAGGGGCCUGGUGGAGUGUACUGCCAUGGUGUGGCCUUGACGUCUCCUCCCUACAGUAAAUGCGCCACGGCCGUGCUGCGCCACCGGAGUGAAUGCUUCGGUCUUGGGGGUGGGGGAGCGCAGUGUCGCAUCGGGGGAGCUGGCGACUUGGCCGUUGGGGAGCAUUGACUGCCCCCAGAUGGUCUACCUCCUCGUAGCUUCAUCCUUGAUCCCCGCUAUCAGGAAGUGGAUCCGCCGCCUACGCCACCGAAUCCGCCGCCUGCGCCAUCGGAUCCGUCACCUGCGCCAUCGGAUCCGUCACCUGCGCCAUCGGAUCCGUCGCUUGCGCCUGUAGAUCCGACGAUUCUGGCACGAAAUCGAGGCUGUCGAGGUGGGGCCGUCCAUGGCGCGGCGGUGGGGGAGGCGAUUGAUGGAAGAACUUAUCCCAGGAGGAUAGGGGGUGGGGGUGGCUAGGUGUGUUGGGAGGUGGGGCUAGCGCUGGGGUAAAGGAUAGUCGCGGCAGUGGAUGCGCGGCGGCGCGGCAUUCUGGAGGCGUGGCAGAGGCAGGGGACGGGUCGGGGGUCGGGGUUGGGAGGCACGGGGCUACCGUCCUGCUUGAUUGAAUCCUCCAACAAUUUUCCACUACACACUUAUCGCAACAUAAAAAACAAAAGCAUUGCAACAUCUCACGAGCUACAACCCAAAAAGUACCAGUUGGGAUGGUUAUGGUGGUUGCACUCAGAAUCAGAAAGAAAGGGGGCAAACAAACAAAACUGAUGUACUCAUCACGGCUCGCGGUGGUGGAAAUGAAGGCCGUCGAGCUCGAUCGAGACGGCGAUGACAUGAUAGUGCUCUAGAUUGGCAGUCCCAGUCGAUUGUCCCUCUGUGAAGCACUACCGUAAAAUUUAUGUAUCACAUCUGGCAUGUACCGCUGAAGAUGCCCUUGAUCUUGUCUUACCUUGUCUGUAGAUAGAAUUUUUUGCCAUGCGACGUCUUUUAAUCGCACUAUUUUAUCUUUACACAAAGUAUACCGCAUCUCUGUCUUUUAUGCGCACAUACACACACAAGUAAAAUGUUUCACAACCUAGAGACAGCACCGAACUGCAGAUAGUUCGUCAACUGCCUUCUCAGUAUCUUCCCAGCUGGCGAUUUGGGUAUGGAGUCGACAAACAGCACCUUGCGGAUCUUCUUAUACGAAGCUACCCGCUUCGCGACAUGGUCCAUGACUUGAGCCUCGGUGACCUUGCUUCCAGGUUGCCUCACAACAAGCGCUAUCGGUAUCUGCCCUGCCUCCUCAUCAGGAUACCUGCAAAUACAGUUAAACUUUUAUUCCUGCCAAGAACCCUGCGGAUAAUAAUUGAGCAGUCAGGCCACUUGUGUGCCUGCUAGUCGGCAGUCUUUGUUCUAGUAUGUCAAGUUACAUUCAAAAUCUAGAAUACAUGGCGCUGAAAAAAGAUUAAGACGAGCUUGAUUUAGAGUAUGUUGAAUUUUAUGGUUCACACAUAAGAGAAGAGGCAGCUGUGAAAGAAACGUGGUCCUAUUAGGUUACAGUUUAUGAUUUUGGUGAUUGACUGAGUGAUAACAUAGUCAUUAGGACUAAUAUUUUAUCAAGCAUCUAUGUUGUAGGUCUUAUAGGUUCCAAGAAUGUAAACCAAACCAGCAGAUCCAAAUCAAGAUAUUCAAAGAAUCCAAGCCACAAUAUCUAUAAUUAUUCUAUGGUAUCGACGUCACGGUAUUCGAAUCAUGAUAUUCAAGUGACGGUAUCCAAACCAUAGUGAAAAUUCAAAGAUGUAGCAUUCAACUCAGAAAAACAUGUAGCACCGAUGGUCCGACAGGGCAUCAGAGCAAGCAUCAAAGCUUUUGGUACAACGCGCAGAAGGACACCGGAUGAGCUGAUAGGCAUCAGACAAAUGCAACAGAUCAUCCGAUGAAUACAAUAGGCGGCUGCAUAUGAACAAGAUCACCGGAUGCUUCGAUGGUGCUUAUUUUGCGAGUGUCAGAUGAAUGGGUGAAGAUAAGGCGUGUGAGAAGCACCGAAUGAUCCGCCGCCCGUGUUGAAGUGACCAUCGGACUAAGCAUAUUUACUUUGAAAUCAUCCAGAGAGUUCAGGGCCAAAUUUCUUCAGCGCCGGAUGAUCUGAUGGUGCCAUCGAAUAAAGCGUCGGAUGAUCCGACGCCCUGUUGGAUGAAGUGUCGGAGUAUUUUUGUGCAGGGAGUCCAACAUAUGCGUCAACGGGGGCACCAGAUAAUCCGAUGACUACCCCAAGUGAUCAUAGGAUCAUCUGAUGCUCACAUUUUCAGCUAGUCGUUAGAGCAAUGGCUCUUUAAGACUACUCUUGAGCUAUUUAUACCCUCUACUCGCCUAUUUGGAGUUGCUGGAGUGUGCACAAGUCCAUUAAAGAUCAAGACUCAUUAAGAACACAUCCAUACCACCAAAAGUGCAAAAGUAAUAAUCCAAGGUUUGGCACAAGCUUAGAAGAGUGAUUAGUGCUAGGAUAGGCCUGGAACGAGUGAGUGCAAGAUGUUGCUACCUUGUGAUUGGUUCUAGGAGUGAAUCUAGCUUAUAAGCUUGGUGCGCCGGCAAGUCUUCGGCCCUCCAGCUUGGUAUGGAGCAGCAUCGACAACCGUGUACGUGGGAUGAGGAGACCCCUUCCUUUCUGGAUAAGCUCCAUAGUGGUGACGGCAUCAAAGUGAUAGGAAGAGAGGGAGUGGUGAGCCUUGCCUUUGUGGCAAGCUUCUCAUCCGGCUUGGUGAGAGCUUUUGUGGCGAGUCCAAGACCUUAACCACGAGAGACUUAGUGAGCGGGGGCAUAUCCUUGGUGGAGCUCCAAUGUGAAUAGGGGUGUCAUUUGCCUACCGAUACCAUGGGAUAAAUCGUCGUGCCAAGCUAAUCCACUUCUUUACAUUUCCGUAUUUCAUACUUGGCUUACUCUUUUUUUAAAUAAUAUGUAUCUUGUUAGGAUUAUGUUACAAAAACUCUUUGUGGGUGGAAAGUUUCACUAGAUCAACCAUAGAUUCACAUCUAGAUAGUAUGAUCUUAGUUUAUACCAUAGAUUCACAUCUAGAUAGUAUGAUCUUAGUUUAUAUUUUUUAUACUUUGUAGCGGAAGCCAUAUAUUAAGGUUUUAAGUUUUGCCUAAUUCAUCCUUCCGCUACGAGCAUCGAUUCCUUACAAGUUAGUAAUAGGACAUGACAUGAUAAUUUUAUGGUUCACGUAUCAGAGAAUUUCAACAACAUGAGAGAUUGCCAAUCAGGUGUUCUAGUUGACUCACGGCAUGACUGCAGCUUCGACAACUUCUGGCAAUGUUUGCAGGACAAGCUCCAGCUCGGCAGGUGGAACCUGCAGUGUUUUUAGUACAACGUGGAAAAUGAUCAGUCUUGGAAUAACUGCAAGGACUCGGCAUUUGUUCUGAAAUCUAAAACUAAGAGUAACCAAAUUAAACCAUAAACCUGGUAGCCCUUGUACUUGAUGAGCUCUUUCAGCCUAUCCACCACGAACAGGAACCCGUCCUGAUCGAUGUAGCAAAGGUCCCCAGUCUUAAGCCAGCCUUCAGAAUCGAAAGUGCUAGCGUUCGCUUCGUCGUCGCCAACAUAUCCUGCAAGCGUUGAGCUGAAAAACAUGGGCAAAUCUGGAUGCAGGUGCAGAAUCCCAAGCUGAAAUGGAAGUUAAUAUGAACAGCAGCAGCUAUCCGUCUUUGGUUACCAGUCAUGACGGCAGGCCCUCUCACAAAUAGCUCCCCUCUCUGCCCGACAGACAGGGGCUUGCCAGUUAUGUGAUCCACAAUCUUCACCUCUACGUUCUCCGAAACACGGCCGACGGAGCCGAUGCGGGUACACUCUUCCCGGUCGAUCAUCCGUGAGAUACCACCGGCCUCAGUUGAACCGUAGCCCUGAAUGGGUGCAUCAACACUUUCAGUUUGAAAGGAAACUGCAUGAUGGCAUUUCUCUUUUUUUUUUGAGGCGGCAUGAUAGAAUUUCUGAUACAAGGAAAUCAGCAUCAUUCUUUGCUAAUUCCUUUGAGCAGGAAGAAUUGCAGAAAGCAAGAUCCGCUGGAGUUUGGAAUUCUUCUUAAUAUAUACUCCCUCCGUCCCAAAUUAUUAUCCAUUUUGGUUUUUCUAGAUACACACCUUUUGACAUGCACCUAUAUAUAUACUUAUGUCUGAUACAUAGCAAAAGUGAUGUAUCUAGAAAAGCUAAAAUGAAUAGUGAUUUGGGACGGAGGGAGUACUAAAUAAGCUGUGCGCCUUGAGAAAAUUAGAUCAAGACCAGUGAAUCGUAGAGUUCAGAAUUGACUCAAACAAAUACCCAGAAUGAAGCACAAACAGACAAAGGGAAAUCGCAUGGUUUUCAUUUAGAAGAUGACAUGUACACACAACACAUCACUAUAUGCAGGCACACUGAACUCAUACACUAGAGUGUGCUUCUAUAACACGCGUACUAGUUAUGAAAUAAGCUGUGCGCCUUGAGAAAAUUAGAUCAAGACCAGUGAAUCGUAGAGUUCAGAAUUGACUCAAACAAAUACCUAGAAUGAAGCACAGAUAGACAAAGGGAAAUCGCAUAGUUUUCAGAAUGAAGUAUAGAUAGACAAAGGGAAAUCGCAUGAUUUUCGGUUAGAAGAUGACGUGUACACACAACACACCACUAUAUGCAGGCACUGAACUCAUACACUAGUGUGUGCUUCUAGCACACGCAUAUGGAUACUACCGUUGAAAGUAAGAUUUUUGUUUUGUUUGAAUCAAACAGUUAAUCCCAUGGUCAAACAGUUAAUCUACUUUGCCAACCAAUGUGUAGGAACAAUUAACAACAAAUUAAUAUAUGAAAUGUAAACAAACACACUAGUGAAACCCAAUCGCUGUCAAAUUUUUCCCCGUUUUAUAUCAAUUAAAUUGUUCUCCGUGUUGAUCUAGCAACACAUAACUUGUCUUGCGAAAUUGGUGAAAAAAAAAAGAUCCACAUAGGUUUGUCAAAUGAGGUACAGUACGUCAGUAUAUUAAGAUCCACCGAAGUCCUCGCUAACUUUUCUAGAGUCAGCACACAUUGGUCGUCUGUGAGAGAUGUAUGCUUGUGACAUUGGACCCCAGCAAAAAAUGCAAUUCGAUACCGCGACCUACCGGAUCAAAUAAUUGUCCGUUUCUCUAUCUCUUCCAAAAAGUUAUUGCUAGAGAAAGAGAGAGACAGAGGAACUAACCAGGUCGAGAGAGAGAAAACUAAAUGAAUCUGUUUUGUUCGUCCUUUAUGCUUUUGCGUAAGAGGUCUGUACUUUUUUAAUGUUCAAAGAGCAUGUGGGUUCAGAGUUGAAACUGUUCCUCUUCUUGAACUUUGAAGUUGUGGACAAAAAAGACUUGGAAGAAGGCAGCCCAAGUUCUACACGUAUUCCGAGCCACAUGCGAUGUAUGAUGUUGCAAUGAAGGGUAGCAGGAUCAAAAAAACCUUACUUUUUUUUUUCCAAACCUCAAGCCCUACCUAAAACUGCUAAUGGUGUGAGAAUCGCUCAAAACCAAACCAAACCAUAUAUAAAAGAAAAUUAAUUUCAAACCACACCUACCAACCUAUUACUCUUAUAUAUCUAAACCAAACCAACUAAGUGGUGUAAAAGACCACAAACCAAACAAAACUACAUCUCUCAAACCGGUUCUAAACCACUUAAAACAUUUUUUUCCAUAUAUAUCAUAUCAUGUAGAUCUAGCAGUACCAAUUUGCACAAAGUAUCUGAAGAGACAUCCCUAAGCAAUUUCAAUAAAAUUCGUUAAGUUUUUAAGGUGUGACACGAGAUUUUAGUUUAAGAUCCACCUUUCGAUGUGGGGUCCACGUGUAGAUCUAGGUAUGCUAAUAUGCACGAAGUAGCUGACUGUCAUUCUAAGACAUCUCCAAUAAAUUUUAGUUAAAUUCGCUAAAAUUUUAAAUGUGUAAACGCGAGGUUUUAGUUUUAGGGUCCGUUUUUGACGUGAGGCUCACGUGUAGAUCUAGGCACGCUAACCUGCAAGAAGUAGCUUACUGUCGUUCUGAAACAUCUCCAACAAACUUUAGUUAAAUUCGUUAAAAUUUUAAGAUGGAUUUUAAUUUUAAAGUACGACUCUGCGACAUCUCCUAUUUAGUUUGCGAUGCGGUGCUGGUACGACGAGCUACACAUCCCCGUCUUCUCUGGCCUAGACACUAACGGCGCCAUGCUUGGUUUGCGGAACUAGGCCGUCCGGGUCAGGGCCGCCCUGAACAAGAGGGCGCUAGCUAUCACAGUUCUGUUUGCGCUAUGCUCGUCAACCAAAACUUUCUCCACCGACUUGCAGUUGCAGUGGCAGCGCUACGCGACGCGCCCGUGACCUGGCCAGGCCGCUGCCGGAGCCGCCCGGCCUCCGGCCCGGACGGGGACGCACCUCGGUGUAGUAAACAACUUUACCAUUGACUUGGCACCGAACCAAUCUAAUUUGUACGGAAUAUAACAUAAUAUAUCAUCAAUCGACAAUAUGAGAAGAUAAUGCUAGUGGGCCCCUAAAGGAUUUCAAAAAGGAUCUGUGUCGACUUGCGGUCGACUGUUCAGCCUCCUGCCUAAUUAAAUUGAUUUUCUUAGCCAUCGAUCAUCAUCCGAAUCCUGAUCUUGGUGAGCUUGUAGUAAGAAUGACACUAGGAUUAUUUCAACGAAUCAAAAGUCAAGUGGUGAAUCAUGACGAGCUAAACAAAUUCCGCCCUGUUUAUGAGGUGUUUAUGAGGGUGUUUCGAUCCUGGAGCUAAAGUUUAGUUCGUGUCACAUCGAAUAUUCGGAAGCUAAUUAGGAGGACUAAAUAUAAGUUAUUUAUAAAACUAAUUACACAUAUGGAGGCUAAACGGCGAGAUGAAUCUAUUAAGCCUAAUUAAUCCAUCAUUAGCAAAUGGUUACUGUAGCAGCACAUUGUCAAAUCAUGGACUAAUUAGGCUUAAUAGAUUCGUCUCACCGUUUAGCCUCCAUCUGUGCAAUGGAUUUUGUAAUUAGUCUAUAUUUAAUACUCCUAAUUAGUAUCUAAAUAUUCGAUGUGACAGGAGCUAAAGUUUAGCUCUGGGAACCAAACGGCCCCUAUCGCACUAACUAAAGUUUAUUUAGCUGUGUACUCCCACUGUCCUGUAAAGAGUGUCUUUUUUGUUCUAAGUCAAACUGUCUCAAAUUUGACUAAGUUUACAAUAAAGAGUAUAAACAUUGAUAGACUAAAUAGAUACGCUAUGAAAAUAUAUUUCAUAAUGAAACUUGUUAGGCAUCAAAAGUAUUGAUAUAUUUUUAUAUAAAUUUAGUGAAACAGAAGAUGAUUUGACUUAGGAUAAGACUAAAUGGACACUCUUCAUGGGAUGGAGGUAGUAGUCGGGAUGGUAGGUAAGACACUAGCUAAACUUUAAUUAGGAAUCCAAACAAAUUCUCAAUUAAAAUUUGGCUAGCUAAAAUUUUAAUUGAUGGGAUCCAAACGGAAUGUUAACGGAGUACCAAGAAAAUUAUCUUGAAUGCUACGACUAUCUCUGGUUAAUUCUUUGUGACCUCGAAGCUACACGUGAAAACAACUGUCUUGUAAACACAAUUAAUGCUGCUUACCAGCCAAAAAAAAAUCAGCUUACGGGCACGAGUAGGUAGCCCAUGCGGACCGUGAUAGCUACAUACUUGGCUCGCCAUGACCAUAGGAAGUUCAUUAGUUUUCUCCCGCAAGAAAAAAAAACAAAAACAGAAAUUACAGGCACAAUGAUUUAACGGGGAAUGGCUUUAUUGAAUGUUUCCUAACUUUUCUAUACACAUAACUUUUGUUACAUAUAUAUAUAUAUAUAUAUAUAUCAAGAAAAAUAAAAAAAUAGUAAUUUAGAAUGGAGGGAGUAUUCCACAUCUUAGAUCUCGUUUGAAAAAAGAGAUUUUAGGAUCCAGAUCCCUAUAAUUUAUUAUAAACUUGUACUAGAUCCUAAAAUUUCUUACAACAAUAUCCUUAGAAACGGGCCCUUGGAAUUUUACAGUAUACAGUUUUUUCUUACAAAAACAUGUCAUUAAUAUUUCAAGCUUAUUGUUCACAAAAGAUAAUUUGGUUGGUUUCUUAGCUCUUAGUAAGGUGGAACUCACCACCAUUGUACUUCUACAACUCAGCACUAAAGCAAAAGUGAUGUCUAAAGCAUUUAUUGGCUCAUUUGGCAUGGAUUCGGAUUCUCAAAGAAAUGAUUUUGGAGACAGAUUUAUUCUGCAGAAAACAGUUUUUUCUAGUUUCAGGCUUCCUGAAGAACUAGAAACAUUUCGAGUUCUAUCUAUGAAUCAUUAAUCUUUUGGUAAGGAUUCUUAUGCUUCUCUCCGUUAUUUGUUGUCCAUUGGUAUGAUUGUCAUGUUUCUGAAGAGAAUCAGAUUGCAGAAAUCCUACAAAACGGCACUAACUAUAAGAUAGUGGACAUUAUUUUAGGCCAUAAUUUAAAACAAUAAUGCAGUGAUGUCAUAGUCAUACUAGUCGAUUUCAAUAAUUCUAUUAUUUUCAUAAGCUGAAUAGUCUACUAGAGCUUUGCGUUCAAAGUAAGGUAAUAUUAUUUAAUUGAUUUUGAGUUUUCUCCCUGCCCCACCCCAGAAUUAUGACUUUGAUUUGUUGUGGUAGUAACACACUGACACCCUACAAGAAUUGAUUGAAAACCACCAGCAAUGCAUCACCUGAUACAGUCAUCAUGGUAUUUAAAACGAGGAACGUGGUACAUGCUUCCACUAAAUAAUUAUUGUCCUAAGAACAUAUCCUUUUCCCUCAAGACAGGUUCAUAGCUACAUCGAUCUAUACGUGAUGUGUUUGGAUACUAGGUGCUAAACUUUAGCUUCAGAUGUUCGAAUGCUAAUUAGGAGAACUAAACAUGAGCUAAUUAUAAACUAAUUGCAAACCCCUGUGCUAAUUCGCGAGACGAAUCUAUUAAACCUAAUUAAUCCAUCAUUAACAAAUGGUUACUGUAGCACCACAUUGUCGAAUCAUGGACUAAUUAGGUUUAAUAGAUUCGUCUCGCGAAUUAGAAUUCAUCUGUGCAAUUAAUUUUGUAAUUAGCAUAUAUUUAAUACUCUUAAUUAGCAUCAAACAUUCGAUGUGAUAAGUGCUAAAUUUUAGCAGGUAUCCAAACGGAGCAUUAGUAUACACAACUAUUUCUAGUUUGAGCUUGCCACUUGAGAUCUUUCGAGUGAACCUGUGGCAGCUGGAUAAUAAACUGGAAAUGUCUGCUAAGCUGGUAAAGCAUUUUCGGUUGGUUAGCUGGAGGUCCAAUAUAUGCAAAACAAAAAACUGGCAAAUUAUCAAUUUCUGAUAUGCCAUUCUACCGCAACGAGGCUCACCCUAAUUUGAGGAGUUUUUUUCACCAAACGACAUUUUACGGGAAAACUAAUUGAAGGUUUUGAAGGCAACAAAAGACAAUGAGCAUGAAAUGAAAGCGACAUGGCCAAAACUUACCAUGCAGAGAUUCACGUUGGGGAAUCGUCGCCGGAACAUCUCCGCUGCCGUCGUCGGCAGCGGCGCGCCACCGCAUACCACCCGCUCCAGAGCCUCCAGGCCGCACCGCUCCUUCGCCAUCCCCAUCACCACCGGCGGCGACGCCGUCAUCUCGCUGACCGCCCACCUCUCCGCUGCCUCCACCACCCCUUUCACGCCGCGCCGCGCCACCGUGUCGGUGACCAGCACCGUCGUCUGCCCCAGCGCGACGCCCUUCAGUGCGUAGUAGAACCCGAGGGAGUGGAACAUUGGCGCACCCAGGAGCAUCCUGUCGCGACCAUGCCUCGGCUUAUGGGCCAGAGCGUGAGCCCCCGCCAACAUCGCGGUGAAGUUCCGGUGCGACAGCGCCGCGGCCUUCACUCGCCCGGUUGUGCCUGACGAGUACUGGAUCGUGGCCGUCUCCGACUGGUGCACCACCGCCGUUUCCGGCGCCACUACCUCCCCGCGGUCGUCGUUGUGCAGGAAGGAGCGGAAGUGAUCGGAAUCGAGCAGGACGGUGGGAAGGCCAGCCGGCAGCUUGGCGGCGGUCGAUGACACGGCGAAGGCGACGGACGCAUCCGACAGGGCGACGAGGCGGGCGACCUCGGAGGCGGUGAGCGCCGGGUUGGCCGGCGACACGACGGCGCCGAACGAAAGCAGGGCGAAGUAGAGCACCGGGACGUCCAGCCGCGCCGGCGCGAGCACGAACGCGACGUCGCCUCGGCGGAGCCCGACCCGUGAGCGCAGGCCCCCCGCUAGCGCGCGCACCUGGGACCGGAAUGCCGGAAACGACACGGUCUCGCCGGUGGCGGCGUCGAGAAGGGCUGGGUGCGCCGGGAGCGGUGACGGCAGGAGCGAGAACGCGAACACCGUGAACGAGAGCGGGCCAUCCGUCGGCGGCAGCGGCACCGGCGGACGCAGGCUGCGGAACGUCUUGGUCUCCUUGCAGUAGCCGCUGCGGCCGUCCACGGCGCCGGGAGCGGUGGCGCAGCCGUCGGCGCUGGCCGCGGGCGGGGGAGUGGCCAUUUCCUCGCGGCACUCUGUUGUUGCUGAGCGGACGACUUGGCACGGGGCGGACGCUGUGGUUGGUGAUUUUGUCGGGUGGCCGUGGCUUCUUCGAUUUUUUAUAGACACGGUGUGGCUACUGGCUAUGGUCAGAGGCGCAGUUUCUGAGGUGUAUAAUCUGGUCAGUGGCGCAGGCUACGGUACAAAGUGUACAAGCCACCACGUAGCGUGCUAGGUGGCGUGUCAACAAUUAAUGCUGCUUACCAGCCAACAAAAAAAAAUAGCUUACGGGCACCGGUAGGUAGCCCAUGCGGACCGUGAUAGCUACAAGUAAUCUAUAUGUAACAAAAAUAUAUAACUUUUGUUACGUAUCUAUACAGGUGCAUAUAAAAAAUAUAUACCAAGAAAAAUCAAAAUAAAUAGUAAUUUGGGAUGGAGGGAUUAUUCCACAUCUUAGAUCUCGUUUGAAAAAAAGGGAUUUUAGGAUCUAGAUCUCUAAAAUUUAUUAUAAACUUGUACUAGAUCCUAAAAUUUCUUACAACGAUCGGGUCUGUUCGCUUCAGCUUAUAAGCCGGCUGAAAAACUGAAACAACUGAUUUAUUGUGAGAGAAAAACACUGUUUGGUGGCUGAUAAGCCGGCUGAAUAAGCUGAAGCGAACAGGCCCGAUAUACUUGAAAACGGGCCCUUGGAAUUUUACAGUACACAGUUUUUGUUUCAAAAACAUGUCAUUAAUAUUUCAAGCUUAUUGUUCACAGAAGAUAAUUUGGUGGGUUUCUUAGUAAGGUGGAACUCACCAUCAUUGUACUUCUACAAUUAAGACUAAAGCAAAAGUGAUGUCUAAAGCAUUUAUAGGCUCAUUUGGCAUGGAUUCGGUUUCUCAAAGAAAUGAUUUUGGAGACAGAUUUAUUCUGCAGAAAACAGUUUUUUCUAGUUUCAAGCUUCCUGAAGAACUAGAAACAUUUCGAGUUCUAUAUCUAUGAAUCAUUAAUCUUUUGGUAAGGAUUUUUAUGCUUCUCUCCGUUAUUUGUUUUCCAUUAGUAUGAUUGUCAUGUUUCUGAAGAGAAUCAGAUUGCAGAAAUCCUCCCAAACGGCACUAAGUGGACAUUAUUUUAGGCCAUAAUUUAAAACAAUAAUGCAGUGAUGUCAUAGUCAUACUAGUCGAUUUCAAUAAUUCUAUUAUUUUCAUAAGCUGAAUAGUCUGCUAGAGCUUUGCGUUCAAAGUAAGGUAAUACUAUUUAAAUCACUGGCUGCUGCGUUAGCGAAUUAGCCCUUUUUUAGACCCUUAAUAAAAGAAAACCCCUUUAAACGGCCGCGAGCUUUGAUCAGGUGGCUCAAACCCAACGGUACAAAGUGUACAAGCCACCACGUAGAGUGCUAGGUGGCGUGUCAACAAUUAAUGAUGCUUACCAGCCAAAAAAAAAAAUCAGCUUACGGGCACGAGUAGGCAGCCCAUGCGGACCGUGAUAGCUACAUACUUGGCUCGCCAGGACCAUAGGGGAUUCUUAGUUUUCUCCCGCAAGAAAAAAAAACAAAAACAAAAAUUACAGGCACAAUGAUUUAAGGGGAAUGACUUUACUAAAAUUUCUGCCAACUUUUCUAUAUGCAUAAAUUUUAUUACGUAUCUAAAUAUAUUAUAUUUAGAUGCAUAUAAAAAAUAUAUAUCAAGAAAAUUUAAAAUAAAUAAUAAUUUAGGAUCGAGGGAGUAUUCCACAUCUUAGAUCUGGUUUGAAAAAAGGGAUUUCAGGAUCCAGAUCCCUAGAAUUUAUUAUAAACUUGCACUGGAUUCUAAAAUUUCUACAACAAUACCCUUGGAAACGGGCUCUUGGAAUUUUACAAUAUACAAUUUUUUCUUUCAAAACCAUGUGAUUAAUAUUUCAAGAUUAUUGUUCAUAAAAGAUCAUUUGGUUGGUUUCUUAGCUCUUAGUAAGGUGGAACUCACCACCAUUGUACUUCUACAACUCAGCACUAAAGCAAAAGUGAUGUUGUGGCUGAGCGGACGAUUUGGCACGGGGCGGAUCGCUAUGAUUGGUGGUUUUGUCAGGUGGUUGUGGUUUCGAGGAUGGUUGGAUCUUUAGUUCGGAAUAAAAUUCAUGUCACAAUGAAUAUGCGGAGACUAGUUAGAAGGACUAAAUAUGAGGUAAUUAUAAAACUAAUUACACAGAUGGAGGCUAAUUCGUGAGAUGAAUUAUUAAGCCUAAUUAAUCCAUCAUUAGCAAAUGUUUACUGUAACAUCACAUUAUCAAAUUAUGGACUAAUUAUGCUUAAUAGAUUCGUCUCGCAAAUUAGUCUCCAUCUGUGCAAUUAAUUUUAUAAUUAGUUUAUAUUUAAUAUUUCUAACUAGUAUCUAAUUCGAUGUGAAUUUUAGGUGUUACCGAAGAAACAAACACUUCAAUUUUAUAGACACGGUUUGGCUACUGGCUGUGGUCAGAGGCGCAGUUUCUGAGGCGUAGAAUCUGGUCAGUGGCGCAGGCUACGGUACAACUGUACAAGCCACCACGUAGAGUGCUAGUACUUGGUAGGUGGCGUGUCAACAAAAUCUUGCGCACUGUUUUAACAAAUGCGGCUGAUUGUUUUUUCAAACUAUUAAGGUUGAUUUUAAAAGCCUUAAAGACACACGUUUAUCACGUGAGUAGCAGUAACAUUGAAGCUACAGGAUCGGACUAGAGGGAGUUGAUGUCGACGAUGAGAUAACUUGGAACAUCUCGAAUGAGGCCUCCAUAGAAUGAUUAGAAAAAAUAAGUGGCCUGUUCGCUUUAGCUUAUUCAGCCGGCUUAUCAGCCACCAAACAGUGUUUUUCUCUCACAACAAGUCAGCCGUUUCAGCUUUUCAGCCGGCUUAUAAGCUGAAGCGAACAGGUCUAAGAGUUGUCUAUCCUAAGAAAUCUAACGGUGAAAAAAAAUACUUUGAAGUAACUAAAGAGAAAUAACAAGAAGACACUUGAUGAGUUGAGUGAACCAUGAGUAGUUACAAUGAAAUUUAAAUUGUUGAUCUCGGUUCAGGUUUUUUUUAAAAAAGUUUUCAUUGAAAAUCUUCUGAGAUUUGUUUGAAGUUGAGAGCAUGUGAAUCAAUUCAUUGUGGAUUGUGCUUAAAUGAUCUAUCCUCCAUAUUAGAAAAGGUUGGUUACAAUUUGGAUAUUAAUUGAAAAAUCUUUUGAGAGUAUUAUGUUUUCUUGUGUAUGAUCAAGUGCAGGAUUGAACAUUGAAGGGCAACGCUGAUUUCUAUUGAAGACAUACUCAAGAACGAGCAAUGUUUGAGCCUGGGGGAUUGUUGGCGCUCGUUAAUGAUACUUUUUUACCCUAUUUAUCUUUAAUAAUGACAUGAAUUUAAUACCUAAACUAUUGAUCAUACCUAAUAAUCGAGUUGUUUUCACAUAUACAUUGUAUUUUGGAGGAUAUUCUAUUUUCGCAGAAAAUUGGACUAUAUAAUGGAGCAUAAUUGGACAAAAACCUGAACAAGCGACGACCCAGAGAAAGACAAAGGCCAACAGGCCAAGAAAGGGCCUAGGCUGAUCGGCCUAUAGAGCCCAAGCCGAUCAGCCUAGGGUCAUCCCAAUCGUGCUCAUUCUUGGCGCGCAAUCCUCCAUGAUGCCUUAUGGGCUAAGUCUCUGAAGAUAUGGUAAGAUGAUCUCGGGAUCAAAGUGAAUCAAGCAAAGACUUGGAAGGUUAUGAAAGAAUCAUUCUUAUCCCGAGGGAAUCGACGUGCCAGGCCCACAUGCAAGUGCAAAGAAGACUGCAGAACACCUGAAAAAACUUUGAGACGAAGGGAAGCACGCGAGGGCAAAAGGAAGGCCCAGGCCGAUCGGUCUAGACCCCCCUCGACUUCUCCAGACUAUAAAUACCUCAAUUCUCCAUCGAGCACAGGGAUACAUUCAACGCAUUCGAGGUAAGCAACAGAGAAGCAGUAGGAGCCUGAGGGACACCACUUCGGAGAGCCGAGGGCCAUGCAGUUAUCUCGGGAUUAGCAUAGCUAAGCCCUUGCUGACGUGGGAAUCCUGCAAGAAAGAUCCACGUCGGAGUUUUGGAGCUAGGUGCAAUAUUCCAAAAAUUUGUAAUAUUUGUAUGAGUGAAAUUUCAAAAAUUUAAAACUUUUUGUUUGAAUUGUUUGCUCGUUUGAAAAGGUAGUUAAUUUCUCUCAUCCCUAAAUUCCAUUUAAAAAUUUGUGUGGAUUGAUUUGGAUCUUCAUGGAUUUUAUUUGCAUGUUAUGUUUGAGUGUGAGUUUGAAUUUUGAAAUUAGUUCAAAAUUCAAACUAAAUCUAAAUCUAUAUAAAAACCUAAACUAACCUAACCCCCUAACCAGACCGGCCCGCUAACCUAACCACCCGCCGGCCCGCUAACCCAAGCUCGCUCGCGCGCACCUUUACUCUUGCAUGGCCCAACUAGCCCGCUCGCUCGCGCCUUGCUCCAGCCCAACCAGCUGCCAGGCUGCUGCCGGCCCGGCUCGCUCGCGCCUGCCAGCCCCGCAGCUGGCCCAACUUGUUCGCCCAGCGCACCCGCUCGCCCGCUCCCUCUCUUCCGCUGACCAGCCAGCCCCACCUGUCAGCCUGCCCGGUUCCUGUUCUUCUUCUUCCUCACGUCGUACAGCACGCGCUUGGCGCGUGCUCGCUUAGGGGCUGAUGGGGAAACGCGUUGGUGUGCACUCCCGGGUGGGGGCACCCGUGUCCCCAUUCCAAGAGGUUCCGCCGGUGGGGAAAGACCUCCAUGUCUGAGAAGUCCCCACAUAAGUAGAGACUAAAUGUGAUACAAUUAUCAGUCCCAGGAGGCUGAUAGCACAUUUAUUCGAUAGAUAAUUCAGUUACCGUACUACUCCCGAGGGAGUGGGCGUGAGAGCCACGCAACGAUAAGAAGUAAAUAAACAACAGCGGCUAACCAAGCGACUACCAAAAGACAGCACUCAGGACUACACGGCAGCAGCAUCUUGGAAAGGCCAACACCACAGGCAGCGUUGGGUGCGGACACAACCUCUACUCAAAGUCCUCGGCGACGAAAUCCGGGUCUUCCUCUGUAGCAACGAAGCAAGGGUGAGUACGAACGUACUCAACAAGUCCAACCCCAUCCACGGAGGGGGAUACAAGCAAGUAUAUGCACAGGAUAUAUCAAGGAUAGGCUAGGUUUCAUUUGCGGUAAAGCUAGAUUUCCAACACAUGCAUGGGUUUGUUUUCAAAUGAGUUUUCGUAAAGCUUUUCUUUAGUAACCGAAACAUUGAGUGGGGUUGAUCCUAUACAAAGGAUCCAAGUUUUACUGCUAUCGGACUCCCCGUCCGCCAUAGCUCACGGCACAACUGCCGGACACUUCCAAAAUCCAACACACACACACACACACACUCACGAGACCAUCCAUGCCCAAUUGCUAGUUAUGUGACCAAGCCGUAACUCGUCCAAUGCCGUGGACACGGCUACCCAGAUAGGUUUUAACUCUAUAGAGGUUGUACACUUUUCCCACAAGUAGGGUACUGCAGCACGAUCACCUUAGUGCCGGUGCGGAUCCUAACAAAGCCAUUACCCACCUUAGCUAAGACUGGCUAGUCCCCACGGAAGCACCCAAGGGGUUCACGUCUCAUCCACGAGACCGUAACCAGGACCUAAGUCACCAAGAUCUUACUCCUUUUCCAUGGGCUCCCGUUGCUCGCUAGCACCCCUGAAGACUAACAGUUCAGCUAGUGGGAUUUAUGCUAAGCCGUUGCCCACACAAUGAUCGAGUGGUUGCACAAUGGUUGAAUUAGGCAAGAUGACACAUCAACUCGGUCCUUAACCAUGACAAGAUGGAUAUCUCCCGACAUUGCUCAACCACUAAGGUACGAGCAUGACAUCCUGGCAUUUCACACAAGAAACACCCAUCCAUCUCAUCUACACACCUCUUUUCCCUUGAACCCGAAAAAAAUCACUUUCCCAAUUGAACACACACACAUUUAUUUCUCCAUAAAAACCAUUGUAAUAAUGAUUGAAGUUAAGUAACAAGCUCCUAAGCGCUCUAGCAGUGGUUAUCAUCUAAACAGAGCUAGUCAUAUUUAGAGAUAAACAUAGGACAACAAGGAAUGUUCAUAACAAUCAAGGGGUGGCUAUCCAACCAUGUCUUGCAAUAAAACAGUAUGCAAUUUAUAAAACAGGCCAAUAGGUUGUGUUUGAAAAACUAGGUAUUAAGUAUGCAUCAAAGGGUGAGGUUGGACUUGCCGUCUUCAAAGCCUUCCGGGAGUUCCGGCUCGUGCUGUUGGUCCUCGGGCUCGGGCUCGCAAUCAAACUCCUCCUUGGGCUCCUCCUCGGGUAAUCCGCGAUCUACGGCACACACAAACGGGCACACCAAUAAAUAAAAGAAAUCGGUUUUUACCCGUUGAGCUCCGAACAGAAAACGCGAACGGAAAUUAGGUAGAAAGAUUAUUUUUGGGAAAUUUGGAUAUGGAUCGGCGGAAGUAUACUGGAGGAUGACGUGGUAAAAUUUGGGAUUAAUUGGAGGAAGUUUGGCGCAUGAAAUGACGAGUUAAACAUGGGUUAGGGGCUUAAAAAGGAGGUUUAGGACUGAUUUGCGAUAAACCAGGGACCUAUUUGUAAAUAUUUCUGGAGGUGGAGGGUCUUAUCUGUGAAAAGGGUUAUGAGAGUGGUGGAAGGACUAAUUUGUAAUUUGGCAAAAGUUGGGGGUUAGAUCGGAAAUCUGUGGUUUUUUCUUCCUUCCUCUCCAGGAACUUGGAGAGGGAGAGAGAGGAGAUAGGGCCAGCGGCGGCCGACCGGCCGAGCCUCGCCGACGGCGAGCCGAGGGCUGGGGGCGGCGGAGGAAGCGGAGGGGGCUCCAUUUUGCCCCUUACCUUGGAGAGUUGGAGAUGGGAAGGGGUGGGCGGUGGUGGCUUAAGUGGCGGCGGCGCACGGGGGGGGGUGGGGGGGGAGCGGCGCACGGCGGCGGCAGUGCUCGGCGAGAGAGGGGCGGUGUUGGUGGAUGGAGGAUGGGGAGAACCGGGGCAUUGAGGCCUUUUAUAGGCUGGCGAGGAGGGCGCCGGUGGUAGGGGACCGGGUGUGCGGGCGCCAGGAAGGAGGAGGAGGAGAGAGAAGGAAGGAGGAAAAAGAAAGAAAGAAGAAGAAGAAGAAGGAAGACGGAAAAGAAAGGAAAAGAAAGAAAAAGAAAAAGGGAGGGAAAAAAAGAAAGAAAAGGGGGAGACCGGCGGCGUUCGCGGCACGCGGUCGGAGCAUGCGCACGGCGUCUGACGACGGCACGCGACGAGAAUUACGGGCACGGAUAAAAUGAUGGAUGUCGGCUUGGGUGCCGGGAUGGCGAAAUUGUCGGGAAGAUUUUAGAUUUUCGGGAGCUCAGCAGUAAAAAGAUUUUAAAAGCGAUUUUUAAUGGGUGAUUUUAGGUUGGUGAUUUUUGCGGAUGUUACAAACCUACCCCACUUAAAUUGAAUCUCGUCCUCAAGAUUCGACUGAGUCCUGAAAAGGUGGGGAAACUCCUUGUUUAACGCGUCCUCGCGUUCCCACGUGGCUUCUUCCUCGCCAUGCCUACUCCAUUGUACUCUACAAAUCCGGACUGCUGUAUUUCUUGUCCUUCUGGUGACGGUGUCCAGAAUCUUGACGGGCACUUCUUGGUAUCGAAGGUCCUUUUGCAAAUCUAUUGUCUCCAGCGGUACUUGUUCCUCCGGUACUCUCAGACACUUUCUUAGCUGGGAGACAUGAAAUACCGGGUGUAUAUCCGACAUUUCCUCGGGCAGUUGGAUACGGUAAGCUAUGGCUCCAACUGUUUUUAACACCUGGUAAGGUCCAAUAUACCGAGGGGCUAGUUUUCCUUGCAUUGAAACCUUCGAGUACCAAGAAUCGGGAAAACCUUGAGGUAGACAAAAUCUCCCUCAUUGAAGCACAAUUCUCGUCUCCUCUUGUCCGAGUAGCUCUUCUGUCUGGACUGUGCGGCCUUCAGCUUUUCUCGGAUUUCUGCCACACGGUCUUCUGCUUCUUUGAUGAAAGCAGGCCCGACUAGGGAGCGUUCUCCUACUUCUGACCACAUCAAAGGGGUCCUGCACUUUCUACCAUAAAGGGCCUCAAACGAUGACAUGCCUAGACUAGCUUGGUAACUAUUGUUGUAUGAGAACUCUGCAUAGGGUAAACUUUGUUCCCAAUCUUUGCCAUAGGUGAGGACACAUGCUCUCAACAUAUCUUCCAUGAUUUGAUUUACCCGCUCUGUUUGGCCAUCAGUCUGAGGGUUAUAGGCUGAACUGAAGUCCAAUUUAGUGCCCAUGGCUUUAUGCAAACUUCUCCAAAACUUAGAGGUGAAUUGAGUCCCUCUAUCAGAGAAGAUCCUGCUGGGCACACCAUGCAGCUUCACUAUGUUGUUGACGUAGAGUCGGGCUAGUCUUUCUCCACCAUAAGUGGUCCGUACGGGUAGAUAGUGAGCGACUUUAGUGAGUCGGUCCACUAUUACCCAUAUGGAGUCAUUUCCCUUCUGAGUUUUGGGCAAGCCUACUACAAAAUCCAUGCCGAUCUCAUCCCACUUCCAAAUCGGGGUAGGCAAUGGUUGCAGCAAGCCGGCUGGCUUCUGGUGCUCGGCCUUGACCCUUUGGCAAGUAUCACAACGGGCGACAAACUGAGCUAUGUCCGCCUUCAUUCCAUUCCACCAGUAUCUCUGUUUUAAGUCCAUAUACAUUUUGGUGGAUCUGGGGUGAAUGGAGUAUGCCAAGUUAUGGGCUUCAUUCCAUGAUGGUCUGCCUGAAUUCUCCAUCCUUGGGGACACAAAUUCUGUCCUUGUACCACAAGGUUCCUUUGUCAUCCACUCUGAAAUCCGGGGCUUUAUUUUCUCCAGUUUGCUUGCAGAUUUUUACUAAGUCGUGAUCUAAACCCUGGGCUUCUCGGAUCUUAUCCUCCAAGGCAGGCUGGACACUUAGCUUGCGGCUAGUAUUCUAGGGAACUAUGUGCACAUUUAACCGAGCUAUUUCUUCUUGUAGGCGGGCAUUCUCAGAUCCAGGCUGUCCAUAGGAUUUCCGGCUUAAGGCAUCAGCCACAACAUUAGCCUUGCCGGGGUGGUAGUGGAUUUCUAGGUUGUAGUCCUUUACCAGUUCUAACCACCUCCUUUGCCUUAAAUUCAGAUCGGGUUGGGUGAAGAUGUACUUUAAGCUCUUAUGGUCGGUGUAGAUUUCACACUUAUUCCCAAUCAGAUAAUGCCUCCAAAUCCUGAGGGCAUGCACUACGGCUGCAAACUCCAAGUCAUGGGUUGGGUAGUUCUGCUCAUGGGGCUUGAGUUGGCGGGAAGCAUAUGCCACAACCUUCCCAUCUUGCAUGAGGACACAUCGUAAUCCUUGUCGGGAUGCAUCACAAUAAAUGACGAAGUCUCGCUGGAUGUCAGGUAAGGUCAAUACUGGAGCUGUCGUCAACCUCUUCUUCAGCUCUUGGAAGCUCCGCUCACAUGACUCGGUCCAGGUGAACUUCUUAUCCUUCCUGAGCAGCUCUAUCAUGGGCCGGGCUAUCUUGGAAAAUCCCUCAAUAAAUCUCCUGUAAUACCCAGCUAAACCCAGAAAGCUUCUGAUCUUGCUAACAUUGGUGGGUUGUUGCUAGUUGGAGACAGCUUCAACUUUCUCUGGAUCAACUGCGACUCCUUCUGCGAUCAGGAUAUGUCCAAGGAAUGCCACUUUCUCAAGCCAAAAUUCGCACUUGCUGAAUUUAGCAUAGAGUCGGUGGGCUCUCAACUUCUCUAACACCACCCGUAUAUGUUGCUCAUGCUCCUGAGCACUCUUGGAGUAAAAAAGUAUGUCAUCAAUAAAGACUACGACAAACUUAUCUAACUCAUCCAUAAACACCUUGUUCAUGAGGUUCAUGAAAUAAGCAGGUGCAUUGGUCAAUCCAAAAGACAUCACCGUGAACUCAAACUGACCAUAACGGGUGACAAAGGCCAUCUUCGGGAUGUCACUCUCCUUGAUCUUGAGCUGAUGGUACACUGACCUCAGAUCUAUCUUGGAGAAAUGCUUGGCUCCUUUCAGCUGGUCGAAUAGGUCAUCUAUUCUGGGGAGUGGAUACUUGUUCUUAAUGGUGACCUCAUUCAGUGCGCGAUAAUCCAUGCACAUCCUCAUGCUCCCGUCUUUCUUCUUGACAAAAAGCACGGGGGCUCCCCACGGGGAUGAGCUAGGCCUGAUAAAGCCACCCUGCUGCAAUUCUCCCAACUGUUUCUUCAGUUCGGCCAAUUCUGAGGCUGCCAUCCUAUAGGGUCUCUUGGCUGUAGGAGAGGUUCCGAGGACAAGGUCAAUUACAAACUCUAUAUCCCUAUCUGGAGGCAUUCCAGGUAGUUCUUCAGGAAAGACAUCUGGGUAUUCACUCACUACCAGGACUUCCUCUAUGGUCUUGGUCUCCAUGCUAAACACCAUGGGGUCUGGGCCACUCCCUCGAGUGUGACAAGUCACUUGUACACCAUCCCGAUUGGUCAGGUGCACUACUUUAUCAGCACACCCUAUAUGAUUGUCAUGCAGGCUCAACCAGUCCAUUCCAAGAAUCACAUCUAUCCCCUUAGACUUAAGUACUACUAGAUCCGCUAGAAAUUCUACCCCACUUAAAUUAUUCCUUACCCGGGAACAACCUAGUUGACACCGAAUGUCAGCUCCAGGAGUCCGGGUUAGUAGGGGUAACUUUAGUAGUAUUGUGGGUAUAUUAUGUUCUUCCACAAAACUUGAGGAUAUGAAGGAAUGUGAUGCUCCAGAGUCAAAGAGUAUUGUUGCCAAGACUGAGCUGACUAGAAACUCACCGAGUACCACGCCUUGAGCUUCGCGAGCCUCUUGCGUGCUGAUGUGGUUGACGCAGGCUCGUCCAAAUGAUUGCUAGGGCGGCCUCAUCUGCUGGCUGUUGUUGUUGCUGGGGUUGUUGUUGUUGCGGACUGGCACACGGUUGGCUCCUGACAACGCUGCCCUGGGCCCAGCUACCGAGUUGGAGAAGGCUGAUGCUGCUGGCUUGUUGGCAUAGGGGCAGUUGGCGAUGAAAUGCCCGGGUUCUCAGCAGUUGAAGCAUGCCCUACUGUUGCCAGUGACUUGGCUGGCACUGCUCUGUGGGGCCUUGGUCGGGUUCUGGCUCCUGAAUGGGGCAGCGGUCUGGUGUGAACCGGGUGCUUGGGACUGGGUCUGGUAAUGCAUGGGAGCUUGAGAUCUGGGCAGGGGGUGACCGAAGCUCCUUGGCUUCUGGAAUCGGUCCUGCUGGUGCAUCUUGCUCUCCAGGAACCGGCGCUUGUUGUCCCUCCGUUCUUCUGCCUUGGCCCUCUCAGUCAAGAUGGCCAUGUUCAUCAAGGUGUUGAAGUCGGGGUAGAUCUGGGGAGUGAGCAGGGUCCUCAGUUCCGCGUUCAAGCCUUUCUUGAACAUGUCCUACUUCUUCUCAUCCUUGUCCACCUCCUCUGGAGCAUAACGGGCCAGCUCCAUGAACUGGAAGGUGUACUCUUCCACAGAUCUGUUGCCUUGGCGGAGUUCGUGGAACUCAUCCGCCUUGCGCUUCAUGGUGGCUGCGGGGAUAUGGUAGCGACGGAAUUCUGUCACGAACUCAUCCCAGGUGAUAGUGGAGGCAUCCUGGGUGGCAGAGCAGUAGUUCUCCCACCAAGCUAGGGCAGUUCCAGUGAGCUGGUGGGCAGCCAAGAGAACUUUGUCCCUGCCCUCGCAACCAAAUGGUUCCAGCUUCCUCUGGAUGACGCGCAACCAAUCAUCUGCGUCCAGAGGGUUGAUGGACCCGCCAAAAGUGGGUGGCUUGGUUCGGAGGAAAUCCGUCAACUUCUUAUUCAUGUUCUGCCCGCGGGACCUCUGGCGGGUGACGGCGUUGGCCAGAGCUUCCAGCAGAAGGGUCUGGUUGUUCAUUACUUGAACCAGAUCGAUGACUGGUGGGGGCGGUGGCUGCUGUGCUCCCACUUGGCUUUCUCCCCUUCCUUCUGGCUGACUCACUUCCUGCUCCUCCAGAAGCACUGUCGGAGGCGGUUCUUGCGUUUCUGGCUGCCUUUCGGUACUAGGGGUAGCAUGGGCCUGACUUGGGAAGGUCCUGGUGGCACGCUUGGGCGGCAUCUGCAGAUUGAGUGAGACUUUUAUGAGAGUAGGAUUUGGGUUUUAGUGAUCUUUAAAGUCUUUAUUUCGUAUUUUCGAAGAGACAGAAUCCACCUUUUGUCGACAAGCACACAGACUAACAAACAACAAACACAAGCGAGUUUAUUUAUUUUGCCCAGGGGGGUACAACACUGCUGGGGUAAGGCUAAAACACGUACUACACGACCGGUUACAACAACACAACUGAAGGCGGUACAACUCUAAACUGCGGACCAUGACGGCUUCAUUCCCUUGGGCAACUCUGGGCUGGGCAUACUACUUGCGGGGUGAGUCUUCUUCCUGGACUGAGUGGUCUUCUAACGGGAUGAGGAGGGCCAGCACUUCAUCGUUUAGAGUCCCGCCCGCUGGAGGGGGUUCUGGCGCCUCUCCAUUAGACACCUCGAAGUUCCUUUCCGAAGGCGGUGGUGCUGGGGUGGCAUCCGGGCUCUUCCGCUUGCCGGAUCCUAGGGCGAUGGGAAUUCCUUCAAGGAUCGGAGCCUCUUCGUCCUCGAUGGCUACCAUCCUCCUUCUGGCACGAAUGGUGAGGUGGGCGUCCUUCAGUUCCUUGGAGUGCCGGUCCUCAGCCUCCUUGAGGGCCUCAACGGCAAUGGCCUCAUUGCUUUGGGCGGCUGCGGCUCGAGCUUCGGCGGCGGCUAGCUUCACCUGAAGCCUCCUCACCAUAACCUCUGCGUCCUCAGCCCUAUGAAUCCGCUGCUUCAACUUAGCAGCCUACUCGUCGUAGAGCUCAUCCAAGGUGAGAAGGUAGGCAGCCAUGUGGAGUACGGUGGGGUCGUCCUCGUGCUGUCCACGUCCUUCCAAAGUUCUCACCCGGGCCAGCCAAACCGGGCGGUUCUUCUUGACAGGCGAGUAGAACCUCAUCGGAGUGCGGCCGAUGUGCCUUUCGUAGAUCUGGCAUAGGAAACGGAGGGCCUUCCGGGCUGCCACUUGAUAAGUAUUUUUAUGCCGGAAGCCAGUGGCAGUUACAUUCCAAGGAUGGAUGUCGGGGUAGCGGCUACUCUGCCCGAUGUAGAUAAUCAUCUCACAUCGAGGGGUUCCGCGAUCCUCGUACUCCCUACUGGUGUACUCCGGACGCUCAUAGAUUCCAAGGCGGUCCAUGCAGGCGAACAACAAUCUGGGAAAACCGGGCUCCUCCAGGCAGUGGCUGUUGACCCAACCUUCCUCGGCCAUCUGGAAAGAACCGGGGCACAAAUUAGUUUUGCAAUAGAGCAGAGGUAGGCAGAAAUUUUGUAAGUCUUUUAUUUUGGUCAAAAAGGGCUAGUCCGGUCCUCAGGUCGCGUCCUACAGCCAACAAACAGCUCUGAUACCACCUGAGGCGUCCCCACAUAAGUCAAGACUAAAUGUGAUACAAUUAUCAGUCCCAGGAGGCUGAUAGCACAUUUAUUCGAUAGAUAAUUCAGUUACCGUACAACUCCCGAGGGAGUGGGCGUGAGAGCCACGCAACGAUAAGAAGUAAAUAAACAACAGCGGCUAACCAAGCGACUGCCAAAAGACAGCACUCAGGACUACACGGCAGCAGCAGCAUCUUGGAAAGGUCAACACCAUAGGCAGCGUUUGGUGCGGACACAACCUCUACUCAAAGUCCUCGGCGACGAAAUCUAGGUCUUCCUCUGUAGCAACGAAGCAAGGGUGAGUACGAACGUACUCAACAAGUCCAACCCCAUCCACGGAGGGGGAUACAAGCAAGUAUAUGCACAGGAUAUAUCAAGGAUAGGCUAGGGUUCAUUUGCGGUAAAGCUAGAUUUCCAACACAUGCAUGGGUUCAUUUUCAAAUGAGUUUUCGUAAAGCUUUUCUUUAGUAACCGAAACAUUGAGUGGGGUUGAUCCUAUACAAAGGAUCCAAGUUUUACUGCUAUCGGACUCCCCGUCCGCCAUAGCUCACGGCACAACUGCCGGACACUUCCAAAAUCCAACACACACACACACACACACACUCACGAGACCAUCCAUGCCCAAUUGCUAGUUAUGUGACCAAGCCGUAACUCGUCCAAUGCCGUGGACACGGCUACCCGGAUAGGUUUUAACUUUGCAGAGGUUGUACACUUUUCCCACAAGUAGGGUACCGCAGCACGAUCACCUUAGUGCCGGUGCGGAUCCUAACAAAGCCAUUACCCACCUUAGCUAAGACUGGCUAGUCCCCACGGAAGCACCCAAGGGGUUCACGUCUCAUCCACGAGACCAUAACCGGGACCUAAGUCACCAAGAUCUUACUCCUUUUCCAUGGGCUCCCGUUGCUCGCUAGCACCCCUGAAGACUAACAGUUCAGCUAGUGGGAUUUAUGCUAAGCCGUUGCCCAUACAACGGUCGAGUGCUUGCACAAUGGUUGAAUUAGGCAAGAUGACACAUCAACUCGGUCCUUAACCAUGACAAGAUGGAUAUCUCCCGACAUUUCUCAACCACUAAGGUACGAGCACGACAUCCUAGCAUUUCACACAAGAAACACCCAUCCAUCUCAUCUACACACCCCUUUUCCCUUGAACCCGAAAAAAAUCACUUUCCCAAUUGAACACACACACACAUUUAUUUCUCCAUAAAAACCAUUGUAAUAACGAUUGAAGUUGAGUAACAAGCUCCUAAGCUCUCUAGCAGUGGUUAUCAUCUAAACUGAGCUAGUCAUAUUUAGAGAUGAACAUGGGACAACAAGGAAUGUUCAUAACAAUCAAGGGGUGGCUAUCCAACCAUAUCUUGCAAUAAAACAGUAUGCAAUUUAUAAAAUAGGCCAAUAGGUUGUGUUUGAAAAACUAGGUAUUAAGUAUGCAUCAAAGGGUGAGGUUGGACUUGCCGUCUUCAAAGCCUUCCGGGAGUUCCGGCUCGUGCUGUUGGUCCUCGUGCUCGGGCUCGUGAUCAAACUCCUCCUCGGGCUCCUUCUUGGGUAAUCCGCGAUCUACGGCACACACAAACGGGCACACCAAUAAAUAAAAGAAAUCGGUUUUUACCCGUUGAGCUCCGAACAGAAAACGCAAACGGAAAUUAGGUAGAAAGAUUAUUUUUGGGCAAUUUGGAUAUGGAUCGGCGGAAGUAUACUGGAGGAUGACGUGGUAAAAUUUGGGAUUAAUUGGAGGAAGUUUGGUGCAUGAAAUGACGAGUUAAACAUGGGUUAGGGGCUUAAAAACGAGGUUUAGGACUGAUUUGCGAUAAACCAGGGACCUAUUUGUAAAUAUUUCUGGAGGUGGAGGGGCUUAUCUGCGAAAAGGGUUAUGAGAGUGGUGGAAGGACUAAUUUGUAAUUUGGCAAAAGUUGGGGGUUAGAUCAGAAACUGUGGUUUCUUCUUCCUUCCUCUCCAGGAACUUGGAGAGGGAGAGAGAGGAGAUGGGGCCGGCGGCGGCCGGCCGGCCGCGCCUCGCCGGCGGCGAGCCGAGGGCUGGGGGCGGCGGAGGAAGCGGAGGGGGCUCCAUUUUGCCCCUUACCUUGGAGAGUUGGAGAUGGGAAGGGGUGGCCGGUGGUGGCUUGGGUGGCGGCGGCACACGGGGGGGGGGGGGGGGGGGGGGGGGAGAAGGAGCGGCGCACGGCGUCGGCGAUGCUCGGCGAGAGAGGGGCAGUGUUGGUGGAUGGAGGAUGGGGAGAACCGAGGCGUUGAAGCCUUUUAUAGGCCGACGAGGAGGGCGCCGGCGGUAGGGGACCAGGCGGCCGGCGGGAUGUCUUGGCGGCACGGCACCGGUGGCGUGCCGGGGCGGGGAGGUUGGGGCCGACGGCGGGCGGCGUGGGGUGGGGCCGAGGCGGGGCCAGUGCAGGAGGGGCGGCGUGCGGGGCUGAGGCGGUGCAGGUGGCUGGGGCCGGGUCGGGCGCGCGGCCCGAGGGGAGGCGCCGGCGCCGGGCCGGGCGGCGUGGGUUCCGGGCGCGGAGAGGGGGCCGGGCGGUCGGCGGUAUGGCGCCAGGAAGGGUGGGCGCCAGGGGAGUAAUGGCGUUGGAGCCGGGUGUGCGGGUGCCAGGAAGAAGGAGGAGGAGGAGAGAGAAGGAAGGAGGAAGAAGAAAGAAGAAGAAGAAGAAGAAGAAGAAGAAGAAGAAGAAGAAGAAGAAGAAGAAGAAGAAGAAGAAGAAGACGAAGAAGAAGAAGAAGAAGAAGAAGAAGAAGAAGAAGAAGAAGAAGAAGAAGAAGAAGAAGAAGAAGAAGAAGAAAGGAAGAAGGAAAAGAAAGAAAAAGAAAAAGGGAGGAAAAAAGAGAAAGAAAAGGGGGAGACCGGCGGCGUUCGCGGCACGCGGUCGGAGCACGCGCGCGGCGUUUGACGACGGCACGCGGCGAGAAUUACGGGCACGGAUAAAAUGAUGGAUGUCGGCUUGGGUGCCGGGACGGCGAAAUCGUCGGGAAGAUUUUAGAUUUCCGGGAGCUCAGCGGUAAAAAGAUUUUAAAAGCAAUUUUUAACGGGUGAUUUUAGGUUGGUGAUUUUUGCGGAUGUUACAAUGUCCUUGCCCCACGCCUCCAACCCUAGUUUCCAACUGCCGAAUUUGCGCCAUGCCGCCCAGCGGCAUGGACACUGGGGAUGGACGGCUGGCGCCAACCUUGCCCCUCCACCGCCUUGUCAUGCCCUUAAAUAGAACCCAUCGCCCCUCUUGCUAAUUGUCGGAUUUAUAAGCCCGGCAGUCCACCAGGGGGUUACCCAAGUGGUUGAUUUGUAGGUGGAGGUGAUUGUGAAACCAAGAACUUGAAGGUGGUUGCGAGAACAUGGGGGACAUGAGAGUUUUAGACAGGUUUGGACCUCCGGAGAGUAACACCCUACGUCCUGUCCUAUAUGCUGGUGCUUUGUAUUGCUUAAGAGUUGAUGUGGGAUUGUUGGGAUACCCUCGAGGAGUGCCUUUGGCCAUCUUAUAUAGGCUGGCGACAUAGAGUUAUAAGUCGGUUUGAAUCUAACCUAUUUAGUAGUUACAUGGAAGGUAAUCUGAGUCAGACUACAAUACAUGUCCCGCAAUAUCCGGGCUGAUUUGAAUCGCCUAGCCUCCUUGGCAUGUACUCCAAGUAUCUUCAUGUCCUUGGCCCGCACGCUUUGGUCGGACGGGCACACUUGUCAGGUCCGGCUAGUAUCCUGGUCGGUGGGGACCCAUGGUGUACCCAUAUCUUCAAGCCCUUGAAUGAUGUGUAGGCGAACAAGAACUUGAGGUCAUCGCAACAAAGAUUGGAAUGUAGUCGGCUGAAGCUGCGAUGGCGUCAUGGUGACAGAGAGGCUGCACAAUGUUCAAAAAAGAAGAAAAAUCCGAGCGAACGUGGAGCCAAAUGCGCAGAGUGAAGUCAAGUGCUGAGUUGAUGGAUGUUGGGCAUCCAGCAGGUCAAAGCGAAUGACAUGGAGGGCGUCGCAAGACGCACUCCAUAGGAGUAGCCCCUGAACAUUGAAGUGAUUAGUAUAAUCGGUCCAAUGGUCAAAGAAGAAAAAAGUUGAUCACAACAGCAGGUCCAAGUGCCUGAACACAAGGAUAAGUGAAGCCACGGAGGCAUGCAACCAUAAGUAGGCGCCUAGCCCCCGAGGACGAGGACUAGGACUAGCAAAGUCGCGGAGGCACGCCGACCUGAAUUAGGCACCCAGCCCCCAAGGAUGAGGACUGGUGGAGCCACACCGAGUCGCAUCCCGCCCCGAGACUAAGAGGUCGGCCAGACGACGGGAGGCACACUGAGUCGUCUGCGGCACCCAGCCCCCGAGCCUGGGAGCCGGACGAGUUGCGGAAGCACAUUCAGUUGCCUCCCGCCCCGAGCCAAAGAGGUCUCUUGGCGACGGGGGGCACGUUGAGUUAUCAGCGGUGCCCAGCCCUUGAGCCUAGGAGCCAAACGAGUCACGGAAGCACAUCAAGUCGCCUCCCACCCCGAGCUAGAGAGGUCGGCCGAGCGACAGGAGGCACGACAAGUAGUUUUUGAGCUAUAAAAGGAUAAUACAAACAUUAUGUAGCAUAGUGUAGAUCAUUUAAUAAUUUAACAACUCGGAAGUUUAAUUCACUAGAGAAGUAAACUCUUGUGCAUCCUGCUCUUGUAGGCCAGGUAAUUUCCCUAGGUAGUUAGCCUGUUACGUUUAAGCACCAAGCCCUGCUGACCACUGCUCAUGGAGAGGACAGCUUAUCUCAGGCUAUAGCGCUAGGGCUAACCCGAUGUUCGCAUAUAGGAGAUGCGCAUGAUGAGUCAAGGUUUCACAGAUUAAGGCGUGCGCUACCCGAGUACUUUAGCAACCAUUAAGAGGGACAGACAAGCCACAAAGCAGUCGGAACUGUGCGGAAAAGCACCAGCAUGACCUGGGUGUUGGGAUACGAGGUAGAGUACACUAGCCAAUGCUACAGUACAAGAUCGGCCGAUGGAUACCCUUGGGGUUUGGAUCGGACACGCCUGGUUCUCGAUCGGUUACCUUUUGCCGAUAAGGAAUCGGCCGAUUAGGAGGUUGGAAUAAUUGGGCUGGUAUGGGCUUGGAAAGGAUCAGGAGGAUAAAGAGGAAAUCAGCCCAUGAAGUGUAUAAUAACCAACUUAGUACGAGUCGUACUUGUAAAUAUUCGUUUUCUAUUUGAAUUAGGGAUAGAGUUCUAGUCAGAUAAGGAGUCGUCUGUACGGGGCUAUAAAUAGCUACCUUUGUAGAUCUGUAAUCAUCAACUACUCAAUACAACAAAUUACUAUUUCCUCGCAUUUACUUUCAAGCAGGCGACUUCGCCAAAUACUUUCUUCUUUUUUCACGAGUUCGUACGGGUUGGCGGGGCUGCAUCAACUUGACCUCCGGCCGAUCUUGUAAGUUCCGUUUACCGAGUAAAUUCUAAGCUUUAACUUCGGGCGCAUCGCUGUUGUUUCGUUUAGAUUUAUUCACUAGUUAUCGAUAUUCACUAGAAUUAUAGGUUUUACCUGUUUUUUCUAGUUUUUAUCACCAGUUAUCCAGCUAGGAAUCGACAGUUUCGGCUUUUCUCAUACUCUGUUGUUUAAACUACUUAUUCCACGCAUAGCCGAUUAGAUCUGUUCCUAGUGUUGCCACUGUAGCGUUGUACCGAUUACUUCAAUUAGUCGUCGAUUCACGCUGCCUGAUAGUCGGCUGCUUCAUAGCCGAUUUCUUUAUUACGACAAAUCGGCCGAUUCGCUGAUAAGCUCCCUCGAGAUCGGAAAUUUAGCCGAUCGUGACUUUUGGAUCUGACACGUAUUCUUCCUUGCCAAUCAACAGGUCAGAUUGGCUGGCACGCCGCGCGAACCGCACCAGGGCAAUCACCCGAACAGGAGUUAAGCAGAUUCUCCCGGGUCGUGUGUCAGACGCUGGGGAUUCGGUUGAUCGAUUUCUAGCGCCAACACACUUUUGGCACGCCCAGUGGGACCUAUACAACCGCCACCAUGUCGAAAGCUGCUGAAGUCUCUGAAGAUAACGUCAUCGAAGUGACGGAAGCAGAUCUCAAGGACGACCAGAAGGAAGAACUAGAGAAGGAGACAGCACUCUACCGGAAGGCGUGCCUGCAGUCCUUCAGUCGCACCAGAAGCGGGGAGGCUAUCAAAAAGUCUCCGUUUCCAACUCCCCACCAGAUCACAAUCACCGAGGACUCGGACAAAAUGGCCGAGAUGGUCCAACAGUCCAUUUAUCACGCCUUCAUUGAUCAAUCCCCGGUGCUUGCAAAUACGGUGUACAAUGCCGUCAUCAGCUCCUUCGCUAGCGGGGUACCUCAAGGAUACAAGGGACCGGCAUAUACUCAGCCGAUUCCACCAAACCAGGGUUAUUUGCAUUCGGCUUCUCAGCCGAUCCAAUUUCCUGUUGGGGGUUCAGGCGCUUCCUCAUCAUCAAUUCCUAUGGGGUAUAAUGGCACACAACACCUUCAGCCACACCCCAUCCAGCUGUCCUCUGCGCCGCUCCCUCCAGCUAAUCCAGCGCCUUGGGGGGCACCAUCAGCUACGGCCGUUCAGGAUCAAUCGGCCAGUCAGGGAAGUCCCCAAUUUCAGGCAUCUUUCCAAGCAGCCACUCGACCAACCAUGCCGUCGUACCAGCCUGUCGCACCAGAGAUGAGCAAAGCAGCGGAGCUCGUACUAUACGAUGAGACGAGUGGCUCAUUCAAACAGCCGACCCUGAAUACACAGCCGGCUUUCACUCAGAUGCCACAUACUUUCACUCAGCAUCAAGCCGUCCCGCCUCCGAUAUACCAGCACGUGCCAGUUCCCCAGCCAACAGUUUACCAGCAACAGCCGGACUGGUCGGCACGUAUAGCAGAAGUGAUUCAGGAACAAUUCGGCUUGAAGCCGAAAGUACAGACUUACACUUAUAGAACACCAUACCCGUCUACGUACGACCUACUACCAUUUCCCCAUCGGUAUAAAGUUCCUUACUUCACCAAGUUCUCGGGGAUGGAUGACACUUCAACCGUGGAGCACGUUAACAGGUUCAUCAUCCAAUGUGGAGAGGCAGCAGCGCAAGACGCUCUACGGGUACGGCUAUUCUCGUCAUCUUUGUCUGGGUCGGCCUUCCAGUGGUUCAUGACAUUGCCGUCGAACUCGAUUAUUACAUGGGCCGAUUUGGAAAGACAGUUUCAUAAAUACUUCUACGCCGGGGUGCAUGAAAUGAAGCUGUCCGAUUUGACCAGCCUCAAGCAGAGAAGCAACGAGCCGAUAUCCUCGUAUGUACAGAGGUUUCAGGAAAUCAGGAACAAAUGCUACUCUUUGGCUCUAAACGACGCACAGCUGGCUGAUAUAGCCUUUCAAGGUCUCCUGCCCCACAUCAAAGAAAAGUACGCUUCACAGGAGUUUGAGAGCUUAAGCCAAAUCGUCCACCGAUUGUCUGGACAGGAGGUACGUUCUUUCGAUCCACGGAGGAACUUCCAGAAGAAGGUGGCAUUCCUGGAAGAGGUUGAAGCUGAAGAGGAUGCUGAGGUAGGUCUUGCGGAGUGGGUCAAGGGAAAGAAGCCAAUAUCAUGCCCGUUCGGCAAGAAAGAGCCAGAAACAUUCGGCUUUGACACGACGAAGGCCGAUAAAAUCUUCGACCUUCUCCUCCAGGAAGGACAGAUCAAGCUCUCGCCAUAUCAUACAAUACCUUCUGCCGAACAACUGAAGAAGAUGAAAUAUUGCAAGUGGCACAACGCUACAUCUCAUGACACUAAUGAGUGCAAAAUCUUCCGGCAGCAGAUACAGUCGGCCAUUGAGUAGGGUAGACUUAAAUUUGAAGUACCAACGAAAUCGGCCAAGCCGAUGAAGAUCGACCAACACCCCUUCCCCACCAACAUGGUUGACACAGGGAAGAACUCGCUCCAAACAAAGGUGCUAACGUCCGAAUCGGCUAAAAAGAGUGGUGCCAUAGACCCCAGAAAUCAAGCGACGCCUGAAGACGUCAAGGGGAAGCGGCGGAUGGAGGACGACGAUGGCGAAUCAGGUGAGCCACGCAUUACUUCCCAAUUCCUGCUCCAAAAAUAUCAGCGUCAACAUGAACACUCAAGAUCCCGGGAAGAAGCGAUGCGGCGACACGAAGAUCACUGGAGGUGCCCAUUCUUCAUCCACUGUUGGGAAAGCAACCUCCGGCUACCCUCGGCCGAUAAUUGCCCGGAAUGCAACGGCCUGUAUCGUAACAAUCGGCCGUUCAACAGGUCUCGCUCCAGAGACGGAAGACCAGAACCGAUCAGCAGGAACUGGCGCGACCAAGACGACCGACGUCCUCCCGUGCGUGAUCGGCUGAGGGGCAGAAGUGACCAAUAUGACCGGUCGGAAGACAGAUGCCAUGACAGGCCGGGGGGCAGGUUUGAUCGACAUGACCGGUCAGAAAACAGGGCCAACGUUCACAGUCGGCUUGAAGAGAUGGCCAAUGCUCGGGUGACAGACGAAAACCCUUUAGGACGUGAGCCGGAAUGGGAACGCGCCAGGCCAAGAACCAAACCAGUAAACCCCAGGUGGUGCCCCGACGGAUUGACCAAAUCUCAAAAACGAAGGAUCCAACAUCUCCGCCAGUGGGAACAGCAGGAGGAAGAACAACAGUACACGACGGACAAGAAGGAAGGUAAGAUAUGGCGCCCCAAAAGAAACGACAGAGGAGGCGAUGAAUCGGCGGGCGAUGAAUCGGCAGCCGAUAUCGGCAUGGUUUUCAUACUGCCGAUGGAAUUUAUGACUCCUGCCGACCGACAGGAUAUAUCGGCAAUAGAAGAACAGAUGGCACAAUUGGCUUUGGAGCCAAUGACAGCCACGUUCGAGAAGCCCGAAGACGACAAACGGCAACACCUGAAAGCAUUGUUCCUCAAAGGGCAUGUCAACGGCCGACCCCUCACCAGAUUAAUGGUAGACGGAGGAGCUGCAGUCAACAUCAUGCCAUAUGCCGUGCUCCGGAACCUUGGGAAAAGCGAUGACGACUUGACCAAGACAGACAUGAUGCUCAAAGACUUCGAGGGUAACGUGUCCCCCGCUCGCGGCGCCCUCUGCGUCGACCUCACCAUCGGCAGUAAGACCCUUCCCACUACCAUCUUUAUUAUCAAUGGCAAGGGAUCCUACAACAUGCUGCUCGGCCGGGACUGGAUACACGCAAAGUGCUGCAUCCCAUCAACGUGCAUCUAUGUCUUGUACAAUGGGUCGGCAAUAACAUCGAGGUAGUCAACGCCGAUUCCGCAUACAGCAUCGCGGCAGCCGACACGCAGCAAUGGAUCUGCGAAACCGUUAAGUGCAUAUCCGGUAGAGUAUGGGAUACUGACUUCUUGAAGGUCUCCGAUUUUGGCCUACAGCCGAUCCGAGCAGUCGGCUCCGAAGACUCAGAUUAAAUGGAUCAGUUCGCCCGAAAAGACGGGAAACUAGGGCACGGGUUCACGUCGGCCGAUUCAUUAGAAAUGAUAGACUUAGGCGAUGGCACCAAACCAAGGACGACUUAUAUUAGUGCAAAUUUAGAUCCAGAAUACAAAUGUAAACUGACGAAUUUGUUAAGAGAAUUUAAGGAUUGUUUUGCUUGGGAGUAUCAUGAGAUGCCCGGAUUAGAUCGAUCUAUUGUUGAACAUCGGCUACCCAUAAAACCGGGAUAUCGGCCGUAUCAACAGCCGGCACGGCGGUGCAAUCCUAAAAUUCUACCAGAUAUAAAAGCCGAAAUAACUCGGCUAAUCGAAGCAAAAUUUAUUUGGCAAUGCCGUUAUGCCGAGUGGAUCUCCAACAUUGUACCAGUGUACAAGAAGAACGGAAAGCUACGCGUGUGCGUUGAUUUCAGGAAUCUUAAUCAGGCCACACCGAUGGACGGGUACCCCAUGCCAACGGCCGAUGUUCUGAUAGACGCUGCCACGGGACACAAGAUUAUUAGCUUCAUGGACGGAAACGCUGGGUACAAUCAAAUACUUAUGGCCGAAGAGGACAUACCCAAAACGGCCUUUAGAUGCCCGGGCCACCUUGGUUUAUUCGAGUGGGUGGUGAUGACUUUUGGCUUGAAAAACGCCGGCGCCACGUAUCAGAGAGCCAUGAACUACAUAUUUCACAAACUCAUCGGCAUACUGGUAGAAAUCUACAUCGACGACGUCGUAGUCAAGUCCAAAGGACACGAAGAGCAUCUGGCCGAUUUGCGAAAAGUGCUGGAAUGCACUAAGAAACAUAGGCUGAAGAUGAACCCGAAUAAAUGUGCCUUCGGCGUGUCCGCCGGACAGUUCUUAGGAUUCAUGGUGCACGAGCGGGGAAUAGAAAUCAAUCGGAAGACCAUAGCGGCUAUCAACAAAGUCGUGGCCCCGCAGAAUAAAACUGAAUUACAAUCUUUAAUCGGCAAGGUGAAUUUCAUCAGAAGAUUCAUAUCUAAUCUAUCUGGGCGGAUCCAGGCUUUCACACCACUAUUAAAGUUGAAGCCCGACCAGGAGUUCAUAUGGGGGGAGGAACAACGCAAAGCACUGGAAGAUAUCAAGCAGUACUUGGUCUCACCACCGGUAUUGGUCCCUCCUCAAACUGGUAAGCCAUUCAAACUAUACUUAUCAGCCGAUGAAAAGGCUAUUGGGUCGGCUCUAGUCCAGGAAUUCGAAGGAAAGGAACGAGUAAUUUAUUAUGUCAGUAGAAGACUUCUGGACGCCGAAACAAGAUAUCCUCCAGUGGAGCGGUUGUGCCUAUGUCUUUACUUCUCAUGCACCAAACUCAGGCACUACUUACUGUCGGCGGAAUGUGUAGUCGUAUGCAAAGACGACGUAGUAAAAUACAUGCUGUCACUACCGAUCUUGAAAGGACAAAUCGGCAAAUGGAUCUUAGCUUUGUCAGAGUUUGACCUACGGUAUGAAUCGGCUAAAGCCGUCAAGGGUCAGGUCAUGGCCGAUUUCGUUGCCCAACACUGCGGGCCAGAAACUACCUUCGUGGAGCCGGUACCUUGGACUUUAUACUUCGAUGGAUCAUCAUGUGGGGCUGGAUCAGGAAUCGGCAUCGUUCUCAUAUCGCCUCGGGGGGCAAGCUAUGAUUUUUCUCUGCCGAUAGAAGCCGCCGCUACUAACAAUCAAGCAGAGUACCGAGCUGUAUUGAAGGGAUUACAAUUGCUAAGAGAAGUCAGGGCUGAUUCUGUCGAAAUUUUCGGGGACUCCAUGCUUAUUGUGGAUCAAUUAACAGGGAAGUCCGAAUGCAAGGAUGACAUAUUGAGAAUUUAUUACGAAGAUUGCUUGCAGCUCUUAAAAGAAUUCAAAUCGGCAGUAAUCGAGCACAUCCCAAGAGAUCACAACGAGGAUGCCAACAAACUCGCCCAACACACAUCUAGAUAUCGGCCAAUUCUAGGCGCUAUGGCUCUGGAACUCGCGGCCGAUGACUGGCGAAAAGAAAUUGCCGACUACUUGAAAGAUCCGUCUCAGAAAGUGGAUCGACGGGUGCGUUUCCAUGCUACCAAAUACGUACUGCUCAAAUGUCUGGGGACAGAGGAGGCUAAGACUCUGAUGGGAGAAAUCCAUGAAGGGGUGUGUGGAGCACAUCAAUCGGCCCAUAAGAUGAAAUGGAUGAUCAGGAAUAAUGGGUAUUACUGGCCAACAAUCCUCGAAGAUUGCUUCAAAUAUUAUAAGGGAUGUCAGGAUUGUCAGAAAUUCGGGAAUGUCCAACGUGCGCCCGCAUCGGCCAUGAAUCCUAUUAUCAAGCCAUGGCCGUUUAAAGGAUGGGGAAUAGACCUUAUCGGCCAAAUUUACCCUCCAUCGAGCAAAGGGCACAAAUUUAUUCUGGUGGCUACCGAUUACUUUACCAAAUGGUGGAAGCAAUUCCGUUAAGAGCCGUGACAUCGGCUACCAUGGCCGACUUCGUAAGGGACCAUAUCGUCUACCGAUUCGGCAUUCCCCAGACUAUUACAACCGAUCAGGGAACAAUGUUCACAUCAGGGGAAUUCGAGGAAUUCACAACCGAUAUGGGAAUCAAAUUGUUAAACUCCUCUCCAUAUUACGCCCAAGCUAACAGCCAGGCCGAAUCCUCCAACAAAGGGAUAAUUAAAUUAAUCAAAAGGAAGAUAGAGGAGCAGCCGAAAAAAUGGCACCUAUGUCUAACUGAAGCCCUAUGGGCAUACAGGAUGGCCUGCCAUGGGGCCACCAAGUUAUCCCCUUAUCAGUUGGUGUACGGUCACGAUGCAGUACUACCGUGGGAAUCAAGGGCGGGGUCGAGGCGCAUUUCUCUCCAGGACCAGUUAACGGCCGAUGACUACUCGUCACUCAUGAAGAGGGAACUUGAUGACUUGGCCGGCCAGCGGUUGAGAGCUUUGAUAAGCAUUGAGGAAAACAAGAAGAAAGUAGCCAGGUGGUACGAUAAGAAGGUCAAAGUCAAACAAUUCUCCCCUGGGGACUUGGUUUGGAAGUUAGUAUUGCCGAUUGGGUCGAAAGAUCCUAAAUUCGGAAAGUGGUCCCCUACAUGGGAAGGGCCGUAUAAAAUCGGCAGAUGUGCUCCAGGAAAUGCUUAUAUUUUGGAAACAAUCGAGGGAGAAGAGUUUACUAGGGCUCUGAACGGAAGGUACUUGAAAAGAUACUACCCUAGUAUAUGGGUCGGAGCAUAAAGGAUUGACCACAAUACAACGGCACACAGCCGAUACAAAACGGUUCGUCUAGAAAAAACAUGUAAUCGUCCAAAUCGGCCGAUGUAUUCAUUCGGUACGGACGGUGAGUUACACGGCCGACAAGGUACAAGUCGCCCUUAGAACAAAAAAUAAUAAUUAACCAUUCUUCUUCUUAUGCUCUCUCUCAGCCCGACCUAACUCUAUCAUAAGACGGAUGUACUCUUCGUCCAUCUCUUUCAUUAAAGCCUCACCAUUCUUUUUCUUACGCUCUCUCUCAGCCCGACCUAACUCUAUCAUACGACGGAUGUACUCUUCUUCUGUCUCUUUCAUCGAAGCCUCCGCUUCGACUUGACGGGGGAGUGGGUGGCUCCGGUCCAUGGCCGGGCGCGAAGUUCCUGCCACCGCAUCUUCAAGGGCGACUCGUGGAGGAAGCGGAUGACUUCGGUCAGCUUGAGGUCGCCGGCGGGCGUUGCCGUCCAGAAAGUCCCAGAUCUGACGGAUGUUAGCAGGGACAUGUUCUCGAAGUUCGUCACGAUGAGCCCUGAUUAAAUCCUUGUCCUCUGACGACAACGGUUCAUCAGAGUGCAUGAGCUCGAUGGCGCGUUCAAGUUCGGGGUUAAGGCACCGUGGCUGAAGAAAAGAACGAUUAAAAAGAUGAUCCCCUUCAAAAGAGUUAAAUAGAGAAGAAGGAUCAAGGCCAGAUUUUCACCUGGUUGAUAGAGGAAGAAGAAGAUGAUGAAGACAUAACUGAAGGUCGCGCCGACGAGAGCAGGUUGAGAAAACAAAGCCGAGCCAAACUGGUACUCUCGGAAGGAGGGUCUAGGCCGGCAUUUAUAAGAAAAAGAGGCGUAAAGGUGCGUCCCGUCGGAAGUGGGAAAAGUAAUAAAUAAAAGAGGCGUCACGAAGGACGGUCAAAGCAGUCAUUAAAGGUUCAUACAAAAUAGUCAUUACUUUUACAGAUUACCCAGAAGGGCAUCGAUAGCCGCAAUCGCUCGACGCCAGAUCUGAUCGGCAGAGUCCAAGACCCGUUGGUCAUCAUCCGCCGAUCCGGGGACUUCUGAUGCACUACGAUGGAGUUUCAGGGCUUCAUGGGCCAAAUGCUGCCUCUCCUGUUUUAGAUCGGUAAUAACGGAGGGAAGUUAUUGGAGCCUUUUCUCUUCGGCGUUUAUUGCUUUAGUCACCUGCUCCAUCUCCUUGGCGAGCUCUGCCCUUUGGCGUUUGAGGCGGUCUAUCUCGCCAACGAUCCCUGGGCGGGAGUCCUCCAGAAAAUGAAUAUGUUGGUGCACCUCUUGGGCCUGAUGUUUGUACGCAUCCUCUUCUUCACGAGUCUUGGCCAACUUGGCGCGAUCGGCCAUGUGACGAAGGGCUCUGAAGACCGGGAUCCUCAUCGACUCGAUGUAUGCAGCCAGCGCCAAGGCUUCCUCCGCUUCUUCUGGCACUCGUCCGCUGACGUCACCAAAGAGCUGCCGAAUCGGCGAGGCAUCUUCUACCAAUUUGCCGAUGUCUCCUUGAAGAAGGGAUCGGAUGCUGGUAAGCUUGGCUCGGACGUCGUUGGGGAUGGAGCUCAAGGUGACCUGGCGGGAGGCGACUUCUUCGUUGUCGGAGAGGGCGACCGCGAAAGAGAAGAGGCUGUUGUCAGGGGUGUUCUGUUCCUGGAAAUAAUAAAGAAAAAAAAAUAAAUUGACUGAUGGUGAUAGCAAAUCGGCCAAAUGGAGUUGAAAGAUUUCUUACUUCUUUGAAUCGGAUUUCCUCAAGCUGCAUUUGAGAAGCCGUUAUCCUCGGCUCGGGGGCUGGUGCCAUGGGUUCAUCAGAGGAAGAAGACUCCACGAUGAUUGGUGCUGUGCUUGGACCAGCUUCCCGAGAGGGGAUCAGUGGUUGAGGGGCGCUUGGCGUGCCGAUGACCUGUGUUAGAAGGUUGAGUAAGCAUAUUAUUCAAAUACUAGGGGAAUCGGUGAAAUUGUGUUAUACCUCAACGGAUGGAAGCGGGGGCGCGAUGAUGGCCGAUUGGGUUGCUGCCGAUUGUUGUGUGUCCAUAGGGGAUCUGUGCAGUCUAAGAUAAGAAGGAUUAAUAUCGAAACGACAAUCAGAAGGGUUAAACAUAAGUUUACCUGCAUGGCCUCUAACAGCAGUGAUGCGGCGGCUGCCCCAGCUUGCGCGACGACUUGAGUGUCGAUCUCUCGGGUAGCUUGAGGGGGUGGUGCGGCUGAAGUCUCUGCCGAUACGAGCAUGGGAGGAUCCGUUGAUUCUAUACGGGCCCGGACUCGGCGACUGGUCUUCUUGGUGACUUUCUUCUGUGCUUGUUUUGAUCGGCCAGCAAUCACGUCCACGGACGGGGCAUCAUAGCCGAUGAGAGGGAAGGUGGUGUACGGAUGGUGAUCUUCUAUUAGUCGACCACUCCGGCUGUGCGUUGGGGGGACACGGUUCUCGGACUGAAGCAAUAGCAAAAUGUUAGUGUUCAGCUGUGUUGGUAAAAGAGUAAAAAUCGGCUAAGGAAAAAUACCUCGGUGUUUGGGUCGACGUUGGUUGGAUCCAGGAGAUUGCAGUAUGCCCAUGCAGAGUUGCAGAAAAGGAAUUGUUUCCAUUCGGCCCACCAAAGCUUGAAAGGCUGGACAGCAAAGGGAGCUACUAUCCAGUUGUUCAAGUCAAUGGUGUUGGAGUCUGGGAUCCGGUCUCGCAGCCGACUGUAGUCCAGGCCUGUUGUAAGCCCAUCUUUGAACUUGGCUCGGCCAGCAAAAUAUACUUGAAUCGGCAGCUGACCCAUGCCGAGUUGACGCGCUGCAGCAGAGGGAUUGUAGAACUCAUAUGUAGGAGCAUCUUUCCCUGAAAAGAAGUUGGCUGGCAGGAUUCCCGGUUUGAUUAACUCAUCGGUGAGCUCCUCAUCAAAUCGGCCAGUGGUCGAGUCGAAGCAAGUUGGGAGUUCGAAGAUUGGGUCAUCUCGCCGAUAAGGAAACCAGACGGUUGCAUCUUCAUUAAAACCGUUGUAAAAGCAUCGGAAGUACUCGGCCACUUUCGUAGCAGAGUACAGGCAACCGGGGAAGGCCGAUGCCGCUUCACCAAAAGAUGUGCAUCGGCGACGAGCAGUGGGAUCUUCUGCCGAUUCGAUGUUGGGGAACAUCAUGUGUUCCAUCCUCUGCUGAGAGAUCUUGCUCAUAUAAAGGUUCAGCCACAAGUUAAUGAACCACCAGGGUCUGCCUGGGUUUCCAAUUGGCUCUCCUUUGGAAAGUUUGGUGCCGAUUUCAUGAAGCAUGUGGUAUGUCUCCCCUAGCAAGUGUUUUCCAAGAGGAACAGGGGUUCCUACCGAUACUGCUUCGGCUAAAGCCUGGGUGUUGGUUGAUGGGUCGGCUGCUCUUCCGCAAAAGAAAUGUUUUUCCAACCACAUCAUUAAGAAGGUCGUGUGCUCCCUGUUCUCAACAGACCCGGCCCUUUUGUUGCAUCUGAUAAAUCCUUUCCACCCGCCGAUUCCUCUCGUGUCCAGCCGAUGCGAUGUUGCGGCUAAGAGGCGGAAAGGUGUAUCCGGGGAGGAGAUGUCUAGGCCGGUCAGCAGAACCACAUCGGCUAGUGUGGGGGUCAUAGGUCCAUGUCCAAACAAGAAUGCAUUGAGGGCAUCAGACCAAAAGUAAGAGGCUGCUAUCACCAAUGGUUCAUUUCGUUCCAUCUGGGACAUAGAUAGGUUGAUGCAUUGGCCGAUUUUGAGCUCGUCCCAUUGGACCCUCUUUGGUUCGGCUAUCCGUUGGUACCACUCCCUCCAACCAGGGGUUUCAUUCGGCCAAGACCUAAAGGUGCCCAACCAAUGAUCCAGGUCCAUGGUGGAUUGUUUGAAGGGAAUUUUAUGGGUUUCCAAAUUGAUGAGCUCGGUUGGAUCUGGGUUCCCCAUGGGUCCGAGACAGAUAAGGCCGGGAUUUCCCGUUAGAUGGAUGGUAAUGCGAUGUCUAACCGCCUAAAAAGGAAAGGGGGUGCAAAAGUAAGAAAUAGAUCUAAAGUAAAUGCAUUGCCGAUAGAGGAAGGAUUCGGUAAUAACCUCUGGGAUGAAGUUCCUUGUAGUCGGCGUGACCGCCGGUGCAGCUGCGGAGGAUGAGGCCGCUAUUGGGAUCGCCAUUGGGAUCUCCGAUGAAGCUCCUUCUUCUGAUGACGGAGCCACCACUGUCGCUACUUUCGCCGGAGACGCGAUUUCUGGAGCAUCGCGCGCGGGAGAGUUGCCUGAAGGUGCCGCCAUUGGAGGGGAGGAGGAAAAGCGACAGGAAGAUGGCGCUAGGAAGCUUCAGAGCUAAGGGAAAGUACUGGGGGAAGAAGAAGGCGCGCGUGCUGAGGAAGAAGGACGUGAGCUCGAAAAGGAGGUGCGGGGUGUACUGAUAUUUAAAGGGUGUCUGAUGAAGGGUAAAAAUGGAAUUUUUACCGCGCCGACGCUUCGAGUUUUUCGGGAGUAGUGGUUGUCGUGGGCGCCCGUUUCGAAAAGAUUGCAAUCAUCAGAUUGAAGACCACGAAACGGAAGGAUAUUUUCAUUGCGGUUGUUUCGGAGGGGAAGUUGAAAAGAAUUUCGAAGUAAAAGACUAUGUUUUACUCCGAAACUGGGGGCCAUGUGUUGACGCCAGAUUUCGUCACAAGUAAAAUCGGCGUCAGGAGAAGAAGAAAUGGGAAGAUACAAUAGAAUACAAGGGUGACAGUUGGAAAUCGGCCGAAUGGCGCUACAAUUAGAGAUUGGUUGGUUGAUGCUACAGUCCAGGAUCGGCCGAUGCUACAGUACAAGAUCGGCCGAUGGAUACCCUUGGGGUUUGGAUCGGACACGCCUGGUUCUCGAUCGGUUACCUUUUGCCGAUAAGGAAUCGGCCGAUUAGGAGGUUGGAAUAAUUGGGCUGGUAUGGGCUUGGAAAGGAUCAGGAGGAUAAAGAGGAAAUCAGCCCAUGAAGUGUAUAAUAACCAACUUAGUACGAGUCGUACUUGUAAAUAUUCGUUUUCUAUUUGAAUUAGGGAUAGAGUUCUAGUCAGAUAAGGAGUCGUCUGUACGGGGCUAUAAAUAGCUACCUUUGUAGAUCUGUAAUCAUCAACUACUCAAUACAACAAAUUACUAUUUCCUCGCAUUUACUUUCAAGCAGGCGACUUCGCCAAAUACUUUCUUCUUUUUUCACGAGUUCGUACGGGUUGGCAGGGCUGCAUCAACUUGACCUCCGGCCGAUCUUGUAAGUUCCGUUUACCGAGUAAAUUCUAAGCUUUAACUUCGGGCGCAUCGCUGUUGUUUCGUUUAGAUUUAUUCACUAGUUAUCGAUAUUCACUAGAAUUAUAGGUUUUACCUGUUUUUUCUAGUUUUUAUCACCAGUUGCUAGGAAUCGGCAGUUUCGGCUUUUCUCAUACUCUGUUGUUUAAACUACUUAUUCCACGCAUAGCCGAUUAGAUCUGUUCCUAGUGUUGCCACUGUAGCGUUGUACCGAUUACUUCAAUUAGUCGUCGAUUCACGCUGCCUGAUAGUCGGCUGCUUCAUAGCCGAUUUCUUUAUUAUGGCAAAUCGGCCGAUUCGCUGAUAAGCUCCCUCGAGAUCGGAAAUUUAGCCGAUCGUGACUUUUGGAUCUGACACGUAUUCUUCCUUGCCAAUCAACAGGUCAGAUUGGCUGGCACGCCGCGCGAACCGCACCAGGGCAAUCACCCAAACAGGAGUUAAGCAGAUUCUCCCGGGUCGUGUAUCAGACGCUGGGGAUUCGGUUGACCGAUUUCUAGCGCCAACAGAAUCCCUUUCUAGGUUAACUCUUAACCUCGCGUAGCAUGGCCAUGCAUUUCCGGAUCCGAUCACUCGAGGGGCCCAGAGAUAUCUCUCUCAAAUAGAGAGGGGCAAAUUCCAUCUUGACUGAUCAUCCCUUACAGCAUGCUUCUUGACAAACCCGAAAGCUACCUUUAUAACUACCUAGUUACAGUGUAGCGUUUGAUAGCCCCUAAGUAAGUCGAUCCACAUCUUGAGUACAUGCAACAGUCUCAGGUCUAAGGACAAAGCAUACACUUUGUGUAAAGAGAGAACUAUGUAACUCGUGUUGGGUCAGUCCUAGCACAUGUCUCCACACAUGCCCACAUUAUUAAUUUGACAUCUCCAUGUCCAUGACUUGUGAAACAUAGUCAUCAACUAGUACAUGUGCUAGUCUCAUAUUCAUGUGUGUCCUAACAUGAACUCCGACUAGGGACAACUUUUAAAAUAACCAUACAAGUAAAGAGUUUCACACACAAUUCACAUAAUUGCAAAUCAAUUCAAGUAGCCUUUAAUGGAUAUUCAAGGAACACAAUAUAAAACAUGGAUACAAUGGAAUAUCAUCAUCUCUAUGAUUGCCUCUAGGGCAUACCUCCAACACUGGGCACCCAUGGGGUGUAGCCUCCGACCGCCAGUGUAGUAGACGGACCAAGCUGUAUAAGCAGUCGGCGUGCGACCAAGGUGGUCGGCGAAAGUCAUGGAGACAUAGGAGAGCUGAGGCGGUCUGUGAAAGUUAUGGAGACAUGGAGGAGCCGAGGAGUAUGUAGGUAUACAGAAGUUGUAAAAUAUUUAAUUAUAAAUAAGACUUAGCUUGAUCCGUGGUUGAGUUGGAGAGUCAGCGUCUUGUCCGAGGGUCCAGGUGGUCGACGUUGUCGUAGGCGCGUCCACAUCGAUUGUUGACGCUGCCCUGCGCGCGAUAGGUUGCCAAUGAUACUGCUGCUGCUGAAGUUGCUAGAGCCCCGACAAUGUCAUGGACUGUAACCGGCCACCGUGCGAACUGUAUGGUUGCUGAUCCGUGCAUCACGUGCAGGCUGAUCCAUCGACGAUUGGCCGAUUGGGUUAUGGUUGCGUGACUUGCGUCUGUACACUAGUAGUGUUCAAAGUACAGCGAUCGACUGCCUUGUGCACACAAUGUCCCAGCGUUGCCCCGCACACGCUAUUGCCGGUGUCGAUCGCCUCGAGCUUGCAGUUGCCGGAGCAGACGGCGCCCAUGCCCCAGUUGGUGCACCAGGUAGCACUCAAUCCGGCUUUCAGAACCGGGCGUGGGUGGGUGGGCGAGCAUGAGGAAGUUCUUCAUGCUCUCGGGGAAGAUGACACUAGGGCGAGAUGCCAUCGAGCUUGCUAGGAAGGAUCUCACAAUCGCCCCUACCUGGCGCGCUAACUAUCGGAUUUAUAAGCCCGGCAGUCCACCAGGGAGUUACCCAAGUGGUUGAUUUGUAGGUGGAGGCGAUUGUGAAAUCAAGAACUCAAAGGUGAUCGCAAGAACACGAGGGAUACAAGGGUUUUAGACAGGUUCGGGCCUUCGAAGAGUAACACCCUACGUCAUGUAUGCUGGUGCUUUGUAUUGCUUGAGAGUUGAUGUGGGAUUGUUGGGAUACCCUCGAGCAGUGCCCUUGGCCGCCUUAUAUAGGCUGACGACCUAGGGUUACAAGUCGGUUUGAAUCUAUCCUACUCGGUAGUUACAUGGUAGGUAAUCUGUGUCGGACUAUAAUACGUGUCCUGCAAUAUCCGGGCUGAUUUGAAUCGUCCGGCCUCCUUAGCAUGUACUCUAAGUAUCUUCAUAUCCUUGGCCCACACGCCCUGGUCGGACAGGCACACUUGACAGGUCCGUCCAGUAUCCUGAUCGGUGGGGACCCAUGGGGUACCCAAAUCCCUCACUAAUCAUCCCAAGCUGCCGAGCUCCGUCCGUAGCAACCACCACCACCUGAGAGGAAGAGAGGGAAGGAAAGAGAAGAAGAAGGGGGAAAGGAGGAAGAAGAAGGGGAAGGAAGAAGCCCGUGUGGGAGAAGAGAAGAAGGAGGAGAGAAGAGGAGAAGGAGGGAGGCCGCCCGGGAGCCCGAAGCUGCUGCCGCCCGAGCACCGCCGCUGUGAAGCCGGAGCCGCUGCCGUCUUCGCUGAGCCUCACGUGAGCGCCACCCCUUUCCUCUCCCUCGCCUCCUUAGCUUUCGUAGCCUUGACCGUAGUAGUAGCCCCCGCUCACCGCCUCGUCGCUGGCCGCCGUGAGCCCGGGACACCGGAGCCCCGUGUGCCGCCGCGGCCGGGGGUUGUCCCGAGCCCUCGCGCUCGUGCUAGCCACGCUCGUGCCCGCUGCAUGACGCGUCGUGCGCGCUCGCCUACCUGCUCACACCGUGUGCCAUCAGCCACGCCAUGCCGCGCUGCUCCAAGGCCCACGUGGCUGCCACAUGGCGCUAACAUGGCAAGCCGGGCCACCUAUGGGGCCCACUGACAAGCUAACCUCGUGGGGCCUAUUGUCUGGUGGGGCCCACUGACCAGGCUGCCACGUGGACCAAUCAAUCGCUGACACGUGUCACCUUUUAUAAAUAAUUAAAUACAUCAUUUAAUCUUUAAAAAAUCAUAACUUAUUCAUUUUUACUCCGAAAAAUAUGAAAUCAGUUGCAUUAAAUUUGUAGAAUCGAGCCCGUGUUGUUUGUAGCUAGUUUGGUGUUGUUUCGAUCUUCUAAAUUUGGCUUGCUUGCAGUUUUUGCCUAGAUGUAUUGCUGUUUAAUUUAUGUUUCAUCGUAUCUUGUUAUGUUCAGACCCAAGCUACGACCAGGAAGAUCUUCAAGUCCCCGACUACGCUGAGGAGGACCCAAUCAACUACGAACAAGGUGUCAUGUCACUCCAAUAAUAUAGAUCCUAUGCAUGCUUAGUUGCUAGUUCUCUACUUAUUUUGCUUGAUGAUGAUGGAUUACAUAGCCAAUGUUUUUAGCCCUGCCUUGAUAAUUAUUUAUCCUGUUUUCUUUGUUUACCUACUCUCGUGGACUAGCUAUAGACCCCUAGCUAGUUCGCUGCUCAUACAUCCAUAUACAUGCUUUUGAGUUAUGGAUGGGCAUUUGCCAUGGAUUUGGUGAUGGGAUUCCUUGAACACUCUCGCGUGUGUUUUGGGUGAGUGUGACUCCUUGAUGAGUUCUUGGUGAGAGCGAGCCAUGGUUGGUACUGAGGAGUGCUUUGUCAAGAGAGAGCUUUUUGAACUCUCUCUAUACCCCAUACCUAUGGCAAGUACCUUGUUUGUUACUGAGGAGCAAGUGGCGUAUUUGUAUGUUGCUGGUGCUUUAGCACAUACUUGUUGGUAGAGUGCUCGCUCUUAGACGCUUAAGGACCGAGUCAGUUUACCUACAGUCACAGCAGCUACUUUUCGUACUUACCCCUCACUUACAUUAUGGGCGGGGUUCGGUCCAAGACUAGUAGUAGGUAGUGCUCUGCUUGUAGGCGGAAUGGAGGAUUGUGUAAGGAGUUCGAGGUAUUGGCCUGCUCUGACCAGACUGCACCCCAGCGUGGCUAGGUUUCAUAGCUUGAGGUCCUCACUGGUGACGGCGUGCCCUGCAGCAGAGGACGGUUCUAGACUUGAGGAAACAGGAGAGAGCUAUCCACUUGCUAGGGCUCCGGCUGUUAAGUGGGGUUUGAACGGAUCGCUACCGUUCAGGCUCCAUACGUACGGGUACAGUUGUACAACCUCUGCAGAGUGUAUAAAGAUAGAGCUAUAGUCCGUGUCCACUAGUUAUGGAUAGUGUUGUUGACUACCGCUACUUUUGACUAGACUUCUCUUUGCUUCUACCUUCCCCCUUUUGAGAUAGGUUGGCAUUUGCCGUUGAGAUGUGAGGGGAGGGAGCUCUCACAUCGCCUAGUGUGUUUGAGUGCUGGACUCUUGGGUGAAGGAUCCGGUGGUUUGUGCUAACUUCCUUAUUUAAGGUGUUGACCUCGGAGAUGAUAUUGCUUUUUUGCUUCCUUGAUUGCUGUUGUUGCUGCUACAUAAACCCCUACAGUCGUACAGGUUUUUCCCAUGCAUAUAGUAUAAGUCCCCCGUUUCCUUGGCUUGCUGCUUUUGGAAGUUAACAUGGCCUACCCGCUUCUCGGGGAGAUGGUGGCUUUUCAAGGUCGGAGCCUGACUACGACUUCGACAACGACGCUGGGAAGACUAGGGACCGUUCUUCGCUUGAGUCAUCUUUGGAGAUGGAGUUCGCCAUAGCUUUUGGUUCCGCUGCGUAGAUGUUUUACCUUUCUUAAUUCAGUCCUGAUGGACUUAUACCGGCAUGUUCCACUGAGAUGUACUCAUAGUCAUGUUAUCCAUAAUAUUUGUACUCUGUUACUCUUUUCUUUUUCUGUAUUGGUAUGGAUUUGUACUGUUUGAGAUAGGAAUUUGUUACUCUUUUCUUUUUCUGUAUUGGUAUGGAUUUGUACUGUUUGAGAUAGGAAUUCGCACGUGAUAACCUCUAAUUCUUUAUUUUAAUAUAAGAAUGCAUACGCACAGCUCGCGCGCAUCGCCGCUUUUGUUCUCGCCUCUGCUUUCAUUUUGUUUAAUGAUGGCAACCGAUGCGGCUGGAGGCGAGAAAUCCUGACUUUUUUGUAUUUUGGCCCUUUUCGCGAAAAAAUCUCACAAAUAGGCCCCUGGCGAAACCAAUUCCGAAAAUGGACCCUUAGCUUGGCGCCAGGAUGGCUGGUGCCAAGGUAUAACGUCUUGGCGCCAGGCAUCCUGGCGCCAAGGUCCCCCCCACCGCGCCUCCAACGUGGCGCCGGCCGGCUGACGUGGCGCUGAGGCUUGGCGCCAAGAUCUAUGGCGCCAAGGCUUGGCGCCAGGGAGGCUAGCGCCAAGCCUCUUAACACAGUACCGGGGUCCCUUUCCUUUUGCGCGUCCGUUUGCAUUGUCCUCGUUUUGAAUCGCGCCACCGCCGCUCUCGGAUACCGCCGCCACCGCCGCCGCCGCCGCCGCCUCGGAGUCCGCCGCCGCCGCCCAGAGGCCGGCCACCCUCGCCCGGCGCCCGCCUGCCCGAAGGCGCGUGCCCCGUCGCCCGGCGCCCGCCCGCCCGCCCGAAGACACACGCCCCGUCGCCCCGCCCGCCCGCCCGAAGACACACGCCCCGUCGCCCGGCGGCCGCCCGCCCGACGGUCCCCGCGCCCGCGUCCGGCCCCAAGCUCACCGCGGCCACGCCCCCCCCUCCCCCCCCCCCCCCCCCGUCUGGUGACUGCCCGCCCGAAGGCCCCGCGGCCGCGCCCGGCCGAAGGCCGCCCGGCGCCCGUCCGAAGGCCGCUCGGCGGCCGGAGCCACCUUGGUCGGCGCCCCCCGCGCGGGCCCCCGCGGCUGCGCCCCCCCUCCCCCCGUCCGGUGAGACCUUGCCCGCGGCCGCCGGCACUCGGAGCCACCCGGCCCGGCGCCCCCUGCCCGGGCUCACAAGGCCGCCCCGCGCCCGCCAUUGCCCGCGGCCGCCCCUGCCGGUGGCCCACGGCCCGUCGCCCGCGUCAUCCACGACCGGUGGUCGUCUGACCCCCGCUCGGUGCCCGCCCCCACGCCUUGCCGCCGGUGUUCACCGGUGAGGUAAAACUCUAAGAAGAGUUAUAGUUAACUAGAUAAAAUAGUUAGAUAGAUGAAUUAGAAUUAUAUUGUUAGGUAGAAUUUAGAUAGGUAGGUAGAUUGGUAGAUGAAAUAGUUAGAUACAUAAAUUAGAAUAGGUAGGUAAAAUUGUUAGAUAUGAAAAUUUAUCUUUAUGAAGUGCAAUGAUAGAAAGAUUAGAGGAUACUCAUGACACUAUUUAACUAGAUGCAUGUCCAAUUUUCUUUACGUAGUUAGAUGUACAGUUAGUUACAUAGUAAACUAGUUAUGUAGUUAAGCAGUUGUAUAGGUACGUACCUAACUAACUAUUAGGUUGCAUAGUUAGUUAGUUGUAUGACAUAGUUAGUUAGAUGUAUUUGGUAGUUAGUAGGCAAUUGAUACUAUCUUAUUUCAUACUAGAGAUCUUGUAGUUAGAAUGUUUCAUUUAUUAUGGACUAAAUGAAUUGUGCGUCGUUAUAUUGAUAUACUAGAUGGAGAACGUAGUGAGCAUAUAUCACGGAGGCACUGUGGAAAGGGAUGAAUAUGGAUGUGUUAAGUUUGUUGCCAUGCAAUGCGAGGUUGUCAUAUUCGAUGAGAAACCAUCGUUUAGUGAGUUGCUUGCAAGGGCUCGGGAGGAGUUACAUUGUCAUAAAAAUGAUGAAAUCACAGUCGAGGGCAUACUUCACCUAGGUUCCCCUCUCAACAUUCAAAGGAAGAUGGUCCCAAUUCGGUGUGCAGGCCAGUGGGAAAAAUAUGUGAGGACGGUUAUGAAUGGUCAUUCCCCAAGUGUUGAAGUGGUUGUUCGUUUGGUGGGAGUUGAUCCAAAUCCUCGUCGGUUUUCCCGACCAAUGGGUCAACAGGCACAUUUUGAUCCUCCCGUCCCAGAACCUGUUAUGGACGUGGAUGUUGCACCUACUAUUCCCGAUGCUGAAUCUGCCCCUAAUGAAGUAGUUGGACAUGGUUGUCGGAUUGUUGAUGAUGUGGCGGACUCUCCUAAUGAGUUCCUUUUCACUCAGAAUGAUCCGAGUAAGUGUCUUACUGGUUUCUAUUGUUGAGAGAUAAUCCAGUCGUUCCAUCCACUUAUGCUUUACUCAUAUUUGUACUUGAUGGCGCAGGAGAUAUUCCAGAAAAUGUGGAUGUGCCUCUAGUUGAUGCGCAAGUGCAAUGUGGAGAUGGAUUGCGUGGCUCUAAUAGUGUUGAAAUUUUGAAUGAUGAAGAUGCAUACGAGAUGGGAGUGGAUCUUGAUUCUGAUGAUGAUCGUCCUGUUGGAGAGAUGAUAGAGAGUGAUAUUGAGAUGUUCAGGCGUAUCUUCCCUGGACGUCGUGAUCCGAUAGUUCAUGAGUUUAGCGACCUGACUCUUUCCGAUCAGACGUUUGCAGAAGGACGUGAUGAUGAGCUCCUAGAAGCUCCUGAAGCUGGUCCUAGUAUGGUUAUUGAGGAGGGUAGGGUAUUUAAGGACCUUCCCGCAUUGAAGAGAUGGUUGCAAGCUUUUGCGGUGAUACGGAAGAGACCGUACAAAGUGUUGCAUUCAUAUGCGGAGCGCCGUUACACAGUUGUGUGUGACAAGGAACGGUGCCCAUGGAGGGUUUGUGCAAGAAAGCAAAAUAUCACCGGGAAGUGGAAGAUCACAAAAGUUGUCGGUCCACACAAUUGUGCUGACCAUGAGCUUACAGUGAGACAUCCGCAGCUAACAUCUACCCUCAUUACGAAGCGGUUGAUGGGAAUAUUGAAGGAACAACCCAACAUGAAAGUGAGAACAAUUAUCAGAACUGUUGAGGAGAUUUAUGGAGGUUAUGUGAUAACUUAUGGUAAAGCUUGGAGGGCUAAGCAGCGAGCGUGGAGGAUGAUUUAUGGGGAUUGGGAGUCUAGGUACGAGCAGCUGCCAGUGCUUUUUAAUGCAAUUAAAGCGGUGAAUCCAGGCAUGCAUUAUGAGUACAUCCCAAAGCCAAAUGCUUGGAAGGAUGGGAGGCAGAUAUUCGGGCGUGCGUUCUCGUGCUUCCCUCAGUCUGUGGAAGCCUUUAGGCACUGUCGUCCUGUUUUCUCUAUUGAUGGUACGUUUUUGAUUGGCAAAUAUAGGGGCACACUUCUUAUAGCCAUAUCUUGUGACGCGAAUAAUAUGUUGGUUCCUUUGGCAUUUGCAUUGGUUGAGAGGGAGAAUAAUGACAGUUGGGGAUGGUUCUUAAGACUAGUCCGGAUACAUGUGGUUGGUCCUGGUAGGGAGGUUGGCGUCAUAUCCGAUAGGCAUCAGGGCAUACUUCAUGCUGUGCAAGAGCAGAUAGAGGGUUAUGCACCUUUGCAUCAUCAUUGGUGCACUCGGCACCUUGCGGAGAACCUUCUUCGGAAGGAUGGUGUGAAGGAUAAUUUUAAUUUCUUUCAAGUUGCAGCACGUCAGCUUGAGGACUAUUACUUUCAGCGCAAAUUGGAGCAGGUAAGGACUGCAACAAAUGCAGAAGGUAGACAAUGGCUCGCUGGUUUGAUGAGAGAUUUAGAUAAGUGGACUAGAUCUCACGACGCCGGUGGUUGGAGGUACGAGUUUCAGUGCAGUAACAUGGCCGAGUCAUUCAAUAAGUUGUUAUUGGGGAUACGUGGUAUGCCUGUGAACGCAAUCGUUGAAUUCACCUUCUACAGGCUUGUUGCGUGGUUCAAUGAAAGACACGCAAAAGCAGAAGCGUUGCAGAUUGCUGGGGAGAGAUGGGCUGAAAAACCAAAGAGACAUCUCAUCAUUGCAAAUGAAAGGGCUUCCACACAUGAGGUGCAAUGUUUUGAUCUCGGCUCAGGGACUUAUCAGGUGGAGCAUAGGGGCGGUACAAUGUCCGAUGGCGAGAUCCGAGAGUCGAGGAUACAUGUGGUAGUCCUCCGAGAUUUCAAGUGCACUUGUGGUAGGCCAAGGCAGUACCACUUCGUAUGUUCUCAUUUGGUGGCAGCAGCUAGGCAUCGCUAUUUUGAUAUCGAGAGCAUGAUACCUCAUGAGUUCAGCGUAGACACCCUUGUGACAUGGAGCCCCCGCUUCGUGCCUUUCCGGGAUCCUAGAGAGUGGCCUCCGUAUGAUGGGCCAAAAUAUGUUGCGGAUCCUGCAUACCGUUGGAACAAACGUGGAACAAGGAAGCGGACGAGGCAUAACAUGACUAUGGAUCAGGUAUCCGGAAGAACGAGGCGUGGUAGAGCAACACCAUUUCUUGCUGAUCCAGAACAGAACGAGUGCGGCAAGAUUGGUUCAUAAUUCACGCACUUGCCGUUGGCAGAUUAGUGAGGUGCGACUAGUAGCUCUUUUCGUUACUUGAUAUGUGUUUUAUUCAUACAGGUUGUGUUUUACAUCUCUAAUUUCAUGAUUUAUUGUUUAUUAAUCUUAUUUCUUUUUGCCUUUUUGUAGGAUGGAGCACUUCCACCUUCUAGACCCAGCGUACGACCAGACCCACCGAGGUCGUCUCAUAGCGGCAGGGCAGGUAAUAAUCUACAAUUCAUGAUUAAAGCUUUGCAAGCGUCCACGUCUUGUGUCCUAAGAAAUGUUUGACUCGGUUUAUUUGCAUGCAGGUCCUUCCGCUCCUUCGUUCUAGAGCCCAUGAUGGGUUUUUGGCGCUGCAGUACGACGACCGCUACACUCCUUUGCUAGAGAUGGUUGGCCUAGAUGUCAUCUCGUAUCAGGUUCGUCGUGGGAUGCCCAAGUUCAACUCAGCGGCUAUAACUGCGUUGGUUGACAGGUACUAUUACCUUCGUUCAUAUUCAUUUUAUUAUGUCUUUACAUGUUAACAAAUAAUAAUCUUGCGAAAUGUAGGUGGCGGCCCGAGACUCACAGCUUUCACCUCCCGUUCGGAGAGAUGACAGUGACCCUACAGGACUGUCAGAAGAUGCUGGGUCUGUCGAUUCGGGGCGAGGCAGUCACUGGACCGUGCGUCUCAGAGGGUUGGAGAGCAUGAGUCGCAGCCUUCCUUGGGCGAGAGGUUGAGGAGCAGGGGACUCGCACAUCUGGAGUGCUAAUCUCAUGGCUGCGGGAACACUUCGGCCAGUGCCCCCAGGACGCGGAUGCUGAGACAGUUGGGCACUACUGCAGGGCGUGGAUACUACACCUCUUUGCCUGCGUUCUUUCCCAGACGCUACAGGUGACACUGCGUCUUGGAUGUGGAUCCACUGCCUCACUGACUGGCACCAGGCUGGUCUUUACAGCUGGGGAUCAGCUGUGUUGUGCUUUCUAUACCAGCAGCUGUGCGAGGCGUGCCGUCAGACUUCGGGCUCCCCGUCAGUUGGUGGGUGUGUCUACCUGUUGCAAUUAUGGAUGUGGGCCCGUCUUCCUGUUGGUCGGCCCGAGAUUAUGCCGCGUCGACCGUGGUUCCCAGGUGAGCCGCCGAGACGACAGCCGACAUGGGCAUAUAUUUGGGAUCAGGUUAAGGUUAGCCAUACGAGGUUGGACCGCGCGUACCUGGAUUACAUCAACGAGAUAGACGCGCUCACUGCUCAUAGUGUAAGUGAAAUUUUUUUAACAUGCUUUGUAAUCUUUUAGUAUAACAACUAACGUUUUUGAUUCACAUUUUGCAGGUAAAUUGGCAGCCUUACGACGGAGAUGACCCACUUCCUUUUCCCCUUAGCUUCAUGUGUGCGCCGGACGAUGAUCUUUAUAGGAUGGUGUGCCCUCUCAUUUGCUUCUAUGCUGUUGAGUACCACCUGCCACAUCGAGUAGCACGUCAAUUUGGGAUGAGGCAGAUUUGGCCACCACAGGCGACCUCGACUAGUAUGGAGUUACACAAGUAAGUCUUUUCCUAUUUCAUAUAUUUCAAUACUAUUAACUAAAUUUUGGCUAACAGUAACGUGUAACGUGACGUGCAGCGUGGAUCGAAAGAAGAAACGGAAGGUCUCUGAGUGGGCCGCGUUCCACCACGCGUACAUUCAGGAAUGGGACCAGUUUGAGGACAACGUGGACGAGAACUACGAGCCGCACACAAACAGUGCGUACAGGCAAUACCAGAGUUGGUACCAAGGUGCGACGCGUCACAGGCUGAGGGCAGCGUGCACGGAAGAUGACUACGCCGAUAUCCACUCAUCCGAUGAUGAAGACACGGUGUACGAUCAGAGUACUCGUGCUGGAAGGCAGGUGGAGGCAGGACCAAUCCUGGAUAGGAUGGUAAGACAAUUGCUUCACUUUUCUAUGUUCUAUGUUAAGUUACUUAGAGAUUUAUUUAGUUAGAUAAGGACUUAGUGAUCAUUUGACUUAAUCAUUUAGUCAUUUAGUGACUUAGUGUGUAAGUAAGUUAAUGACUAAAUCAUUUAUUGCUUUAGUGACUUAGUCAUUUGUUGCAGGGGCGUACCCUACAAAGCUCGGUUAGAGAUAUAGAGCAUUUCCGUCCUAGAGUUAGGGACCCCGAGACGCGGAGCUUCCUAGAGGUAAGUCUCAAAUUAUUCUUUCUAAUACUUUAUUAAUACGUUACAUUCUUCUUUCGUAUAACUUGUUUUUACUACUGCAGCGAUUGUCAAAUCGGCUUCGCCGUGCCGCUGCUCGUUGUGGUUGCAGGACUGCCACGACGCGAGACAUGCACGUUCCAUCCCUACGCGAAGGAGGCAUCGGUACGUCUAGCCAAGGCCCCUCAGGUUCGAAAUCAAUUGCAUCCGAGGAAGACGACGACGACGACGAUGAGCAGAGGGCCGAGGAGCUUGGCCCGUCUCAGCUCCAGGAGGCUCCCUUGACUCAGCCUACAUAGGUUGUAGGGGGCACUAGACUACGUCGUCCACGUUCUCCUUACACUCCAGGCACCGACGUCCUUGGUCACAAGGGUAAGGGUAAGACUAGGAGGCAGUGACGAUUCUGAUUGCGAACUUUGUAUCAUAUGGACUAUUUGUAUAUAUAUGGACUUUCAUUCUCAACUAUUGUGGAUUCUAUUCUGAAUGUGUCAUAUGCUUGUGUCAUAUGCUUCUAUGCUUGUAUUAUUCACUAUUCAUCUUGUAAUUUUGUAUGGAUUGCAUCAAAAAGUAGGGGAAAUUCUGCCGAAAUUUCGCUAACAAGUACCAAUUUUUAUUUUCUACGGAUAUUUCAGUAGACUACGACUUCGAAAUGCAUUACAUCGCAAAAUGAACAUAUGUCGUCUACAAAUUGCGUGUCCAUACUUAAAGUGCAUUAUUACAUGACAACAUAAUAAAAGUCUCACAGUAGAAAAUAUUGUUCAUAAAUAAAGCAUAGAACUAGAACCUAAAUAUGGCUACUGAGUGCAACGAGGCCACUUUCCCUUCCUUAAGGCAUCGGGAUUCUCCUCAACCGCUGCUUUCGCUCGGCGUGCCCGCUCAAGCUUCUUCUCUCUCUCCUCCCUGUUCGCAGCAACCCGCCUCCUUUCCUCCUCUUCCUUGUGCUCCUUUUCCGCAGCCUCCUCUAUGAGCCUCUUCUCGUACACCUCCUUCCUCUCUGCAUCCCAGCGCAUCAUAUACUCCAAAAACUCAUAUACUCCAAAAACUCCUUGUCUUCAGGAUUGAUCUCAGUGUCGAUCCACUGCUCAAAAUCACAUAGCGGUGGAGGGGUCUACAACAAAUGCAAUUGUUAUAAAACAAAAAAAUUAUGGACAAUAAUUAUAAGACAACAACAUUUCCUUACCAACAUGUUAAUGCGGCGCUGACGAAGUGUAGGUUCAAACGCAAAGUUGGAACACAUCCAAUACCUCUACCUAUACGUGGCAUGUUCUUCGGACUUGGCUACCUUGCAAGGAUCGCCGCAAAAGCACAUCGGCACUGGAACACCACUAGGCAGAGGCAAUGGAUCGAACGCAUUUCCGGUCUUCUUUGCGCCAUAACUACAAUUUAGUUUAUUUCGUUCUAUGAAUCAAACGCACUUAACAAUAAACCUACAAUUAAGGUUUUUUCAUUUGAUCCACAACAAUGAGUAUAUAACAUAACUACGUGCGUUGAGAUUACCUUAGUUUCUUAGCUUUUCCACGCCUCGGCUUCCUACAUUUGCAUGAAACCCUAAGUUCAAAAAUGCAAGAAAUAUAUAGCGAAUCGAUGUGAAAAAAAGGUACGAGGGAGAGAGGAUACCUUGCUCUUCAGGAUCCACAGAUCAAAUGAAAGGUUCCUAAGCUACAAUGUCGAUUCGUAGUCUAGGGCGAAGUAGGGAGAGUUAAAAACCCGAGAGAGUGGAGAAUAAUGAGGAGUAACUCUCGGGCAGGAAGAAGGGGGCGGUAUAUAUGGUGGAAGGCUUGGCGCCAGGAUGGCUAGCGCCAAGCCUCGGCGCCACGUCAGCGGGCCGGCGCCACGUCGGAGGCGCGGUGGGGGACCUUGGCGCCAGGAUGGACGUUAUACCUUGGCAAGUUAAGGGUCCAUUUUCGGAAUUGGUUUCGUCAGGGGUCUAUUUGUGAGAUUUUUUUGCGAAAAGGGUCAAAAUACAAAAAAGUCGGGCGAGAAAUCUGUACGGGCGAAAGCGGGUAGAGAGAGAAAGAGAGAAAUGGAGGGUUCUUGUUUGUAGAGCUAGCUGCUCUUGAUCUUUAGAAUUCCGCGCGUCCUUUUGAGCGCCUCAAGAACAUGUACCCCGUCGCGGCCCUGGUUUCUCGGUACGCCCCCCGGGACCUCCGCCGUCUCUGUUUAUGUUCCGUUGCUCGCCUUUGCUUCCUUCGCACUUCAGAAUGAUAGUGCUCCUGUUCACCCAGCCUUCGUUUUUCCCCUUUUUAUUGCUGCCGUUCGAUCUUUGCUGUGGCAAGUGGGGAAUUGUUCCCGGUUCUUGCUGCAGCAGCCUGUUCUUCGAUUAUUUCCCCCGCUCUGAUUUUCCUCCAUCUCCUUUACCUUUGGAAUUUCGUCAGGAUUGUGCCGUAGUUCCUCGCAAGAUGGUGGAAUUAGUUUGAAGCAGCCAUCCGUGGCCAGUGUUUGGUCCAGGAUGGAUCAUGUGAUGUUGCAGAGUGAGAACAUGCGUGCCCUGCCAUUUUUAGUUGGGUUCAUGGUUUCGCCGCUUAUUUCACAUCUUGGCAUACAAUGGGGCACUUCCUUGAUUUGUUCAAAGAUCAAAGUUUUCAGUGGUAAACAGGAGUUCUGUAGAGAUUCCCGUUCCACUCCAUUUUUCUUGUCACGCUAGCAGGAGAAACUGAACAUUGGGUUCCGCUCAUAUGCAGUAGCAGCUUCCUUUCACUGAAGCAGCUUUGUUUCUCUGAAUUUCUGUGCUGCCAAGAGCCUUAGACCUGUUUCUCUCUCUCUCUCAAUGUGCAAAGAGACAGUCAUUAUUAGCUAUAACCAUCACCAGAACUUCAGGCUUUACCUGCAGUUUUGUAUGUUUCUGCGUUUUUACUUUGCCAACUACUUAGAUGCCUGAAACGAUUGCUUCAUCCAGAUUCAUCAGUUUUAACAGUGUUUGGACAUAUAAUCGUGCUCUUGUUUUACUGUUCAAAUCUUCAGCGGCUGAUCCCUCAUUUUCACCUCCAUGAUAUCUUUUUAUUGCCUUUUGUGUUUGUCUGUAGUUUAAAGACAUUAAUGAUGGCUUUGUUUGUACUAAUCUGCCUGAAAAAAUGUGGCAUGGUAUUGCAUUGUACUAGCACUGCUAGUUAGCACUGCUAGUUUUCAAGGCGCUGUCCUCACUCUGUAUCUUUACAGUAUCCUGAACUGAAUUUAGUUUAGUUGUUGAGUCCGUUUACUGUAACCACCAUUAUGCAAGUGGCAGAAGGUCCUCUUGGUGGGCCAAGGAUGAUAUUCUUCACUUUCAUGCUUCCUUGGUCCUAUUUUAGGAGAAAAAAAGAAUGUGGUUGCUACCGAACGAAAUGUGUAGUGCAGUGUAGGGCAUUUUGCAGUGGGGUAUUUCAUUUGCAAAGGAUCAUCUUUCUGAUGUCCUGUAGCUUUCAUUCCACUUUUGGGAAAGAUAGUUUCAGAGCUUGAUAAGCAGUCAAAUCUUCUCUGGUUUUCAACUUGCACCAGAUAACAUAUGCUUGAGUUCCCUUUUGAUACAUGUAGUAAGUUGAUUGUAUAUAAUCAUUGUGCAUCAUCACUGUUGUUUCUGAACUCUCUAAAACUUGCCAAAUCGUAGGGUUGAUUCAGAUCAUCUUCCCAUUCGUUGGCUUCAGAAGCAGUGUUCUUGCUAUCAACAAGCGACCUUUCUACAGUUUUAGGUAAUUGCCACAGUAAUGGUUGAAGCAAUGCCUGGUUUCCUGAAGCUGAAGCUUUUGUGUAACUUUCUAUUUGUUUGUUUCUUCUUAUUUUCAAAGCUCUGAAGCUAUGAUACAAGCAUGACUGGUUCUUGAACAUUACAAGGCUUUGGAGAGAUGGGAUGUGCUGCUUCCAGGUUAGAAGAUGAGGAGGUUGUCAAGAUGUGUCGGGACAGAAGGGACUUCAUCAAGCAGGCACUGGAUCAGCGCAACCGUUUUGCAUCAUCACACAUUGCCUACAUUGAGUCCCUGAAGCGCGUUUCAAUGGCUCUCCAGCGGUUUGUUGCUGUAGAUGAUCACCAUGAGCUCAUCUUCGAUACAUUCAUCUCUCCUGUCAAGCAACAGAAGCCAGAGAUGCUCAGCCUUCCUUAUGGUUCAUAUGAGAAGAGAACCAUUCAUGUCUCAAAGUACUUGAGGUCAGGACCUAAUCCAUCAGUGUCAGUUGAGGAGCACCCACGACCGGUGGAAACAGUCCGUGUCAAAUCACAUUAACCCAUGGACAACCACAGUGGCACGGAUAGGUUCUCCCCGACGCAUUCUUCACCGAUGAGAUCGUCUUCAUACUACCCGCCACCUUAUAACACCAAGCUACCCACCUCCAUCGGCCCAGGAACCAGUGAGGAAUUCUUCCUAUUACAUGCCUUAUGACAGGCCAAGCUAUGCACCUCCAUCACCCCAGGAGCCAAUGAGGACGUCUUAUUAUGCAUCUUAUGACAGAGCAAGCUACCCACCACCAUCACCCCAGGAGCCAGUGAGGAAUUCUUAUCGCGCUUCAUAUGACAGGCCAAGCUACCCACCUCCGUCACCCCAGGAGCAGGAAUCAUCACCAUAGGACUUCUUUUGGAACCCAUUCUCGUCGUUAGACAGCUUUGCAUAUCCUCACCCUCGGAGUAGCUAUGAUAAUGUGGUCACUGAUGAUGAACUGGCAUGGUUACAGCGGGUACGAGAGGAAGAAGGAAUCCCAGAACUUGAAGAGGAAGAUGAUGAGUGUCAAGAUCAUGUACCAAUGCACAGAAAAGAAGAAAAAGAAGAGCAUGAUGAUGAGUACGAUGAAGAAGAAGAUGAUGAGGAAGAUGAUGAUGAGGAAUGUGAGCAUUCAGAUGAGUGUAUUGCUUCUAAUGAGGGUGCUUGCUCUGUGAAUUUUGAGGUCAAUACCAAGCAAGAAACAAAGGGAUUUGAAUCCAAAGGUGUUCAGUGUGCUGAAGCACCUCAACCUCGCAAGACAGUAGAACUUGAGAUAAAGGCACACAAGAAAGAAUUGAUGAGGAACAAAGUAGCAAAUGCAGAAGAAACUCCUGGUUUCACAGUAUAUCUGAAUCGAAGGCCAGCGAGCUUGGUUGAGGCCAUGAAGGAUAUUGACUGUCAUUUUCUGGGAAUAUGUGAUGCUGCUCGGGAAGUCUCAGUGAUGUUGGAGGCAAGUAGAGCUCAGUACUCAACCUCAAAUGAUCUUUCUGGUACCACUUUUACAAACCAAUACUGAAAUUACUUUAAAGAUGUCAGAUUUAAUACUCACUGAACUUACCUUGUCAAUUGUAUAUUGCAGCAAAGAUGCUGAACCCAGUUGCACUUUUGCGCUCUGCAUCAUCGUGAUCAUCGUCUUCCCGUUUCCUUCUGGCUUCUUCUAGCUCAAUAGAUGAUCUCUUUGACAAUGAGACAAGCAGCUGUCACUCCGAAGAAUCUUGUAGUACAAUGUCUGGAAGUCAUCAGUCUACCUUGGAUAGAUUGUAUACAUGGGAGAAGAAAUUAUACAAAGAAGUAAAGGUAUAAUCUUUGUCAGGAUUCAGGAACUUGCAUCGAUCGACAAACAAAAGUGGAAGACAUGACUGUUUUUGUAACUUGCAGGCGGGUGAGCGGUUAGGAAUCGAGUAUGAGAAGACGUUGACUCAAUUGAGGAACCAGGAUGAGAAAGGCGAAGAACCUUCCUCUGUCAAUAGGACUCGUGCAGCAUUGAGAAGCUUGCAUACUCGGUUGAAGGUGUCAAUACACACAGUUCAGUCAAUAUCAAGGAGGAUUAAAGUUCUAAGGGAUGAGGAGCUGCAUCCUCAGCUUAUGGAAUUGAUCCACGGGUAUGCUUCUGCUCACUAUAGAGAUUCUGCAAAUGAAAACUUUCAAUAUACCAUUGCAAUUUGCGAUCACUUGAUCUUUUUUUCUUGGAGCCAUAUAGGUUAAAAAUAAAAUGUUGACUGUUGAAAAGCAUCAGUAAUCAAGACUAAAUAAAGAGCCCUAAUCUAACAUAUUUACCACAGUAGGGACCUCCCCUACUGUAUUUACCUCCAAAACGACCUAAUAGAGAGCAGUCAAAGAUCAUCAAACUUCAGGUUCUUAAAAUUUAAUAUUGCUGCCGUUUACGUUUUCAGCUAAUGUAAGACAAAUAGCUUGUGAUCUGAAGGGGUGUGCUUUUCAGAAACAAAUGAAAAAAAUAAAUAACUCUCUGCUUAUUGGCGAAACAGGCGAAGUGCUAGAACAAUCUGAAGGCUGAUUAUAAAUGAAUCCAGCAGUUUGGGAAUGAUGUAUCUAACAAUAAUCAAUUAAUCGCUAGCACUUUACAAAGAAAAUAUUUUUCCAUGGAAGGUUUAAAACCCUGUCUGAGAUUAUAAAUUGAAGCAGAAAGGGACCAUAAGGUUCAAACAUCAAAAGUAGGGCAAUAUCUCAUAAACUCAUCACUGACAGGCUUAUUUUGCAAAAUGAAUUUCUUCAUGUGUAACAGAACAUUGCAAGAAUUCUAAAUUGAAGCUUUUCCGCUCAGCAUACUUAAAUAAUACAAAAUGAAGCAUAACUAGAGGCAACUAAAGGGCUGUAUUUGAUUCAAACUUCUUUACUCAUGUAUGAACCCAUUCCCAUCAUGACUCUGUAAGAGCUGAGUCGAUUAUAGCAUUUUAUACACUGUUUUUGAACUUUUUGUAAGUUAGCAUUAAGGGAAACACGCUAUAAUUCUACAUAACUGCAACUACAACUAACCUCGUCCUCGUGUUAUGCAGCCUCUCACGGAUGUGGCGCACCAUGGCUGAACGACACAAGGCGCAGAAACGUACGAUCGAGGACGCCAAACUUCUCUUCCUCCAGCACUACCCCUCCACCGCCACAGCAAUCUCCCUUGGCCCCUUGGAGGCUGCAACUCCCCCUCCGGCUGCCUUGGCGCUAGAAACCGAGAUCCAGGCUUGGCGAGAAGCCCUGGAGACCUGGCUAUCGGCGCAGCGUGCCUAUGCGCGCGCACUGGCCGCAUGGGCGCGCCGCUGCCUCGGCGUCACGGGCGGGGCGCGUCCUACCCUCUCUGCUGCCGUGCUGCCGCCAGCGUUCCUGGUGUGCAUGGAGUGGGGGCACGCCAUGGACGCGGACACGGAGGCACGGGUGAUGGACGGGCUGGACUUCUUUGUGGCCGGCGUCGGGUCGGUGUGCUCGGGCGCGGCCACCGGGAUGGAGGGCAUGGCCGGGCGAGUGCUGUGCGCUGGAAUGGCCGCGGUCACCGGUGCCAUGGCCGAGUUCGCCACGGCGUCCGCCGAUAUUUACGAUGCGGCUGUCGCGAGAGGACGGCGUGGGACAAUCGCCCAGGAUAGAUGGCUAGGCUGAAGGCAUUUAACCUCUGGGAGAGGGAAGCAGUUUAACAUGUUUGCAAUCGCAACCACUAAAAACCACCGCAAAUUGCAUAACAAUGUCGAAACAUCCAACCGACUGGAGCACAGAUCACAUGUUGAAGAGAUAUCCCCACAUCCAUCCAUCUCUACUCUCUGUUAAACUGUAUCACACGUCAAAACUUGUAGCGGCAGGUGGGAGUCUGGAGGCUCCGUUGGCACGUGCUGGCAUCUUCUUUAGACAGGAACAGGACCCAUCGCUGAAAAGACAUUUGUAGCAAAUAAUUCAAAAUGCAGCAACAAAACAGGUUUAUGCAAAUAAGAGAAAAGGAAAUAGGUGUACAUGUCAGUUUUUAUUUUUUAAAAUACCCUAGGCAAUUUGCAAAGGUAUUACAGAUGUUAUAGCUCAGUUUUGGUGGGGAGAUGAUGAAACUCAGAAGAAGAUGCACUGGUUUGCAUGGUGGAAGAUGUGUUAUCCAAAGAAUGAGGUAUGGGUUUAUGAGACUUUCAUAGUUUCAAUUUAGCAAUGCUUGCAAAACAAGCUUGGAGACUACUUGAUAAUCCAGGAAGUCUAUGCACGCAUCUCCUACGAGUAAAGUACUAUCCCCAUGGUGAUCUCUUGAAGGCUGGACCCAAAAAAGGAUCAUCGUUUACAUGGCAAAGUAUUGUAGAAGGGUUGUAAACUUUUAAGCGGGGUGUUAUAUACUCUUUCGUUGGCAAGGUGUACAGCAGGAGAAACAAGGCGCCAAAGUCCCCCCCCCCCUGCGCCUGAUCUCCUGGGUAGUUGGUAAAAUCAGCAGUUUGUUAGGAUAAGAAUAGAGAUAGAGUUGGAGAUAGAGUUGGAGUUGAAUUAGAUGUAAGCAGAAAAUAGAGUAAGAGUUCAGAGCCUCCAAGGGAAGGAGAACUAAUAUGUAAUCUGCCAUUGCUAUAGCUAAUAUAAGCCAAGGUUCUAGUCCUAUCACGGGGAUACAUAUGGAGAAUUGGCAAUAGGGACAAAAUCAGAAUAUGGGAAGACCCCUGGAUUCCAAGCAUUCCUAGCAGAAAAGGUGCAUCCCAAAGAAGGGGGGCGAUAGCAGAGAAGAUAGGGAGAGUUCAAUAUCCACAUUGUCUGAGGGAAGCAAAUGAACACUUACAAGUUUUGCCAUCAACGUACAGGAACCGGUAUGUUGUCAUUAUGAAAAUUGAGACUCCUAGAAAACCACCCAACAUCUUGUUGUGAUUUUCAGAAAGCUUUAACCUGGAAGACAAAACAUAUUUUGUCAGAUCAUUAAACUUUGAUCCAUCACACACACUCUACUCUGCUGCUUAGUUUUUAACUUACGCGAUUUCACUCUUGUGGAUACUGAAAUCUUUCUUGCAUAUCUCAACAUCCUUAAUCAGCGAUGCCAUACCCGCCAUGUAAUGCAAAAGAACCAUAUACUACCCAAUAAAUUUUCAUUUUGAAGAAUGCAUUACAAUAAGAAUUUUUUUAGAAAAAAAUAAACCUCGUUAUUCAUUGUCUUGAGCCCGAACUUCAUACUGGUUACUUCGGCUUCAGCCUUCUCGACUCAAGUAACAAGAGCACUGAACUCCUUGCUGGAGGGUGCACACAGAGCCCUCCUCGCCUGCAAAUUCUUCUACUAUGUUUGCGGCUCAAUCUUGUUUCUUUUUUUCCUUCUACUUUUUCUAUAACACUAACUUAUUUUCAUUUUAUUCUAUUUCAUUUCAUUUUUUUAUUUUUUUCCUUUCCCUUUUUUCUCCUUUUCUUUUUUGCUAGCACUAAGUUUAUUUUUAUUUUUAUUUUUACACUCAUUUCUUGUCUUUCUCUCUUUUUUCUUUUCAUUUGUCGUUUUGUUUUCUUUUGUAUAUCUAUUUACUCAUGUAGAAUUAUUUGUUUGUAUUGGUGUUAUUUUUUUAUUUCUAAUUUGUUUGUGAUGUUAAAUUAUUUUUUAUUAGUACAUAUCAAAGUUUUUAUUUUAUUUUCUUAUUUCUAUUUAUUCUUCUUUCUACUCUUUUAUUUUACUUUUUUAUUUUAUUUUAUUUUGAUAUUAUACAAGAGUGUAAAACACCCUCUCUUUAGUGGAUAGCCUAACAUUCAUCAUUUACUUCUACCAUACUCCACUCAUCUACCAUGCUCAUGGUUGAAUGGUAUGGCAAGGAAGGGGACCUUUGUUUAUAGGCCAAGGGAGUUCAUAGGAUGAUGACAUGUGCCUCCUUCUAGAGUUUUCACUAGAAAAAUAUCUAUAUUCUAUGUUAUUCUAAUUUCUUCAUAGCAACAAUACCUAGUGGCUAUUUUCUUAUUUUUUCUUUUACUAGUAGAGUGCAUGUGCGGCACACAUGUAAAAAAAAGUAAACAAGGUUAGGAUUAUAUGUCGAUAGGCAAAAGUGGAUGGCAUGACUACCGAGACCCCCCUAUUGGAAGUUGUUGGUGGGAAUAAAUAAAUAAAUAAAUUGGCAAAAUCAAUGCACACAUACGAUUUGUUGCCAACCCACCAUGAUUUAUAUCAAUCUGAUGAUAAAACAGAGUAAGGAUGCUCAUGACCCAGGAGGCUCAAUCAAUUUAGAAUUGCAUAUUGUAUUGGUAAGUCAUGUCAAGCACUUGGUGGCAUUAUUGUCUAAAAUUCCCACGACGUUCAGAUUUGGUUACGUUGUUUUCACACACAAAAAUAAAACUAAACCGCAAUUUACAAGCCAAUCCACUCCUAAUAUUGCUUGACAAAAUCACUGCCGAAAAUGCUGGAACCACCGGAAUCCUUGCACAUACUGAUGUGCACCAGGUCAUGUCUCAACUGAGAAGUUGAACUCAGUGUGGUUUCACACUGCACCACAGCGUCCAUCUUCGAUGUUGUCGCCUCCAGGACUUCCUAAUCAUCCACUUCACAACAGAGAAUUACGAAAGUCAUGUGGACGUGAAGAUGCUGACACCGCAUGAAACGGAUCACUAAUCAUUAUCAAGAAUAGUGUACUAAUUAUGAAACAAUAAUGGUCAGAUUUGAUUAACCAUGCCUAGUAUUUGUAGUUGUCAAAUAUUUUCCUGUGAAGAGAUUAGUAAACUUUUUUCCCCCCAUAAGAGGUAGCUUCUAACCAAUCCCAUAUUUUUAAUUCCCGCAACUAAUAGCCAUCAAAAUAUACAACUGCAGGGCAAAAGAUGGUUUUGCUCCAUGCCUAGGGUUCCCCAAUGAAAGCCAAGCUUCAGCCACACUGUCAUCGCUUUCUUGUUACAGACUAGUUCACCUAUCAUUCUUGGCCUCCAGCAGAUCAGAAUGCGGGAGAAGGGGACACACAUCCAAUGGCAGAGAGGGGCUGGGAGACACACCUGCACAAAGAUGGCGUCCAGCAACAGCAGCAAGUAAACAGAUCAGACCACAGAUGCAUAGGUGCUCCAUGAGACUGCCCUCCACCCAUGGUCCUGCCCUAUUGACUAACCAAAAUGCAAUCAAUUUUCUAUUAUUUUCUUUAUAAAAAGAAUCAUGUAUGCCUCCAGUUUAACAGAAAAUGUUGGGCAGAUGCUAAUUGAUCAAAGGAGUCAUAUAAUCAUGACACAUCCGGCCAUGUGGUUCAAAAGUGUUUGCAUCAAUAUUUCGAAGUAGCCUAUAAUCUGUUCAUGAUGGCAGCUGCAAUUUCUGAAUGCAAUUAUGACACUAUCACUUGUAGCUAUUAUGUGCAGAUAGAGUAGCAUGAUUGCACUCAACAUCAAUACUGAACUCCCUUGCGUGAUAUAAUACAGAAAAAAAGGAUGCCUUCAGAACAGAUGGCACAAGCUUCACUUGCAGCAAAAUGCUGACAAUGUAGCACAUCCAGAAAAUACCAAGACGUACUCAACUGUAAACCAAACUUCCGUAAAAUGGAGCGCUCCGUUGCAAAAUUCAAGUCAUAACUACAAGCGAAACAAUGAUCAGUGCUUCUGAAGUCUGAACCCUGUAGAUAUUUUGCAAAUCCGGACUAACAAGCCUAAUGGUGUUUCUAACUGAACUCUAAUUAGAAAUUCCCUAAUGUUGCCUAUCAAGAAAUGGUGUCAUCUCAAGUGACCUUAUGCAAUCAACCACCUAGGAUAACUGCAAUGAUAACCACCCAAGUAAAAUCCAUAAAGGGAGUGAACCGAAGAAGCAUCAUGACAUGCACAAAAGGUACCACGAACUUGCUGAUCGAUCAACAUAAGUUAAAUUCUCAAAUCUUGAAAGAAUGAUUAUACUAAUUUAAGUCCUAACAGAAAAACAGAGCUACCACUGUAGGUUAUCCUGUUUGGCAAGAAUGAUUAUCCAAUCCUUUUGGUUUGAUAUAAAAUAAAAAAUGACAAAAUUACGUCACAAAGAACAUCACCUGUGUUCAUAUAUUGUUUCUAGAUCACCCUAAGCCAUGCGCAUCUAAAAUAAAGUAACAAAGACGAAAUUAGCUUUCAGAACUAUUCUACCUCACUGCCAGGAUGGUUCUCUUAAAAAGAAACAGUCUAAAAUCCUCCUAAAUCAAUCCAUUAUUGUGUAACAUUGAUUAUAGAAGAACAACAUUGAGGAACUGGUAUGUCAAUCGAUAAUUUUCUUCCACACAUAAUCUUUUCAAGAAACUAUUCUAUCUCAAUGCAGAAGAAUUUCUGGCCAAAUCAACAAAGAUAGUGUAAAGUGAUAAAAGAAAAAACAAUUAGUUAUAGCUACUUAAAAAAUUAGUUACCUGAAGCUGGUGGUAGUUAAGAAAGAACAAACACAAUGUCUAAAGCCUGUAGUCUAUAUCCUGUUGGAAUAUUUGGGCUAGGCCCAAUUAAUUCAACAAUCUCAAGGUGCUAGGUGGUUAAAAUGGUUAAUCCCAAAUGGGUAGUUAAGGAGUAUCUUAACCAACUUAAAUUGGUGGACCAUGCGAAGAGAGAGAGGGUGCCACAUGCGCGUGCUCGCUUGCUCACCGAGCCGUGCCACGGUGAUGGGUUUUGCCGUUUUUAAUCACGAGUUGAUGACUAGUAACUGAUGUUGUGUUUAGUGAUUAGUAACUAACAUGGAUUAAAUGCUGACAACAAUGACUAAUUAGUAACUAACAUGGAUUAAAUGCUGACAACAAUGACUAGUAACGGCUGGAGGUUACUGGUAACUUAUACUAUUAAUGGCUAUCAAUUACCUGACCUGGAACAUGGUCCAGAUUCGUUGAACCUCCUCUCUCCUGCGCCUAUAAGAGAGGUGCUUGUCCUCUGCUUAAUACUGCUACACAAAACCAAUUCCUCUUCCUUUUGUUACUGCUAGCUGCUACCUUCACAUAGCUUGCGAGAGCAGGCCUCCGAAACUUCGUCCUGCUGCGACACUUGCACGAGUAAGCGGGCGAUCAAGUUUUUGGGGAGCGCACCUUCUGCGCGACUGCUCGCUGCGUCCUACUACUUCUUGAAGGCCGUUCUGCGUCCUACUUCCUGAAGGUCGUUCAAGGGACUGCUCUGCAUCAACUCGUUAUGGCAUCAACUCUGAUCGACUACAUCAAACAGCCUGAACCGAUGUGUCAGGCACAAUGUCUGAUAUGUCCAAUUCUGGGAAUGACGCACCCAUUGCCGCCGGCAAUGGUCCCGCCCUUGGGUACUUUCUGAACCUUCUACUUUCUGAACCUUCUCUAGUUCUUCUUUUUAUUUCUGUUUAUGUUCAAGCGUGCUUUAAACAGAAACACUUGCACAUGCCAUGUGUCACUCACAAUGAUCAUGAUUUACUUAAUAAUAUUCGGAAUUAAAAUAUACCAUAAAAUGCCUAAAUUUGUAACAAUGCAAAAACUUUGAUAUUUGUGUUAGGCUUACGGUCACUGGUUUUGCUGCUGCUCUUAAACCAAAUGUUUUUGAUGGCUCAAAUUACAAACGUUGGCGUGAUAGGAUGAUCCUUUGGUUAACUGCUAUGAACAUUAUUCAUGUCGCAAAGGGGAAGCCAGAAUAAUUUACUCCAGAGGAGGAGCAAGUUUUCUUGGCAGCCAAUAACCUUUUUCGAGACGCGUGAUUAGUGUUCUUGCGAAAAACUUAGUGGAUGUCUAUCUCACAUUGCGUUUGCAAAGGAACUGUGGGAUGCACUUGAGAUAAAGUUUGGGGUCUCUAACGCUGGGAGUGAGCUGUAUAUUAUGGAACAGUUUGUGGUAGGGGGCAUUAUUGCUAAACUGCCACCCUCUUGGAGGGAUUUCGCUACUUCUUUGAAACAUAAGAGAUAAUAGUUCAGCGUUGUUGAUCUGAUUGGAUCUUUGGAUGUUGAAGAGAAGGCGAGGGCGAAAGACACUCGCGGGAAAGGGGUUGUUGGGUCUUUUAGUGCCAAUCUGGUGCAGAAGAAUAAUCCCAAUGGCUUCCACAGUAAUAAUAAUAAGAAGAAGAAGAAGCAAGAUAACAAUGCAAAUACUAAGCGGACAACCACUUUUAAGAAGAAGAAGAACAAGGAUAAUUGCUACGUUUGCGGUGAACCUUAUCAUUUUGCCAGUGAGUGUGAGAACCGCAAGUGGAAAGGCAACAACAAGUUAGCAAACAUGGUUAUUGGCGAAACUGCAGGAACGCCGGGGUAUGGUAAUUCAUUACCUACAGUUCUUUCAGUUUGUCAUUCACCGGAGUGGUGGAUUGAUACUGGGGCUAAUAUUCAUGUGUGUGCUGAUAUUUCCUUAUUUUUAUCUUAUCAGGUCAGGGGGGACUUUCUCCUUGUUAAUGGGGAACAGAUCACAUGCGCAUGUUCUUGGUGUUGGUACGGUCGAUCUGAAUCUUACUUCACGAAAUACCUUGCGAUUGAAGAACGUGCAGCAUGUCCCCACCAUCAAGGAGAACCUUGUCAGCGGCUCUCUACUGUGUAGAUAUGGUUUUAAAUUAGUUUUUGAAUCUAAUAAAUGUGUACUGUCUAAGUAUGGGACAUUUGUUGGUAAAUGUUAUGAAUGCGGAGGCUUAUUCCAUUUAUCUUUGUCAGAUGAAUGUAAUAGAGUUGUGAACAAUGUGGUUAAUGUUGAUGAGUCUAAUAUUUGGCAUUCAUGACUCUAUCAUAUUAAUUUUCUUUGUAUGGCACGGCUAGCAAAUUUGAAUAUAAUUUCGAAAUUCACCUUAGUCAAAGGUUCUAAGUGUCAUGUAUGUGUGGAAUCAAAACAACCUCGCAAGCCUCAUAAAGCUGCCGAGGCAAGGGAUUUAACAUCACUUGAACUAAUUCAUUCUGAUUUAUGUGAGAUGAAUGGCGAGUUGACAAAAGGUGGUAAAAAGUAUUUCAUGACCUUAAUAGAUGAUUAUAUUAGAUAUUGCUAUAUUUAUCUAUUGAAGUCAAAGGAUGAAGCUUUACACUAUUUUAAGAUCUAUAAAGCUGAAGUAGAAAACCAACUUGAAAGGAAAAUCAACGUGUAAGGUCUGAUCGUGGUGGAGAAUAUUUUUCAAAUAUGUUCACCUUGUUCUGCGAGAAACAUGGCAUAAUUCAUGAGAGGAUGCCUCCCUAUUCACCUCAAUCAAAUGGGAUUGCCGAAAGAAAGAACCGCACUCUAACUGAUUUGGUUAAUGCCAUGUUAGAUACAGCGGGACUUUCCAAGGAAUGGUGGGGUGAGGCUAUAUUGACAGCGUGUCAUGUCCUAAAUCGUGUUCCUAUAAAGAAUAAAGAGAUCACUCCAUUCGAGGAAUGGGAGAAGAAAAGAUUAAAUCUUUCAUAUUUGCAUACUUGGGGGGUGUUUGGCCAAAGUAAAUGUGCCAAUCCCUAAAAAACGCAAGCUUGGACCUAAAACAGUUGAUUGUGUAUUUCUUGGUUACGCUAUUCACAGUAUUGGUUAUAGAUUUUUAAUAGUAAAAUCUAGAGUGGCUGAUAGUAUGUUGGCACAAUUACGGAGUCCAGAGAUGAUACAUUCUUUGAAAAUAUUUUUCCUAUGCGAGAGGACUAUAGCAAUACUAGUCAAGAAUUUAUUACAAAUGAUGAUCCAACUGAUGUGAUAGAACACAAUGAACAAAAUCUUGUGAGUAAUCCAAAGGAGGAUGACAAUGAAGUUCCUAAAAGGAGAAAGAGAUGAAGGACUGCAAAGUCUUUUGGUGAUGAUUUUAUUGAUUACCUUGUGGAUGAUACUCCUAGAACCAUUGAAGAGGCAUAUUCCUCUCCUGACGCUGACUAUUGGAAGGAAGCUGUCAGGAGUGAGAUGGAUUCUAUUAUGUCUAAUGGAACUUGGGAGGUUGUUGAUCGUCCUUAUGGGUGUAAACCUGUAGGAUGCAAGUGGGUGUUUAAGAAAAACAUUAGGCCUGAUGGUACUAUUGAAAAGUACAAGGCAAAGCUUGUGGCUAAGGGCUAUAUUCAGAAAGAAGGAGAAGACUUCUUUGACACUUAUUCACCUAUUGCUCGAUUGACCACAAUUUGAGUGUUACUUUCCCUAGCAACCUCUUAUGGUCUUCUUAUUCAUCAAAUGGAUGUUAAGAUAGCUUUCCUAAAUGGAGAGUUGGAAGAGGAGAUCUAUAUGGAUCAGCCAGAUGGGUUUGUAGCGAAAAGUCAAGAAGGAAUGGUGUGUAAGUUGUUAAAAUUUUUGUAUGGCCUCAAGCAAGCACCUAAGCAUUAUCAUGAAAAGUUUAGUAAAACUCUUAUGUCUGUUGGCUUUGUUGUGAACGAAGCUGACAAGUGUGUGUAUUAUCGUUUUGGUGGAGGUGAAGGAGUGAUAUUGUGCUUGUAUGUUGAUGACAUACUGAUUUUUGGGACAAUCCUUAAUGUGAUUAAGGAAGUCAAGGAAUUUUUGUCUCAAAACUUUGAGAUGAAAGAUUUGGGAGAGGCUGAUGUUAUCCUUAAUAUAAAACUAGUAAGAGAAGGUGAUGGUGGGGUUACACUUUUGCAAUCCCACUAUGUGGAAAAUGUUUUAAGUCGCUUUGGUUAUAGUGACAGUAAACCUGUUUCAACACCUUUUGAUGCUAGUGUGAUUUAAGGAAAAACAAAAGGAUAAUGAGAGAUCAGCUGAGAUACUCUCAAAUUAUUAGUUCGCUUAUGUACUUGGCUAGCGCUGCGAGGCCUGACAUCUCGUUUGUUGUGACCAAACUAAGCCGGUUUGUUUCAAAUCCAGGAGAUGAUCACUGGCGUGCUCUAGAGAGAGUGAUGCACUAUGUAAAAGGCACUGCGGACUACGGGAUUCACUAUACUAGUCACCCAAGGGUACUAGAGGGUUAUAGUGAUUCAAAUUGGAUUUCUGAUGCUGAUGAGAUAAAAGCCAUGAGCGGAUGUGUUCACGGUUGGAGGUGGUGCUGUUUCUUGGAAGUGUUACAAGCAGACCAUCUUAACAAGGUCAACUAUGGAAGCAGAACUUACAGCAUUAGAUACUGCCACUGUAGAGGCUGAGUGGCUUCGUGAACUCUUAAUGGAUUUACCGGUGGUUGAAAAACCAAUACCGGGUAUCCUAAUGAACUGUGAUAAUCAGACGGUGAUUGUCAAAGUGAACAGUUCAAAGGACAACAUGAAGUCAUCUAGGCAUGUAAAGAGGCAUUUUAAAUCUGUCAGGAAAUUGAGAAGCUCCAGAGUGAUAUCUUUGGAUUAUAUCCAAACCGCUAAAAAUAUGGCAGAUCAAUUCACAAAGGGUCUUUCACGAAAUGUGAUAGACAAUGCAUCUAGGGAAUUGGGCUUGAGACCCAGUAUGUGAGUCAUGCUCUGGUGGUAACCUGUCCUAUGUGAUCGGAGAUCCCAUGAAUUAGGAUGGUGAAACAAGCCAUUGUUUGACUGAGAGAAGAGAACCUUUGAAUAAGGCUCAUUACGGUGUAAGUGCAUUUCUCUUCAAACUGUAAGGCAGGUUGGCUAUUGCCUUAAUGUGAUCUAAGUGACUUAUUUAAGCAAAGUUGUUGUUAAUGGCUCUAGCCCGACCUCCCAGAGUAUAGAGCCAACUCAGAGAGGUUGAUGCAUUCAGCGAUGGUGCUGCUGAUGCGAUCUAGCCCCGCGAUUAGAUCAGAGGGUGCCGGUGGGCGGGUUGUCGCGAGGAUGUGUGGGACCCUCUCCGUGAGAGAAAGGUCACCGACCUGCUGGAUGAUCGGCGCGAUGAUCCUUGGGUGGAGACCUUGUGUUGCUGAUGCGGAUUCGAUGGAGGCCAAGCUGGCGACGGACGUCGAGUCAGCGAUGGAGUCAGAGUCCAACAGCAUGCUCUUGAAGCGGAGCUGGAUCGGAUUUGCAAGGAAGUCCUUCAUGCUCCCAAGGAAGAUGACUUCGGGGCGGGAUGCCAUCGAGCUCGUUGGGAAGGAUCUCACGAUCACCCCUACCUGGCACGCCAACUAUCGGAUUUAGUGACCGGCAGUCCACCACGGGGUUACCCAAGUGGUAGAUUUGUAGAUUAGUGACCGGCAGACAAAGAACUUGAAUGGUAACAUAGGGACGCAAGGUUUAGAAAUGUUCAAGCCUCUGGGGAGUAAUACUCUAUGUCUUAUGUUCUGGUAGAUUGUAUUGCUAAUUGCAGGUGUGAAGGGUUAACAUGCCCUCGGGGGCCGCCCCUGGUCGCCUUAUAUAGGUUGACGACUUAGGGUUACAGUCAGGUAGGAUAUAAUCCUAGUCGGUUAUUACAAGAAAAUCAAUCUGAGUCGGUUUACAACAAGUAUCUCGUGAUAUCUGGGCUGGAUUGGUUCGCUCGACCUCCAAGCUUGUGCUCCACGCGUCUUUAUGCCUUGCCCCGCACGCUAUGGUCAGGCGGGGCCUGCUUGUCAACACGGCCAGUAUCCUGGUCCAUGGGGACCUGUGUGUACCCUAUCCCUCAGUAAGUUCAUUAUCAAGUUCAUCAUCUUGUGAUACCUUUGUGUCAUCUAUUGCCAUAAGACAAAAGGGCGUAGAGAAGAGUGAUGGAGCUUCCUUGAUGCAAUGCUGGCAAUUCCUUUUGAAGGCUUCUCAUCAUCAUCAUCAUCCGAGUCGGAGCUUGCAUCGGAAUCCCAUUCAACAUAGUAGGCUUGACCAUUUCUCUUCUUGUAAAACUUCCUCUUUUUCUUGUCAUCACCUUUCAUGUUUUUCUUCUUGUUUGGACAAUUCAUGGCAAUGUGACCAAUUUCAUCACAUUCAAAGCACGUCUUAUCUUCAAAUGGAUUCUUCUUUGAUGAUUGGCCUUUCUUAUCAUAAUUCUUAUUCUUCAUGAUUCUUUUGAGCCUUCUAACAAAAAGAGCCAUUUCUUCAUCGGAAUCAUCAUCAUUGCCAUUUUCAUCAUUGUUGUUCUCUUUUGAUGAUUGAGCCUUGAAUGCAAUACUUUUAUUUCCAUCAUCAUUUGUUAGGCCAUGAGCUUCCCUUUGUGAUUGCUUGAAAAUGUCAUGAGUGAACACUUCACCUAGCACUUGUGUAGGUAUCAUUGUCUUCAAGUUUGAUCUCACAAGCAAGGUAACAAUUGUUUCAUAUUUCUCCGAGAGGCACCUAAGAAACUUGUGAGAAAAAUCUUCAUCCGGAACAUUGAAAUCAAGACCCUUUAGCUCAUUCACAAUAUCAUUCAAUCGGUUGAACAUAACAAACACACCUUCAUCUUUCUUCAUAGCAAAUUCACUAAACUUUCCCUUGUAUACACAUAAUUUUGCUUCUUUCACAAUGGAUGUUCCCUCAUAAAUUUCCAUAAGCUUUUUCAAAAUUCCAUUAGCAGUUGUGAGAUUCUUCACCCAGUUGAAUUCACUAAUAUCAAGAGCACCAUAAAGCACAUUCAUGUCUUGAUCAUUGAGUAACUCAUUUUCAUCAUUGGUUUCGGUUUUAUUCUUCUCAUCUAGAAUAACAUAUCCAUGAUUCACAAUUCUCCAAAUCUUUUUGCCCAUAGCCUUAAGAUGAACCACCAUUCUACUUUUCCAAUAAUUAUAAUUGUUCCAAUCAAAGAACAGUGGCUUCUUCACAUGAACAUUGUUGUCACUAGCCAUUUAUCCUACUCUGGGAUGGUUAAAUCCUUAAAAUACAAAGACCAAAGCUCUGAUACCACUUGUAGGAUCUAGGAUACCGACUAGAAGGGGGGUGAAUAGACGGUUUCAACUAAAAUCACAAGACUAAAUAAAUUUAAUUAGUAACAUAAGAGAAAUUUUAUAUAUGUUCGUUCUAUAACUAGGUGAGGGUUUGCAACCUAGGGUGGCAAGAUACAAUUCAAUCUCUAGUAAUGUAAUUGCUCAAAGUAAAUUGCAAUAAAUAAAAUUGAGCAAAGAAAUAACUGAAAACAAGAGACGAAUUUUUUCGGUGGUGUCGAGGACUUGCCGGUCACCCCUAAUCCAUGUGAGGUGGAUUCAAUGUUCCAACCACUCCUCUAUCAACCGCUUGAUUUUGAGCCGGGCUUGAAUCAAAGAACCUCUUCAAACCUCGAUUCCACUAGAGUUGCUCUUCACCGCUCUAGCGAGGUGAGCAUAAGAACCUCUCACAAGAAUAGCCGGGGCUCCUUCACAAUCUUCUUGAAGGGCUCAAUGACUCCACAGCCUCCAAGCCAUCUAGGAGGCGGCAACUUCAAAGAGUAACAAGCCAAUAAUGCUUGCUUGAAGACUCCCUAGUGCCACAAAGCUCAAACUCUUGAUGCAAUGCACUAGGAUGCUCUCAAUCUCAUAAGAAUGCAACCUCUAAGUAAAGUGAGUGAGAGAGAGGAGGAAGAAGGCUCAAGUAUGUCAAGAAAGUUUUCCAAAGUGCCAAGAGAACUCUCCCACACCUGAGCAUGAGAUAUUUAUAGAGCCUUCCCCCAAAGCUAGCCGUUAUGUUCAAAACACGCAGAAACGGGGGGAUUCAAGGACCGUCCGCCUUUAUGAGCAUGGACCGUCCGCCAUUGAUCACAAUGGCUAGAACAGCAAUAAAUGCGUGUCAGAAAUGACCGUUGCAUCACAGGUAGACCGUUCACCCUUAUAGGCGUGGACCAUCCGCGGUUCAAAAACUCAAACACACAGGGAGCUAUUAGACACGUCUAGGACAUGUCAACUUUUAAAGUUAGUGAGGCGGACCGUCCGUCCAAAACUAGCGGACCAUCUACCGUUCAUUUUCCCCCGAUCAACUAGAACCAAACUGGUUCUAUCAAAAACUUAGAACAUGUGGCGGACCGUUCGCCCUUAAGAUUUUGCGCACCACCAGAACGAAACUUGUUUUGUCUAACUUUUCAAAUUAGCUGGCGGACCAUCCACCCCUAGGGGCCAGACCAUCCGCAAUUCAUGCUAAAGCUCCACUCAGAACCAAGAAUGGUUCUGUCCAAAAAUUAGAUCAUGUGGUGGACCGUCCACCAACCAGGGCUGGACCGUCUGCCUCUAUAUCUUUGCACCCCACUAGAGCAGGAACUAGAUCUGUCUAAAAACCAAACCAAGUGGCGGACCGUCCACCUCUCAGUGUUGGACCGUCUGCCAUUUCAUUUUUCAGCGCAACAGAACAUCUUCGAAGAAAUGGCUAAGUCAAAUAACAGUCCGCCUUCACAAGGGAGACCGUCCGCCAUUCACACCAAGUUAGCCAUUUUCGAAACAUAUUUUUACCAUCAUUUUUCCCACUUUUCAAACAAGAUAGACUUAUAUGCAUGUGAUGCAAUUGUUUGAGGAAAGUAGAACUAUUGAACCGUCAAGCAAAUGAAAUUGACCCCUCUUGAUAGUACGGCGAUCUAGCCUAUUAAUCCGGUCAAUUAUCAUCCACUAAGCACCUCUUGACCGGUAAAAUAGAAAAGCCCUAUCAUAUACCUUUGCCGUGAGCUUUCCAAAGUGAAUUCACCCAAGCUAUCACCAUAGCAUCCUUUGAAGCUCAAUUCAUCUCUAGGACUAACCUAUACUCAUAACUUCAAUGAAAUUGUUAGUCCUCAAAGGUUGCCAUUAAUUACCAAAACACAAAUUAGGGGCCUAGGUGCUUUCAAACUCUAGUGGAAUCGAGGUUUGGAGAGGUUCUUUGAUUCAAGCCGGCUCAAGAUCAAGUGGAGUCUUGAUAGGGGAGUAGUUGAAACAUUGAAUCCACCUCAACGUGGAUUAGGGUUGAGCGGCAAGUCAUCGACACCACGGGAUAAAAUUCGUCUUUUGUCUUCGGUUAUUUCUUUGCUCAAUUUCCAUAUUGCAAUUGACUUUGAGUAAUUACAUUCAUAGAGAUUGAAUUAUAUCUUGUCACCCUAGGUUGCUGUUGACGGCUCUUAAGUACCAUAUCUAGACCGUCAACUCCUGCAUAAACACAUAAAAGAGGAGCAUCAAGAGUAGUGGUAGGAGUUAUUACUAAUGAAUUCCACAAGUGUUGUUGAAUAUUUGUAUACGGGUCCAUUAAAGGAGAAAAGACACCUCAAGAUCAAGGAAAUACACUCUCAACCAAUCAGGAGCAAUCACAUGGAUUGAAGGGCCCACAAAUGGGAGUAAACCGACAAGGUUCACCGUAAAACACUUCUACCCACAUGGGGACCCACAUGGCAGUCACCCAGCCAAAGGCGGUUCCCCAGGGUCGGCCAAACCCCUAGUGGCCCCAUUCGCCUCUAGCCGCCACAUAUCGCCACUUACCGACCUUGCAAUGGCGGUUAAGGAAGAUUCCCCAGAUAUUCCCCUCGGGAACCGACCCCAAGUGCCUAUAAAUAGCAAGGGAAGGGUCUCAUUUCAAAUCACACCCAGCACCAACACCAACACCUUCCUCACCUCCACUUGGAGGAGUGCCUCCACUUCUAUCUAGAGAAGAGCUCUAUGGCAAAACCUUGCUUAGGCUAGUGCUUAGGAUAGGGAGAGAGAGAGGGAGUAGCUCGGAGGAGUGCUGAGUUCCUCAGCACUCUACUCCGACCAUGUACCUCUACGGAUGUUGUCUUCCUUCUGAGUUAAGUGAGUAUUCAUGAUUCCUUAUCCGGUUUAGUGCUUAUUUAUAAGUGAGAUUAGUUCUCUUACUCGCGGGUUAGUCGCUCCGUAUUUAUACGAAGUGUUUAUCUGCUACGGGUUGACAGACGUAGUUAGAUUGUAGUAGUAAUCAGUAGCGUAGACGUGGUGUCUAGGCUAAGGGUUAUCCUUCGUUUGCCUUAUAUCCCACAGGUUGCUAGAGGUAAGCGGCAAGUGGUGACAGCCCUGUCCAUCCUUUGUAAUCCUCCACGUUCGGAUAUAGCGUAGAGUCGUUGGCCAAAGGCACCUGACUAAUUCAGGGUAAGCCGGUGCCCGAAGUGAGUUUCCUUAACCCAAGAGAUCGACCUUUUAACUUAUCUAGUGCUAUCCAUAGGAAUCCUCUCUACCCUUCGCCUAUUAUUGGUUGGUUGUCCUUGAUACUAGAGUCGUAGAUAUACACACACAUUCCUCUGGAUUCGAUAUCCUUGGAAUACUCUGAGGUGAAAGCUACAACAAUAUCCGUACGCUUGUGGAUUCAUUCGCAUUCGUUAAUUAUACCAACAGUUGCAAACCCUCACCUAGCUUUAGAAAGAGUAGAAAUAGAAUUUCUCUUGUGUUACUAAUUAAAUUUAUUUAGUGCUGUGAUUUUAGUUAAAACCACCUACUCACCCCCUUAUUCGGUAUUUUAGAUCCUACACCUCCGUUCUUCAAUAUAUGACAUCAUUGACUUUUUUUCUCAAACUUUUACCAAUAAUAUCUAUUUAAUGGAUUAGUCAAAUAAAGUAAAAAUAAGUACUAUUGCAUCGAUUAUCUAAAGUACUUGAGAUUUAUUAUUUCCAUAAAUAUCUGUAAAACUGAAUGGUCAAAUUAAUAAAAAAAACUCAAUGGUGUCAUAUACUCCCUCCACACCCAUUUGAUAUAGUUUAACGAAAAAGAAAUCUACGUAUGAUCGGCGCAUGGGAGUAAAUUGUUCCUCGGUCUUGGUGAAAAAACUCAUGUGUCCAUCAAAAGGGGAUGCAGGGAGUAUUUAAGAGGAGCUAGUAGUUUAUUUAAUCAAAAUUAUUAACUUGACUAAAUGUUUGUCAAACUUAGCCAAGAUUUCCCUCAGAAUUCAUAGUUCAUACCAGCCAUGCAUACAUCAUCAAUUUCUAUAAUACGGUACUCUAGCAAUUCUCCACUUCCUCCCAAUAUAAAUAAUGUAAAAAUUCCUAUUCAUGUAGUUGCAAGCAAGUAUUAAACACAUUGGUUUUUUUUAAAAAAAAUAAUGGCUUCUUAGUCGCAAAAACUUGCAUAAAUUUUUAAUGGUUUUAGAAACACAUGUAGAAGUUCUAUAGAUAUCAUACUAACUCUUCCCAUAUAUUGGGUCCUACAAAAUUCGAAAACCUCGCAAAGUGCACGAGCCCGCUAGCUGGAGUCCUGGACAACAUGAAACAAUCACCCUUCAGUAUUUCAAAACUCGUACGAACCAAAAUGAGCACUAAAAUUCGUACGUAAUCGUCACACAAAUGCCAACAAUAAUUGACCAUAUACGUUACUGACAAAUCAGAUGACAAUGCUACCACAGAUUGAGUGAACAUUCUCUGCUUGCCGAACCAGCAAAUGCUUAUCCGAACAGUUAAGACUACAAUGACAAUUAACGAACUAUGGCAGAAUUUAUGAAAGCGGGACCAUCAGAUAUGCAUGGUGUUGACUUUUGAACCUCCGAAGCCAAUUCAAUCAGCAGAUGAAACAAAACUUAAUGACACCCAGGCACUUGCAUUGAACAAUCGCAGGAGCACAUCAAUCUCAGGUAAUUUAAGUUUUGCCAAAUCCAAAUAUAAAAACUGUAUGUAAACAUCAAACAGACCGAGGACACAUUGCCAGCUGAGAUUAAUAGUUCACGAGAUAACAGCAAUGGCCAUAGACAAAACUUAAGUGAUAUUAUAGCAUCUAGGCAUGCCAAAAGCAGAAGUGGAAUCAACCACCAGACACAUCAUUUCUUCUUGGCUGCAGCCUUAGUCACCUUGGCGCCCGUUGGGUCCUUCUUCUCCACGCUCUUGAUGACUCCAACAGCAACCGUUUGCCUCAUGUCACGGACAGCAAAACGACCAAGAGGAGGGUACUCAGAGAAGGUCUCCACCACCAUGGGCUUGGUGGGAAUCAUCUUCACCAUACCAGCAUCACCAUUCUUCAGGAACUUGGGCUCCUUCUCAAGCUCCUUACCGGAUCGUCUGUCGAUCUUGGUAAUGAGCUCAGCAAACUUGACAGCAAUGUGGGAGGUGUGGCAGUCCAGCACUGGGGCGUAGCCAUUGCCAAUCUGCCCAGGGUGGUUCAUGAUGAUGACCUGGGAGGUGAAGCUGGCAGCCUCCUUGGCAGGGUCAUCCUUGGAGUUGGAGGCCACGAACCCACGCUUGAGAUCCUUCACAGCAACGUUCUUCACGUUGAACCCAACGUUGUCACCAGGAAGGGCCUCCUGGAGAGCCUCGUGGUGCAUCUCGACUGACUUCACCUCAGUAGUCAGGCCAGUGGGACCAAAGGUGACAAGCAUACCAGGCUUGAUGAUACCGGUCUCAACACGGCCAACAGGGACGGUUCCAAUACCACCGAUCUUGUACACAUCCUGAAGGGGAAGACGGAGGGGCUUGUCCGAAGGCCUCUUGGGCUCGUUGAUCUGGUCAAGAGCCUCAAGCAGGGUUGGGCCCUUGUACCAGUCAAGGUUGGUGGACCUCUCAAUCAUGUUGUCACCCUCAAAACCUGAGAUGGGGACGAAGGCAAUCUUGUCAGGGUUGUAACCCACCUUCUUCAGGUAGGAGGAGACUUCCUUAACAAUCUCAUCAUAGCGGGCCUUGGAGUACUUGGGAGUGGUGGCAUCCAUCUACGAACAGAAAAGCAACAUAAGAUCAUUAUUAGCUCAUAAUGGAAUAGAUGCAUGAACAGGAAGCAUACACCAUAUAGGCAAGAUCUGAAUCAAAAUUAACUACUACACUGCACUUCUUUAGGGCACAAACUUGUCAAAAGUGGCAUCACAACAGGAACAAGCAAAUAUAGAUAGCUAGAUCAUCAUCAUCAUUAUUAGCUAGUGCAGGCUAUAAACAAUAGCCAAACAACAUCAUUAUUAGUGUAUCUUCGGAUGGCACAUGCAUAUCCAUCUGUAGGGAAUAUCAAAAGAACAAUGUUAUUUGCUUAACUGAAGACAUCCCAUGAACAGCAGACAAACUGUACAUACAAGAGAACAGUACAUCAAUCAAAUAUUAAAUGGUACACACUUCUUUAGGGAAUAAAGUUGUUUAUGGUAUUGCUAUGCAUCUUAUUACCAAAUUUUCACAAAGCACUGUGAACAAUACCAAUCAUAGGAAGAAAGUUAAAUAAGACAAACACUAGUGUUUGCAAUCUGCAUGCAUUAUAUGUAUUCCAAUAACUUCCGAACAUUACUCCAACAGUUGAACGAGAAACUGAACAGAGAAAAAUAUUCCCACACAUAUAUCAGAAAAUGCAAUUCAAUGAAGCUGAACAGCUACUAUCAAACAUAAAUAUGUAGGAAACAGAUCAUUCAGGAAGGCACUUAAUGCACUGCCAAAUUCAGUGCCGAACGUACAUACCACAUUAGUAGCAAUGUUAUGGAAUGAGAGGAAUACGACCGAGUGCAAACGAAUAAAGAUGGACUACUGACAAGUGUAUUUAUUAAGGGCAUUUCAGAUCAUGAACCAGAAUGAGUUAGGGAUUUCUGGAAUUAUACCUUGUUGCAGCAGCAGAUCAUCUGCUUCACUCCAAGAGUGAAAGCAAGGAGAGCAUGCUCACGGGUCUGGCCAUCCUUGGAGAUACCAGCCUCAAAACCACCAGUAGUGGAGUCAAUGAUAAGGACAGCACAGUCUGCCUGGGAGGUACCAGUAAUCAUGUUCUUGAUGAAGUCACGGUGUCCAGGGGCAUCAAUGACUGUGCAGUAGUACUUGGUGGUCUCGAACUUCCACAGGGCGAUAUCAAUGGUGAUACCCCUCUCACGCUCAGCCUUGAGCUUGUCAAGCACCCACGCGUACUUGAAGGACCGCUUGUUCAUCUCAGCGGCCUCCUUCUCGAACCUCUCGAUCACACGCUUGUCGAUACCUCCAAGCUUGUAGAUCAGGUGACCGGUGGUGGUCGACUUGCCGGAGUCGACGUGGCCAAUGACCACGAUGUUGAUGUGGGACUUCUCCUUACCCAUGGUUGCAGGUGAAGCUUAAACCACUGCAUCAGAUGAGUCAAUUGUUAGAAACACAAAACAGAGCAACCAAGCAAGUAUCAGCACUGAAAUCGGAAGCCAGUAAUAUAAAAACUUUUACAAGGCAGUAACAAAACAAUUUACAGACCAGAUCAGGAACUAGAUCAAACAAGGAUAUUGCAACUAUAUAAACAUAAACUAUUACAACCGGAUACACAGAAGCAGCCUCUAAAAGAAAAUAAAUGAAUCAAUUGUGACAAACACUAAACAGAGCAAACGAGCAAAUAUCUAAGCAGAAUUUAAAAUCCAGAAGUACAUAAACACUUAGAAAGGCAGGAACAAAACAAUUUUACAGUUCAGAUCGGAAACUAGAUCAAACAAUACUAUUACUAUAUGCAUCGACUAUAAAGCAGCAGCCACCUCUAAGCAUUCGAUCUACAAGGACAAUGAACAAAUCAACCUACAGAAUCUAAGAAAUUAUCCGGAUCUAGAUGAGACCAUGCAUGAGACUCGAAUCCUCGAAGCAAGCUAGCACGCAAAACCCAAAAAUCCUACGGAAUCGGAGAUGCGAGUAUCAACAAACAAAUCAAACUACCAGAAAGGUCAAAUUGCUACUAGCACGAGGAGGCACAAACCCGCGGAAGCGAAGGAGGCGGCGUGGGGGGAGGAAGCGGCUACUAGUCGGGGUGGCUGCCUCUGGUGGUGAGGGCGCUCGCCGCUAGGGUUCGGGGCUUUAUAUAUCAAGUGCGGCGGCGAGGAGUGGAGUCGGUGCGUGGCAGGCCGGGCCAGCCCAAGGAAUGGACUGCCGGAACGUGGCUGAGGGCCCAUACAUGAAACAAGGCCCAUAGAGAAGUCGACCAUCACUGUUGCCGGUGCUGAGCGAGUGGAGUCUCAGCUGAACCCCUCGCCGCCGUCCACCCACGGCCGACCUCCUCGCCACCGCGGCCUCGGCCGCCACCCCUCGUCGUCGACCCGCACCCUACGUCUGUGUGCCCUCCAUUUCUGCUACUUCUUCGUUCAGCUGCCUCUGGUUCGCUGGUAAAUUCAUGAAUAUUUUUUUUGCUUCGGAGACCUUCAUUUCGUGCCUAGAUGUACUUGCUGGAGCAGAAGUCCAGUCCUCUCGUUUCUUCUUGAAAUGACUCCAAAGUUUGCAGUUCAGGCUCAAAACAGUUUUUGCAGUUCAAGUUCGUUACCAUUCACCCAGUCCUGCAGUCCACCCAACCAGCCAGCUUGUACUCGGUUGUUUGCAAUUGGGUGUUGACAGUAUCUGAAAAGGUCCAAUUUGUGUGCUCCAUUCAUGUUGAAUCUUGUCACUGUGCACCUUUGACGAGUUGUCAGAACUCAACAUGAUGGUGUAGUACACAGCUGCAUUUAGCUUGUGCUGACUAUUGACACUUGACAGUGCAUUACUUGUUCCUGCAACCAAGGAAUGGUGUUUGGUAUAAGCUGUUUUCCCCCUCACAAUUAAUUUUUUGCAGCUAGCUAAUGUGGUGAGAACGUGCAGAUGAUCCUUGACAUUAUCGGUAUCAGAACAACAGCAAUCUGGGUGAACGUGGACAAUGAUCUAUUUUUUGAGGAAAUGCACAAUGAUCUAUUAGAAUGGCAAUGAGUUUCAGUAGUUGAUAUGGGAUGGGAAUGCUGAUUUUAACUUGAUAUCCUGGCGAUUAUGGUCUGUUAGCAAUCAGUAGUUGCAUUGUAAUAGUAAUAGAUCAUGCCUUCAUUCAUUUCUACGGUCACUUGUAUUAGAGGGAAAUGUUAGGACAUUGCUGAUGUAAUAUAUGUCAGUUGAUGUUGUGAUAAUGUUGAGACUUGAGAGCAUUCUCCAUUCUUAGGCAUAGAUCUUUUCAAAUACAAUGAGCAUUUAACUAUACUGUUUUAGAUCUUCAGUUUUGUACUAAUGGACUCCGGAGCAUAUGUUGUAAAUUAAACUUCAUUUUUUUUCUUGAACAAUGUUAAAAUAUGCCCUCUUUCUUUUCUGUUUUACCAUGUCUCGAACAACCUGAUUUUUAAUAUGUGUUGUAUAUACUUUUGUGGUGCAAUAGGUCCAUAAUUCGUACAAUCCAAUUGAUUAGUAUAGUCGAUAUGUGGAGAGCCACUUCUCAAUGUACUAAUCCCUAAAUUUAAACCUUUUUUUAGUAUCAGUUUUUAGUUAUUUGUUAUGAUAGUUUAAUUGUGGUAAAAUCCAGUAGCCCAAACUGAAGUACAAUUAGUCUGCAUUUGUCCAUUAGUUAAAAUUGAUUCCUUAUUUUACAGGGAAGUGUGGAAUGGGAGCACAAGAGCAAAGUUACUGGAAAGAUGCAUGGAUGUGGCCAUUAUGCAAAUUUUGCUAUGUUGUUAGGAUCUGCCAAGAUUCUUCAGGAGCAUCAUGAUGAGUUGAAGGUUGGCUAAAAUAUUUUUCUAGUUAUAAAGCAAUGAGAAUUUCUUAUUGUGUAAUGAAAAGUUCUGAAAUAGUUGAUGUUUUCCCAUCAAACUUUGAGUAAGGUAUCUGAAUUUUGAAAUUGCAGAUGGAUAAACAGUAAAUGGUUUAGCAACAGUUGGAUAUUCAAUCCUUGGUUCCAGUGAACAUGGAUGAUUUGAUACAUUUAGCAACAGUGUAUUAUACUGUUAUCUACUAGUGGUUUUCUUAUUUUUUUUUUGAACCAAUUAGAAAAGGGUGCUAUAUUUUGGAAGAGGUAGCUUCUUAAGUCCAAGAAAGUCAUUCGCCUUUUUUUUAACACUCAGGGGAAAUGCACAACAUUGCUUCUCUCUUGUCUAUUUUUCGUUUCUUUGUUUUUUAUCUUGGCAACAGAUUAGCAUUUGCGUCAACUUCUUAUGUUUCUCUUUGUAGGGAAAGCGUGCGUGACUGUUUAGUCUGUCAAAAUUUGAUUUAAGUAAUUAUCCUUAGAUAACACACAACUAAUCCUGUUAAUGUACAUCAUCCAUUCUCCUGGUUAACAGGCUAAGUCAUUUAUUUCAGUUGUUUCCAUCUCAGUUGUAAGAACUGUCUUGUAAUCUUUGAAUUUUAAUCACCUAGGAAUUUUAUAUUGUUAUGAAUAUCUUGUCGGUUACUGUAGGGUCCAGUAGUCCUGGUCUUCCAACCAGCCAAGGAAGGCGGCGGCAGGGCCUAUUAAAUGAUAGAAGCUGGAGCUGUGGAAAACAUACGUGCCAUUUUUGGGGUUCAGCUAACUCUGUUCCUAUAGAUGUGCUGGAUUCCUUGCCAGGGCCUAUUAUGGCCAGAGGUGGAGUCUUUGAGGCCAUAAUAAGUGGAAAAGAAGGGAAUGCUGCACUCCCUUAUCACACUUUAGAUUGAUUGGCUGCCUCUACUGUUAUUGUGAGCCUUCAGCAACUUGUUUCGGGGGAAGCUAUUCCCUUGGACUCACAGGUACCAUCCCACCUUUUGACAACUUGAUUUCUUGUCGUAUGCCAUAAUUUCCUAGCAAGGAAGAAUGUUCUUCGUUGACCUUUUCUAUUUCUACUGAUUAUGAUUUACAUAGCUCCCUUCCAUAGAAGUUCCGAGUUGUACUGUUCUGUUGGUCAAAAUUACAAAAUAAGAAAAUCAGGUUUUAUAGAAUGAUUUUGUGGUGUCCAGAGAAUCUAUUUAAAAUUUGUCAAGAACUUGUGGAACUUUUUAUCCUUCUACUGACUUGGCAACUAGUAGGCUACCCAGGAGGGGAGCCUUAAUUUGCCUGGACGUGUAAUAAGUAGGCAGCACAGAUUGUUCUGUAUCCAUUACUACAUAAUAUUCAAAACUUCAGUUUUACAUUCAUAGGCAUUUGUAUUUUGUACUUUCAUAUACAAAAAUGAUUUUGCACCGCAAGAAUUAUGCAAAUUGUUUCGAUUUAUUACUCCCAGGUCCCCAUCAGUUUGUACAGUGCACUGCUAUAGCGUUGCCGAUAUGUUCAAACUUUGGGAAUUUAUUCUUAUUUACUUUCCAGCAUAUAAUUGUUUACCUCAGGUCCCUUCUUCGUUCUGCAGGCUAUAACAGUUGGGAAAUUCAAGGAGGUGGGGCCUUCAAUGUGAUUCCUGAUUCAGUACCUUACGAACCUUUUUGAAAGAGAGUAUUAAUCAAUUGAAGCAGCAAAUUGAAGAGGUAUUGGCAUUUUGGAUUGGAUACAUUGUGUUACUAUUUAAGUAGUCAAUUUCUUAAUUAUUUUCCGGAAUUAGUUUCUCUUAGAAAUAAACAAGUAUAAAAAGCUACCUUAAAUAAAUAGCUACUUGAACUUGCUGUUAAGAUGACUAGUCACUAUACCUAACUAGAAUAGUUAAUUAUCAAAUAGAUCAAUUUGCACAUCUUAUUGAUAACUUUAAGAAGUGGGUACUUGUAAGUGGCACCUCAAGCUCUGGGCUGUCACCUAAUUUAAGUAUAUACUACAACCAAGGAUAUGGUAAACAAAUAAGCUGGUGCACAUCUAAAUUUUUUUUGCAUUCACUUAUUCUCGAUCUUUGUUAGACACUGCUGGCAAUUUUAGCACAAGACCAGUCCCUAGAAACAUUUUUUUGGGGAAAGUAACAAUGCUGCCAAUACUGAAACACGCGUUACAUGGAUACAGGCUCAUUGUAAUUUGUUGUUUGAGUACUCGUAAUAGAAAUUUAUCUUACACGUUUUAACUUAAAUGAAUCUGUAGGUUUGUAUCUUUCACCAUAGUAAUAGUUUUACAGCACUAAGAAAACAAGUUUUCAUAGUUUUAACGGGUUGGUAGGUUAUUAGAUGGAAGUGUCUGGAUCCCAAUGGUCAGAAUUCAGGCAUUCGUCUGUGCGUUCUCAGCUAUUUUCUCUUCAACAAUUUACUUCAAGAAAAUUUCACUGUGGGACAGCAUAGGAUCCUCAGCUACUCUCUGUUUUUGUUCACAACUCUUAACGGUUUGGGACCAUCUCGGUUGAUCAUUUGAAACAUUACUUUUCUUAUCUGGAUGCAGAAUAUGCCAGAGAUCAAACUCCGUAUCCCUAGCACAAAAGAUGGAUAAUGGAUUGCUUCAUUGACAUUGCGGAUUCUCCGUGUCUUCUCUUGUUUCUUGCCAUCAAGAGAGUCCACAUGCCACAAAGAAACAUUUUUUUGGGGAAAGUAACAAUGCUGCCAAUACUGAAACACGCGUUACAUGGAUACAGGCUCAUUGUAAUUUGUUGUUUGAGUACUCGUAAUAGAAAUUUAUCUUACACGUUUUAACUUAAAUGAAUCUGUAGGUUUGUAUCUUUCACCAUAGUAAUAGUUUUACAGCACUAAGAAAACAAGUUUUCAUAGUUUUAACGGGUUGGUAGGUUAUUAGAUGGAAGUGUCUGGAUCCCAAUGGUCAGAAUUCAGGCAUUCGUCUGUGCGUUCUCAGCUAUUUUCUCUUCAACAAUUUACUUCAAGAAAAUUUCACUGUGGAUUGUCCUGCAUAGGAUCCUCAGCUACUCUCUGUUUUUGUUCACAACUCUUAACGGUUUGGGACCAUCUCGGUUGAUCAUUUGAAACAUUACUUUUCUUAUCUGGAUGCAGAAUAUGCCAGAGAUCAAACUCCGUAUCCCUAGCACAAAAGAUGGAUAAUGGAUUGCUUCAUUGACAUUGCGGAUUCUCCGUGUCUUCUCUUGUUUCUUGCCAUCAAGAGAGUCCACAUGCCACAAAGAAUGUUAGUUCCUUGGUCUGAAUCUAUGUGGCACUCGUGUAAAAUUUGGCGUGCAGGUAAAAAUCCAUGAUUGACUCAGCCACCAGAAGACCUUUACCUUUGGAGGUACAUCCUCUUCAUGCUAUUGGUGUUCAGAGUCCAGUAACCGGUGUGCUGAUUGCACGAGUAGUUGCAAUGGCUUUCCAUCGACUACGCCCAAAAAUCAUUCUCUGCACUCCCCAAAGAACACACGAUUGCAUCAGCAUCCAUAUGUGAAAAUACAUCACGGAUUACUCUUCAUUCCGCUGGCCGCUGGCAGUAAUAAUAUCAGAAAGCAAGCGAACUGGUUGAUCAUCGGGUAAGGUGAUAUGUCUACCAGCGUUUUGAACCGGUAUGUUGAGUGAGAAUGAUUCUCCACAGGCUCUGAGAGAGAACACAGUACUCUUGAAAACGGCAGCUUCAACUUGCUUUUUAGUUGGUGGCCAUGGACAUGAGAUGCUUAGAAUAACUUCAAAAGUUUUAGGAUGUCGGCCAUCUUAACAGCCGUAAGCCAUUCAACUUUACGCACUGUCGAUUCAAAUUUCAGUAAUUCGUAAUUCCUAAGCACUGCGAUCCGAAUUUCAGUGAUCCGUAAUUCUCCAGUCCUACCAGCAUAACUACAAUAAAAAAAAUCUUAAUUUCUGCAACUGCAACGAUCCGAAUCUGAAAUAGCGUUUCCUAGGGUAACCACACUUCUUCCACGCCUUCUGCAACAUUGUAGUAUAGGGGACAAACAUUUCACCCGUCCAACCAAAAAACAGAGAAUCGAAUCGACGACCAGCUAAAAGCAAAGCACAAGCCUACCAGCCACAUCCUGAAAGAUCAACUUUGUACUCCAAAGACAACGAAAAUGAACAAGCCUGUACACACUGAACCUUUCUGAGACAACGAUCAUAAGUUUAAAAUGUCAGGUAGGAUGCGUAUCAAAAUACACAAGUACAGGUAGACGCUACAAAACGACACUCGAAGUAAACCAAAAACUAUUUAGUGUUCAUGGAUGUAGCAUAAGGCUUCAGGUCCAAAAUGCAAAAGGAAGCCAACGCUAACAACAUAAUAACCAGAGCAAACAGAACUAGAAGAAAACAAAGCUUUACUUGUAGCUAUAUAAAGACUCGGAUUGAACAUGGACGAUAACAGCACAAAUAAGUCCAAGCAUUCCAGUUUUGCCUAGGCUGAAAUAACAAAACAGUACUAGUACAAUUGACCAAGGCGCACUUUGCCUGCAAAGAGUUCAAACGAUAACAGAAAUGGCCAUGGACAAAAAAUAAGACAUGAUAAUAGAGCAUCUAAGUCUCCCAAAAGUAGACACAUAAUCAACCACCAGACACAUCAUUUCUUCUUGGCUGCAGCCUUGGUCACCUUGGCGCCUGUUGGGUCCUUCUUCUCCACACUCUUGAUGACUCCAACAGCAACCGUUUGCCUCAUGUCACGGACAGCAAAACGACCAAGAGGAGGGUACUCAGAGAAGGUCUCCACCACCAUGGGCUUGGUGGGAAUCAUCUUCACCAUACCAGCAUCACCAUUCUUCAGGAACUUGGGCUCCUUCUCAAGCUCCUUACCGGAUCGUCUGUCAAUCUUGGUAAUGAGCUCAGCAAACUUGACAGCAAUGUGGGAGGUGUGGCAGUCCAGCACUGGGGCGUAGCCAUUGCCAAUCUGCCCAGGGUGGUUCAUGAUGAUGACCUGGGAGGUGAAGCUGGCAGCCUCCUUGGCAGGGUCAUCCUUGGAGUUGGAGGCCACGAACCCACGCUUGAGAUCCUUCACAGCAACGUUCUUCACGUUGAACCCAACGUUGUCACCAGGAAGGGCCUCCUGGAGAGCCUCGUGGUGCAUCUCGACUGACUUCACCUCAGUAGUCAGGCCAGUGGGACCAAAGGUGACAAGCAUACCAGGCUUGAUGAUACCGGUCUCAACACGGCCAACAGGGACGGUUCCAAUACCACCGAUCUUGUACACAUCCUGAGGGGAAGACGGAGGGGCUUGUCCGAAGGCCUCUUGGGCUCGUUGAUCUGGUCAAGAGCCUCAAGCAGGGUUGGGCCCUUGUACCAGUCAAGGUUGGUGGACCUCUCAAUCAUGUUGUCACCCUCAAAACCAGAGAUUGGGACGAAGGCAAUCUUGUCAGGGUUGUAACCCACCUUCUUCAGGUAGGAGGAGACUUCCUUAACAAUCUCAUCAUAACGGGCCUUGGAGUACUUGGGAGUGGUGGCAUCCAUCUACGAACAGAAAAGCAGCAGAACAUAACUAUUAGUUGAUGAGGCAAGUGACCUCUACACUAAGCAUACACAGUUUACAUGAGAAUAGAGAACACAUCAAAAAAUUCACUGGCCAACCAAAAACUCUUUCAGGGCAUUAGCUUUUUUAAAUGGCAUCUCAACAGCAAUAAGCAAAUGCAUACAGGUAGGUAAGCUUGGAGAAGCACAUCCUAGUAGCAAAUAUAGAGCAAGUAUUUGUACAUACAUAAUGAGUUAUAUGACCACAUGUGAGUAAUAGUAACACAGCAAACAAACAGAUGUCACGGCGUAUGACAACAAAAUCAAGGAACACAGCAUAUGAACAGAAAGCAUUUUAUAAGCAAGCUAGCUAACUGACAAACAGCUUGUGCUCAGAUUCCCAUAUGACAACUUAAGCAUCCACUAAGAUCAGAACAUUAAUCAAAUAGGCGAGCAUUUAUAACUAAAUUACUGAAAACAUUCAUAGAAAAUCAUUCAAGGCUAAACUAAAAUCAUGCAUAAAUGUACUCAGAAAAGGUGGUUCAUAAUGCAGUCAUUAUGCAUGCAUUUAAACCAUCUAUCAAACUCACAUUUUCCUUGAACCAUGAAACCUCAAGGAACAGCCAUUGAUAAAGUUUGGAAUUAUACAAAUGCUGGACUCUCAAGAACUAAGAAUCUGACAUGCAUAUUGACCGUAUCCCAUAAACAUAGCUGACACAGGAAUAUCUGGAAUAAUACCUUGUUGCAGCAGCAGAUCAUCUGCUUCACUCCAAGGGUGAAAGCAAGGAGAGCAUGCUCACGGGUCUGGCCAUCCUUGGAGAUACCAGCCUCAAAACCACCAGUGGUGGAGUCAAUGAUAAGGACAGCACAGUCAGCCUGGGAGGUACCAGUGAUCAUGUUCUUGAUGAAGUCACGGUGUCCAGGGGCAUCAAUGACUGUGCAGUAGUACUUGGUGGUCUCGAACUUCCACAGGGCGAUAUCAAUGGUGAUACCCCUCUCACGCUCAGCCUUGAGCUUGUCAAGCACCCACGCGUACUUGAAGGACCGCUUGUUCAUCUCAGCGGCCUCCUUCUCGAACCUCUCGAUCACACGCUUGUCGAUACCUCCAAGCUUGUAGAUCAGGUGGCCGGUGGUGGUCGACUUGCCGGAGUCGACGUGGCCAAUGACCACGAUGUUGAUGUGGGACUUCUCCUUACCCAUGGUCGCAGGUGAAGCUUAAACCGCUGCAUCAGAUGUCAGAUGAGUCAAUCGUUAGAAACACUAAGUAUGGAAAAAGAGCACGCAUCUGCACAGAAUUUGAAAUCCAGUAAUACAUAAACAAUUGGAAAGGCAGUAGCAAACCAAUUUUACAGAUCAGAUCGGAAACUAGGUCAAAUAAAAAUAUUACUGUAUAGCAGCGAACUCAAAAAGCAAAGGAAUUACAACAGCCCCAACAUCUAAACAUUCGAUCCACAAGCACAAUUAACAAAUCAACCUAUAGAAUCUAAAUAAUUAUCUGAAUGCCGAUGAAACCAUCCAUAAGAAUCACAUCCUCGAAGCAAGCGAGUAUGAACAACCAAACCACUAGCACGAGGAGGAGACAAACCUGAGGAAGCGAAGGAUGGCGUGGGGAGGAGGCGGAGGCGACGGCGCGUAGGGAGGCUGCCUUGGUGAUGUGGGCGCUGGCCUCUAGGGUUCGGGGCUUUAUAUAUCAAUGCGGUGGCGAGGAGUGGAGUCGGUGCGUGGCAGGCCGGGCCGAACCAGCCCAAGGAAUGGACACUGCCGAAUUGAAGCGACGGCCCAUAUGUGAAACCCAUGGAGGCCCAAUGCAAAAGCGGCCUUCGGCGCGGCCGACCUCCUCGCCACCGAGGCCUCCGCCGCCCACGCCUCGUCGACGUCGUCGAGCUUGGCAGCUUGCGUUGACCCGCACGCGACGUCUGUGUGCCCUCCUGCUGUCCACUUCUGCUACUGCAUCUUGUUAAGCUGCCACUGGUUCCCUGGUAAAUUCAUGAUUAUUUGUUUCUUCCGAGACUUUCAUUUCAUGCCUAGUUGCGAGUCAAGAUGGCCUUACUGGAGCUGAGUAGAUCUGCUGGAUUUCGCGUGUUAUUGGAGUGGUCCCUAUACAUGGCUCAAGUUCAGCCCCUUCGUUUCUUCUUGAAAUGACUCCAAAGUUUGCCAUCUCUUGUGCGACGUUAAAAUGACUGUCCUCUUUCUUUUCUGUUUUGCCAUCUCUCGGACAACCUGAUUUUAACAUGUGCUGUAUAUAUCUUUGUGGUGCAAUAGGUCCAUAAUUCGUUCAAUCCAAUUGAUUAGUACAGUCAAUAUAAGGAGAGCUGCUUCUCAAUGUACUAAUCCCUAAAUUUAAACCUUUUUUUAGUAUCAGUUUUCAGCUAUUCAUUAUUGAUAGUUUAAUUGUGGUAAACUCCAGUAGCCCAAACUGAAGUAUGAUUAGUCUGUAUUUGUCCAUUGGUUAAAAUUGAUGCCUUGUUACAGCAAAGUGUGGAAUGGAAGCACAAGAGCAAAGUUCCUGGGAAGAUCCAUGGACAGGACAUGAUGCAAAUGCUGCUAUGCUGUUGGGAUCUGCCAAGAUUCUUCAGGAGCAUCAUAAUGAGUUGACGGUUGGCUAAAAUAUUUUUCUUUAGUUAUAAAGCAAAUUGUAUGAUGGAAAGUUCUGAAAUAAUUGAUAUUUUCCCUUUAAACUUUGAGUGAGGUAUCUGAACUUGAAAUCAAAUAUGGAUAAACAAUAAAUGGUUUAGCAACAGUUGGAUAUCCGAUUCUCCGUUGCAGUGGACAUGGAUGAUUCGAUGCAUGUUCUGUAUGUCCGGCAAUGGUAAGGGAGAUUUGUUUAAAUAAAUAAUGAGAGAAUAGCCUUCAAACCUAUAGAAGAUUUUAAAACUUGCAUACGGCAAUCAUUCCCUUACUUUCUUUGCAUUAAUCAAGCAUCCUCAGUCCUUUGGAUUUGGGCACGCGAAAAGGAAGCAGGCUCUGUUUUUUAUCUUUUUCUGGAAAAAAAAUAUUGUAAUGAUAUUCAUUCUUCUAAUUCACAAUCCCCUAUAACUACAGAGUGUAUUAUAAUGUUCUCUACUGGUGUUUUCCUUAUAUUUUAUUUUGGACAACUUAAAAAUGGGUGCUAUAUUUUGUAAGAGGUAGCUUCUUUUAGUCCAAGAAAGUCAUUCACUUUUUGUCCUCAGGGGUAGACCUAUUAAAUGCGAUAUAUCGCUUCUCUCUGCCUCUCUAUUGGUCUAUUUUAUUUCUUUGUUUUUAAUCUUAGAUUAGCACUUGUGUCAAUUGCUUAUGUUUCUCUUUGUAGGGAAAGCGUGUAUGGCAGCUGCGCUACCAGGCAAACAAUGGUUAGGAGAUAUUGUUGGGCCUUUGACUGCAAAUGCCAUUGCUGAAUAUCUGGAGCUUUGGCACAUCAUGGAAGCUGUGCAACUUCGAGCAGGGGUGGAAGACAUCGUGACGUGGAGAUGAUCGCCGACCGGUACUUAUUCUGCCUGCUCAGCUUACAAGAUGUUCUUUCAAGGAGCAACAAGGUUUGCGGGCGCAAAGAUCAUCUGGAAAUCUUGGGCCCCUAUAAAAGUGAAGUUUUUCAUGUGGCUGGCUGCUCGUCACCGGCUAUGGACGGCGGACAGAAGACACAGAAGGGGCCUUCAAGACAACAUCGCCUGUAAGCUGUGUUGGGCCUUGUUUAGUUGCCCUGAAUUUGGGUGUCCAAAAUUACUAUUGUAGCACUGUAGCAUACUGUAGCGUUUCGUUUGUAUUUGUGAAUUAUUGUCCAAAUAUUGACUAAUUAGGCUCAAAAGAUUCGUCUCGCAAAGUACAACAAAACAGUGCAAUUAGUUUUUAUUUCGUCUACAUUUAGUACUCCAUGCAUGUACCGCAAGUUUGAUGUGACGGGAAUCUUCUUUUUGCAUAGUGUCAAAAUUGGGAGUUUGCAUGGAACUAAACAAGACCCAAGAAACAGAAACUGCAUGCCUGCAUGCCGUCUUUUUUGCCACUGCUCUUUCACACAGCAGGUGUGGCACGCCAUCAGCUCGGCCAUCGGGCUAGUUAGUCAAGCUCCAGCCCCAGAAAUGCAGGUCCUUGACUGGUGGAACAACAAGAGAGGAGGGCUGAACAAGUUGCAGCAGAAAGGUUUGGAUUCUGCUUUCAUGCUAAUAUCAUGGAGGUUGUGGAAGGAAAGAAACGGAAGAGUCAUCAGCAGUCAACCGGAGAACUCUGCAGCCCAAGUUGCAGCUCUCGUCAUGGAGGAAGGCCACCUGUGGAUCCAAGCUGGAGCAAAGUUUCUGGCAGCUAUAGGUUGGCCUGCUACAUCGUCAGGCACAUAGACUGCUAGGCUAGUCUGUUUUCAUAUUGUCAAUUUGUUGUGUAAUCGAUUCAGUUGAUGUGCCACCGUGUGCGUGCGCCUGGUAUAUGACCCGCGUUGUAAAAUGUUGACAAUUUCUUCUUACGCAAUACUCCUGCGUAUUCUUUACGCAACACUCCUACGUAUUCUUGAAAAAAAAAAGAAAAAGUGUGUGUGACUGUUUAGUCAUUCAAAAUUUGAUUUAAGUAAUUGUGCACAUCGACCAUUCUCCUGGUGAGGUCACUUAGUUCAGUUGCUUCCAUAUCAGUUAUAUGAUUUUUCUUGUAGUCUUUGAAUUUUAGUCACCUAGGAAUUUUAUAUGGUUAUGAAUACAGGGUUGAUUACUGUAGAGUACAGUAGUCCUGGUCUUCGAACCAGCCGAGGAAUGAGGUGGUGGGGCCCAGAAAACGAUAGAAGCUGGAGCUCUGGAAAUGCUAUUUUUGGGGUUCGCAUAGCUAACGAUGUUCCUAUAGAUGUGCUGGAAUCCAGGGAAGGGCCUAUGAUGGCCGAGGGUAGUAUCUUUGAGGCUGUAAUACCUGUUUGGCAACCAUGUGUUAAAGUUUAACACCUGUCACAUCGGAUGUUUGGAUGCUGAUUAGGAGUAUUAAAUAUAGGCUAAUUACAAAACUAAUUGCACAGAUGGAGUGUAAUUCACGAGAUGAAUCUAUUAAGCCUAAUUAGUCCAUGAUUUGACAAUGCGGUGCUACAGUAACCAAUUGCUAAUGAUGGAUUAAUUAGGCUUAAUAGAUGCGUCUCGCGAAUUAGCACAGGGUUCUGCAAUUAGUUUUAUAAUUAGCUCAUAUUUAGUUCUCCUAAUUAGCAUCCGAACAUCCGAUAUGAUACUGUUAAAGUUUAACAUCUCGUAUCCAAACACCCCCGGAAAGGGAGGGUUGCUGCACUUCCUCAUCGCACUACAGAUCCGAUACUGGCUGCCUCAAAUGUUAUUGUGAGCCUUCAUCAACUUGUUUCUGGGGAAGCUGAUCCGUUGGACUUAGGAGGUAUUUGUUUCCUACGGGCUAAACUUUAGCUCCCAUCACAUCGAAUAUUUGAUACUAAUUAGGAGUAUUAAAUAUAGACUAAUUAUAAAAGUAAUUGCACAGAUGGCGAGACAAAUCUAGUAAGCCUAAUUAAUCCAUGAUUUGACAAUGUGGUACAGUAACCAUUUGCUAAUGAUGGAUUAAUUAGGCUUAAUAGAUUCGUCUCGCGAAUUAGCCUAGGGCUUCUGCAAUUAGUUUUAUAAUUAGCUCAUAUUUAGGGCCUGUUUGGCUCACCAGUGUUAAAGUUUAACACCUGUCACAUCGGAUGUUUGAAUGCUAAUUAGGAGUAUUAAAUAUAGGCUAAUUACAAAACUAAUUGCACAGAUGGAGUGUAAUUCGCGAGACGAAUCUAUUAAGCCUAAUUAGUCCAUGAUUUGAUAAUGUGGUGCUACAGUAACCAUUUGCUAAUGAUGGAUUAAUUAGGCUUAAUAGAUUCGUCUCGCGAAUUAGCAUAGGGUUCUGCAAUUAGUUUUAUAAUUAGCUCAUAUUUAGUUCUCCUAAUUAGUAUUCGAACGUUCGAUGUGACACUGUUAAAGUUUAACACCUCGUAUCCAAACACCCCCUUAGCCCUCUUAAUUAGCAUCUGAACAUUGACAAGGGCUAAACUUUAGACAAGGAUCCAAACACGCCCUUACACCACUGUCCCAUCUUUUGCGACUUAAUUUGGUGUUGUAUGCCACAAAUUUCCAAGCAAGGAAGCAUAUUCUUGGUUAACUUCGUUUUCUACUUAUAUGAUUUACAUAGCUCCCUUCCGUAGAAGUUCCGUGUUAUACUAUUCUGUUGGUCUAAAUUACAGAACAAUAAUAACAAAUUUUAUAGAAUGAUUUUGUGGUGUGCUGGGAAAUCUAUUUAAAAUUUGUCAAGAUUGUGUUGAACUUUUUAUCCUGCGAGUAACAUGGGAACUAGUACACUAUCCAGGAGGCGAGCCCUAAUUUGCCUGGACGUGUAAUAGCUAGACAGCACAGAUUGUUCUGUUUCCUUGCUAUUUAAUAUUCAAAACUUAAGUUUUACACUCAUAAGUUGUUCAGUGUAGGCAUUUGUACUUCAUAUACAAAAAUGAUUCUGCACCACAAGAAUUAUACAAAUUAUUUAUUCGAUUUAUUACUCCCAGGUCCCCAUCUGUUUGUUCAGUGCACUGACUAAAAAGCACUGCCGUUAUGUUGGAACUUUCGGAAUUUAUUCUUACUAGCAGAAAUGCCCGUGCGUUGCUACGGGUCAUUACUUGCUCACGUGUUGGCGUUGAUGGAGGUGAUCUAUACGCGUGUUGCUGAGCAGUUUCUCGAUGGCGAGGAGGUCCUGGGCUCCUGGCCACAACUCUGCAGCUAUUUAUACAGGCAAGAACGCAACCUCGAUUUCUAUCCGAGUCGGCCUCGAUUCUGAUCCGGUUCGGCAGCGAACUCUCUUGGCAGUCUGGCCCCGAGUCAGCUUCGAUUCCGAUCCAAUUCGGAAGCGAGCUCUCCUGGCAGUCUGGCCUCCACUCCAAUCGCUGCCCACUUCGCUGCCGCCUCGAGGAUGCGGUGGCCAUUACCUGGUCGACACGGCUGGCGUCGUGCGGGUCCCUGAAGUGGUGUAAGAAUCGGAGGAUGAUGGCGUCGACGUCGGAGGAUGGCGGGAUAUCGUCGGUGGACAUGAGGACCUCCUGGAGGUGACGGCCGCGCCGUCGUGGCUGUGGCCAUUCUCGACGGGCGGGAGCCUCCUCCUGGAAGUGGAGGAGGAGGAGACGUUCAAAGUCAACCAGUUCGAGUUCGACUACGCGUCGGAUUCGACUUCGCCUCGGACUACUCCAACGUUCCGCUCAGGGGUCGGACACUCCCGACCCCAGGACUCAGGGUCGGUCGAGGCGGAGCUUCACUCGGGGUCGGGCGAGGCGGAGUCCCACCCUCAAGGGGUCGGGCGCAUCCAACCCCGGGACCAAGGGGUCGGGCGCAUCCGACCCCGGGAAAAAGGGUCGGGCGAGACGGAGUUCCACCCUCAAGGGGUCGGGCGCAUCCGACCCCGGGACUAAGGGUCGGGCGAGGCGGAGUUCCACCCUCAAAGGGGUCGGGCGCAUCCGACCCCGGGACCAAGGGUCGGGCGUAUACUCAAAUUGGAUUGUGGGUUGAUAUCACGAAAUAUCAGGGUUUUUUUUUGAAAAAUAGCCUCGGACUACCCCAACGUUCCGCUCAGGGGUCGGACACUCCCGACCCCAGGACUCAGGGUCGGGCGAGGUGGAGCUUCACUCGGGGUCGGGCAAGGCGGAGUUCCACCCUCAAGGGGUCGGGCGCAUCCGACCCCGGGACCAAGGGUCGGGCAAGGCGGAGUUCCACCCUCAAGGGGUCGGGCGCAUCCGACCCCGGGACCAAGGGUUGGGCGAGGCGGAGUUCCACCCUCAAGGGGUCGGGCGCAUCCGACCCCGAGACUGCGGGUUGAUAUCAUGAAAUGUUAGGGGUUUUUUUGAAAAAUAGCCCGACGGACGAAAAAUCCAGGCAGAAACGUUACUUGCUUUGAUAAUAGGUAAAGAUUUACUUUCCAGCAUAUAAUUCUUUCCUUUGGGUCCAUGCUUUGUUCUGCAGGUUAUAACAGUCCGAAAACUUCAAGGAUGUGGAGCCUUCAGUAUGAUCCCUGAUUCAGUAACAAUAGGUGGCACCUUCCGAGCCUUUUUAAAAGAGUAAGUAUUAAUCAAUUGAAGCAGUGAAUUGAAGAUGUAAUUGCAUUUUGGCUUGGAUACGUUGUAUUACUAUUUAAGUAGUCAAAUUCUUAAUUAUUUCUGGGAAUUAGGUUCUCUUAGAAAUAAACAGGACUAAAAGGUUGCCUUAAAUAAAUAGCUACUUGAACUUGAUGUUAAUAUGACUAGUCACUAAACCUAACUAGAAUAGUUAAUUGUCAAUAGACCAAUUUGCAUAUCUCAUCGAUAGCUUUAAGAAGUGGGUACUUGCAAGUGGCACCUCAUGCUCUGCGUUGUCACAUAAUUUAAAUAUAUACUACAGCCAAGGAGUAAACAAAUAAGCUGGUGCACAUCUAAAAUUUGUUGCAUUCCCUUAUUCCCCAUCUUUGUUAGAUUUUACUGCUGGAAAUAUAAGCACAAGACCAAUCCCUGAUGCUUAUUCUCUCAUGUAGAAACUUUAAUUUUUGGGAAACUAGCACAUGCUGCCAGUACUGGAACACGCGUUAUAUGGAUAUAGGCUCACGUGUAAUACUUGUUUGAGUACUCAUAAUAGAAAUUUUUCUUACACAUUUUAAUUUAAAUGAAAAUUAUAGCUGUAGUUUUGUAGCUUUCACCCUGGUUUUACCGCACUUAGAAAACACGUUUGUUUUUACAGGUUGGUAGGUUAGUAGAUGGAAGUGUCUGGGUCACAAUGGUCAGAACUCUGACAUCAUCUGUGCUGAGUUCUCAGCUAUUUCCCUUUUUCUUCAACAUUUUACUUCAAGAAAAUUUCACUGCGGAUGGUCCUGCGUAGGAUAUCAGCUGCUCUCUGUUUUUCAUGUCCCAGGUGAUCAUGUCUCAAUGUCUCAAGCAUCCGUGCGGCGAUGCCGUGCUACUGUGGACUUCCUCACUGAAAGAAUGGGCUGUGGCAUGUGGCAUGUAGCAUGGGGACAGUAGAUUGAUUAGAAGAGAUACAAGAUAUAUAGGUUAGUUAUCUCCGUUUAAUUUCCUUGACGCGCUGACGUGUGGGACGUAGGGUGGGAGUUAGUGUAUUUGCUUUACAGAAUGUAUCUGGAUACAUUUUAGCCUCGUCAUAUAUAUAUAUUUUUACCAUGAUAUUUUGCUAUUUUUCCUAGAAACUAAUGUGUUUUAACGUAACGCUUGAUUGUCACUACAUGAAUCGGAAUUUCACUUUUAUGAUAUUGGGAAGGGAUGCAUCGCUGGUAUCAAGGGACUGGUAUUUAAAUGAUUGAAAUAGUGUAACAUAAAACAACAGAUGAGAGUUCGAACAUUGAAUAAUCAAUUAACCUAUUUAUUGUUGUGUUGGCCUUCAUUAUUUAAGUUUUUAUAGGAUACAUAACAAUUUUGUAGUUUUUGAAUGGCUUCUUGCAGUUGUAGAUAUCUGGGAUAAUGAAUGUUUGGCCUAAAAAACAAUUAUGAUUUUGAAAAGAACAGUUUUGUAUUUCGGAAAAAAGAAAACAAAAGUUUUAUAAAUAUUAGACUAACUCAUCCUUCAGUACAAAUCCGUCAUGGACUUGGAAGUUGGAACCUAGCAUUUCAAUCAAAAAGAAGAACGAAAAACAGUUUAAUUUCCAUUGAAUACAAAAUGUGCCAUGCCUCCUAAACGAGCCAUAAACAAAUUAGUACACGAUCUACCAACAUCUGCAGGGCAUCUACACCAGUAGCCACCCCGGCAGCAUAGGACAACGCUGGGUGAAACACGCAUGUGCAUAUUUUGAAAUAUGUACGAAUCAAAAUGAGUAUUCGAAUUCGUACUAAAUGUUGGACAAAUUAGUGCCAAUACUAAUUAGCAGUGUCAGACAUAUUUUAUCCGGAGAAUUACACCCAAGUUCAGAUCUUAUCAGAUGAAAGAAUUUGUCCCACAGACACGGAAGCAAUUUGCUUGGCUACAUAUCCGAAUGUAUAAUUUCCAAAACAUAUGUUGGACAAGCGUGUAUACAUUGAGUGCAUCGUAUACAUGUAUCAUAAAUUUUUACAGAAUGUUCCAUCAUAUCACCAAAUUUUCAUAAAACUAAUUUUAAUCUGGUAAAGCUAAAAUCUCCGGCAGAUUUUGGCCGCUAAUAAUCUGCUAGAGCAACGCAAAUGCUUUCUGACGAUAGGCGAUAGCACAAAAUUCAAAGGACGUUCAAGACUGAAAGUGAACCUUGUGAAUUAAGACGACAACACAAACACAAUGAACAAAUUAGGAACAGAAAUCUCGAAACAUCAUCAGAUUAACAACGAUUUGAACCUCAGAACAUACCAGAAACGAAAUUUAAUCAACGGAACAACGAUAGGAAGAACCCAAGUACUUGCAUUUAACAAGCACCGACAAGGGCACAAAUCAGUCUCAGGUAAUUUAAGUUUUGCAGAAUCCAAAAUAUUAAAACUGUGUUGAACUGACAAACAGAAUGAUGACACAUUGCAAGCUGAGACUAAAAAUAGUUCACAUGACAACAGCAAUGGCCAUAGACAAAACUUCAGCGAUAUUGAAGCAUCUAGGUAUAACAAAAGCAGAAGCGGAAUCAACCACCAGACACAUCAUUUCUUCUUGGCUGCAGCCUUGGUAACCUUGGCGCCGGUAGGGUCCUUCUUCUCCACACUCUUGAUGACUCCAACAGCUACCGUCUGCCUCAUGUCACGGACAGCAAAGCGACCCAGAGGAGGGUACUCGGAGAAGGUCUCCACCACCAUGGGCUUAGUGGGAAUCAUCUUCACCAUACCAGCAUCACCAUUCUUCAGGAACUUGGGUUCCUUCUCAAGCUCCUUACCAGAUCGUCUGUCAAUCUUGGUAAUGAGCUCAGCAAACUUGACAGCAAUGUGGGAGGUGUGGCAGUCCAGCACUGGGGCGUAGCCAUUGCCAAUCUGCCCAGGGUGGUUCAUGAUGAUGACCUGGGAGGUGAAGCUGGCAGCCUCCUUGGCAGGGUCAUCCUUGGAGUUGGAGGCCACGAACCCACGCUUGAGAUCCUUCACAGCAACGUUCUUCACGUUGAACCCAACGUUGUCACCAGGAAGGGCCUCCUGGAGAGCCUCGUGGUGCAUCUCGACUGACUUCACCUCAGUAGUCAGGCCAGUGGGACCAAAGGUGACAAGCAUACCAGGCUUGAUGAUACCGGUCUCAACACGGCCAACAGGGACGGUUCCAAUACCACCGAUCUUGUACACAUCCUGAAGGGGAAGACGGAGGGGCUUGUCCGAAGGCCUCUUGGGCUCGUUGAUCUGGUCAAG